CUGCUACAACCGUGCACUACUACCAAGUUAUUUUCGAUGUUGCGACUUCUGAAUCGACGAUCGGCUCCGUUAGACUUGAUCUACACUAUUAAAAGUAUUUGAAAAUUAAAUUUCAUAAUUUUUCGACAUUAUUUGGCUAGUGAUCAAAAGGUCUCAAAAUUAACAAUUUUAAUGAUAGAUGUGAUGCGUUUGUGAAUUUAACGGUGUAAAACAAUUCAAAUCUGAUGAAAUUUUUAUAGAAAAUUUCUUUCACUAUUUAGAGUAAGAUCAGUACAUCUGAUCUUAAAUUCAAGUCUUUUAUCAUCUUUUUUUAUAAAAUUUUUAUUUUCAGCCAUUCAUUUUUAGGCUACUUGUUUGAUAGGUAAAUGAUACCGAAAAAUUAUGAAAUUUAGUUUUCAAAUACUUUUAAUAGUGUAGAUUAAGUCUAACGGAGCCGAUCGUCGAUUUGGAAGCCGCAUCAUUGAAAAAAAACUUGGUAGCACGGAGGUUUCCGUGCUACCGAUAGUAUACUAGCCUAGCGCGCGCUAACUCUCUCUCUCUCUCUCUCNAUAUAUAUUUAUUUAUUUAUUUAUUUAAGGAUUAAUUGUAUACAGCACUCUGAAAAUAUUUCGAAUAAGAAAAUAUAUCUAUAAAGUUUAAUUUUUAACUUUUAUUCUUGCAAAAGUUUAAUAAUAUUUAUAUUUGUUCCUUUAAUUAGUUACCGUUAGAAAACUAUUUAUUUUUUAACAACAAAUAAGUGAAAUGUCAAUUUUGACAUCACAAAUAUAUCCCUCCAAAAAUUUCAACUAUUACAAUCGUGUAGAAAUAUCUCUCCGAAAAAUUUUCAAUAGUUAUUUUCUUCCUCAUCAUCUUCCUCUUUAAAAUCCAAUCUAAGAGUUCUUAUUGCUAGAAUUUUGAUUGAGAUAAGAAGGUAUAAUAUAAAAUAAUUAAAAUAUUAAUUUUGUUAUUUUUACAGAAAGUUAUAUGUAAUUAGUCUUUUAAAAAUAAUAUAAUAAAUAAGUUAGAACUUUGUAGAUAUAUAUUUAUAAUUUUGUUAUUUUUAUAGAAAGUUAUAUGUAAUUAGUCUUCUUUUUUUUGUUUUUUGAGAGAUGAGUACGUAGCAUGAUACCGUUUCGUUUAUUUUAUUUAAAAAUAAACUUAACUGAAAAUAUGAAUCAAUAAGGAUUCAAAUUUGAGAUCUCGGAUAUCAAUCAUCAAAUUUUUUGUCACUUGUUUUAGGGACGGUCGGUAUGUGUAAUUAGUCUUAUAUUUAAAUAGGAGCAGUUACACUUUGCAUCUCGAGGAAGUAUCAUUUAGUGUUAGUCAAUAAAGUUAUUCAAGUUAGAAAAAUAUUUUAUUCACCUUCUUUUAUUUCACAAUAAGCACACGAUCACGUGAUCGUCCAAGCCGGUCUCCGCCACCAAGUGUUAGUCAAUAAAGCUAGUCAUUAUUAGCUGAAUUUAAGUUAUUUAAAUAUUAUUUUAUUCCACAGAAAGAAUUAGACAUGGUUAAUUAGGAUUCCAAUAUUUCGAUCAAAUGAUAUUUCAAUUCUCAGUUUCUAAGAUCGACACAUCAAAUUUGGGUAAGAACUACAGUAUUGUUGUAUUAUUAAUUAGCUUGUAUAUUUCGAUACAUAUCUACUUUGGUUUUUGGUUUUAUUUUGUUCUGUUUUGUUUUUUUUUUUUAUUAUUGUAGGUGGCUUGCAUCAUUAGCUUGUAUUUUCCGACUCAUGUCUACUUUGUAGUUUUUAUCCUUUGUUAGGUGGCUAAUAUCUUUAGCCAACAACAACUAGAAACCUAAUAAAUAUAUAGAGAGAGAGAGAAUCCUGCUAUAAUACUGUCAUAGCACCAAAUAUUUUAUAGUACCAAGUUUUUUGCUGUUAAAUUAUUUUUUUAAUCAUUUUCAUCCGUUAAAUUAUACUAUUCAACUUUAGAGGACUACAAUCCUAACCGCAUAUUGCUUAACCCAAGGCCGAAAGUUUAAUAGUACCACUAUAUAUAUAUAGGGCUGGUAUGCUUAUGGAAGCACGGAGGCCUCCGUGCUUUCAAGUUAUUUUCGAUGUUCCGACUUUUGAAUCGACGAUCGGCUCCGUUAGAGUUGAUCUAGAGUAUUUGAAGUAUCUAGAAAAUAAAUUUUGCGAUUUUUUGAUAUCAUUUGCCUAGUGAUCGAAGAGGCUCAAAAUCAAUAAUUUUAAUGACCGUGGUGAGCCGGUUGCAAGUUUAACGGUGUAGAAAUAUCCAAAUCACAUGAAAUUUUGAUAGAAAAUUCUUUAUACCAUAUAAAACAAGAUCAAUAACUUUGAUCUAAAAUUUUAACGUCAUAUCAUCAAAUUUUGUAAGAUUUUUAUUUUCAGCCGUUGAUUUUGAGCCACUUCGAUCACUAGGCAAAUGAUAUCGAAAAAACGCAAAAUUUAUUUUCUAGAUACUUCAAAUACUCUAGAUCAAGUCUAACGGAGCCGAUCGUCGAUUAGAAAGUCCGAAUAUCGAAAACAAAGUGGAAGCACGGAGCCCUCCGUGCUUCCAUAAGCAUCUUAGCCGCACUCUCUCUCUCUCUUCUCGACCCUACUCUCGUCUCUCUCUCUCUUCGCUCUCAUCUUCUCUCUCUAUCUCUAUAUAUAUACUAUAUAUAUAUAUAUAUAUAUUCAACUUUAGUUCAUUACUAUUCAACUCAUAGACAGGACUGCUGUGGCUCUCCUGAGCCGUUUCGAUGAUAGAAUUUCGGAUCGAUGAUCGGCUCCGUUAGACUUGAUUAGUGUAUUUAAAGUUUCUAGAAAAUAAUUUUUGCGAUUUUUGAUAUCAUUUACCUGACAAUCAAAAGGAUUCAAAUCAAUAUUUUUAACGGCUAAAAUAAAAUCCUAUAAAAGUGGUUGAUAUAAGCAUAAUUUUCGAUCGAAAUAUUAAUCUUGUUGUAGAUAGUAUAAAUUUUGUAUCAAUUUCAUCUGAUUUAGAAUACUUCUACACGUUAAACUUGAAAACAGACAUAUUCAACUAUUAAAACAUUUGAACCUUUCCAAUCACUAGGUAAAUGAUAUCAAAAAUCGCAAAAAAUAUUUUCUAGAAACUUCAAAUACGCUAGAUCGAGUCUAAUGGAGCAUCAUCGAUCGAAAAUUCCAUUAUCGAAAACGGCUCAGGAAGCACGGAGGCAUCCGUGCUCUGAGAGCACAGCAGUUCUUCUCUCUCGUUCUCUCUCUCUCUCUCUUCUCUUCUCUCGUUCUCUCAGUAUAUAUAUAUUAUAUAUAUAUAUAUAUUAUAUAUGUAUAUACUAGUUGAGCUACUGCAAAUGCAGCGUAAUAAUUAUUUUAUUUAUUUUUAAACAAUAAAAUUUUAUAAAUUAUAUUUAUUUUAAAAUUUGAAUUAAAAAUAUUUGCAAAUGCACUUAUAUUUUGUUAGAAAUAUUUCAAUAUCAAAUUUAAUUUUAAUAUUAAAUAGGAUGGAUAGAUUUGAUAUUAAAAAUCAAAAUAAAUUUAUAAUUUCACGUUAAACUCAAAAUUUUAAAUUUUAUUAAAAUAAGAUGGAUGACAGGACUAUUUUUUAACGAUUAAUUUAUUAACUAUUUAUUUUUUAUUUAAUAUAUUUAACUAGAUUGAUCAUACGUUGAUAGAAUUUGAAAUUUAUAAAUGGAAUAAUAUUUUUUUACAAAUUGAUUAUAGCGUUCUUCUUUUAGAGAUAAUUUUUUAAACUUUAUCAUAAUUUGCAUAUCAUAUUAAUUCAAAAAUAUCGAUUUACAAAUGUAUAAAACCAACUAUCUUUUAAAUUUAUUUACGUAUGUUAAAUUGUAAUAUAUUGAUAGUCCCGAAAAGUUAAAAUUUUAAAUUAAUUUUAAAUUUGGAAUUGAAAUAGAAUUUACAGUGGUUAUUCGACAAAAAUUUAAUAGAAUGGAUUUUUUUCUAUUUUUAGAGAUAAAAACAAAUUUUGAAUUAAUAUAGGUUUAUAGUAGAUAUCUUUCGGUUGGUAAAAAAAAUUGGCAUAAGUAUAUAUUUUUUAUUUUAGAGAUAAACAACUAAAGUUGUUUCAUAUCGGUUAUUGUAUUUUACGUAAGAAAAGAGGAAUCAAUAUUUUUUUUCCGCAAAAAAAUAGGUCUGUCGGACGACGGGAAAUUUGACAAUACGUGCUUUAUAUAUAGGUAUAGAUUAAACCCAAGAAAGUAAAGGCCAAUUUGGGCUGGCAAUUGAGCGAGCCUGUUGUCUCCGGCUCGGAUUAUCUCGAUUCGAAGAUUAAAUAAGUCGACGUUUGAGAAAAAAAAAAAAAAACUCAAGAGUUGUGUUUUCAAGUCCGAGCUUGAGUAUUAUUAGGUUUUCGCACGGAAUUAGGUUUUGAAAAGCUGGAAUAUAUAUAUAUAUAUACAAUAUAUAUAUAUAUUAUAUAUAUAUAUAAUAAUAAUUAUAUAUAUAUAUAUUGUAGAAUUACUAUGCUAUUGAAAGUAUAGAGAAUUUAAUGCUUCCGAUUUUUUGACACUUGGAUCAAAAAUUAUACAGUUGAGAUGAUUGCGGUCCCCUCUAGGAGUGGAUAAUAUCCCUAGCAUUGAGUGGUCCCUAUAGAAUAAUAGUAUUAAUCCAAAGAUUAGAAAUGAUUAAAAGAGCUUAUCUAAGGACCAAAAAGUCGAAAAUACCAUAUGCUUUAUGCUUCCGAUAGCAUAGUAGCUAGUCUACUCUAUAUAUAUAUAUGUAUAUAUAGUCCGGCUAUUAUAUUCUUAUGAAUUUAGACACCUUUAUAUCCAUAAGUUUUUGACCGUUAAAUAUAUCCGUUUGGUCAUUUCAAUCCGUUNAGUAGGGCUGCUGUGCUCUCAGGAGCACGGAGGCCUCCGUACUCCUGAGUCGUUUUCGAUGAUAGAAUUUUCGAAUCGACGAUCGGCUCCGUUAGACUUGAUCUAGCGUAUUUGAAGUUUUUAGAAAAUAAUUUUUGCGAUUUUUUGAUAUGAUUUACCUAGCAAUCGAAAUGAUUCAAAAUCAAUAAUUUUUAACGGCUGAAAAUAAAAAUUCUAUAAAAAGUGGUGAUAUAGCACUAAAAUUUUCGAUCAGAAAUAUUGAUCUUGUUGUAGAUAGUAUAAAAAUUUUUGUAUCAAAAUUUCAUCUGAUUUGAAUACUUCUACACCUAAACUUGAAAACGGCAUAUAUCAACCAUUAAAAAUUAUUGAUUUUGAAUCAUUUCGAUCACUAGGUAAAUGAUAUCAAAAAAUCGCAAAAAUUAUUUUUUAGAAACUUCAAAUACCCUAGAUCAAGUUUAACGGAGUCGAUCGUUGAUUCGGAAGCUCCAUCACUGAAAACAGCUUAGGAGCACGGAGGCCUCCAUGCUCCUAAUAGCACACAAGACCUACUCUAUAUAUAUAUUAAGGAAUUGAACUAGAAUACUUUUAGAAGCAUCAUCCCCUAGGUGCUAUUAGGUUUUUAGUUUUUUGAUCUACUCAUUGAUUACUAAUAGUUUUUGGAUCAAAUACUAUUUCACCUACCAUCAUCUAUCACCAUCAUUUCAACCAUACAUUUUUCCAUCCAAAGAUUAAAAAUUUAAAAGCACCAGCUUUUUAGUACUUUUGAGAGUAUUCUAGUUCAACUUUAUAUUGAGACAUUCCGACUGACGGUUUAGCCAGCAAAAGGUAAACCGGCAGAAGAAAUCGGCUGAUAAAAAAAUGUAAACUUAUUAUGUCCAACUUUAUUAGUAUAUAUAUUAAUUUUUUAUAUUUUGUUGACUACCUCAGUGUGAGCUUUUUGAGCAUGAGGGAUAGAAGAAGACUAGAAGAGAAAAGGUACGGUAGAAUCGAGUUUAUAAAACUAGAAAAAUACUACCUUUACAUUUUAUAUAGGAAAUACAUCUUACACUCUUGUAUUUCAGGAUUGAUAAAUUUUUGAUAAAUUUUUUUUUUUAAAAAAAGACAAGUAAGAUAAUAUAGAUAAUAACAAAGAAGCCAGGGCGUAAAAUUUACACCUAGACUACAAGCUAGGUGCAUGUAUUGGUAUAGUAUUACUCAUAAAAGAUACUAGUAGAUCUGGAUGGGGUUAGAUACUAUUCAUAAAAUUAAAUGAAGAACUAAUACCACAGGUGGGGUUGGGUACUAAUACUAUUCACAAUCACAAAAUUAUAAUUUUUUAAAAUAUAAUAUUAAAUUGAAGUGACUAAUUAAUAGUUAAAACUUGAAGAUCUUUAAGAAUUGAAAAGACAAAAUAACUUACGCCAUUAUCUUCUGNUAAUGUUCGAGGGAGAGCUUACUUCCAUUGGGUGACAAGGGAACAGGGCUCCUUUGGUUGGUUUAAAGGUGUAAUGGAUGAUGUCGCAGAGAGUGACCACAAUGUGAGUCCUCCGUUUAAACUGUUUUCCUGUUUAGUCUUUCUAACCUUGCCGUUCCUCCUAAGAGGGUUGUUGAUGAAUGAUAAAUUUGAAUAUUUUGCAGCACAUUAUAGAAAUGCACAAUUACUUGACUAGUGUGUAUUUUGAAGACAAUGAAAGGUCUGCUUUGCUUGCAAUGGCUCAGGAGCUUCGGCACGCCAAAAAUGGUGUCAACGUUGUAUCAGAAAGCCGGGUAAAUACUUGCUAAAAUUAAAUGAGAACACACUGGCAAAAAAAAAAAAGUAUAUUUUAUAAACUUAUGCCUUUUUUUUACUACAGAUAAGGUCACAUUUCGGAAGGCCAAACUGGAGAAAGGUGUUUUCUAAUUUGGCCAAUGCACACAAGUGCUCUCUUAUAGGUAUGUGCCACCACAAACGACUCACUUCAUAUGGGAAGAAAUAAUUUAAUCUUUACUACAGUGGGAGUAGCAUUCAUGAUUCAGAUGGCUAUAUGUAUAUGAGUAUCGUAUCAUGUUUUGCAGGCACAUGGCUUCGAGUAGACUCAAAAAUCUAUUGUUAAUUAUCUCCAUGAGAUUGGGACACUUUCGAUUAAGAGACCUUCAUAAUGUUAAUGAAAACGGCUAUAGUGAUUUGUAUUAUGGUAGCACCUUAGUUAUAUGUGCUAAAGCGUAUAAAGUGAUUAAGUCCUAAUUAUAUGUGCUAGGAUAAAAUGUUUGAUUUCGUUGAGCUACGUGUAUGUUUUAGAGCUCAGUUGGGUCCCACCCUAAGGUGAAUGAUUGACCAACUACUAAGUAUAUGCCAAGGAUUAAGUUGAGUUUGAUUUAAGGUUGACCGGGAAGUAGAUCAAGACCUGGUCGAUAUUAGACUCAAGGGCGCAUUCGGUUCAAAAUUGGAAUCUGAAUCGAAAUUGAUCGGAAUCAGAUAUAGAAUGAUAUUUUGGGUUAGAAUAACAAUUGGAAUAAUUGAUUCAAAUUUUUAUUGCUUGGUUGAGACGAAGAAAAUUUUGGUUAUAAAAAAAACUAAAAUAAAAUUGAAAUUAAAAUAUAAAAUAUAAAAUUAAAUUUAAUUGACUUCACAACUUAAAAUAUAGAAUUACAUUUACAAUUUAAAUUCAAACUAAAAUUUAAAUAUUAAAAAUUAACAUCAAAAUUUUGGAACGAUAAGCCAAAAUUUAAAAUGUAAAUAUUUUUUUAAAAAAUUAAAAGUUAAAAUUGAAUUUAUAAUUCAAAAUAUAAAAUUAAUUUACAAUUUGAUAAACUUUAAACUUACAAUUUAAGGUUAAUUGCAUACAACUUGUAAACAUCGCGAAUUGCAAUUCUAUCUCUACGAAGUUCGAUUUUCUUAUAUUAUCCCUGCAAAAGUCCAGUGAUAUUCAUAUGUCCCUCUGGUUUGUUAUCGUUAAAGAACUGUUUAGUUUUUAAUAGCAGAUAAGUGAAAUGUCAAUUUUGACAUCACAAAUAUAUCCCUCCAAAAAUUUCAACUAUUACAAUCGUGUAGAAAUAUCUCUCCGAAAAAUUUUCAAUAGUUAUCUUCUUCCUCAUCAUCUUUCUUUUUAAAAUUCAAUCUAAGAGUUCUCAUUGCUAAAAUUUUGAUUGAGAUACGAAGGUGUAAUAUAAAAUAAUUAAAAUAUCAAUUUAUGUUAUUGACUAAUCAAGAUUAAGUGUUUUAUCUAUAGUUAAUUAAAGUUUUCUAAUGAAUCCUAACGAUAAGGAUGUAUUUAAAAAUAUUUUAACUUUUAUAAAAAUAAUAUAAGAAAGUUAGAACUUUGUAGGAAUAUAUUUAUAAUUUUGUUAUUUUUAUAGAAAGUUAUAUGUAAUUAGUCUUUUAAAAAUAAUAUAAGAAAUAAGUUAGAACUUUGUAGGAAUAUAUUUAUAAUUUUAUUAUUUUUAUAGAAAGUUAUAUAUAAUUAGUCUUUUUUCUUUUUUUUGAGAGAUAAGUAGCACGCUACCCGUUUCGUUUAUUUCAUUUAAAAAUAAAUUUAGCUGGAAAUGUGAAUCAAUAAGAAUUCGAACUUAAAAUUUUAGAUACUAACCAUCAAUUUUUUUGCCACUUGUUCUAGGGACAGAUCAGUACAUGUAAUUAGUCUUAGAUUUAAAUAGGAGUAGUUACACAUUGCAUCUCGAGAAAGUAUCAUUUAGUGUUAGUCAAUAAAGUUAUUCAAGUUAGAAAAAUAUUUUAUUCACCUUCUUUUAUUUCACAAUAAGCGCAAGAUCACGUGAUCGUCCAAGCCGGUCUCCGCCACCAAGUGUUAGUCAACAAAGCUAGUCAUUAUUAGCUGAAUUUAAGUUAUUUAAAUAUUAUUUUAUUCCACAGAAAGAAUUAGAGGAUUCCAAUAUUUCGAUCAAAUGAUAUUUCAAUUCUCAGUUUCUAAGAUCGACACAUCAAAUUUGGGUAAGAACUACAGUAUUGUUGUAUUAUUAAUUAGCUUGUAUAUUUCGAUACAUAUCUACUUUGGUUUUUGGUUUUAUUUUGUUCUGUUUUGUUUUUUUUUUUAAAUUAUUGUAGGUGGCUUGCAUCAUUAGCUUGUAUUUUCCGACUCAUAUCUACUCUGUAGUUUUUAUCCUUUGUUAGGUGGCUAAUAUCUUUGCCCACAACAACUACAAACCUAAUAUAUAUAUAUAUAUAUAUAUAGAGAGAGAGAGAGAGAGAGAGAGAGAAUCCUGCUAUAAUACUAUCAUAGCACCAAAUAUUUUAUAGUACCAAGUUUUUCACUGUUAAAUUAUUUUUUUAAUCAUUUUCAUCCGUUAGAUCAUACUAUUCAACUUUAGAGGACUACUAUAAUUCUAACCGCAUAUUGCUUCACCCAAGGCCGAAAGUUUAAUAGUACCAAUAUAUAUAUAUAUAUAGAGAGAGAGAGAGAGAGCAGGACUGCUGUGCUCUAAGGAGCACGAAGGCCCCUGUGCUCCUGAGCCAUUUUCGAUGAUGGAAUUUUCGAAUCGACGAUCGGCUCCGUUAGACUUGAUCUAGCGUAUUUGAAGUUUCUAGAAAAUAAUUUUUACGAUUUUUUGAUAUCAUUUACCUAACAAUUAAAAGGAUUCAAAAUCAAUAAUUUUUAACGGCUGAAAAUAAAAAUCCUAUAAAAAGUGGUGAUAUAGCACUAAAAUUUUCUAUCAGAAAUAUUGAUUUUGUUGUAGAUAGUAUAAAGAAUUUUGUAUCAAAAUUUCAUCUGAUUUGAAUACUUCUACACCAUUAAACUUGAAAACGACAGAUAUCAACUAUUAAAAACUAUUGAUUUUGAACCCUUUCGAUCACUAGGUAAAUGAUAUAAAAACAUCGCAAAAAUAUUUUCUAUAAACUUCAAAUACGCUAGAUCGAUUCUAACGGAGCCGAUCGUCGAUUCGAAAAUUCCAUCAUCGAAAACGGCUCAGGAGCACGGAGGCCUCCGUGCUCCUGAGAGCACAUCAGUCCUGCUCUCUCUCUCUCUCUAUAUAUAUAUAUGUAUAUAUAGUCCGGCUAUUAUAUUCUUAUGAAUUUAGACACCUUUAUAUCCAUAAGUUUUUGACCGUUAGAUAUAUCCGUUUGGUAAUUUCAAUCCAUUAGAUCAUAAUAUUCAAUCAACAACUCACUCAACUCUAGAAAAUCACUAUCAUCCUAACCGCAUAUCCCUUCAUCCAAUGGCCGACAAGCUAUGAGUACAAAAGAGUCUAUACUUAUAAGAGUAUAGUAGCCCUACUCUCUCUCUAUGUAUAUAUAUUAAAAAUAUUUCAUAAAUAUAUAUAAUAAUAUAUAUUACAUAUUAUAAUUAUAUGUAUAUAAAGUUUUAAUUAUCGGGCAUAUUUGUUGACCCACAAAAUUAAACCAGUAAAAAUCUACUCUAAUUUCUUUUUCUUCCUCUUUUUUACUUGCUCGCAUAGCCGCUUUUCCUGAAUUAUUUUUUCUUAAUAUUAUGAUACUGUAUUCAUGCAUUUGUUUUGUAUGUUGAAUUAUUAGAUAUAUUUUUAUUAAAUAUUAAAUAAUAUAUAUAAACAUUAAAUUAUAAAUUGCAUGACAUUGAGAAUUUCAAGCGGUUUGUUUAGAACUCGAGCUCACUUGAUUUGAAAUUAGGCUUGCUCGAGCGAGCUCGGCUCGAAUUAGUUUCAAGCCAAAUUAGAAGUGAGAUAAGCUCCCUUAAGUUUGGGUCGUUUUCAACCCUAGCUAGAAACGGAAGGUUGGCAAUAGUAGCAGAAGAACUACAUUACAUAUAAUAGGAGACAAUGAUAGCGAACGCUACACAAACUAUCCCACGCACACGCCUCUGUCCUCGUAGUGUGGCAGGUUAGUUAUAUGGAGCUUAGCCCACAACAAGCGUAACUCAUUAUUGCAGAGCCAUUGGGUUCUGAAAGCAAAAAGAGAUACGAAGCAAUCGACAGGAGAAAGAGGCGAAGCGAGUGUGUGUGAGAGCAAGCUAUAUAUGUUUUGUUCAGAAGAGCCAAGGAUUACCCGUUGAGCAAAUUGUAGAAUUUCUAUUUCUAAAUGGAGAGAAAACACUCCCAUGAUUUUCCAUGUAAGUCAUUGUUCUAAAUAAGGGGCUAAAAUUCCUUUUAAGCUAGCCCACAAAAAAGAAGGGACAUAAAAGAGUUUACAUCAAAUCAAUCAAAAAAGAAAAGAAGAGAAGGCCAACCAAGUAGAGCCCUAUUCCUCAUGCUUUCUUUCUCUUCCACUUGAGGAAGAUUUGGAGGGAAAGUCCUGUGAAGACCAUAAUAACACUUCCCCACUGCUUCAAGGAUAAGGGAUUGCUGCUUAUUACGGAGGACACGACGAUGCUCAUGAAUUUGCGAGUGGUGGUAAUUGUCGUGUUGGUCAGGGAACCAAAGCGGCUGAUUGUUAGGAAGAUGAAGUUUUGCCCAACAGCCCCACAGAGGCAAAAUAGGAAGAUGUCCCACGCUACCUCUGGAUUCUCCCUGCAAAAUUUCAAUGCCUCGAAACCGUUUGCAUAGGGCCAGUUCGCAAAAAAGAAUGGCCCGCCAAACAUGAGUAGAGCAUUGUAUACGGUGCCCCACAAAUUCAUUCCCAGCAUUAUAUCCCAGGGAUUAGUCUUUGGGUACCUGUCAGAGAGUGAAAAAAAAACUUAUAUUUAGGCUCUUUAUAUGUGGUUAACUGUAACAAUCAGCAUUUGCUAAUAUGGUAUAUAAAAGGUGAAAGAAGAAGCAUGGAAAUAACCUUGAUUUUAUUAAAUCCUGUGUGGAAUUUGUAUAACCAUCAAAUGCUAGGUUGAGAAAGCAUAGCCCAUAACCAAGAGGAGCAUUCGGGUGAGCGAGCUUCCUUAUAGUCUUUGAGCUGGUCUGUAAGUUUAAUCAAGCAAUCAUCAACUCAGAUUUAUGCAAUUAAAUGCUGAAUAGAUAAUAUGUAAUUCCAAAUGUAGAAAUUGGAUAUGUCAUUAUGUGAUGUGGGACUGCCAAAUGCUUUUGGACUAGAAUAGUGCAUACAUUGCCUUCCAUAAGUUUUAAGUCCUCAUAAACAGAAGAAAAUGGAAUUCUAACCUUUGAAAGAGCAAAUGCAGAUACCCCUCCAGCAACGAGGAAGGAGCAAAUAUAUUCAGGUAUUGUGUAUUUGACACCAUACAAUAGAGUCCCCAUCAACAUUACUGCGUGUACGCAUUAAAAAGUUGGUUAGUCAGGAGAAUCUUCAGCUGGCAACUGCUUACUGCAACGAGUUUAUUCAGAUGGAAAGAAAUAUAUUAUUCUUCAAUCCCCUUCCCAAAGCUAAAGUAGCAUCAUUAGUGCUAUAAAAAUAAGUUGUGGAACUUCUGUCCACAGAAAACCUAAGAGCUGAUGGAAUAGCCUAUGUAAGCAGUUGUAUUGAUGUCAUCAGACUUUCAUGACAUCGAUUUUAUAUGCAUAAGAUAUUGCUUUAUGUCACAAGAAGAUCAAUCUAAGAAUGACUGCAUCACCUCCCAACAUUCUGCAAGAAAAGAAACUUUGCUCGACCAUUAUGAGAGUGUAAUAUGAAAGCAUCAAAUUUAUAAUUACUGUCAUGGAAUGCAUGAAUAUAAAAUAGAGUAACUGCAACAACAGUGCUGCUCUAGGAAUGUUCUUUAUUUCACAGGAUUAGGUAUCCUGCAGUUAAAUGUGUACCCAGUUAAGACAGUAGGUAUUAUAUCGGCCUCUCUCUCCCCCAAAGUGGGAGAUAGAAUGAAACUGGAAUCUUAACUCAUUCAAUCACUCAUAUGCACCUUACAUAACAUAAUAUUUUGCUAACGAUGCAUAUUUAGUGUGCUGUAGGAACGUACUAUGUUGCAAGAUACAAGAUGGCCAUUUUUGGACUUUUACAGCAACUACUGUUCAGAAAAGAGAGGAUACCCCAGAUGUCCUGAAGGAAAACAGGAUAAAACAAAUAAAACAAGGAAAAUGCAAAAUUUUUAAGCUGCUGAUGUGCGAAGCUGCCCAACUCUACUUGGGGAUCGUUAGAAAAAAAAUGAUUCACAACAGCAGCCUACUUAUUGCAAGAAAAGAGCAGAGUGUAAACUGUUUUCAGGUUGUUAAUUUCAAACCUUCUAUUUCAAUGUUUUAUAUCUUCUAUUUGUCUUUAGUCUGUAUUUGAUUUAACCAUGUAAAUCACUUGUAUGGUGCAAGUCCUUUACAUUAUAUCUAUAGACUAGGGGAACUGCAUGACCUAAAGGAUAUUGUCUGGGAAAAUAAUUAGAGUGGUUUUCACUUGAGCGCAUUAUAUGAUGUCCGAAAAGAGAGAUGUAAGAGAGAGAAUAGUUAACUCACCAGGUAUCAUCUUUGAAGAUUUAGCCAGCACCUGUAUACAUAUAGAACAAACAAGUAUGUAAAGAACAAGCAAUAGAGAGAACACAGAGAUAAAUUGAAAUUUCCAGAAAAUGGCAAGUAAAAACCCUUGUAUCUAUUUAGUAGCACAUUUAAACAAAUCAGAUCUUCCUGUUGCUCAACCAUUAAAGGAAAAGGAAGACUCCAAUAUUAAAGUAUCAUACCAGUAGCACCUCAACAAACUCUCAACAUGUGGCAAACAAACAAUCAAGCCGACAAAGCUGAAGCGUAUGACUUAUGCUAAACUCUUCUAGAUACCAAUACAUGAGUCGUAACCAUUGUCAAAAAGAAUUUGCUUCUAUCAUAGACACUGUUUGGUUAGGAACGAAAAGAGAAAACUCAAAUCCUCCAAUCUAUUUGCCAAAAGUAGUAAAAGAAGAACUUAGAAAUCAUCCUCUACAUCAGAACAGGUAAUUCAAGGAUCAAAGGUACUGUCCCAACUAAUCUGUGGAACCAUUCUGCUACUCAAUUGUUCCUUACGAAAGUAGUUAGGGUCACCAUCUAUAAUCCUUACAGUUAUGCAUGUAAUCAUUACAAUCUCCUAUAAUUCACUGGCUUUCUUCUCAGUUAUAUUGGGAUAGCUAGACAACCUUAAGUAUCAAAGAAAGUAGUUGCGCACAACAUAUAUCAGAACCAAAAUGAGCCACCAAGCAUUUUCUACUCCCGACUACUUUCGCAGCGAAGAAAUCUAAGUCAUUGAUCCACUUCGGAUACAAACAAAGUCGAUUACUAGCGCAAAUCAUCAUAUGCAGACUCAGAAACUCCAAACACACACGAUCUUAACUCAAACAGAAAAGAUAAUAACCACAUAAGCACCUAUACACCAUAGGAUCAUAAAAUGUGGCAUGCAAAGUUGGUUCUUUCCUCCAAACAUAAAACACGCAAUGCUGAUCAAUACCAUCUGAUCUAUUUGAAAGGUGAAAACUCUACAAGAUCUUAAUGACUAAUUCUAAGAACUAUAUGAUACUAGCAUAAUUAUUAAAACCCGAGGACUAAAGAAGCAAAGGAAACCUGUGCCGGGUAGCUAAUGUACUUCAAAGCUUCGAUCCCCAUAGCUGGGCCGAUGGUGUUAGUGAUGCUCACGCCACAAUACUUGAACAGUGGAGCACGUCCUUCGGAGCUCUUCGACCACAGCUUUAUCACUACAAUUAAUAUGAGAGAACACUUUUAACACCUCCACCCUUCUAAAUACACCAAAUUCAAAGCCUAAAUCAGCUUAAAACAGGGCAGGACUUACUUAUAAAAGACCACACGAAGCAAACCACGUUCUGCGCAAAAUUGAGGAAUGCGAGGUGAUCGAACCUCCUCCCAUCCGGUCCAAAUCGCUUGGUGGAUCUGAUCGCGAAAACAAGGCCACAUUAGAAACCCUAGAAGCCGAUCGAGAACCCUAUAUCGCUCAAAGAAGAACCCUACGGCGAAACGAAAGAAGCGAGGUGGGGGAAAGCCGGGAGGGAAAGCUCACAGAGUUUCCUGGAGGACGCCCUGGGUGAUGUAGGCCGACCAGAUUCCCGCAACGCAGAACGCGAGUACCAGGACGCGCUUCAGACCCGAGGCGGCGCCGCCGUGGGCCUCCAUUUUCCCGCGCGAUUUCGCCGGGGAAAACCGGCGAUGUUUUGCGCGACGAGAGGUGCGAUUUGGAAGAGGCGGAUCGCGUCGCGCUCGAGCGCUCGGUAAAGGGUAGGCCAGCGUUAAAUGAGCGGGGGUUGGGGGACCGGUGGAGGGAAGCCACGUCAGAAUCGCCACGUGGAGAGUUGCUAUUGGUGGGUGGGCGGACAGCGAGCUCCUAUUGGUUCGAGGACGUGGUUCCGCGGCGAGAACCGUCGCGCGUCCGUCACGGUUCGAACCGAUCAAACGGGUGUGUGGGCUCCACCCGGCCUACCCGACCCAAUUUAGUAGGAGGGACAGGGCCCAUUGGACCUGUUUGGUAUUUGCAGCAUAAGUAGAGUGUUUGGGCUGAGACUCGAAACAAUCCGGCCCGAAUCAAGGCCAGGCCCGAUCAUGUUCUAUGGUAGGUAAUAAUGUUUACUUCUCAUUUCUAAUCAUCAUUUCUCAGAAUGUUUCAGGAGUUCUAUAAUUUUGGAAUCAUUCAUUCACUAUUUAUUUCUAGAGGUUGGGUAAGUCGACGGUAAUCGGAGGAUAAUUACCAUCCGUCGACCGGGGACAACCGGUUCCCCAACGGCUUAAGGAGGGGCGACGUUUCAUGUGAUUGACCGGAGAGCACACAGCGAGCCUAAUCUCUCUCCCUUCCUCUCCUCUCUCUCUCUCUCUCUCUCUCUCUCUCUCUCUCUACCGAAACGAGAAACUAAAAGGGGGAGAAAAGGAUCGAGAUUCUCGCUAAAGCGGGAAGUUAUUUACUAAUCGACAAAUAUUUGGCGAAUUCAACUGGAUCGUAGGUUCUUCGCCUCUUCGUCCAUUUGAUGCGUUUGGAUCUUACCGUUAUUGGAGGGAUUCUUCGGUUUCAAUCGUAAUUCCAGGUUGAAUUAGGUAUGAUCUUAUUAGUUUCGUUUCGAUUUAUAGAUUCUAUCGAGUUUACAAUGUCAAUUAUGAGAUUUGAUUGUAGAUCUGGGCGAUUUUGGUUUACUAUUGCGAAAUUUUGAUUGGAUUAUGUUCUUAGAUGGGGUUUUCGCCACAUUUUUGGUGUGGUGUGUUCAUUUUGGAUAAGAUCUAAUUUGCUUUGAUCUUUGUUCCGCUGGAGUUAGAUCUGGUACCCAGUUGAGAAGAUUAGAGGAAGCGAUUGUGGAAUUUGGAGGAGGGAAUGGCGAAUCGGAUGAAAGAGGAUGAGAAAAAUGAGAAGAUUAUUCGAGGGCUUCUGAAGCUCCCGGCGAAUAAGAGAUGCAUUAAUUGCAAUAAUCUGGUAUGUUUCCUUUAAUAUGCUAAUUGUGAUUCUGUCUCUGGUAUGUUUCCUUUAAUAUGCUAAUUGUGAUUCUGUCUCUGGUAUGUAUACUUUAAUAUGCUAAUUGUGAUUCUGUCUCUGGUAUGUAUACUUUAAUAUGCUAAUUGUGAUUCUGUCUCUGGUAUGUAUACAUGAAUAUGCUAAUUGUGAUUCUGUCUGGUAACUUUCCAUUUAAUAUGGACUUUGAAAGAAUGAGUGCCAUAUAUGUAAAACUUUGAAAGUCAUACUUUGCAAAUGAGGUAAAACAAUAGUUAGAUUGUUAUUUGCAAACAUUGUUUAGAUUGUUACUAUCAAUUAUUGUAGAAUUGUGUAAUUCAAUACUCUUCUCAGAACAAGAUAAACCAUGCCCUUGUUACAGCUAAAUGGCUGAGACAUGUCCAUGUCAACUUAUAAUACCCUAUAGGAGACUCUCAAACCCUGCGAAGUUUCGGAAAUGAGUAAAUGGAGUCUCACUAAAAUGUAUGAGAUGCUUACAAAUUCUUUACCACCACAAAGAAGUAUAUUCUGAAGUACUUAACCAACAUUGAAAGGAUUCCAUUAUCAUGUUGAAUGGUGACAGCAACUUUUCUUGGCCAAACUUACUAUGCUGUUUAAAUGCCUCUUCGCUUUGUUCAGCUUUUCUUGGGAAAAGCUAGUAUAAUUUUUUAAGAUGCAUGGUCUCGUUUUAGCAGUACUAACAUUAAUAUGUAAAUAGGGACCACAAUAUGUCUGCGCAAAUUUCUGGACCUUCAUUUGUACCAACUGCAGUGGAGUACAGUAAGUGAUACUUGAUUCUUUGAGUUUUUAUUUCCAUUGUAUCUUCUUUAAGUAAGUUUGAUGUACUAUCUGGUCUCCACAGUGGUAAAUGAGAUUUAUCUGGGUGAUGAAAGGAUCUACUGAUUAUAGGACAAUCUUGCGUAAACUUGCUCUCUUUUUUUUCUCUGUUUCUCUCUAAAGAUUGUUAAAUAUUGCAGUCGGGAGUUUACACACCGUGUGAAAUCGGUGUCAAUGGCUAAAUUUACUUCACAAGAGGUUAGUGCCCUUCAAGAAGGUGGAAAUGAGGUACUCUUGGCCAUUCUUUUAUAUCCUGUACAAUUUUAUUGCUUUUGGGGCUAUUGUGUAACACUUUUGGGUUUUUUAUUUUAUUCGACUUACAGCGUGCCAGGGAGAUAUAUUUUAAAGAAUGGGAUCUGCAACGCAACUCAUACCCUGACAGCAAGUCUUUACCAGUUCCUUGUCUUUGACUUUUCUAUAUCCUUGAAAUGAUAUAUUGAUCCUUAUUAAUCCUUUUCUUUUGAUUCCAGUAACAUGGACAAAUUGAGAAGCUUCAUUAAGCACGUUUAUGUGGAUCGAAGAUAUACGGGGGAAAGAAAUGUUGACAGGCCUCCAAGGUCAAAGGUGAUGUCUAAUCGAAUGUUGCAGUUUUUUUUUUUUUAAAUAUUUUUGCUUACUGAUAGUGUGGGAAGUUGCUAAAAUUUUUUGGAUCACCUUGUAUGACUUAACAGAGUGAGAGGGAAAAUUAUGAUGAAAAUAGAAGGCUAGAAUCCUAUAGAGGUGGGUCACGAAGUCCACCAUAUAAUGAUCGUUAUGACAGAGGUUUCAGAUUUGCAUAUGGAGAAAGGAGCCCUGGGUAUGAUCAAAGUGACUAUAGGAGAAGCCCUUGCCACUUCGAGGUGGUAGAUGAUAGGCGCAGAGAUGAUAGUUCAGGCAGUGGGGUCCAGAAUCGAAGGUUUGAAGAUCGUAAAUAUCCAGAAGCAUUGAAACCUGAGGGUGGUUCACCGAAUUAUCAGAAAGAUAUCGAUGGAUCAAGCCCACCAGUAAUACGGCCCGUAAGGGAUAUAUUGGGCGAUGAUGCACCUCCACUUCUGGUUGGAGAGCCUCAUAAAUCAAACGGAACAAAAGCCGGCGAUAAUACACCACAAACCCAGGUGGAUAUUUCUAUUCUUUUAGAACAGAAGUUCUGUAUGGAGCUCCUCAUAGAAGAAUUUGUAAGAAUAGCAGAAGGACGCUUUAUGACAGCCCCUCCCACCCAACAAUAUACUUAUUCCUGAUUUAAAACUUACUUUUUGAGAAAAAGUUGGUUUGGUGGCCUAGGUGGAAAGCAAUAGUUAAAUGAAGAACAUCGAAGCUCCCCGUAUACUAUCUUCUAUAAGGAGCUCCCUGUAAAACUUCUGCUCAUUUUUUGUGGAAUAUCCUUUAAAUUUUGCAAAUUAGUAUAUUCUUUGUUGUAGUUUUCUUCUUUAAUUGUCUUGUUCAUUUUUCCGAAUUCUUGGAUCUUGCACAUUUACUAGUACAUAACAAUAUUGGCAUUUAUAUAGGAUGUUAUUUUUCACAUUUCUUCUUUGUCUUGACUCUUUUGUGAUUCGAACUAUGUUAGAGAAUUUGCCUAGUAGUAUAAGAAAGUAGUAUGGAAUCUACUAAGUAGUGCCCUAUUGAUGCUUGCUAUUGCUCAGUCUUGUUGAGUGGCAACGCUUUCUAGAGGUUGGCACGGGAUUAUCUCUCUGUUGCAUAAGUUGCUAAUUCUUCUAUCAAAGUAGUGCUCUAUUGAUGCCUAUUGUUGGUAAAAGCGUUAAUCCUCUACUAUGUGGGCUUCUUGUUGGAAUCUGCAGUAGAAGUAUUCUAUCGUUGACUUAUCUGAUCCGUGGUCUCGUUCUCCACAAAUAUGGGUAGACUCUAUGUAUUCUCUGAGUAAUGCAGUAGUGAUUAGUGGAUAUGAAAACCGUUUAAGUACUAGUAGGAUGCUUCAAUUUGGUAUGUUAGUACAACCUCCACUUAUUCUUUAUUCCCAAUUUGACCACAUGAAUGUCUUUCAUGCGAUGCUGCUUCCUUGAACUGCAUUUUGUUCUUAAGAAAUUGUAAUUCUUUUAACUAUUUAGGCCCUAUAAGUGCUUUGUCCUUAUAAGUUCUACAAUCGCAGAGGACUUCUUCCCCAAGCAGCAUCGAAUCUGCUGAAGGGAACUCCACCCAGCCAAAGGUGGAAAAUUCAGUUAGUUUGAUUGAUUUCAGUGCGGAUCCUGAUCCACCUGUUGCAGCACCACCACCACAACAGCAACAACAAGCUCCUCAACAAACCAAUUCUCCGUCAACUAAUGGUGGUGAGUGGGCAGCUUUCGAUGCGUUCGGUCAGCAGAAAGCUCCUCAAGUGGCUUCAAGUUCAAACCCUCUGGAAUCUGCACUGGCACAAUUAUCUCUUCCAGGAUCUACAUCUACUGUGAAUACUUCAACAAUGCCUGCUCCUGUUGAUACUGCUCCAAAAACUAAUGAUGGAGGGCAGUUGCCCGUGACCCGACAGUCACAGUCUUCACUUUUUCCUGGUGCAGUUAACCAGCCUUCAGAGUUAUUCUUUGAUGCACCUGCUGCUGGAGUUCCCAACGAGCAGGUAAAUACAUUUCAGGUUUAUGCAGAUGGCAUGCACAUUUAUCUAUAUACACCACCGUACUUCAAAAAUUGUCCUACUUCUUGUAUUAGAUGACCUCAACUUAAGGGCAUUUUUGGUAAGAAACAGCAAUUCAGAGUUCCCAAGGAAAAGGCUGUUUUAAUUGUUGGGAAAAUAUAUGUGAAGGCCCCAAUAUAUUUUGCUAUCGCUAGUGCCUUAGGAAUAGGCUCUGUUAAUUUAUAAGGUGUUACUUUCUGUUCCCCUUUCAGCUGCGGAGUUCAUCGGUGGAACCAAGCAUUCAGGGACCUUCUUUAACUACAGCACCUGUCCCAGCUGAUACAGUGGAUGCCAAUGCAUCUCAUAUUGCAAAAAGACCUCCUCAAGAAACUAGUGUAAUUUCAACACAACCAGCUUCCAUGGGCAGUAAAUCUACUGGAAGGAAAGAACUUCCACAGGUACCAUAAGUCAUACCGCUGCUCGUGAACUACAUUUUGGUGGAAUCAUUGACAUUUAAUACAUGAUAUGUCUGCAGGAUUUUUUCACUUCGCUUUAUCCUUCAUCAGCUGCAUCGCUGCCAGGCUGGCAAAGAGGCCCACUGCUUGGAAUGGGCUAUGCCAUGCAAUAUCCUACUGCAGUCGUAUGUUUUGUUUUUUUGUUUGAAAGAAUAUAAUAAUAAUCUCCUAUCUGUUUUUCGACUCUCUAAACAUGUGUGACCAGAAUUUCAUUUUCCAGGCAAUGCCAACAUUACCUCAGCCAUCAAAAUCUGUUAAUCCAUUUGAUCUUGCAAGUGAGCCAGCUACAAUUCAGGCUCCCAUGGUAUGCAAGCCUUUCAUCCUUUUACUGAUGUUAAAUUGCGUGAGAAUUUAGCAAGAGGUUAAUGCCCUCAGUUUGAGUAACCAAUAGAAAUCUUGGUCCUUCUUGCUUAUCUUUUUUCUUUUUUCAUUUUGUUUUCUCUUCUGUUUAUAAAAUUUGAUGUUCUCCUUCAUGCUUAAAUCAGUUUCCAUCGAUGACAUCUCUGCAAGGGGCAUUACCAAACUUGCCUGGUCAGCAACCUUUAGUCCGCACCUCCAUCUUUGAAGGGGGUUCUCCACGAUGGGUGCCCCCACAACCACUCACCCACCAAAUGUCUUAUCCCUCGGCCAUGCCUCCAGGUUUCACUUUUGUAAUAGUUUGAUUUUGUUUGUUCUCCAACAAUUUUUAGGCUUAUGUUUUUAAUUUUUGAGUCAAAAUGUCAGGCCAUUACAUGAUGCACCAGUUUCCAAAUAACAUGCCCCAGCAAGCUCCUAACAGUGUAAUGCCUGUCCUGUAAGUUCUCUUACGAGCUUAUUAUUUUUUUGAGCUAAUUAAGAAGCAUAAAAUACUGCCAGAAUGCUAUUUCCCGACUUAUUGAUCAGGUUACUUUUUUAAAUGCAACUAAGAACGCCGCACUGUUAUUAUCCUAAUUUACGUGGAAUUAAUUAUUCUCUUCAAUCUCCUUUUGUAUUAUUGCAGGCAACAAGGACCGUUAGGCCCCAGCAAUGAGGUAAAUGCUUUUGGCACUCCAGGGAUGGAUCAACAUUCAACCGCCGGAUACUCCCAGCCAAGCACCCCAAAUUCUUUCAGCUCUGUUGGAGGAAACCCCUUUGGAUAGAUCAAUACACAAAAUAGGAAGUAAAUUAUCAUUUAUUUAAUUUUAUUUGUGCUUAGCAUCUUUACCAUUCGUCAAACCAAGGGCUUGCCAUCCUGGAGGUUUUUUUGUCUAGUUGCUUUACGAACUGAAGAGCGAAAUUUGUUGUUUCGUUGUAGCUGGUUUGUGAACUGUGAAGAGAAGGGGUCUAAUUAUCACCUAUUCUUGGGGAAAAGGAGCCAUCUGAAGGGGUAGCUGGUAGUUGUGAAACGCCUAUUGAUGUAAAUUACUAUUUGUUACGAAGCAUGGCUAUUCUUAUAUAGCCCUGCGUCGAAGAAGAGUGUGUGGUCCUUCCUAUACAUAAGUUGGAAACUGUUGAGGUACUGCACUUUAUUCUGGGCUUGCUAUUUUCUGUCUUCCUGUAAGUGUGUUUGAUUCGGGUUUGCGGGAAACACCAUUUAUUUCUUUUCACUGUGAUGGGCUUUGUAUUACAUGAGAAUUAUAUUCAUACAUGUAGAGUGAAAAAUAAAUAUGAUAAUUCUUUUGAGUUAUUCUCUCUAUAUGGCUAUUACUACAUUCUUUUUGGAGAAUUUCCUUUGCCUCUCCUCUGAUUUUAUACUUGUUUAUUGGAUUAUUCAUGUUUAGCAUAUCUGCAUAUUUUGUUUGACCUAACCAUGCAAUAUAUAGUGUUGCUAGUAUUCAAAAUACUGUAAUACCUGUUUAAUUGGAUAUGUAUUAUGUAGUACUGCAGUACAAAAUCUUCAAGCCAACGAAGUUACUUCGCGAGACUCAUAAUCACUGUCUUAUGGAUCUUUCCCUAACAUCUCCGCCGACAAUUUAGUUCUCAGUUAUCUACAAAUAUUUUGUGCUUACACUAAAUACAAUGAUGCAUUUGCUAUAUAUGGGGAAAAUUUUACACAGUCGAAGCUACCCAGAUGAAACUUCUUUUGCCCUGAUAACUGGUGAAGCUCUUCGGCUGAGUUGUAUUGAUUUCUUUUGUACACUAAAAUAUGCUGAUGUGGAAUUUAGAGUAUGUGAUCUGCAUUCGUUUUGAGCAUUACUACGUCGACUCAACCUGCCUUCGAUUCUUCCAAACAAGGGGAGCAACCAGCAUCCAAACUGCAAAUAAAAACAUCAUAGCAUUCUUUUAUUGGCCAAGAGUAAACAUCUUAGUAUUCUAAUUUUCUUCUUUGUGUGUCGUGUAGAUUAGUGACUCUCUAGUUUGGUUUAGAUAGCUGCUUGAUUCCACCUUCUUUUUGUAGAUUAAGAUAAAUUUGGGUUGUGUACUCCUUUGGAUAGCUCUUGUGUGCGGAUACAAGUUUAUACUGUAUAUGGUUGUGGGGAUACAAUCGUACAAGCCCACAUCCCAGCGGCAGCGCUGAGUGGCGGUGGCGAUAGUAUUAAUAUAUCUUUUAGAAAAUUUAGUAUAUAGCUAAACAUUAAUACGGAUUAAUACAUACCGUACACAACCGAAGCAAGCCAUUCGUUCACAAUCCUGACCCAUGUACUGGCCCAUCCGACGUCUAUUGUCCAUCUGUGAAAGCCAGAUAUAAGCAGCGUAUAGUGUAGUAAAGAAUGGAACAAAAGAAAUGUUAGUGCGCAUGAAAAUCUAAAUACAGAUGUGAGAUAUCUCAAAAGCAAAUAAAGAAGUCUGGAGCCAGACUUCUACAGGAGACUUGUUGAAUUUGGUUGAAAAAGAAUUUAUUCACAAAGUUCAAGGAUAUGAUCGUUCAAUUUAUAGAAAUUGAACGCAUGAGAAGAAAUGCGCUAACUUGUUAUAGCCCAGCAAGCAAAUUUUUCCUCUAUAUAUAACUUGAAAGAUCAAUAUUCGAGUUCAAUGAGAUGUGAACUUACUUUUGCAUGGUUUUAUGUGCAUUCCACCCAAUGAAUAGCAUUGCAAAAUACAUCGCCCCCAUGGCAAAGACAAAAUGGAAGAAGCCGUAUCCAUAGGGAACAUCAUCCUCUGACUCUGUUUCAGCUUUCGUGAACUGCAUAUGUUGGAUUUCAAGUCGUGAAGUGAUUGGUGAUGAAAGCCAAUAUUUUAACCUUUGAUAACUUACCUGAAAGCAUUUGGAAUCGAUUCCUGUUGAAAAUGUUGCCAUGACUAUGGCAAGCACAGCAAUAACGAAGCUCUGCAAGGAAUGAAGAUAUGAACAAAUGAAAAAUAGGAGGAAGGAAUAUGUAUUUACAAGAUAUGCAAGUAGUCCUUAGGUCAAGCACAGCAGCUUGAUAUAAGAUAUAACGGCAUUGUCUAUAUGACUGGCUAAAAGAUUAUGCAGAAGACAUGACUAUCAUGAGACAUCAAUGGUGCUCGGAGAAGUAUUUUUCUUUUUGAAGUUCAACUCCUAGAAAUUAAUAAGGCAUUUCAUGAUUAUCUUGUCCAACACCUCAAAACAACUAAAGAUUUCCUGAGAGAAGUAAAUAAGAUUUCUUGAGGAUGUAAUUACCACAAUAGUUAACCAGUCUGCAUUUGUUGCAGCUUGUGCUUUCUUGUUACAGAUCUCUGUCUGUGGCUCACUGGCAUGGAUACAAAAGGGGAAGAGAAUAAAAACCAUAGUAGUGCUAAUAGGUGACGGGCUGCUAAAGAAGGCCAGAAAACGCUUAGUAAUUGGAGAAUAUCUUUUCCCCAAGAAUAACCCUUACACAAUCUAUAUACAGAAUAAGCCCGAGUAAAAUUAUUUACAACGCUGACCCUCUAUCUUGCUACGUUUAUGCCACAUCAGUGCAGUAGAGGAUUCAGUCUUUUCUCAUGCUAAACAUGGCUUUCUAAACACUGCGAAAAAGGCCUAUUGCACCAACAUGUUCCCUAUAUAAGUAGCAGGAAGAGCGUCACUUUUUUGGAAAUUCUUUUUUGCACCAGAUCAUUUCAACAAAUCAAUUUUUAUGUAUGCUCAUUUUGGGAAAAAGGCCCUUAGACAAGUAUCCCAGAUUGGAGUAUUUUAAAGUAAAUGCAAAACCAAACGUUUGAGAAUAGAAAGAAGGUUACCUUCUAAGAGCAGACCAGCAAAGAAAUACGACAUACAAUCCCAUUAUACCUGGUGCAAGGAAUCCUGCUUUCACCUAUUGCGAUAGAUAUGAUUAUAUUAUAAGUUCUGUUUAUAAUUAACAGAGCCUGAAGUGAAGACUUAUUGGUUCGUUUACCUUCGAGUGAAUUGAGACAAAAGUCAUGAGUUGCAGAAGCCCCAGUGUCAAAGUGAUAAAGAGGAUGUUAAGACUGCAUGAUGGCUUUGGUGCAUACCAUAUGUACAUCAAAACAAUUCCGACAACGGAUGCGAGAUAAGUGGUUAUACAAACAACCAACACUUGGAUGCGGCUGCAUGAUAUUUACAGUCAUUGUCACAUUAGACAUUUAACAAAACGGUGAUGACUACAUUGUAGAUGUAUCGGCACUUACGUCAUAACUUAUGCAAGCUGAGUAUGGUGCAAAUAAUUCUAUUUGUUGAUGUUUGAAGAUCAUAAUAUUUCUUUUGAAACUCAAAUUAUCUAGUGCAAUCGUAGAAGGGCUGCAUUAAGAAUCUUCACCAUAUUUUUCAUCAAAAAUUUGCUUUAUGUAACUUAACAUUGUCAACGUAACUAAAAAAGAUGGAAAAACAACUGAGUACGUUAAAAAACAAAGCAUCUCAAUGCAGUUUGAGUGAAUGAAAUUAAGAACAUACCAUCUUUUUGCAAUUUUCUCUGUCCGGCAACAGUCAUUGAGCCAAGUUAUGAAGCUGAUCACACUGAUCAGUUGAAUUAGAAGAAAUACCCUGAUAAAUAAUAAAGGGAUUGAGGAUACAGCAGAAACAAGAAAUGGACUAAAGAUAGGAUAGAUUGAAGGUUGAGCCUUGAUACCCACCCAGCACCAAAGUGUGCAAUUUUCCCUGUGAAAUGCCAAAAAACUAUUCUCAACAUAAACAAAUAGUGGGACCAUAGACAGUUACAGAGUUCAAAACAAAGACUAACCAUAAAGCUGGAUAAAUGCCGAGGGUAUAAAAAAUGGAAUAACCAUGAAACUGAGCCACAUGAUUAUCUUUGCUGGCCACCAUUCAGAGUGCCAUGAAUUGCGUGGAUCGUCCACCUUCUUCGUGUUGACAGUUGAGAGGAACAUGGCAAAGAAGAACAGCUAAGUUCUCAAUUGAGGAUCAGCAAAUUGCAUUUUGUGGCUGUGACUUUAGACUAGAUUUAUAAAAUAUAAUUUCUGACAAAAAAGCACGAAAAGUUUAAGUCUUUUCUAUUCCCAAGGCAAUGAAAUUGACAUGCUGUGUCUGUUUGCCAUGACAUUUGGAAUAGUUACGUUCUCUACGAAUUAAUAGUUAUUCAAAUGGCAAACGAAAUAUUUGGAGUUUUCAUCAUGAUAGAAGCAAAAUUGAGCUUUUGUAAUCCAAAGGCAAAAGCUCCAAUGAACUUUUGAUGCCGCCAAAAACUGUUUGGAAGGAUAUCAAAUUGUUGCAUGAAAUGACUGUUACAAAAUGCAUAAAAAAGGAUACAAAACAGCCAAAGCUAAUGCGGAGCACGCCCUCUGCACCCAAACAGUAACGAGCACCAUGGCAACCUUUUAGUCCUGCAUUAAUCAGACUAUAACAUGAGUAAGUGCUUGUUUGGCAUACCUCCGCUUCAGAUUCUCUAAAUUCUUAAACUGGACUCGAGAUUUUUUUUCGAUAGAAUUUAAUAUAUGGACUUGAAUUAAAUGAGAGUAAAAUAAACAAGAGUAAGAGCCUGAAAAAACUUAGAAUCCCCUGCGCUAACGCCAUGUCAAGUUACUAUUUCUCUUUAGAAAUUUAAGUUGCUAGAGCUUGACAUUUAAAUACUCCAUGCCUCGAGAUUUUAAGAAGUAUUGCAUACUCUGAAGCUCAGAGAGCGCGGAGUGGCCGUAGUCACGGAUGGUCCAAGCCAAGAGGUUGGUGACGAGGAAAAUGAGGGCGUAGACGUAGCGGGCCAUGGAAGGGUUGGGGCCGAGGCAGAAGUGGGUGCAGCACGAGUCCUCCAUAAACUGUGCAUACCUCUCUCUGCUGCUCACUUGAUGCUCCAUCAUGCUCUCGUUCGUCAUGAGUCAAAAAUCACAUGCACGCUCUCCGCAUUCACCGGCUAAAUUAUAUACCACACGGCCCCAAGACUCUUCUCUCCACUUAGAAUGUUUUUUUUUUUCUUUGCUGUUAAGAGAUGCAACAAAAUGUAAAUGUGCUUCACAGAAAUGAUGUUGGCAAAUCAAAUACAUUGCGUUUUUGAGAAUUAACAAGAAUAGCAUGAUUAAUGAGAAAAAUUUGAGACGGAUUCAAUAGCAAUAUCCUCGUACAGUAAUACAUGUACAGGUGUGACUAAAGAACGAAAAUACAUAAGAACAUCUCUGUGUAACUAGCCCCUCAUCAAGAAACUUACAAGUUUGCUAGUUCAUCAUUCUGAGCCUGAAACUUUCUUUUCCUUUUUUAUUCCAUGAAGAAAAAAAAAAAAAAAAAACAGUGCUAAUACCAUAUAAGAAAUGCUUGUAUUUUAUUCUUAAUUAUGGGAAACAUUAACACCUUUACCGAAAAUAAAUAAAAAAUUAGUAAUAAACAAGUGUUUAAAUCUAACCGAUUCGGUUUCAGAAAAAGCAACGAGAAAGAAAGAACCACAAAAUCCUAGCUAAUAACACUAACUUAUACGUCAAAAACCGAGAGAGAUGAGAGUAAGUUUAAGCCCCACGAGAAAUCCAUGAUGGUGUGUUACGCUAGCUGCUGAAUAACUUCGUAGGCUUUUUACCGACCGUCCCUAGAGCAAGUGGCAAAGGGCUUGAUGGUUGUUACCCGAUACCCAAAUUUGAAUCCUAGUUGAUUCACAUUUUUAGCUAAAUUUAUUUCUAAAUGAAAUAAACAAAACGGAUAACGUGCUAUCUAUCUCUCAAAAAACUUCGUAGGCUUUUGUAUACUCCCUUUGGACAGUUUGGAACAAAGAUUUAUGGAACUGCUCUUUUGUUCUUAGAUGCUAUCAAAAUUUCUAUUCAGUUACUCAGCGAGCGUGGCUGCAUGGGCCGCAUGAAUCGGAUCUCUAGAGUAUAUUAACUGAGUCAACCUGGUUUUAAAGUAUCCCUUUAUUUUAUUGUAUUUUUAAUAUGGAGAGUCGAAUAGACUCUUCGACCGAUUCAGUUUGGACCGAGUAGAGCUCACCCUACUGAAACAUAGCCCCGUGGCGGCUGUGUGCCAUAUCAGUGUCCCGAUAUGUGUGGCUUGAAAAUUGGUGUGCUUAUAUGCAGCUUAGAUAGAACCCCAUUUGGGCCAGAAAUGGAAAUCCAUUAUUCCCAAAACAGGCCCUGGAGUCUGAUAAAGUCGCAAAGGUUACAUUGAUGUUGUUACCAAUUGGGCUUGGGGCCGUGUUACAAGCAUAGUUAGUUAAUUUGAAUUCGGCAAAAAUUCAGCACAGGUAUAAUACGCAUAAAAUUUAUUUUCUAAUUUUUAAAUUCGUUAAAAAAUUCGGCUUAAAAAAUAGAUUCGGUAUAAAAUAUAAAAUAUAAUAUAUAAAAUAUAAUAUAAUCUAUAUUUAAAUAUAAAAAUUAUAUAUUUUUUAUUUAUAUUUUCAAUAAUUCGGAAAUAAUUCGGGAAUAAUUCGCGAAUUAUUCGGCUGGCCCAAAAUUUGCGAAUAAUUCUCUAUCUUUGGAAAACAUUCGUAAACGGACCGUUUAAUUCGAAUUUUCAAUAAUUCAUGAAUAAUUCGCAAAUUAACUAACAUAGGUUCAAGAAGCACGAAUUUUCUAAUUAACACGUCAUCUAUUUUGCCCACAUUAUUUGCAAUUAUGCAAACUGCAUUACAUAUAGGGCGUGUUUGGUUCGAAGUCGGAGUCGGAAUCGGAAUCGGAAUCAAAAUAAGCUGGAAUCGGAAUCGGAAUCGGAAUGACUCAUUACCUAAUUCUGUUUGGUUCAUCACCUGAAUCGGAAUUGAAAUAAAUCAUUCCCAUUAUCAGUGUUUGGUUCAGGUGGAUAUAAAAAACGUAAUCAAUUAAUAUACUAACAUUAUCUUUAUAAUAUAUUAAUUUAAAUUCAAAUUAAAAAUUAAAUAUUAAAAAUUUACAUCAAAAUUUUGAAACAAUGUCAAAAUUUUAAAUCUAUUUUUUUAAAAAAAAAUAAACUUUGAAGUUGAGUAGAUAAUUCAAAAUAUGAAACUAAAUUUUAAUUUAUUCAAAUUCAAACUUAAAAUUACAAUUUAAAUUUUAAUUUGAAUCCAUAAAUUUAAUUUAAGUUUGAAAUAAAAUUUGAAUAAAACUUUAUAUAAAUUAAAAUUUAAUUUAAAUUCAAAUUUAUAAGUUAGAUUCGAAAUACUUGAUUAAAUUUUAAUUUUUAAUUUAGGUUUAAAUUAAAAUUUAAAAUUAUAUAUUUAAUUUUUAAAUUUUAACUCAUAUUUUAAUUAAAAAAAUUAAAAAAAUAAAUUUAUCGAAUAAAAUAUCCAUUACGCAUCCGGAUUCAACUUUCUAUCCGCCCUCCUAGCCGGAUUGAAAAAGAGGUGAUUGGGGGGAUUCCCAUUCCACUCGGGAAUCGGAAUCGAAUGGGACUCCGCGUACCAACACCCACAAAUGGAUUUACUAUUCCCGAUUCGAUUCCAGGGUAAAAAACGAACCAAACACGCCCAUAGUAUAAAGUAGAGCUCCUGAAUUCAACUCUAUUGAGCUCCUAUUGUUAAAAAAUUUUCUACAUUUAGGCCCACAAAUGAUGAAUUGAAUGUAAGUCAAUAAAUCUCUCUUCUCAAAAAAAAAUAUAUAAUGCAUUCCUAUAUGGGUCCGGCUACUAUCCUAUUAAUAGGAUUGGGACCUUAUCCUAUCAAGAUCGAUUCGAAUGAUCGGAAUUUAAAUUGAUAAUCGGCACGGUAAGUUGAUCUACACAAUUAGAAAUGUUUAGAAACCAAAUUUUGUAUUAUUUAAAAAUCAUUAUCAGUUCAUCUUAAGAGUUGAAAAUGAACGGUAAUAAAUGAAUAACCUUCUAAAAUAGAGGUUAGACUUCUCAGUUCGUAUCAGAGUUAUCAAACAUUAUCUAAAUAGUAAAGAAUUUUAUCAAAAAUUCAAACAAUUUGAAUUGUUCUAAGACCGUAAAUAAGCAAACGGCUCAUAUAGGCCGUCAAAAAUUGUCGAUUUUACGACACUUUGAUCACCAUGUAAAUCAUUAUCAAAAUUUAUGAAAUUUAGUUUCUAGAUAUUUCAAGUACUCUAGAUCAACUUCAACGACUCCGAUCAUCGAUUUGAAAUCUCGAUCAUCAUGAACAACUUGAUAGGACAAGUGCUCCCAUCCUAUUAAUAGGAUAGUAACAUUAGCCUAUAUAUAUAUAUAUAUAUAUAUAUAUAUAUAUAUAUAUAUAUAUAUAUCCAAAAACUAGAACUAUAUUACUAACUAAUAUUUCUUACGGUAAGACAGUCGGAGAAUAAAAGCAUUGAGAAACAAUAUUGUUUAUUUUUAUUUAUUUUCAUUUCCUUUACUCUAUAAUGUCAUUCCGAUAGGUUUUUUCAUUAAAAAAAACUUAAAAGCUAAAGAUGGAAUAAAAGCAUAAAAUAUUUCACUUAUAAACCUUCUAGUCAUUAGGCCCGUUACUAACUAAUAUUGUUUCUUUUUUUAUUUUCAUUUCCUUUACUCUAUAAUGUCAUUCCGAUAGUUUUUUUUCAUUUAAAAAAAAAUUAAAAGUUAAAGAUGGACUUAAAGCAUAAAUAUUUCAUUUAUAAAGAUUAACCAAUGCAAAAGCAUCCGCACCUCGUAGCUUUAUCCACGUGGACAGAAAUAGAAAAGGCCUAAAAAGAACAAAAGAUGCAAACAGAGGACCAAAGUAAGAUUGGCUAGACACAUUAAAUUUUGUCAUUUUCAUUAAAAAAAAAGAAGAAGAAGAAAAUUAAUGAUCCCUCCAUGAUCAUCACUUUAUCAGAGUGCUAUUAAGCUCUUAUGUACCUUAAUUCAUACUCUUAGAUGAUUUGCGGCUUAUGAUUUGCUACGUAAUUCAGUUGAUUAACUAAUGAUAUUUCGAAAGCAACCGCACUUAGCAACUUUAUCUCCAAAAUUAAAGGUGAAAUGCGAAUAUGCGAGAUGUAUAGGUUGCUUUAUGCAAAUGCUCAUCAAAGCUCACCAGAUCUAAUUCCCCUCCCGAAGAGAACCAAAAGAAGAUAAAGAGGCCCGAUUCAUCUAAUGAUUAAUCGAUCACGACUUUAGGAGCUAACUCCAUCGAUCGAAUUCUUCUUGAAACCAGCAGAGAGGAAUUAGUUGAAGUAGCGAUUUAGUAGAACCAGAUAAUUUAGAACGCAUGGAAAGAGAAACAGCGAAACAGAGAGAAAGGAAAUCAAACUGCCUAGUGUUCGUGAGAAGAAGAUGAAACGAAUGCAUUAGGAAGAACAAUACCGCAUCAAAUGCAACACGCAACGACAAUUCGAAGAAGAAGAUGCAGAAUUAAGAACUCGCCUCGUUCUAAGAUCGAUCGACGUUGCAUUCAAUUGCUUCGCCUCUAAGCUUAUUUUCCUCCUCUCCGAUCUCCAAUGGAGAAAGAAACUAGAAGUAUUAACGGAUCAGAUCGAGCGCAACACGCAACAACGAUCCAGAAAAGAAGACGACGGCGAAGUAGAGUUGAGAACUCACCAAAACCCUAAGAUGGAGCAAUGCCGUACUCGAAAAGCUUCCUCUCAGAUCUCCAAUGGCGAAAGAAAGGAAGAGACCGCGAGGGUUUCGAGAAGCGAUCGGUGGGGGUGGAGGGGAAGGGAGGAGUCGUCCUCAGCUUUUUCCGGCCUCAUGCUUUACUGCCUCGGGUGGAAUCGCAUCGCGUUUUUGAGUUAAAAUAUUUGGGGCUUUGCUUAUUUAUAGGAGGCCGCAGCGUGCUGUGUACACCAACGAAGCGUUGUUGGACCAAUCGGAGACGUCCAUUUCGUGGACCCCGCGAUCCUAAUCACCUCAUGGUGGCACUAUAUUCCCCGACUCUUCCGUAUAUCGCGGGGUGACCCGGGGUUACAGUUAACGAGGGCCGUUUGAUUUCAUCAGGACCCGUACAAUCUAUGAAUCACAUCCUUGGAAGCAAGAGGGAAAGGUGAAGAUUGCUUGGGCGUUUGGGCGAUCAGGAGGUGCAGAAGUGGAGCUCGCAAAGCUAAUUAAUUGCUUGCAAGCCAUAGCUCAAAAUCCGUUACAGGCACACGUCAAAUAAAAGCUUCAGAGGAAAAUGAUUUGGGCACAUUAAAAGUAUGCUUAGAAAUACAUAUGACAUUUUAGACUACAAGUAGGGCUCAAUAAUAAUAAUAUAUAGUGACGGUAUUUUUCAUGAUCCUACUUAGCAUAGCUUCUUACGCGCACUACGAUCGGCCACGAUAAUUUACUACGUGCGCUGUAGAAUAGUUUCAUUUUCAAAUCUUUUUUAAAUAAAGAGUCGUAUUAUAAAUCAGAACCCAAUUGCUGGGCCAAAAGGUUUAUUCGAUUUUUGUAUUUCGGGUUUUGAAUUUUGGCCCAACCCAACUCGAGAUCCGGCCUGCUAAGUAGCGGGCCGGAUUAUAUCGUUUGCAUCCCUAGAAGGCUAGAAUGUUCUCGAACGCCACAGCCUUGCCGCCCAAGUUUCUACAGAGACUACGUACGAGUCGCGACCUUUCUCCCCACGUCUCCAUUGAGCUAUCCUGAACCGUCGGAUAAGAUGCUCCUCAAACCUACGGCUGGCUAUAUAUAGCUGCGACGAAUUCACCUUCCAGUUACCUUUUAUUUCCAAGCCAACGGCCACUACAAGGACAAAUAAUAAAUAUAUCCUGCGGGCUCGCGCAGGCCUGGACCCAUUUUUGCAUAUUCAGAAUCUUCCGGAACCUAUAGCAAAAUGGCCCCGGCCAACUAACUGUAGUAAACGAACGAAACGAUCGAAGAAAUCACAGGAACGUUCCAGAUUCCCCUUGCCCUUGCCUCCAGCGUCUGGACGUCUAUAUAUACCCACUCUCCCUGAAAUUCCCGCUGCGGUCCGUCUCUCGCAUCACAAGAAGCUCGGCUCGUAGAGCAAGUAGUAAUAAUAAAGGAAGCAGCAAGCAUGCCGAGCCGAUACCCAUACCCAGGGGCGCUAACGCAGGACUGGGAGCCCGUGGUGCUGAACCGGCCCAAGCCGAAGGCGGCGGAGACGAAGUCGGCGAAGGCGGUGAACGCGGCGAUCCGCGCGGGGGCGGCGGUGGAGACGGUGAAGAAGCACGACGCGGGGACGAACAAGAAGUCGGCGCCGGCUUCGGCGCGGAAGCUGGAUGAGGCGACGGAGCCGGUGGGGUUGGAGCGGGUCGGGGCGGAGGUGCGGAGCGCGAUCCAGAGGGCGCGGGUGGCGAAGGGGAUGAGCCAGGCGGAGCUGGCCAAGCGGAUCAACGAGCGCGCGCAGGUGGUGCAGGACUACGAGAGCGGGAAAGCCGUGCCCAGCCACGCCGUGCUCGCCAAGAUGGAGAAGGUCCUCGAAGUCAAGCUCAGGGGGAAGUUCAAGUAGUGGUGGUGGUGGUAGUAGUACAAAGGAACGUGAGCAAAAGUUUGAAUUUGCUUUGGGUUUUUGGUUAGGGUUUCUGGAAAGAAUGCAUAGAACAGUGUAGACCUGUCAAGUUGUAGAAAAUUUGGUUGUAGAAAAGUUGUUUCUGAAUUGCAGUUCUACUUAUCCAUUUCUUCUGUGGAUCAAACAAAGUGUUUGGAACAAAGCUUGGGAUAUCACAAGCUCAGACCAAAGUUUUAGGCAAAGAAAGAACUGCUUGCGAAUAGCACUUAGUGAGAAAAAAGGCGCACACGGCAAUUUUGCCAAAGCAAGGAAGAGAGAUUUCAAGCUGAGAACAUGAUUAGAGAACUGAAAAAUAAAAACUGAAAGUUUUCAAUCAAGCAAAUAAAAUCAGCUCAUGCGCUAGUACGUCGUAACGCAAAUAUAAGCUGAAAUCACUACUAAACACACCAAGGCAAUCAUAAAGUCCACCUACAAAUCUUCUAACAGUCGGAAAGAAAUAUCAUGCAAAGUCAAAUGAUCACAUCAACAACAUUAUCACGGGCACACAAACAGAGGAAAACCUCAAAACAUGAGUGAACGCAUAAAACUAUUAUCCUCUCAAAAGCAUAAAAGAAUCGGCGCUUCUGACUUUUUAGCCCUUGAAUCAAAAUUAGUGGUCUCUCUAAAAAAAAAAAUCAAAAAUUAAAAAUGAUCAAAAGGACUGAUCCAAGGAUUAAAAAUUUCGAAACACCAACUUGGAAUAAACUAUGUCGUGAUAUAUACAUCAAUUGAAAUCACACACAAAUACUCGCCAAAAAAACCUCUUAACUUCAUUUAAAAAGUUUAACCACACAAUGGUUGGCAAGUUAUAAACCAGCAAACAAUUUAGCAAUGAAGAUUCACCGGGCGUCUACAAGCAAAAGUAGGGCAGCAAAAUAAUGUAGCUUCUUCCCUAAUAUCCUGUCCGGAGAAAACUAGGGUCCGAAUGAGGCGCUAAUGCAAUUUAAAUUCUGAAAUACAUGCUAUCAACUAUGGAAAAAUCCCUUCCACAACUCCACGCCAAUGUAGAGUAUAAGCAACAGCAAGAAAGCACAAAUUUAUAAAUCAUCUUGAAGUUCGGAUACUUGACUAAGCCGCAGGAUCUGCAGCAGCAUCUGGUUUGUCCGUUUCCAUAGGCUCAGCUGCUGGAUCCUGUGUACUUACCUCAGCAUUGUAGUCCCCAGCUGUGCUAUUAUCCCCUGUGGCUUGAGAUUGUGGUGACGAUGUGUCGGAUGGAGGUGGGGCCUGUGGCUUGGGAGGAGGCGGCAUCGGCUUUGUCAUUAUUGGCCUGCAAAACCUGUUGAAGCAAGUAUCUUAAUACUGAUAGAAACCUGUAUCUUAGUACUCAUAGAAACCUUUCCGUUGCACGUCUCAUCCAUUACAUUUCCCAGUAUAUUGCCUUCAAAGUAUAUACCAUAUUAAAGAUGAGGAGUAACACUAGGAAAAUUUGGGUGGUUUCGGCAAUAUGGAUGCUAUCAUUCGUUGGAAUAUAUUAUGUGCUUUAUGAGUGGAGAUAAGAUUCACCUCACUGCUUGACCUGAUUCUAUCAAAUGGCAGGAUAUUUUACACAAGAAAUUAGUCCCCUUUUAAAGUAAAGCGAAACAUCACCUGUUAAGCAUCUCAGCCUUCCUCUUCACAUCUGCAGAGAGGAGAACAGGAGUGGCAUGCUUGGGCAAUGAAUCCUGCUGCUGCAUUUUCUCCCUCAACCAUGCUUCAGCUUCCACACACUCAUUAAUGACCUAUUACAUGGAAAUAUAGCAAGCAUACAAAUAUCAACCCUCUUUUUAACUGACGUAUCUUCCUUGGUGGGUUUGAGAUUUGCUAAAUUACCCUCUUUUUAACUGAUGUAUUUUCCUUGGUGGGUUUGAGAUUUGCUAAAUUACCGUUAGUUAGGUUGAUAAAAAAGGCCAGAAAGAAGCAUAUGAAUAAUAAUAAAUAACACAGGAUGAAAGAGAAAUGAGUUUGGUGGGACAGAAAAAUUGCUCAACGUUACCUUUUGCUUCUCUUCUAUGUCAAUGUGAUCGAAUUUGGGAUCCUUAGAAAAGGCCGCAUCCCUGAAGCUAUUAAUGCAGUAAACAAGUUGAUCAAUUGCUGGACCUCUCUCUAUCCAUUCUUUAUAGCGUUGUUCGAUGGGUUCACCUUGCUACAUUUAGAUGACCAUAAUAAGCGACCUUUAUCUGGAACACUAUGAAACAAUAUAACAACGAAAUUUUCAUUGUACCUUUUUUAGUUCCUCAAGUUUAGCAACAUAAACACCUUUGGUUUCGUCUUCGCCAUCUUCAUACAGCCAAUCCUCAACUUCUUGAAGCUUUGCCAUAAGCUCUUCCUUCUCCGUCGGAGUUACAAAAUCAUGAUACUUGUCGUUAAGCUACAUGAAAGAAACAGAACACCAAAUUAGAAUAGAUUUCAUACAAUAUAAAAAGGUAGAAAACAUUAAAGAAAUUUAACAAAGAGUCCCUGUACUUUCACAAUGUUCGAACUCCGUCCAUGAAAAUUUCACUUAAGACAUUUUUCCAUGAACUUCACUUAGACAUUUUUCCAUGAACUUUCCCAUAUAUGAUAACCGCAUCCCUAGCCAUCCAAGAUACCUGAUGCUCAUACCCAUCGCCAUAAUUUUCCCUCUCUUGUAGGUAGAGCUUCCCAUUUCAGGUCAACAUGAAACGGGGGUGAAAAGGGUCAUUUUUACAGGCAACAACGCGCUAGCAGAUGACUCACGGAUGUCCAUAAUUUUUGAGGGCCUGAGAUGUGAAUGCAAUAUUCGGAGAAGUUCGCAUCAAAAUGCUUUAAGUCAAAAGUUCAGGGACCACAGGGACAACCCAUAUGCAUUGACCAGAAAGCAACAACAUAAAAAAAUUUUAAACACCUUGUUUCGCAUGUCAUAGACAUAUGCCUCCACAGCAUUCUUCUUGUCCUUGGUUUCUUCCAUCACUCUAUCUUGAAGAGCCAUCUCGAAUUCCUUCUCAACAGCUUUCUGCAGAUCCUCAGCUGCAAUUGCUCCAUAGACCAAUUCAGCCACAGGGACGUUUGUUUUCUUGAUUUUCUUCUUUGAAGUCUCAACCUGCAUGCAAAUAACUGUAAAGAUAAGCGACGAUAAUUACAUUGGAAAAGCAUCUUAAUCAUAUUUUCAUGUUGUUAUGCUGUCCUUAACACAUGAAAAUGGCAUAAAAUGAGAAAAACAAAUGCAUCUUAAAUCUUAAUUUCUGUCAUCAAUUAUAGAAAUUCACAUGCAAAAUAAAACAGAAAUAUAUAGAGACUGCGAUUUAAUCAGAAACAAACAAUAUAACUCUCAUCAAGUGAAAUCUGCAUGAAAACAGCAUGGGAUCUAUGUAUGUCUACAUAUUUAUAACAGAAGGCUUGCAUCAUUCAUGGGCACAAAAGUUGAUGCUCACAUUUAUGGUACUGUCUUAAAUAUCACACCAACUUGUACGGGAAAAACAAAUUUAGGAUUUGCAAGUGAAAGAAACAUGAGGAAUUCUUCAGAACAAGAGUUUGAACAAAAAAAAAAGAGACAUGACAGCAUAACAGAGAGGAAAACAUCUUAACCUUCGCCUCAGUUUCUGUCUGCACAGGCUUCUCUUCGGAUGCUGGUUCACCAUUUUCAGCCCCAGUGCCAGAAUUAUCUGCAGCAUUUUUAGCAUCCUGCAUAUUCACAUCAGUUCCAGAGGCAUUUGUGUCCUUUGAUGUUUCAUCAGUAUCCAUCUUUGAAGCUUCCUUAGGCACUUCGUCAGCAGCUGAUACAGGAACUUCAACUUCCUCUUCCUCCAACAUCUACGGAAAACCAGACAUACUUUAAGCAAAGAUAAUGCUUAUGAAAGGACAUAAUCAUAUGCCUAUCAUUCUCAACACUUACAGUUGCGGAUUCCACAGAGACAAUCCCAUGGAGAUUCAAGCGAACUUUGACUUUCAGUUGAGCCUUUUCACCUUUGCUGGUUUGAAAUGGACCAAUCUAACAGAAAUGUAAAAGCAUAAUGGUCAUAAACAGUAAGGCAACAUCCACAUUCCACAGCGAUCAUAUCCCAUUACUAGUUUUAUAUGCCACUCACCGUAUAUGUGCUAAUCUUUGUCGAAAUUUGUAAGUCAUCCACAUCAACAUAUGUAACAUCAACUGGAAAAGUACUUGACCUAAAGAAUGUGAGAGCUUUCACACUGGGAAUCGGGUUUCCUUUAGGAAACACAACUUUAUUCUGCUGGCUUUCUUGCGCUUCAUUCUGGGGGCCCGAUCCAUUCCAUGACAAGGCAAUUGGAAAGGGGAAGCUUUCAUGAACCUGAACAAGAUGAGUAGGGUUAAGAACAGUAACGUAAUAAUAAGGUUCAUCAUCUAUAAUGUAGAAGGCAGAACUUUAAUGGAGGAACCGCCAAAGAGAGAGCACUAGAAGAGCAGGGUUCAAAAAAAAAAAAAAAAAAUCAAAAGUUAGCAUCAUUGCAGGACUACAAAAACAGGAAAUACAAAUUAUCUCUUAACAUAUGUAGUAUCAACUUAACUAGCUUCAUUAUUCUCAAAACCAUGGAAACUAAUCCAGGAGCAAAAUUUAGUCCGAAAUAACAAAAUGUAGGAUAGUAUAUGUUUGCAACAAUCAACAGAUGCAGAACCAUGGUGCAAUCCGAAAGCUGCUAGCUGGUGCUCCAUCAAAGUUGACAUAAGAAGCCUAAUUUAUUAGCGAGCUACAUAGUUGUAUACUUAUUUAUGUAAUAAAAUUGAUACAGAAAAGUAUAAUAUCCCAAAAUUGAAAGACAAAAAACUUUAGGUAUCCCCUAAGUGUUCCAUUUUUGACACUUGCUGGUUAGUACAUAGGACCACCCAAAUAUUGUUGUUCUAGCAUCCCAUUCAAACUAUCCACUAUAUUGCCAUUAAAAGUAAGCAUAUGAUAAUCACAUGACUCUCUAUACACAUGUAAAUAAAAAAGAACAAGAAGAUUAUGCAACUAUAUUUUAUUCAAGAUGGAUAAACAAACGAAAUUAUUAUCAUAUGGUCAAAUGGAUCUAUGUCUGAAAAAUUGACUAAAACAUAAGAAGCAUAUCACUAAUGUGAGGCAUCAUAUUCAGGAGCACUAAAGGACAAGAAACAAAGAUCUUAAACCUUCCAUGUAAGAUGCUGAAAUAACACGCAGGGCUUUGGACAAGAAAAUAGCAUAUAACUGCAAAACCCUUUUACUCUAGUAAUGUUAGUGCUCUGACAAGAGUAAUUAUAAAGACAUUGAGUACGAAACUAUACAUAAUUGGUAGUUAACAAAAACACACUAAAAUGCCAAAAGUGGAUCUCCAAUAUAUCAAUCUAGAUGAAGUACUAAACCAGCAGGAAAGAUAUAAAAGAGCCAGAGGAAUCAGAGAAAUGCAGGAAGUAAUACCUGAAACUCGCGCACUUUGAAUGUGGGGCUCAGAAUGGCACACUGAAGGGCACAACCCCUAGCAACACACUCACUCGCAUUCAUUGUCCGCCUUGGCUCCUUACCAAAAAACUCAGUCAGUAUCUUAAGAAUCGCCGGAACACGAGACCCCGAUCCAACCACUUCAACUGAGUGAACAUUCUCCGGGCUCAACCCAGCUUCAGCAAGUGCUUUGUCCAGCGGCCCCUUCACCCUCUCCAGUAUAGGUAAGCUAAUCUGCUCAAAUUCCUCCCUCUUAAUAAACCCUCUCACAUCCUUCUCAUCCAUCAAACACUCAAUAUUCAACGGCGCCUCUGGGUUCGCGCUAAGCAUUUUCUUCAGCUUCUCGCAUGCUGCCCGGAGCCUAAUGCACGCACGCUUAUUUUGAUACACGUCAAUCUUAUAUUCCUCCUUGAACUUAGCUGCGAAAUGCUUAAAAAGCACCUCAUCAAAGUCCCGUCCACCGAGCGAUCGAUCAUAUGCAUGAGAGAGAAUCUUCAGUUGCCCCUUCUUGAGUCCAGCAAUGCAAACCUGCAUACUGGCGUGGCCCACAUCGACAAAGGCCACAUUCAUCUGAUCAUUCUCCUGCAAAUCGGUCUUAUAGAUACCAUAAGCCAGAGCGGUAGCAGUAGUCUCGUGGAACAGACGGAGAGGAUGCAAUCCAGCAAUAGUCGCAGCAUCCAUCACUGCCCUUCUUUGGAGGUCGGUGAAGUAAAUAGGAAUUCCAAUGCAGCAAUCAACAACUGCCGCAUUAAGAUUCUUCUCGGCAAUACUUUUCAGGUUGGAGAGGACCAUCGCAAGGACUUGCGUCGGGGUGAAGGCCCUCUGCUCGCCGAGAUAAUGGGCAUGGAUCAAUGGAAACCCCUCGGGACCUUCGGUCACCACAAAAGGUAGGGAUUGGAGAUCGCGCUGGAGCUCGGGAUCAGAGAACUUGCGGCCGACCAAGCGUUUGAUCUGCGAGAUGGAGUUCUUCGGGUUCAUCGUGUAGGAGGCGGCGCCUGCCGUGCCGAUGAACCGCUGCUUCUCGCCAAAGCACACGAUCGCCGGGGUCUCGCGCUUGGACUCGUCAUUGAGCACUACGUCAAUGCCGCGUUGCCGCGCCACUGCAACAAUGCAGCUCUCGUUGCCGACAUCGAAACCCACGACGCUCAUCUUCUGAUCUAGAAAUCGCUACUUCCAAUAAGAAAAAUAGGAGAUCUACACAAAAAUACACAGAAAUGGUGAAGAUCUUAAUCAAAACAAGCAGAAAUACACAUUUUUCCACUUCAAAACGAAGAGUAAACAGAUCAAAACAAGCAAAAAUUAGUUCUUUAGCAUCUAGAUCCACUACCAAACAGUCAAAGAGGCGGGAAGGUGGGGAGGGGGGGGAACCAUCUUUUGAUAGAUCCUAUAGCGGAAAAGGGAGCCGUAGAUCGAUCGAGAGAUCUCAGGGAUUAGGGUUUUAUUGAGAAGGAUAGGGGGUUUGGGAACGAACCUUUAUGCGGGGGCCGCGGAACUCCUCUCGCGACUCCUCUUUGAGACCUCUUUGGAUCGAACAGUCUCUAUAAUAAUUUUUUUUAGGUUUCCUUUCGCAUCGUAUGAUCGAUCGAGUGGAGGGGGAAGAUUAUUGGAGGAGUAGAUUUUCUAGAACCCUCUAUAAUCACCCGCGGAGGAUGUCGCCCGUGCCUCCACGACCGUCCGAUCGAGUGAGAUACACUUAAUCUAAGCUGUGUAACGAGGAUCGGAGCCGUCGACUAGAUUGCAAAGGGAGGAGUUUCAGGAGAGCAGUGGAUCCAAUGGACGGUUGAGAUGGACCGAUCGGAAGCGGUCGCUUGCAUUUGAAAGGAGCGAAUCGGUACAUCAUGGAGUUCCAGUUCAAAAAAAAUUCUAAAUUGCACAUCUUCAGUGAGGAUUUCCGAGAGAGAAUUCAGGAGGAUAAUAAUAAUAAUAAUAAUAAUAAUGAACAAUUUAUAAAAUUAUGGAAAAAUUUCAAAUAACAUCUCUGUAAAUUUGCGUUUUCUCACCAUAUAAUUUAAAAUAUAUCACUUUAGUAUUAUAAGGUUUCAUUUUUUUUUCUUUCCGUUAUUCCCUCCGUCAAUUUUUUCGUUAAAUCAGUGACAAAAUUAAAAUUACAGGUACUAAAGUAAAAAUUCGGUAAACCAUAGAGUAUUAAAGUUAAUAUUCAAUAAACCACAGCUAGGUACUUUAAAUUUUUUGUAUAUGAUUUAAUGUAGAGUUAACGGAAGUGCUGACAGAAAGGAAAAAAUAAAAUCACGAAAUACUAAAGUAAUAACAUAUUUAAACCACGGGAUUCUAAAAUGAGAAAAUGCAAGUUGAAGCUUAUCCUAAAAUUACUUAUUAAGAUAAUUUUGGGUUCUCCUGUUGGACUAGGUGCUUCUUUAGUCUUUACACUCUCCACUAGUGCAUGGACCAGUUGAAGCCAGCAAAACCAACCCACUAUUUCACUCUGUGGGCUUUACGUGGAUAACUUUUUCACGUGGGCUAGUUGUUCUAAUUCUUCCUUGGAAGAAAAAUAUAGAAUUAUACAGGCGUUUUUCUCCAGAUAAAAAAGGGAGAAAAGAAAAAAGCAAAUAGUUUCAAUUUUUCAACCACGCACAAUAGAAAUUAUCUAGCGCGCGGAGGAAGUAAAAAAGUUGCAAUUAUUGAUUUGCAGUAGUCUCUUUGCAACUUUUUCACUUCAAAAUAGUAACGCACUAUUAUUACUUGCAAGAUCUACUUUCAGAAUCUGCUGAGGCCAAUGUCCCUCUUGUAACUUCAUUAUUUUACUGCGGUCUCAUGAAGCAUGAUAAAUUGAUAAUGUAUUGUUAACCAUAGUAUUGGUCAAGAUGAGAAGAAAUGUAACAGUAACAUUGAGAUUAUUAAGUAUUAACAGAUAAGUUUCCUCCCUUUAUUUAUUGUUUUCUGUUCUCAUUCUUUUUCCUUUCUUUUACAACCAAGGGGAAUCAAAGAUAGGAGUGAUAACAGAUUUCACUUGGAGGUACUUCUCCAGUGCAUGCAUGCCUGAAUCCUUUCCGAACCCACUCAUCUUAAAGCCGCCAAAAGGACAGCCGCGAUCGAUAAUUAGGUAGCAGUUGAUCCAGAUGAUUCCAGCUCGAAUCGAUCUCGACAUUCUGUUCGCUAUGUUUAAGUCCUUUGUCACUACCCCUGCAGCUAAUCCGUACUUCGUAUUGUUCGCUUUCUCUAUUGCCUCCUCGAUUGUCCUAACACCAAAAAUAAGAACAGUAAAGGAUGAAGCAUAAGUACUGUUUCAGCCAAUAUACAUAAGUGAAGCUCUAAGCACAAUAAGAGCUUUUUUUUACGGUACUUUUGUAAAUUUUUCAUGUAAAUUGGCACUAACAAUGGUUUUGAUUAGGGUGACUGCAAACAUUUCGGUGUUCAACAGUUUAUAUAUAUAUAUAUAUAAUCUGGUCAGUCAGUGUAUUUAGGUUUUCCAUAAACAUGAUUUGAUGAGAAAAGCGUAGGUGCAGUGAAGAAUCAUUGAACUCUCAGUAAUUGUGAGCAUCUUAGAGAAGAGAAGAUACAGCAAAAGUAUCCCUCCUCUUCUUUUUUUUUUGCUGUGCCUAAAGAUUUUGAGCUAGAGAAUCAAACUGUGACCGCUUAAUUGUAGCUAUGCAAUCUUUGAUGUGUGUUUAAAAAUAUUCAUCAUCGUUUAAGCUACUGCAGUGGUAAUAAUCUAAAGAGAACAUUUACUGCAUCUCUGUGAUGCUUCUUAUUGCUUGCUUCCAAAUCUACUAAUUUUAGUCAUUGUUCGUGCUACUUAAAUCAAUUUGCAUGUAUUAUGUAGACUUACUUGAACUUCAUGAGGGACAUUACAGGUCCAAAUAUUUCAUCCUUGGCUAUCAGCAUAUCCUCCUGUGAAAGUAUUAUAUCUCCUCGUGUUACAAUUGCUCACAUCAUAUGUAAAGAAUAUGCAAAGUAAUGGUAAGUUUUUUACCUCCACAUCAGUAAAUAUUGCUGGCUCAAUGUAGUAGCCCUUCUCCCCACAAGGCUUUCCUCCUGUUACCAAUGUUGCCCCUUCUCUUUUACCAUGCUCAAUGUAGCUAAGGACUUUCUCGAAUUGAGCUUUAUCAACCUAAACCAGGGCAUAUAUACACUAUCGUCACUUUAAGUGUUACAUUUUAGUAUUAGAAUUAAAAUUCUCAACAUUGAGAAGGUUCGACAACCUGAGGGCCUUGAUGAACAUGGGGAUCAAAGGGGUCUCCGACUACCCAACUCUUCAUGCUCUCUGUCACCUUCGUAACGAAUUUAUCAUAGAUACCCUCUUGAACAUAGACACGAGAACCGGCUAUACAAGCUUCUCCCUGAAAAUUCAUCGAAUAACUUGUUCAAUCUUAAAUGUUAAACAAUUUUGCCUUGAAAUUUAGAAAAGUCCGCUUCUAUGCCAUUCAUUAGGGAGUUUUUCUCUACUGUUUCAGAAAAACAAAAUUAGAGAAGUUGGCUAUUUGACACAGUAUAGAUGGCGGUCUUGACUUCGAAGUUUACUAGAUUCAUCCAACCCUUACUUAAAAGGGGGAAAUAAGAAAUUAAAGCCUUCACCCAUUUAACUCGAACUCCAUAGUUUUGGCCUAACAGAUACAAAAAUGAGAAGUUCUGACAACUUUACUACUGUACUUCAGAAGUAAUCUAUGAUGCAAUAGAUCUGCAUGCCUUAUUGUAGAAUGUUGCGGUGCGUGCAAGAUCAACAGCCAUGUCUAUAUCAGCGUCAUCGAAGAUAAUGAUAGGCGACUUGCCGCCCAAUUCAAGCGAGACAGGCUUCAAGUUGCUUUUUGCUGCUGUCUCCAUUAUUUUACGCCCCACUGCGGUAGAUCCUGUAAAGCUAACCUGAAAUACUUCUGACUUGAGAAUUCGGAAAACUGGUGCUUCUCAUCUAUUGAGGUGAUUUUAAUAGAGAAUUUAUUGCUGCGUAUGUUGAGAAAACUUUAUUACCAUGUCAAUAUCCAUAUGAGAAGCAAUGGAAGCUCCUGCUGUGGAGCCAAAACCAGUGACAACAUUGAUUACCCCAUCAGGAAUACCUGCCUGCAAAUCAUGAAGUUACAAUGAAGGCGCCCAGAGGAAGUCGUAAAUUUAAAACAGCAAAAAAAUAACGAGUGCUAUCAUAAGAAUGUAAUUGUAAACGUUCAUCAUCUGCGAUUACAUUAUGUCGCAAAAUCAAAUCGAUCGAUAAUGUCUGGAAAGAAACAUUCAUAUGUUUAGGAUUUUGAAUACUUAAAAUUACAGGUUGAUGACUAAAAGUGAAACAUACAUAAAGAAGAAGUUCAUGGACUGCUGGCACAGUUCCCCUUGUACUUUUUGCUAAUUCAAACAUCAAUCUCAUAGGAAACAGUGCAGAAAUAGUUUGAAAACCAACCUUCACAUGCAUGAGGGAUUUAGUAGGCAACGACCCAGGAAUAUUCUAUGUAAUUUUCACUACAUAGAUUCGCUAAGAUUAUAAAUUGGUUCCUAAAAGUUGCAGUAAAAACAAAAAAAAAAAAAUCAGCCUACAAAUACAGGGAUGUUCACCUCCUUAGCUAAGAAGGCAUGGUAGAGAGCAGUGAGUGGUGUUUGUUCCGCAGGCUUGACGAUCAUAGUACAGCCGGCAGCCAACGCAGGUGAGACCUUGCUAAAGAACAUAAGGGAGGGGAAGUUCCACGGUAUAAUGUGGCCGACUACUCCGAUAGGCUCGCGCAAUGUGUACCCAUGAAGAUUUCCAGCCAUCUUUAAUGUCUCACCAUGGAUCUUAUCAGCUGCUCCAGCGUAAUAUCGCAGCAUGUCAGCUGAUCCCUCAAUGUCGACAACUUUGGUUAGAGCCAACAACUUCCCUGCAUCUAAGCACUCGAGUUUGGCCAGUUCUUCUUUCUGUUGAUCAAUCAAGUCCGCGUACUUCAUCAUGAUCCUCCCUCUUUCCUACAGGUGAUAUUAAUAUAGGAGGGGAGAAAUAUGAGCAAGUAUGAAUAGUUCAUAUUGUAUUCCAUGUAAAAUUGUAGUAAAAGGCUAAUUUUUUGCUUACGUCUAUAAAAAGUUAUACAAAAUUUCGCAAACAUUCUUAAAAAUUAGUAUUUGCAUGUAUAUUGUAACAACCCAGUCCAUUAACGCUAAUAAUUUCUUAUUAUGAUCGAAUAGAUGACAGAGAGAAGCCUACAUAGCCGGACAUGCGAGGCCACUUGCCAUGGUCAAAGGCUUUCCUAGCUGCCUUCACGGCCAAAUCCACGUCCUCUUUAUCACCUUCAGCCACCCUCCCUAUCACGUCUCCUGUGCGCGGAUCCCUUGUCUCGAAUGUCUUUUCUGUAAUGCGUGUGUGCGUGUGUAUAUAUAUAUAAGAAAAGGAUUCUUUCAAAAAUAUAUAUAUCUGAAAAUGAUGGAAAAAAAUACACUCAAACUUAAAAGAAAAUAUAAAAGGAGACAAACUCUUUAUAGAAUCAUGUAAUUGCUUUAGAAAUUAUUCCUCCAUUCCGUACAAGGAAACCAAUGAGUUCAGGUUGUUCCUGGGCCUUCAUAGGGUUUUUUUUUUUUCUUUUUCUUUUUCUUUUUUCCCUUCAAACUAGUCUUAGACUUGGCCUUAAGCUCUUUAUUAUUCUAGGAAUUAUGGGUUCAUCUCAUAAUUAACUUCUCAAUCACAUGCGUCCAAUACCCGUAAUGCAGCUGAAGGGGUCUUAAAACUAUUUGCUAAUUUACUUUGCAUUAUAUUGAUCUUUUAGAUACAUGGACAAGAUCCUGCUACGAUGCUGCUAAGUACAAACACAAGUUGACAAGAUCUAAGAAACUCGCGCUUUUGCAAAAGUAUUAUUUAUUUCUGAUCAUAAAAGUAAUAAGUUUUCUUUGGAUCUUUUAGAAGCUCAAUGGAAGCAAAAUUGUGUUUACUACUUUAUGAAUAGUAAUACUUUUUUAACUAAAUUUCAGUAGCUUCUAGUUAUCCGGUAUGAGCACGGCAAGUGAAUAUCUCCUCACAGAAUCACUAUAAAAAUAUAUAGAUGUAGAUUUACAAAGGUAAAGUAUAGGAGCUUAAUUUGAGCUUUUAGUAUCUAUCAGUUUAAUUACAAUGUGGAAAUGGCAAAUUUUUUCCUGCAUGUUUAAUUUAGAAUAAUAACAACAGAAAUCGAAUCGAAAUAGUUGAUAACGAAGCUUGGAACUUACGACCUUGAUUAUCGACCAUCAAGUUUUUUACCACUUGUGUUAGAAAAAAUAAACAAUUUCAAUUAAAACUUAAAUAUGAAAAAUUAGCAUCAAAAUUUUAAAAUGAUUAGCCAAAAUUUAAAAUGUAAAAUAAAAAUAAAUUAGAAUUUAAAAUUGAGAUGACAAUUCAAAACAUAAAAAUAAUUUACAAAUCGAGUUCAAAUAUCAACUCAAUACAAUUUAAAUUAUAGCUUGAAUCCAUAAAUUUAAUUUAGAAUUUAGAUAAAAUUUUAAAUUAAAAAUUUUCACGUAAAAUUUGAAUUUAGAUUUAAAUUCAUAUAUCAAAUUCAAAAGGCUUUGAUUGAAUUUAAAUUUCAAUUAAAGUUCAAAUCAAAAUUUUAAAUUGAAAAAAUUAAUUUCUGAAUUUAAAUUUAUGUUUUGAUUAAAAUUUUAAUUUAAACAAUUAAACUGCAUUAAAUUAAAUUACAAAAUAUAAUUAUUGUACUAUCGAAACAAACUUUUAUUCACGGAUCCUAAUAGGCUCACCGAAUAGGCGUAUGCGUUUGAUCGGGGUCCACAGUUUGCAGUGCGAGGAUAUCGUUACAUAGCGUUGUGACGUGUCAAACAAAUAUAAAUUUUCCAUAACCCUACGGACUGUCCUAGAGCGAGCAAGUGGCAAAGCGUGGUUGGUAUCCGAGAUCAAAUUCGAAUCUUCACAUUUUCAGCUAAAUUUAUUUUUAAAUAAAAUAAACGAAUCGAAUAGCGUGCUAUCUAUCUCUCAAAAAAAUAAAAAAUAAAAAAUAAAAAAAAGAAUCCACAACCCUGUUAUUCUGGGAUGAGAAAGGAAAGAAACGGGAAAUAGAAGCAAAAAAAAAAAAAAAAACUGUGGCGAUACUGAGCUGAGCACGCUCUGAGGGAAGUGAGGUUUUAGAUCACAAGUUCAAACUUUUCGCGAGAGUUAUUCGCAAAAUUGAUAUCCACAGCUACUGCCUCCGCUUAAUGGCAAAAUGGGAUCUUAAUUUCUCUGUUCCCAAGCUCCCCAGAAGAAUAAUAAAACUACGAAAAAGUCGUAACAAAAGUAGUCUAUAUGUAAAUCGAAAAUCCAAAUAAUCGUUUCAACUACAUAAUUAAACAGUUAAAAGGACACAAGUAACGUUAGGUAUAAUGUAACCGUAGUUGGUCACAAAAAAAGAAGAGAAGAAGAGAAACGAUUAGUACCAGAGAUUGCAUCAACGAAGUCGCCAUUGAUGAAGAGCUUGGUGAACUUCACCUCCAGCGUCAUGAGAUCUAAUAAUUAGCCAAAAAGAAAGAAACAAAUCUCUCUCUCUCUCUCUCUCUCUCUCUCUCUCUCUCUCUCUCUAUAUAUAUAUAUAUAUAUAUAGAUAUAUUGAUGUUUGGGGUUUCGUGGUUUAAAUAAAUUCUCUCUCUUUCCAUUUUGAUGUUCGGGGCUUUGUGGUGUAAAUAAAUUUGUCCUUGCACCGAGUUGGUGCCAAACGGGGUUAUCACCCGUAUGGCCGUAGCCAUAAAAAGCUUCUCAGCGUCUAAAAGCUUCCUCUUCUUUUUGUUUCUUUUUCCUUUUUUUUUAAUAAAAAAUAUAAAUGCUUCCUUGUCUUGUGUGAGAGCAAAUUUCGGAGGGAGCAUUUUCCCUACUGAAUUUAUUGCCUGGACCUGGCUCACAUGGCAGUCAAAAAUUAAUCCAUAAAUUUCAAUGUUUUAAAAAAAAUUAGAAUAGGGACACCUGCUAGUUAACCUAAUAGAUGUACGUUACCUAUGCAGCUAUACAUAGAGGUCGGGAGUUUGAUGAUCUUCUAGGCGUGUAUUUUUUUUUAAAAAAAAAUUUGGAGUCGGAACCCUCAGCUUCUUAAAUUAUAGGGAAAACUUCAAAAACCCCCUGUGGUUUCGUAGUUUCUCACUUUGCUCCCCUGUGAUUUAAAAUGUAUCAAUUUGUCUUUCUGUGGUUUUGUUUUUAUCUUUUCGAUAGCUUUUUCGUUAAUAUUUUAUUAAAUUAUAUAUAAAAAACUUUAGAUAUCCAUCUAGAUUUAUCAAAUAUUCACUUUAGUACUCUUUAAUUUUACCUUUAUCACUGAUUUAAGAAAAAAAAUAAUGAAAUUGAUAAGAAAAAGAGAAAAAUGAAACUACAGAGGGACAAAUUGAUACAUUUUAAAUCACAGGGGGGCAAAGUAAGAAACUAUGAAACCACGGUUUUUUUUUUUUUGAAGUUUUUCCUAAAUUAUACAAUAAUUUAGAUUUUUCAAAAUGUUACAUGAUAUAGGAACCUAUAUAUAAGAUUUGAAAAACAAAAACCUUAAUAUGGGACAUUGCAAAUGUUAGAUAUAGGAUAUAAUUGUCCACCAGUCACAUUAUAUGACUCGUAAAAAUAUUUUUAUCUAUAAAUCGAUAGAAUGUAAAUAAUACACUUUAAUCUGGAUGUAUCACCAGUAUUACUUUUUAAAAAAUUUGUCACUCAAACUUCAAAUAGCCCUAAAAUCAGCAAUAGUAAAAGAAUUAGUAUUUAUUACAAAAUUAAGUUCAAAAUCUAUAGUGUUUUUAGCGUGCUUAAAGGCGCUAGAAUUUCCCAGUAACACUUCUAAUGAGUGAUGAUGGAGGCUUGUGCGAUUGGUCCAUGAUAGACCAAGUCCAUGGAACUAUUUUUUGUUAAAAAAAAAAUCCAGUACAUCCCCCCUUUCAAACUCAGAUCUAGCAGUGUUUGGUUCUAGAACAAGGGAGAAUAAGUUUUUAUUUUUCUUUUUGUUCUCAAACGUCGUAUUUGAUACUCAAAAAUAAUAAUUUUCAGGUUUAUUAAAUAAGGUGGUAUGAGGCUGAAACUGUUGUUUCAUCUUUUUUUCUGUAAUAAGUUUAUUCCUAGGUGAAAACAAAAUUAAUUAAAGUCUAAAAUUAAUUUUAAUUAUGAUAUUAAAUUAUUAAUUAAUCUAAUUUAUAUAUUUAAAUAAUUAUUUAUUACUUAAAUAAUACAAUAAUUAAUUUAUUAUUUAUAAUUAAUUAUUAGUAAUUUAAUGUAUGUAUCCAUAAACUAAUAUUUAUAUUGAUCAACCAUUAAUAUUUUUAUUAAUCUAAUUAAUUUUUUUUACUAGUUAUCUGGCUAAAAUAAUUUACUAACUAAUUAAAAUUUUAAAAUAAUAUUUUGAUAUUAAUUAAUUAAAUAAAAUAAUUUUAAUUUAAAAUUAUAACUUCUAUUCUUCUUGUUCGAAUGUAACCAUUCAGGCACUCUGUUUAUCUUAUUUCUAAAAACAACUUAAUUUUCAUCCAAAUGUAAAAUUAAUCUAAUUGUUAUUUAUAUAUGAACAUAUCUAUUUCUAAAAGAAGCCGUUUUUAUUUAUUCCCAAACUAAACACAGCUCGGGAGAACCAAGUAAAUUUCUUCACCGUCUUGUCAUAUACUUCACCGUCUUGUCAUGUCUCUUACCCAGUUGUAUCACCAUCUCUAGCACAAGAUCGGAGGCCCACGACGUUGGGAGAUUUGUUUGACCCGUUUAAUGCUUCAUUUCUCUGCGAUUUUGUUCACAUAAAAUCUGUUAUUUAUGCAUUGAAUUAUAUAAUUUAGGCUGAACCUAUCACGCGCAUUUGCCAAUAUGAAAUAUUUCUAUUGAUGUUCUUCUGUUUCAAUUUUUUAAUCUUAUUAUAUUUCAAUCUAGCUUUGUUUAGUUUUAUUUAGCUCUUUUCUAGUAUUCUGUUUGUAAAUUUUUGGUUGAUUCUUCUUACUAUUUUUGAGCUGGCAAGUGACAAAUGGCUUGAUGGUUGGUAUCCGAGAUUCCAAGUUCGAAUCUUAGUUGAUUCACAUUUUCAGCUAAGUUUAUUUCUAAAUAAAAUAAACGAAGCGGAUAGCGUGUUAAUCUCUCUCUAAAAAAAAAAACCAUUUAUAAUAAAUAAGCGUAAAGACAUUUUAAAGCACGCCAUUACACCAAGUAUAAAGGUUGAUAUACAUUGUAAUACUAUCCUUAUAUUUCUAAACUAGAUGUAAGAUGUAUAUCCUAAAGACAUUUUAAAGCACGCCAUUACACCAAGAAUAAAGGUUGAUAUACAUAGUAGAACUAUCGGUAUAUUGCCAUUACACCAAGUAUAAAGGUUGAUAUACAUUGUAAUACUAUCCUUAUAUUUCUAAACUAGAUGUAAGAUGUAUAUCCUAAAGACAUUUUAAAGCACGCCAUUACACCAAGUAUAAAGGUUGAUAUACAUAGUAGUACUAUCGGUAUAUUUCUAAACUAGAUGUAAGAUGUAUACCCUACUAAUUCAAAUGCUCAUUUUCUUUUUCUUUUUCUAGUCUUAUCAACUUUCUUUUUUAACUAAAUUUUCUCCAAAAUUUUUGUGAACUCUGAUUAAAAAGAUGUAAGAUUUACACCUAAUAUAAUUACACAGGUAGUAUUUCCCAAACUGAUAAAAGGCCAACCAAAACUUUGUGAUUGUUAUUGGGCCUUUUUGGGAGCCUAAUGGGCCGGAUAGUAUUAGGCCAGGAUGGGCCGGGAAAAAAAAUUAGACUUGUGGGGCUCUUCUGCUAUUGGGCGAAAACGUCAGCGCUUGUGCCCAUGGCGCCAUAUCGAAGUAAAAUGUCGACAUGCGAUCCUUUUAUUUUUUUAAAAAAGAUUCCUUACUGCUGAGACCGAAAGCGCAGAGCACACAGUAAAGCGCAAAACCCACCACGAUUUGUCCCGAUUGUCAAAGCACGCAUGGUCCUAUAAAUAUACCCCUCGCGCUCUUCGCAAUUAACAUUUAACAGCCCCAAAAUUUUCGAUCCAUCGCGCCGCCCCGUUUCUCUCUUGUUUCUCGCUCGCUCGUUUCGUCUACCACGUGCGGCGGCGGAGGAGGAGACGAAACCCUAGCGAUGCAAUCGCUGCAGCAGAAGGCGUCGGAGUGGAGCGGCGUGGCGCCGAGCGACGCCUUCGCCAUCGACGAGACCAACCUCUUCGAAGCCCUCGGUGGUCUCCAACCCUUCGUCGACCUCUCCACCAAUUUCUACACCAGGUGACUCUUCGAUCGAUCGAUUCCGUAGCCUUUUCGUAGUUCUAGGGUUUGCGGUGUGGUCGUGGUGAUUAGGGCUUUUGUGUUGCUGGAUCGGUAGAAUCUAUGAGGACGAGGAGGAGUCGUUUCGCUCGAUCUUUGCUGCUUCGCGGAAGGAGGACGCGAUCCGUAACCAGUAUGAGUUUUUCGUUCAGAGGAUGGGAGGGCCUCCAUUGUAUUCACAGCGGAGAGGUAAUUAGUUUUUCUUAAAAUUCUUUUCUUUGUUAAAUCUGGAGUUUGGAUGCGGUUGAUCGAAGGAUUAUGUUGUGUUACUUUUAAGUUAUGAGUUGCAGGGUAGCGGAAUUAAUUAGGUUUGUGGCUAUUUAUGUGUUUAUUUACUUUGCGUUAACCUUUAGUAAUAACUAGUACACGAGCCACUGAUUCAUACAGUAGUGGAAUUAAUUAGGUUGAUGGAAGGAUUAUGUUGUGUUACUUUUAAGUUUUGAUUUGUAGGGUAGGGGAAUUAAUCAGGUUUGUGGCUAUUUAUGUGUUUAUUUACUUUGUAUUAGCCUUUAGUAAUAACUAGUUCGCUAGCCACUCACCUGUUUCCAUAUGUUUUGACUUGAUUUUCUGCCUUAAUAACUACUUCCCUUGUUAUGCUGCUCUGUUAUUAGUGCUUGAUAACUUGAAUAAUAUCUUUGACAUUGUCAACCAACAAGAAUUGAGAAAAGCUUCGAAAGAGAUGAAACAAGGACUGUAUGAUAAAGAGUAAUUCUUUUUUAUUUUUCCUAAAAGAGUCAGAUGACGAUUUUUGUUGGUUUUUUGUGGUUAACACUGGUAUCACUCCCUAAAAGUAAAGGUUAUGUAAACAUAUGAAUUAAUGUUUGAAGAGCUUGGAAGUAGCCAAGUAGGAGAAGUUGCCCAUCCAAACAAAUAAAAAAGUCACUCUUGCCAACUUUUGACUACAAAGUAAGCCCUUGGAACUAACAGAAAAGAAAAAAGGAGGAAAAACUGUCUGGUUGAAGAUGGAUUACUUCACCUAUCAAGUCGCAGUUGCUUGAGUAAUAUCUAACAACAUUUUAACAUGGUGAUACAACAUAAAAAUCUCUAUAUUUUACUAUUCAAUCUAGUUGCUACAUCUUUUUUCCCCCGCUUCUUUGUUUUGGUGCAAUUUGUGCUCCCUGAUUUUGCUGCAUUUAUACUAUAUCUUUGUUGCUAUUAGUUUCCUUCUCGUCUUUCCAAUUCACAUGUACCUAUACAAUUAACUUUUUCGAUGGAUCGUCAGUUAUUGUCAUGUGGAUGUUAUUGAGCAUUCUACCGGGCUCCGGUAUGAUAUUUAUGAAGGGGAUCUUUCUGAACUUUUACCAUAUCAAUGCAAGCGAUGUCAGUUAGCUUUUUCAAAGGAUAAGGAACAAUGUUCAGUUUUGACAUAAGUGCACAGUUCUGAUAGAAUGUUUGUAUAAGAAGCCUUUUGAAAUGUUUUAUUGCUAGAAACUAGUUGUUACUUCCUCCUUGCACCUUGGACAUGUUCAUUAGCAUGUAAUAAUUAUCAGAACGAAAGCACUUUAUCUUACUAAAAUCUUUGCUCUAUCACCUCUUGUUCCCCUCUUUCUGAGUGUAAUAAUAUAUCAUUUUGUCUUUUCUACUUUAGAGAGAGUUUUGUAGGAAUAGGUGUUAAAAAAAACUUGUAUUUGCAUAUCCAGCCAGUUGCAUAUAUUCAUCUGCAAAUUUAUUAUUUCAGCUGAGAGUUUUGACGUCAGCUCUUUUUGGAAGUGAAUACGAUCUUCCAAAUUUUCAGAUGGAACAUAUCUGAGACUUCUCCUUUUCAAUUUCUUUCUGUUGUUUCGCUCUCUCUAGUGUUGAGACUUCUCAUCUCUAUAUCUGACUUGUAACUGCACUUGUUGCCUAUUAGUGCAUCAAAGAAAUAUAUCUCAUUAAUCCUGCUGGAGACAGUUGGAUCAACAUGCUACCUAAUUUCGAUCUAAUAGAAGUAUAUGACUUGGAAUCUUACCUCACUGCUUCUCUUUCCAAAGGCCAUCCUGCGCUGAUUGCGCGGCAUCGGCCAUUUCCAGUUACUCACCAAGCAGCAGAGAGGUGGCUACACCACAUGCAACAAGCAUUGGACAACACUGGAAGCAUCGACCCAGAUUCAAGAGUCAAAAUGAUGAAUUUCUUCAGGUACCUCUCAGCACCCGACAUGUUUUUUUUGUUGAAAUUGCAUUUUGUGCUUUUACAUAUUUCCAUAUAUACCGAUUUUCGUUUCACUUAACAUUUUUACUAAACCUUGUCAGGCACACUGCAUACUUUCUUGUUGCCGGCAAUGAGAUGACAAAGCAAGGGCAAGGAGUCCCUUGCAAACAUGCUACUAGCAAUCCAGCAGCAUAAAAGAAGAGCAAUUCUUCAUUUAUCCAGAUUAUAGUAUCAUAUGUAAAAACUCUCACAUCAAAUAUUUAUCCUACUUAAUUUAUUGUAUGCAAUCAUUUGAUAAAAGAAACUUCAAGACAUCUGAAUAUAUUUCAGUGUUGCAUGCGCUUCCAUCUGUUGUUGCUCUCGCUGAUUAGAAUUUUUAACAUAAUCUCGAUAAAGGCAAUGAUUGAACUGUAACUGUUCUUUAAGUGAGUUGGUAAGGCACAUCAAGUGUGAUCAUUGCCAACUUAAAACUGCUUGUUACUCAUAGGUACGAUCAUUUUGUGUCUCUAAUACUCCAGUUAUCCAUUAUCCAUCCUUCUCUAUUAAUCUUCAUGCUAUUAUCAUAUACGGCUUGUUGCUUAAGCAUUCAGUUUGUGACGUGGCCUUUAGUGGGAACUUCGCACAUGAGCUUGGUGGUCCGGGAUACCUUUUUAAUGUAGCUUGAUAUAUACAAGCAUGAAGAAUGUGUUAAGAUGCCCUGCCAAUCUUGUCUGAGAUAUAUGGAAUAGAAGGUAUAAAGGAAUGACCCUCAUCUUCUUGUUAGGAACAAUUUGCAAAUUGACAAUAAAAAAAGAUAAGCAUGGUCAGAAGGAAUUUUCCUUCGUGUAAGAUUUGUUCCUUACUUUAUAUUAUCUCCUUUUUCUUUUUAACUGCAAGUGGGGAAUUUAACUCUUUGAAUGCGCAUGGUGUCGCAGGAUUUAUAAGGCUCGAUAUUUUAUGCCAUAACUACCGGAAUGAUCUGCCUGUGUCCUUUCCCCUAGAUAAAAGAUUAAAAAAAUGACGAAAAGAAAGGAAAAAAAUAAAAUAAAAAAAAGCUCUCACUUCAUCCAUCAAAUUUAUAAGAGUUUUUUUUCCCAAUUACACUGGCAAACUAAAGCUGCAUUACCUAAGAAUAAACGAUUAGAAAGUUUUAUCAAAUUCAGGCGAGAAGACUCAUUUUUGCAUAUUUUUGUCAGUUUGCCUUUAAUGUGUAAAUAAAUAAAAAAUUUGAACAAUGCUAUGUAACUUGAUAAGCUCGUGAGAAUCUUACAAUGGGAGCCCUCAGAAGGUUCCCUCCAAUGCUGCCAAUGUAGCCAUAAUUAUACGCGGUACACAUUGAGCGGCUGACGUGUGUAUGUUCUGAGCCACCGCCAUUGCUAAUGCACCAUCGCGCUCUAACAGUAACAGAUACUCACUCAACAAGUAUUGAAAGUGGAGGAGAAGUACAGGAUCUGAAAGGCUUCAAAACCUCUCCCUUUGUGCGUGGCUUCUUCUUCCGGUCUCUCUACAAUUUCGCGAAAGAUCCCGAGUCUGGUCAAAUUUGUAAGUAAGAGGAGCACGUGAUUAGAUUUUGUACGGGGCAAUUUCGACAGAGUAAAUGAGAUAUGUGGAAAUUUAAUGAAUUUGGUAGAUGCAGAUAGGCUUAUAUAUCCCCAUUAUUAUUAGGCCAGGGUAAGUUUUGGAUAACCUGUUUUCUACUACCUGUUACUUGUACAUUCGGACAUUUGCAUUUAUCACUUCGGCCAACAUUUAAAUCUACGACUACUUGAUGCUUAUUUAAUUUAAAAGAAGGCAUGAUUUUUCUUGUGUAAAUUGCAAAUUUGGUGGUCAAGUUUCAUCUUGAUUUCAAUUGUAACCUUACAAUUCCUGUUUGACCGGAUCGUAGGCUGUAAUACAGUAGGAUCAUAUUUUAUUAGAAAAGCAUUAAUAGUUUUCCAUUGAAGUGCUUAAUAGCAUCAACUGUAUCAAUUCCAGUCAGCUGAGAGUUUGAUGAUUUAUACUUGAGAACUCAAGUUUGAAGUCUAGUUGCUCCACAAUUCUAUCUCAUUUUAGGUGCAAAAUCUUCAAUUGGAAACUUUCUUUUUUGUCCCAGAUCUUUUUUUUUUCUUCUCGCGGCUAUAAAGUCUCUCAACUUUUUUGUUUGUCAAAUACGUUAUUAUCUUGUCGUUAAAGAUGAAAUAAAACGUGGGUCAAACAAAAGAUCGGUCAAACAAACGGCACUCAGUUUUGAUAAUAUUGAUGUAACAUCAUUUUUCAUAUCUUAGACUGCUAGUAGGUUCCGAUUUUUAUUUAUGACGAGUGAAAUUUAGGGAAUAAAAUAAUAAAAAUGGAGUUAUAAUGACAUAAUUAAAAUUGGUAGAGAUGAAUUAGCUAUUGACUCCUCUUUUUUCUUUUAGCAGAUCAUAAUGAUAAAGCGGACUAAAACUCCCACAAUGAGAGAUACAUAUAAGCUAAUGUAGAGAAUGAAAACUCUUAAAACCAAGAUCAAGUUAAUCUGAGCAAUACCGUUGACGUGACAGCGAAUCUUGCUGAGAAGGAUCGUGACAAGUUCUCUGGUUCGGCUGAAGCUGACCCUUCAUCAAAAUUCUGCGCAUACGAGUCAGGAUCAUAUGCUUCACAUGCUGAACCGCUCGCCGACUUCAAUAUCUUCCUCUUUUCCUUCACAAUCUUCCUCCACAGCUCCCGCAACCUCGCGGUAACAGAUCGGGUCGGACCGCGAUCUGACGGAUCGUAUUCAUCCUCAUACUCGCCAUUCCUACUCAGCCGUCCGAUCAUGCCAUAGUUGCUACAAUGAUAAUAAGAAGGACAAGAUAUCUGCCUUUGUAGCUUGGGGAUGUAAUCCAUGUAGAUGAAAAUAAACUCUUCUUUGUUUCUCCUCACAGCAUUUAGAAAAAGAAGUGGUUGAAGGAGGUGGUGCAUAUUUAUAAGGAGAUGUGGGAAUUGGAUUUUUAUUAAGAAAAUUGGUUGUUUUUGAUUGGAUGGUCAACAAUUGGGGGCUAAUAGAACGGCGGUAUCAGACGGUUGGUAUUUAUCGUCGACUUAGUUGGUGCCGUUGGUUGUUGGCAGCCCGGUUAAAAUUAGCCCAUUGAUAUGUCAUUAUUUGGCUCAGACUUAAUUGAAAAUACAUGGUUUUCAAUGCAUUGAAAUGCAUGUAUUAAACUUUUUAAAAAAAUUUAGAGGUGCUUUAAAGUUUUCAAUACCUUGAAAUAGAACAGCGAAGCCUUGUUGAAAAGCUCUAAAAUACUUUUCAUUUUUUUUUUUCCUCAAACCUAAAAAUAUUAGAGGAUGUGUUUGGGCAACAUAUUUUCAAACUAGUGUGUAAAGAUGAGUUAUUGUUUUGGAGAGUUUUGGUGAGACAGGGAGAGCAUUUGACAAGUUGAUGGUGGUAAGGGAAAAUUGCAUUAUUUUAUAGGCCUGCGGUUUGGAAUAUAUCGUUCUUAAUGACUAAUAAAUAAUAACAGGGGUGUUACGUAAAAUUAAAAUUUGCUAUAUUCAACAAUUGUUUUUAUGCAUUCAAAUAGCGUACGGCUCUUGAUUGACUUUUUUGAGUUUUAGAGCCCAGUACGACAAAACAACAUCACAUAAUUUACAAAUGUGUAAACAAUUAUAAGCAUAGAAUGAAUGGAAGGGAACAUAACAGUGUUGUGACAAAGAUGAGCAGCUAGAUUUCAAAUCUUUCACGAACCAAAAGCUGUAUGAUCCGGACAAACAGAGAGUACAGGAGCCGAAACAAAGUCCAACUGAUUCGGACUCAACCUUUUUCACCUAAACACAAAAUGUCCCCUUGAAUUCAAACAUUUAAACUUGUUGGUUUGAUGGUAGAGAUGGAGGAGAUCAGAUUUUCCUUUAGAGCAACGCUAUGUGUACAAUCAUCUACAUCUAAUGUGGCCAAUCCAUCCUAAAAAGGUUGAUAAAGUUUAGAGCUUUAGGCUCGAAUCUAAAUUGUCAGAUAUGAAGAUGUAAAGCCGCCUAGCUGACAUAAACUGUGCAGUAACAAAAUAAAUUUGAGAAUAAAUGAACUAAAAUUUAGAGACAGUUUUAGAUCAGAUCUUUAAGCACGUCAUUCUUAGCUCACAAUGAUAGACGUGCGAACGUGCAGGUUGGCUCGAAUGUGGUAAUGAAAAUUUGAUUGCACUACACACCCGUCCUACAAGCAACUAGGGGCGUUUAAAUGGGACGGGGGGAAAGAAGAAAAAUACAAAUUCCAUGGAUUAAAAUUGCCCCUAAAGCAACGUAUUACUUGGGAGAAGAUUUCUACAUAACACGUAUUGCAUGUAGUAAUAAUAAUAUCCUACCUACAAAGACGAGAAGUUAUUCUUGACGUCAUUGCAGCCAAUAUUUAUAGCAUUUCCCAGAAGCUAAUCAGAAAUUUGAAACACAUUUACAUAAGCUCAGAAUGACAAUAUUUUUCAAUGGGCUUUGGUCAAAAUGGCAAUAUCUAAUACAGGGGUGCACAAUAAUGUCAAGAAGAAGUUUGAGAAAUUAUCUUCUACAAAUGAUAGUUACAGAAUGAUGCUGAUUACAACUGCCUAUAAAUUCUGAAAUGUGAGGAAAGUAAAUCCAAACUAGUGAACGAUUCCGCCUUCCUGUACAAAGUUCAUAAACUAAAGUUUAGGUGAGGAUUAAUCGUCCUCUCUCAGAAAAUCGAGAAGUUCUGGAAUGCGUCUAAACUGCUCGCGACCAAUCCACCAAGACCAAUACUGUCUCCACCGCUCAUCUGCCUAGAGCAAGGAGCCACGUGCUCGGAGGGACCAACUGAAUCAGGCUGUGAACCAUAAGUAAAUGGAAUAUCAACAACAUUGAUAUCGCAAUAUAAACCAGACAUAAAAAAAAUGCUUUAGUUGGUCACACUUUCAAUUUUUUCAACUCAAAUUUUAUUGGAUGGAGUGCGCUAGCUGGUAACAUAUUGUUGGCAACCUAUACAAUUAUAAGGCUAGAUUGGCAGCACAAAAAAGAAGACUUCUUUACUCUUUUCUGCUAUUUAUAAAGAAGAUGAGUUCACAAGCUAACUAACAAUAGUAAAAACAGAUUCACCGGCACACUCCAAUGCAUAGAAUUUGAGUUUAUAAACCAAAGAGGAAAAAAAAAGAGUUGAAAAAGAAAAAAAAACCAAAAGUGUAACCAAAUGAGCUUUAGAUUUAUUAAUCUAAUUAAAUGGCAAGUACCCAAUUUAUAUCCGCUCUCCCAAAAGGGUUACUCCCAUCAUGAGGCUUUAAAUUCCCUUUCAGGUCUCUAUUUGAUUCAUCAGUCGGGUGCAUAUUAUCUUUGCCAUCACUCUCUGUAGGUGCACAAAGCACGUCUGGGCUUUGCUGCAAAUAUUAAUCAACAAACAAGUUAUAAUGUCUCCUUAAUUUAGAAAAGCAAAUUAAAGGGUAAACAGAGACCAUGUGAAAUGAGAAAAGAAGAAAAAUAUUAUCUUAUGAUUGAGCCUAAAUGAGUCCAGACUCACAUUCUCAGUACAUGAAGCAGCAGCUACAUCUUUGGAUGAAGAUGGACCAGCUUCGGUCGAAUGAGUAAUGUUUUGAAACUGAAAUGCAUGGCAAGUUUCUUCAGAAUUAAAAAUGGACGAAUUUGAAACUUGAGUGGACUGGUUGUUAAUUUGCUGACAGCCGAUAAGGGAAGCAAUAGCAGCAUCAAAUGAAUCACAAGUGAAAGAGAUUUGACUAAGACUCGGAUUGUUCUGUGCAAGAAUUGCAUUUUCAUCUGGAGGCGGCAAUGCUUCAUGCAACAGAGCUCCAAAGCUCAUGUUGGAAAUGCUAUCGAGCCAUGAAAGCGGAGGGGCACGACAUAUCCUUUGAUCCUCCUAUUUUCAACAAGAAAAUUCGUAACUAUGUGGAGAAUAAGAGAAAUUUUUAAGUUGGAUAGAAGGUAAAGAAUAUACCACUGCUUGAACUGGGUUAUUCGACAAAGGAGUAUUAUCAGCCUUAGCCAUUCCCAUCUCUUCACCUGGUAUUCGACCUUGAGCAGAGAACCAACCAUAUCUUGGAAAGAAAAUAGAACAUAUAAUUAAGCCAAGCACCCUUAUUGCAGAUAUUAAUGAGAAAAAAAAACCCUGAAACUAUGUUAAAAACACAUGCAUAUAUAAAAAAAGACAAAGAUAAGAGAUAAACCUCAAGCGAAAAACAGCUGGGCUACCAAGUGCAGCAUAAACAUCAGCUGCAGUGGUGUCAGAGUCUUUCAAAGUCCACCUUUUGUAGCUGACCAUAUUGUUGGGACUAGAAUUGUAAGGCAAUAGCAUAAGCUCUCCUGUUUUGGUUCCCGAACUACCCCACUUGAUAUUGAGGUGCCUCACCACCGAGGAUAUUUUCUUUCGAGUAGUCAAAGUCAAUUCCAGGUAAGGAUUGUGCUUAUCCUUAAAAAUUAAGUAGAUGAUAAUACAGGUUGUCAGUUUUUAGUCAAUUUAAACAAGCUAUUUCUUCUCCCCCACACCCCCCACCCCUCGCCCCCUCCCAAAACAAAUCACAAAUAAGAAACAGCAACACUCACCUGUUCCAACCUUUUUCGCACGAUAUCAUCUAUUGGAAAUAGCUGAAGCUUAAAUUUUCCAGAUAUUUGUGGAUACCGUCCAGCCAUAACUGUAGAAUUUCCAGGUGCCGUCUCUAGGGAGCUAUGCCUCGUGUUGGUAUGUAAAGGGGAUGAUUGAGCAGGAGAAGGCAAAAGCCUUUCACAGAAUUCUACAGUAGCUUUUUCUGGAAAACAAAUGCAACACAAUUUAGCAAAUGCACACGAGAAAUCCUAAAAUUAGCUAAUAUAUUGCAUAAUUGCCGAAAAACGAAAAAGCAUGAGAGUUAUUAGUUAAUGCCUUUUGUCAAAAUUUAAAUGCUGUUUCGGUAAGGCCAAACUAGGCAAAAAUUAACUGCGUAUUUAUUUCUUCAGAGAGAAAUUUUCAAUAUAAAGUUUUGCUGCAUAAAAGAAACCCUGGAAUAUUAAAACCAUGCUUAUAAUAUGACAUGCGAAAAUUAAAAAAAAAUUCUGAAAAAAAGAGUUCAAAGUAAAGUAGAUGAUGAUCAUUGCUAAAAAAACAUUAUUAUCAGUGUUCUAAGAUUUUCUUUCUUUCUUUAGUGUGAAUAUCUUAAGCUUCUAGAACAUUUACCUGGUGUUUUACGUCUUCUUCCGCCAAUUUUCAGAGUUUCAGACUUAGCGCAACCCAGUUUGCUCUUUGAUCUCGCUUCAGCAGUUGCUUUGCGAAUGUGGCCAGUACUUUUCAUGAUUACUAAAAAGGAAACAAAUCACCCUUCUGCAAAUGGACCCUGCUACCGGACAAAGUAUUAAAACCUGAAAUAUUUAACAAGCAAGCUACUUAUUUUCUGCACGAACAUCUAGUGAAAAUGAUGAAGAUUGACUGAAGAUGCCCUAUUAAAAGUUUAAUUCCUCCAGUGAGAAGUCAGCCUUGUCGUGAGCACAUAAUUGUCGCAUGUGCCAUUAAUAGCAUGCCAUUGCAAAUGUCAGUUGCCAAUAACAGGUACUAAAAGUAAUAUUGCAAACAUUUAACAACAAAGAUUGUAAAUAGAUUACUCAGUGCGAGUACGCUUGGAAGCAUUAGACUAUAAAAUGGAGGGUUCUGUUUUCUUCGAAUAUGUGCUCAGACCUGGAAGCUAGCUGGCUUCCUUAUACACGUGAGGAUUAUACCAGUGUUGUUUCCUAUCAGAUCAAUAUUCUGGGUACCAUUGUAUCAAAGUCAAUCACAAGCCCCCUUAGGUUCAAGAAGUCGUCGAUUCAUAAAUCUGUCGAUUUAUGGCAUACAUUUCUAUUUGUUAUUCGUUCUCUCUUUUGUUACCUCUGUUGUGAGCACGUGGCAUAGUGCUCUGAAUCUCUACCAUGCACAUGGAGAGGGGGUGUUAAGACUAUUCCUGACCUAUUUCCUAUCAGAUCCAUCUUUUGUGUGACAAUCCAGACGUCUACAUGCUAACAUGAACCCUAAACCAUGAAUUUAGCAUCUAGAUGGAGCCAAGCAUGAUAAAAGAGCGAAGAGAAUCAAUUCCAACUUACAUAUAUCUUCUAGCGCCCCAACCCCCACCCCUCCCACAAAAAAAAUAAAUAAAAAUAAAUUAAAUCUACAAUUCAAGGAGAGCAAUUACUUAUCACAUCCACCUAUUUCCAUUCUCUAGAAUCCAAUUUCAAAGUUCAAAGAGAUACUAGGGCACAAAUAGCCUAAUUUCAAGCAAUGUUAGGGCAUUCACUAGAACAAAAGAGCAGCAUAUAUCACACGAACAAAUCAGCAGAACCGAUUAUCGCAAUGUGAACUAAAUAAACUCCAAUCUACAACAUGGGCGAGAAAUCACGGGUAACAACCGUUCCUUGAAAUCUCGAUCAGAAGAAGCUGCUGCACACCAAAUUAUCCGCACUCGAGCGACCGAUCCAAGAGGAGUAAACCCUAGCGCGGAGAGCACGCUCGCAAUUGCGCCCCUUUCAUCACGUGAAACCCUAAAAAAGGCGAGGUCUCCGAGACGAGCUUCUCGUAGAGAGAGCGGAGGUGGAGGGAGGAGGAGGAGAAGGGUAAGAGAAUUUGGGGGAAUUUAACUACGAACUCACCGGGAGAGAGAGAGAGAGAGAGAGAGAGAGAGAGAGAGAGAGAGAGAUUUUUGGGGGAUUUGGGAGACUCCCUCGCGCUGCUUUGGGAGUUGCCGCCUUUCUUCCAAAACACGAGCGUUUAAAACCGGAGUUGGGAGAUGGAUUGUAAUUUGUAGGGACACCAACCUGGGUCCGAAAACGUGUAAUUUGCUGGAUCCUGGAUGAACCGGGUGCACCACGUUUUUAUUGAACCGAACCAAUCAAAAUGCAAGAUAAGCAGCUCACCAAUCGCACACGAUCCUCAAAGUUCAUCUGCAGCGUCCGCAGUCAAUCAGACGGUAGAUAUUCCAUCCUACCUCCUGUUCUCAGGCCCACAUUAUGGCCCAUAGGCCGAAUAAUUGGUGUGGACCGGGCCAGGACAACUAGCCCGUUUUUGUCUGCUGCGGUUCAUGGUAAAACUGUAGACAGGGUUCAAACAAUGUAAUUACCGCAAAGUCCGCUGUUUCAGAAAUUACUGCCUAAACCUUGUCCAUCAUGGUCCAACCUCCAACUCUACUGUCCAAAGGUUUAGAAGUAAAAUUUUGGGGGCGAUUUCAAUAGUACCCUCAAAAAUUAUAUAAUAUCGCAAAUGCCCCUUUAAAUUGUCAAUAAUAAUACUUUUGUCUUUAUAAAUUAAUGAGUUAUAUCAAAAAUGCCCUCCAUCGCAUCCUUUAAGAAUUUUGGACUGAUUUAUUCCUAAUUAUAAAUAAUUAUAUUAUAUUAUGUAGGGCUAAUAAAUUUACUUUUCAUCGAAAAAUAACUCAAUUUUUGUUUAUGAUUCAAUUUAUGAAUGCAUUUUUUGCAUACUAAGUUUACAUAUAUUUUUGUUAUCUAUGACAUAUGGGUUCAUAUUAAUCAAAAUAAAUAAUUAACGAAAGCUAAAAAUAUGUUUUAUUUUUUGCAAAUCUAUUUUCUUCAGUCUAAAUUACUAUAAUUUUUUAUUUUACUAUUUAUAUACAUGUAGUUUGUUGCAACUAAUUAGUUUUAAUUUCGUAAACAUUCAAUUAUACUUAUAAUGUUUUGAAAUAAAAUAAUAUUUAAGUUCAUUUAAAAAGUACAAAUAAUAGAUGAUGGACAAAAUGAAAAUUUUAUUUAAUUUUGUAACAAAUAAUUAUCAAUUUGAAUAUUUAUGAUAUUUUUUUCUAAAUUACAGAGGUAUAUUUGAUGUUUAUACAAUUCAAGGUUGGACGAAAGGUGCAUAUGAAAUUAACCCUAAAGCUUUAAACCAUUAAAUGAGUUUUAUAACACCUACUUCACUUAAAGUGUUAAGUUUUGAUAAUAUAUAUUUAGAGAGAGAGAAUUUGACUUAUGUGCUUUCAAAAAUACUGUAAUUUCCGUACUUUACACUUAUUUUUGAUGAUGUAAUUUUUAAAUACGUGCAUAUUUGUAAUAAUAAUUGACUUAUAUACGUGUAAGUUACACAAAAUUUUAUAUAAUAUAAAGUUCAAUCUAGAGGACUUAAACUUAAGAUCUAAAUUAUUAAAUAUGAUCUACAGUAUUUAAAAUAUAUACUUAUAUAAAGUUUCACAAAUUUUAAAAUUGAUUUACUAUACAUCAAGUGGUGUUAAAAUUAACCAUCCGAAAUUUUCAAAUAAAAGGAUAAUAUUAGAAACUCGAGAUAUAGAUUUUCGAUAAUCGUGAUUUUUUGCAUGUAAACUUUUUUGUGUUGUAAAAUAUUUUCAAUGAUUUAGAUUUUUAUUUUAAAACUUUUAUGAUUAGAUCUUUAACUCAUAUGAAAAGUCGGCUUUUCGCUGACGUGGUGGACUAAGUCCAUAAAAUAUUUUCUAUUAUUAUAUCCCGAGAGGGUGACCAUGCAGCAAUCGUUUAUAAAAGAAAAUAACCCCUCUCUCUCUCUCUCUCACAUUCUCUCUCUCUCUCUCUCUCUCUCUCUCUCUCUCUUAUUUGUCGUCGACACCACUCCGAAGAGAGGGAGAGAGGGGGAGAGGGAGAGAGGAGAAGAGCGGAGGAAGAAGAAGAAGAGGGAGAGAUCCAUGGCGAAGAAGAGGAAAUCAGACGCGGCGCACCUCGACGAGGUGGAUCGGACGAUGCACUCCACGUUCUGCAGCGCCGCGAACUCGCUCUCGCAGAUCUUCACCCACGCCAUGGCCCAGCAGAAGCUCGCCUUCCAAGCCGGGGAGCGCCACAGCAUGGUUCGAUUCGAUCGGUCCCCAACCCACCUCUCUCUCGAUCUCUCCCCUUUUCGCGUUUGAAUCGGCGGUAGUUUGCAUCCGAUCGAUCAUUUCCGGUCCCUCUUGUAUGAUCGGUUGCGGUUUAUUGUUGUAAUUUCGAUCUGAUGAGUUUUGGUCCCUGUACUGAUGGAUCUGCCACCUUUUCUUCUUAAAUUUUGGUAUUAUUUGAUUUAGAUUCCCUGCAAUUGAUAACAAUUAAAAAAUAAGGAAUCUCCGGUGGCCUUUUGCCGACCUGUAUUUGGUUCUCGACAUGAAAUUCAAGGUGCUAGAUGUGUUAUUACUGUGAAAAAGUGUGAAGAGUUACGGAUUAUGGAUAUUUUUUGGUUCAUCCGUUGAUUGAUUUGUUCUUAUGCUCCUUAAAUAUCUGCAUCAUGUGACACAGAUUUGUGGUGAUUGGUUAUGUUAGGUUAGAAAGGAAUAUCUAGGCCUUUUUUCUAAGAUAUGAAAGCGUUAUAUUAUCUGUAUUUGGUACGAGGCAUGUGGUUGGAGUGCUACAUGUGUUACCACCAAUACUCUGGUUCCAGUGUGAUGGGUUUGUUCUUCUGCUUCUUUAAUUGCGGUAUCACGUGACAUAGAUCUGUGACGAUUGAUUUAAGGUUAAUGAAGAGCUUCCUAGGGCCUUUUGCUAGGUGUGAAAGCAUAAAAUGUCCCGGCUCUUGUAUUAUUAAACUGGUGAUCAAGGUGCCGGCUAUGUUAUAACUCACAAAGACUGAAGAGUAACUAGCAGAACAACUAAAUUUUAGCUUAAUAUAUGGGAUUUUUUUAUGCAUUUCCUUUUUCCUCUUUCUCUAUAAUUCUAUAAAAAUCUAUUCUAUAAAAUUUAGAGAAAAAGCAGGCUCAAUUAAACUUCCAUGAAGAUGCGAGUUUGUAUGAUGUUGCAAGUUUUCUGGACUUUUUGAGUUUCUUGUAUGUUUUGUUGUUUCUGUAUGUAAAAGUGCAUGAGGUUCAGUAAUGUGCCAAGCAAAGUUAUUGCCUCUUACGUUUUUAAUUUUUUACAGGAGAAAGUCUACCAGUGGAUUUUGAGACACCAUGAGGAAGGUUCAAGGGUUGCGGUUGCGGAUGUAGCUUCGUACCUACAGGUUAGGUGAAAAAUAUUGCAUUGGAAUUUCUGUAACAUUGUUGGUUGUGUGCUUCCCAUCCAUUUAACAUUUCUGGUAUAUCUUACUUAGUUUUCCUUUGAUAUAUUUUAUUCCACACAAAGAAUUUUGGUUAUAUAUGAAUAUUAAUCCUUUUUAUGGUGCUGUUUGUUCUAUCAUGAAAUGUAUAUGUUGUCCAAUGGCCAUGCUUUCAUCUUUUCGAUAAAUUCUCCCCAGAGGUCAAUCUUUUUUGCUUUUAAUCUUCUUAUCAAGUUUUUGAGUUUUUAUAGAGUUUGUGGUUUCGCUUACAUUCCUCUUAGAGGUUCCUCUGGUGGGUUCUUAGCAUGAUCUUGUUUGGCUGUUCAGCUGCUUUGAAAGCUAAUUGUUUGUAUACUUUGUAGGUUACAUAGGACUGAUUAAUCGCUGACUCUGCAGUUAUUCUCUCCAAUAUCUUCUUUGAAACUUACACAUUUUAAUAAUGCUUUGUAUUUACUAUGUGAUUCUGUUCUCAAUGUUGGUCAUAUGUUAGCAAUAUCCUUCUAGUCUGUAUUCCUGCUGCUUAACUUAUUGCCUAACAUUUGCUUUUAAGUAUAUUCAAUAAUUUAGCCUUAUUAAAAUCCGAAAUAUGUAAGCUCCUAUUCAUAUUUUAACAUGCUAUGAACCAUUACUCCCUUAAUAGAGAUCUCUGAUUUCACAUUCUUUAAAAUUUGGUGGCAGUUUGGUCUUAAAAAUGCAAUCACGGGAAAUGACUCAAAAGAUUAUAUUUAAAAUUUACAAUUCAACCUACUCUCUAUUUUACCUCUUCCAUUUUAAAGAGUUGGUUGGUUUUUUUUUUUUUUUUCUUUUGUGAGAAAAAUAAUGGUUAAUGUCUUUUUAAUACCCAGAAUUCAAAGUUACUUCUGGUGAUUAUUGUGAUCUUUGAUUAUAUCAGCUUGUAUGAUCUAAAAGGAUUUACACUGUCAGUUUUGAACUUUUUCUUCUUUCAAGUUCCAUUGUGAAUUACCCUACUUCUUUUCCUGAUUCUUUAUUUCAAUAGGUGCGGCAUUAUGUUAUUUGGCUUUAACCCAAUAUCUAGUGCAACAGCCCUGUGAUAUGAUAUUAACUAGAUCCCUACACUUUUGGAAAUUUUUUCUGUGAAUUAGAACGAAAUCAAUAUUGGAGGAGAGGAGGUAUCAAUGUCUCCUCGUUCACAAUUCCCGAAUCAGCAUACUCAAUCUGUAUUACACUUUGCAAGCACAACACCGCAGAAUCCUUCUUCUACAUCUGGACAAGUGACUUCUCUCUCCUGCCUGGCCCAACAUAGCCUUCUGCCUUAUCACCUGGUCCAAUUGGGAGGGUAUCACUCAACCAAUGUCUUGCCUAAUGGAAAUACAUCUCGGAACAAUGAUGUGAACUCAAAUGAUUCAUCCAUGGAUAUGCAUUCUGAUGGCCUGUGAACCGUUCAAUGGUUUUGGAAACAUAAUUGUUAAUUCUGAUUUGUGUCGAGAUUUACUGCAACCACCUGCCCCAGAAAUUGUUAAAGUUCGAGGUGCUAAAAGAAAAUACGUCUUAACAAUUUCACAGCAUAUCCGAAGUUGUCAGGAGUACUUAUUCUGUGCUUGUGAGCAGUUUUCCCUGCUUUGUUUGGACAUUUAGACCUUUUUUAUCUUCUAUUUCGAAUUUUCCCUUUUUUUUUUGUUCCCUUUGCUUAUGAGAUUAUGGGUUGUCGUGGUAAAGUCUUAGUUUUGUAAUUUCUCUUUUUUUCUCAUUGUAAUUAGUCCUGUAACUUUUUUUUGUUUCCUUUUUUUGAUAGUCAGUCCUGUAAUUUCUAGUAUAUUUAAGGGCAGUGGAUAGUACAUAUUGCCAGCUUAUGCUUAACUAUUACUUUGGGUUAGGAUAUUUAGGUCGUUAUUGAGUUGUUGAAAUUACUUUGCUUACGUCAUUGACCUAUUUGUGUGUGGCUUGUCAAAAGCACUUAGACGGCCUUUUUACUUUACCCAAAGUGGACUAAACAAGGUUUCAAAUUGAAGUAUCCACUUCUGUAGCCUAGCUAAGUUGAUUUAGCUUCCAGCUAUAGCAUGUUUCGCUAGUCAAAAGAUCUUCUGAGAAUACAAUUGGCCUACGCAGAUCAAAAAAAAGAAAAUAAUACAUAUGCAAAAACAGAUAAAAGAAAAAGAAAAUAAUUACAUCUGCGAACGAUAAGACAAAGCAUACAAAAUACCUCCAUAUCAAAUGAAAAUGGUUAAAGAAAUUUUUAGCCUCCAUUCAGUUAACCUUCAUUCAGUUUGCACUGAGAAUUUGUCAUCAAUAUUAGACAUAAAUAAUAACAAGACUCAGCUAGAUUUAAGGAAUGUUGCUAUAAUGAUACCCAACUUCUUUUAAGUUACAUCAUCCAAUGAUGGGGAAUAACAGUUGCAUCAUUAUCUACAACGAAAAAUAAAACGAGAGCUGUUUCUUUGCCUACAGACUUGAAACCAAACAAUUAAGUUACAAGACUAAAUAAUCAUAAUCAAUCUUACAGUUCAGCAGUUUAGUGCCAAAUUUACUCUUAGGUGGUGAAUCGAUGUAUCAUGAUAGAGUCAUUCUGCAUGGAUGUCAACAGUGAAGCGGGCACCCUAACUCCGUGGCAGCAGAAUCAAGGAAAGAGAGUGUUAAACCGGUUGCACGCCGGCUAUGUGCUUCCCAUUUUAAGCACUUGUCAAUAUCUGCUAGCCAGUUGGUGAAGCCCGUGGUUAAGCGGUAAGCAGGAUUAGCAGACGUGGUCGAGCUGCUGUGGAUGAUAUCACGAAGAAUUGCAGUGCUGAGGGCGCGAACAUGCGCGCUUGGGUGAGAAAGGCAACGGAUUGUAGCUGAUAGACGACACUGCAUUUUUCACAUUAGCUGUAAGGUUAGAGAUUUUAUUUCAAGGGUAAAAGAGUACAAACUGUGCCUGCAUAUCUUUAAUCUUACAGUAUGUUUUGAUAUCACAAAAUUCUGGCAAAUUUUGUUUAGUCUUAAUUGUUACCAUUGGGAGUUAUCCAAUGUAAUAGCAAAGAAAGUUAGUAGUACCAUUAAGCUAUGAUGAAACGGUGUACCCAUUUCAAAAUGGCUAAUAGAUCGGAUAACAUCUAUAUUUCUAUCUCAUUCUAUUUUACUUGUAAAUGUUAUACAAUCAAAGAAAUAAAAGUAGGUUAACAUGCCUUCAGAAGAUUUGAGAGGCCAUCAGCAACUGCCAAGCCCGUUUCUCCCCAUUGAACGACAAGAUGGACUGCUCUAGCUGUUACUUCCAGGAGCUGCUCAUUUUUGUAUAGAUGAAAACUCAGAAAUAAGAAAAAGCGGAGCAUGUAGUCAGCAAGCACAACAACUAAUUUAAAUGCUAAUAUGUAUGAUAUCAUUAGACAAAUCAGGAAAACACAUUUAAGAAAAUUAACAUAUUGUUAGACUUCCGACAACACAAAAUCCAUAGAAAAUGUUAGGGCUUAUUUGGCCUAGCUGGAGUUUUUGCAGAAAUAAUCGUUUUACUAGAGCUGUCAGUAAAAAGCACUAAAACUUACUUUUAUUUAGAAUUCGCAACAGCUUCCUACUAUGGCCAAAAGGGAAGCUUCAAAUAGACAUUUCUGCUUUUGGAGGCCAACUGACUCAUUCAACUUUCCGGACUAGUAAAAACUCCAUUAUUUUGGUAGCCAUCGUUGAUUUUGAAAGCUAGCAUUUGCUUUCUGAUGGAAAGAAUCUGGUCCAAAGGUUAGGCCAGAGGGCACCUAAUUCCUCUAAUCACGUUCACCCUCGUUUCUCUACUCAAUAUCGUCAUAUAUUUCUUGUUAACUAACUUGAAAAUUCAUACUAUUAAUGACUUCUUCAGUUAUGAAAACUGAAUAUUACCUCUAACUGGGGCAACGUGCAUGCUUCACCGUCAACAAGCAUUCCAUCUGUGGCACGUAGAAGAAGAUCUGAAGCGCUAGCAAGAAUGAUUAAAGUCUCAGGGCUAUCGUGAUUUCUCAGGAGUUCGACAAUCAACUUAACAAUUCUCUGGUUGACUCUCCACAUUCUCUGGCCCUGUUCACCGUCCCUUGCAAUCCAUGGCUGCAGAUCCUUUUCUGCCUGUCCAAGAAAAAAAUUUCCAGAAAAGUGACUGAAAAGAGUGAAGCAGAAAUAUGAUAGAAGUAGAUGCAAUUUCUGGUAAGGACUAAUGAGCUAAAAUGAAGUUUGGACCUGUAGGACAAUAGCAGUUGAGGCUUUCGUAGGUGAAGCAGAAACAACAUCGCAAAGAGCGUCCACCACCUACAGAUAAUGGUGAAAUUGUUUAAUAUGACCAAUUCUCAGAAAGCAAAGCAGAUCAAUGUUCCUUCCUAUAGUAUCACCAAUGGUGAAUAUAUUUUGCUUAUUGGAUUUGAGAAUAAAAUUGUAAAUAACAAGUUAUCAAUAUUUGUAAAAAUAAUGGCUAUGAUUUGCAACAAACAAUUCUAGGUACCCAUUUAGCUGGGCCAAAACGGGCUUUGCCCAAAAUGAAGGCGUUUGGCGGAGGCGGCAGAACGCAAUUUUUGGCGUUCCACACCCUCCGCUCUUUCUACCGUAGAAGCUCCAACAAUAGAGCUUCUACUAUAGAAACUUAGGGGUUAAUUUUCGAAGUUAAUUUUAGGGGCCAAAAUAAACUUUGGGACCAAAACAAAAAAACUUUGGGUUUAUUGUCAUGCUGGUCCUCAAUGUUUGUAAGUUUUUAUAUUUUGGUCCCCAAUUUAUUUUUUAGAAGUUAAUUUUGUUUGAUUUAAAAUUUAUGAAUUUUAAAUUUAAAUUUUAAAGUUAAAUUAUAUUUUGAAUUAAAUUUUAAAAAUUACAGUUACAUUUUAAUCCAAAUUUUAAAUUUAAAUUUGAUGGGUUCCAAUUUCAAAUUUAAAUUCUAAUUUUGAAGUUGAAUUUCAAAUUAAUUUGUAUUCAAAUUUUAAUUUUAAAAUUUAAUUUUGGAUUAGAAUUUUAAAUUUAAAUUCAAUUUUGAAAUUCAAAUUUAAAAGUAAAUGUGAAAUUCAAUUGCAAAUUUAAAACAGCUCCGCACUAUUUCCCACGGUACUUUUCCCGUAGCGCUAUUCUUCAUAGCUAGGCCAAGCAGAUCCUAGAUGAACUAAUGCACCGUAAGUUACUACCCUUUAGAUAGGGCAUAAAGAUUUAGUGUGCAAAACCAUGACCAUGUGCAUUAUCAUCUAGCCUCUCUCAGAUAACUGGAAAGAAUAUUAUCAAAGGUUCUGAAACCUAUCCAAUAGAUUGAGACAUGAAAAGUCAAGGAACGAGAUGAAGAUAAACUUUAAGUCAUUACAUAUAUGCUUCUACCUACAAAACUUAAAAAAAGAUUCGAGAUAAAACUGCAUAAUAACUAAAAACAAAAUAAUGAAUUGAGGAAGAACUAGAUUUUAGGAUGAUUGGAGCUAGAAAGCUGUAAUGGUGAAUUGUAAAAUCAUAGGAAAAAAAAAAAUCCAAAGGCAAGCCUUUCAGUUGACUGUAGUUUUAUGAGUAAGGAAAUGAGUAUACCUGUCUCCAGCCCUGAUGAGCGGACGUACUUUCCGCACUCAUCUGUGUUUCCGGUGCAACGAUCAGCUUAUGCCACAAUAGCGAAACAACAGAGAAGCACAGCUCCUGCUUCUCUGCAAGUACAGAUCUUAGAAAUGCUUGUGAACCACAUUUAUAUCCCACAUUCCGAUCCAUCGUAAGAAAAUUUGCCAAGUCUGAAGCAUCCACAGGCAAACUCCUGACACUUUUCUCCGAAGCACUAGCAAUAUCAUCAUUCGACAAAAGGGCUUGCUCGCAUUUCAAUAGUGGUCCAGAAGAGCCCUCCUUAGAUUGUGAGCUUGAAGAAGCUUCAUCUUGCUCAAGGAUAUCCAUUUUUCUGCUGCUCGUACACACCAAGUGCGCUUCGAGGGGCUCAGCCUUGUCAACUAUGGAGGCAACUGUUUUACCAUGAAUAUCAAUUAGGUGGUAAAGAGAUGAAGCCCUAGCAGAAAUUUCUGGGUCCCACCUGCACCGCAUCAGCACGGAGAGAGCAUUCAUGCAUGCCUUUGAUCGCCCAAAUAGUUCUGAUACAUGUGCUGCGACCAUAGCUGCAGCUACAAUCUCAUUUGAACUGUAACUCCACGAUGUACCAACCGAUGAUGGCUUUAAUGAAAAAAGGGCUUCCAAUAUUCCAAGUAUUCUACGAGUGUGACAUACUGCAGAAUUUAUACUGUUCUGCAACUCACUAUUAACACCAUUGUGUUUUGCAGCUUUGCUGAUUUUGGAGGAAUCUUUAGAAUCCAAACGGAUGCCAUUUUUGGAAAUCAAAGGAAACAGCUGAAGCUCACAGGCCAAGGCACAUACAGCAGCUAGAAUGUACGAAUCAAAUGUUGCAACCGGUCCAUGUUUUUUCUUGUUUUUCUGUUUUUCGGUUGUUUUUCCAUUGACAAUUUGUGGGUCCUCAUGGAUUUCAUUAGAAGAGUGCCUGUUGUAACCUGUCGGUCUUUUACUUCCACCUGGCGAAGCUUCGUGACUAACACAAACAGUUAAUACUACAAACAGUAACCGGGAGGCGAGUUCCAUAGAAGCACAAGAUUCCAUAAACAAAGAAUGAAUCAUAGUGUGAAGCUCAGCGACAGCUAGAUUCCUAGUUGUAGACCACAUACUGCCAUGAGAUCUUGAUUUUCUUGAUUGAUCAACAGAAGUUUCUGAAGGAAAAGUCCUCCUAAGUACAGCUUCAACUGUGGCCACAAAGAUCCUCAUAAGGCAUGCUUCAGACGGGCUUCCUCGAGGGAGAUAUUCCAAAACUUUUAGAAGAGGUAAAUAUAAGCUCCAUGAUAAAGUAGGAGGUUGUAAGGGGGCGGCGACUACAAUAUCUGGCAAAUCAACAGCUGAGGAACUCAGAGGCAGAAGCCCAUAAGCAGCUUCCCAGAUAGCACAAAUUCUCCACUCAACAUCUGGGCCAUGAGCACAUAACAUUGAAGCAAUUCCUUGUGCGGUUGCCUCAAUAGUGGCUUCAGAAGCAGGAGCUUCUAACUGUUCAAGAUAUUAUCAUUAGCCAUAGGAAAUAGUAAUCAUGAAGAAGUGAAGAUGAAGAUAGUGUUGAUUCCAAGCUCUGUUAACUUACCUGUUUUUUGUAUGAUGAUAUAUAGCCACCUAAUGGUUCAUGAUGGACUUCAACUCCUUCAGCAUGUCUUAAUGGAGGAAAAAGUAAUGUAGGCUGUGACAGUAUACGGAAAAGUAAAGCAGCUGCUGCAUCUGCAGCAAUACCAGCUCUCAUGGACAUUGCAGUGCCAAUUGCACGCAAAAAAUGUAAAUGCAUCCAAUUUCUUGGGAGCUAGAAAAGAAAUAAAGAAUGUCAGGAUCUACAUAAAUUUUAAUUUGUUCAAUAACAUUUUUGAUAAGCAAAGAGAUAUAAUUUGUGACACAAUAAAAGAGUAAAGGCAUCUGCCAAUAUUUUGUGUAAACCAGAUUUUACAAAGGUACUGUUCACAAGUUGUACCUUCUGAGAGUAACAGAUAUCCUAGAAACUGUGUGAUGCAAUUUAGAACAGUUUAUUUCCACAUUUAUUUUUGAUGAAACAAAUGACAAAUAAAAAUGAUAUUAGAACAAGCACUAUAACAAUAUCUUUUCACAUAUCUGCUAUCUAUUGAAAAAUGCUUCCUACCCUCAUUCCCGUUGCGUAAUCCUCAGCUGCUCUAAGGAGUUCAACAAGUUGCACGGCAGCAUCAAGUGCAUCCGGAGCCCAUGAUGGUGGUGCUUCAAGAAGUCCAAGUAGAAGCCGUAGUGUUGCACUUGGAGUGGCAAUUGCAUAGUACCUGAAACAGAGGACACCUCUCACAAUAUAUCAUUGGGGUUUUCUUACAUAUAUACCCCUGCAAAAUCAUCUAUUACAUAUAUAUACCCCCAAAAAUCUUAAUUUUCAUACAAACCUCUUGAAAGUGCUUUUUUUUGCUGAAGUACUAUUAUUUCAGAUUGGUGACUUGUCAAAUUCAAUCAGGAAAGUUAGCUUUGCAUUAAAGACUUUUGCAGAGGUACAAGGGUUUUCUGACAAUCAAGUUCUUGAAUGGCAUAUGUGAAAUUUCAGAUUGUCAAUGAAUAUAUAUAUAUAUAUAUAUAUAUAGAGAGAGAGAGAGAGAGAGAGAGAGAGAGAGAGAGAGAAUUGAGCUCGAAUACAUCUAGAAACCUAUAUUAUUCACAUACUUCUAACUUCUCAACCCUUGGAUCUAUAUACUAGUACCACCACAAAAUAGUAAAUCCUAGGCAUCCAAGGGAUAAAAAGUUUGGUAGUGAGUGAAUAGUAAAUGGUUCUAAAAUAGCACACACACACACACACACACUUAUGUUCUUUACUUCAGUGCAGGCCUUAUCGGCCAUUCACCUUGCUAACCUACUUUGUUCAUCCUUCGAAGCGUUAAGCUUAACCUCUCAAGUUCUUCAAUGUGAAUGGAUCAUCCCAAAUUCUAUGAGGUAGUUUCAAAGGCAUGGAACCAAUCCUUCUCUAGCGCCUUAUUUUGUUUUGACUUGGAGAUACACAGAUCAUAUAGUCCACCUACAAUGCUUCUCAUAGGACAUGAAUAGUGCAUGCUAUCAACAUUUUAGCCAUUGGAUUCACAAUAUACCACCACCAAAUAGUAAACCCUAGGCAUCCAAGGAUUAAAAAAUUGGUAGCAAGAAUUAUUCAUGUGCUAUUAGGAGCGUUCUAGCCAUAUAUAUAUAUAUAUAACAAAAAAAAUUGGCAGGGAAAUUAGGAAAACAUUCCUAUAUCAAUAUUAUUGUGUGGAAAAAUUUUUAGGUACUUGUCUAUUAGUACAGUACCUGACAAGAAAGGCAGCCAUAUGCACAGAAUCAAGUAUUUUACAUAUAUAUAUAUAUAUCCAUCAUUAUUGACAGAUGUAUCCCUGCAAAAUCUAAAUUUUGAUAUAUAUACACCUAGAAAAGUGCAGCUUCUUACAAAAGCAACUUAAAGUUAGGAGUCAUUCAAUUUAUCGGGGAAGUUAAAGCUUUGUAUCAGAAGGCAUUCAAGAGAGGUAUUUAUUGUAGGUACAAGGGUAUGUAUGUGAGAACUAAAUUUCCAAUAGGAAAAUAUGAAAUUCAGAUUUUACAGGGAUAGUAUGUAUAUAGAUAAUUCUACAGGUAUGUAUAUGUAAACAUCUCAAAAUAAAAUUAUAUGUAAAUAUCUCAAAAAUUAUACUUAAGUGCCAGUUAUAGGUAUUCCUAUAAUCACCUGUGAAACAAGCGUGCAUAUGGUUCAAGAGCGGGCAACCCAGCUACUAGAUGCUCGUCUAAGGAAGUUGUGGGGGGAGGAAGCAGAAGUGCAGGAACAGCAGCUGCGGUCAAAUUUGCAGUUUCAUAACGAGCUACUUCCUCAUCACAGACGCUAAGUAUGACUCCAGCUCCAUUGGCGACAGCCCAUCUUGGAGUGGAUGGCAUAAGCUGGGGAUGCUUUCCAGAUCCACGGCUACAAGCUAGCGUUAAAACAGAAUUUAUCAGGAACUAAGGGUUUUUAAUACCCGAUUAUACAUAUGUUAAGACAUUAAUAGAUGGUAGAAAAAGCAGUCAAAGAUUAUGAGCCAAUAGCUUCUGAAAUCUUUUCAAGAUUUUGGUAUCCUGAGAAAAGUAAUUUUAAUAUGAAAAAGUACAGCUAUUUACAUAUAGAGAACGGGAAUAAAAUUGUAGAAAAAAACAAAAUAACAAAGUACCGUGAGUAUGAAACUAAUUGUCUUGAGAAGAAAAGGAAUGGUUAGAUACUGACAGGAAAAAGGAAAAAGUUCUUCUAAAGCUUGCUCUUGUAGAAAUAUAAAACAGCUUUUAAACAUCCAUUCCAAGAAAAUCCUCAUAUGCAUGUGAGCCAAUAGGAAAAAUAUUAGACAUUGCAACAUGAAGACAAAAAUUAGCACCUUCAAUAUGUCAAAAGCAAAAGGAUGGUGUAUAGCAUACAUAUAUUCAAAAGAGAAGUCCCAAGUCCUAACCCUAGAAAAGAAGAGUUCAGAUAAUUGCAACUUGAUGUGUUAAAGAUGUUAACAGUUUCUUUCACUAACCAGUGGUUGGGGGCUUUAAUUCUCCACCACCUGCAUAUUUUCCCAUGACACCGCCACACCUGAUUAAGAAUGUAAAUCAUAAUUAUGGAACCAUAUUAACCUCCAUUUGUAGGAAUUAUUCUGAGACACAGUGAUGCAAUGACAAAUAACUAAAAAAGAUUUUCUCUACGCAGUAACUACUGCUGAGAAUAAUAGACCUAUAAAUUUGCACUACUAGUUUCUGCACAUCCUGUAGGAACUUAAUACAAAUUUACAUAAAGAAUCCAGAGUGACCAAGCAUUUAUAAAGACAAAUGAUGAAAGAAAAAAAAAAUCGUUUAUAGAGAAUCAACAGAAAGAACAGGCUCAUGUUUUCAUUAAAGAAUACAACAAAGUAAGAAACAGCAAAUAGAGUUGGUCCAGAUAUAUAUGUGUAAAUGGGCAUGCAAACAUACACAAAUAUAAUAAACAUGUACAAAUGAAGAGUGAUCAAGCAUUUAUUUUUAUAUUAACUGUUAAUAUACUACCAUGUUCAUCACAGGAGAAAAAGAAAAAAUAUAUUGCCGGUCACAAACAUGCUCCCCAUGUAUCUUUGAUUAUUACUGGGAUCAAUAUAUAUAUAUAACCAAAUAUGACCAAACAGCACAGAGAAUAGUAUUGCUCACAUACCAUCGAAAAUAGUCACUCCGAAUGCCCAAUGGAGCAGCAAGCAGUAAAUCAGUGAUCCAAGGAGAUAACAGUCGCAAUGGCUUCCGUUCAUGUUCAUUUAGAAGAGGAUGCCGAAUAUUUUUCUCCUUUGAGCCACUUGUAGUGGCAUAAUCACCACUGCUACUCCUCUCUAUGUCAUUCUGCUGAUGCUCAACCUUAUAGAUUGGCCGAUUGUAGUGUGUCAGUACCCUUAGUACUUCUCCACAUGCCAAAGCCCAUUGUUCUGAAUAUUCUUUCUGCAAUACCAAGCAUCAAUUAUGAGUUUCUGUAACAAGCGGUUGAGAUUAGUAAAACAGUCCACCUAGACGGCGGUAACUAGUGCAUUCUUUAGAGCUUCCUACCUCAUUAGUUCGGCUGAGAAGAGAUAUGAAAGAGCUGAAUGGAGGAUCAUUUUUAUUAUAAGAUAAUGUCCCAUCUAUUAUACGUGAAAGAAUCGGAUGGACAACAGCAUGACCGUGCUCUGGAUGAUGAAGAACAAAUAUUGCUGGAUAUAAAGUAAUUAACAAACGUCAGAAAACUCUUUUCACACAAAACAAAAGGAUCAGAGUUAAUUUUGGAGUUCAGGUAAUUGACAAUGCUUCUAUUGGCCAGAGCAAGACUUAAUUACCCAACACUUCAUCCACUAAGCGCCUUUCUUUAGAUGGAUAACAAAUUUCGAUCAGCUGCACAAAGAAAUUCAAGCAGGUUAGAAUACAUCAUUAAGUCUUUGCCUUCGAAUUUAUGCACUUUUAUACUGCCUAUGCUACAGUACAAUAAAAUACUUGUUAAUCUAGUUCUAAUAUAAGUUCUCUUUGCAAUAAGUGCUUUAACACAUUAAAUCUAAUCACAGCCAUCCAUAAAGGAAAAAGAAGGCUAUACCUGAGCUAUAUCUUCUGGAAAUUGCUCUGAGGUGAACUGACCAAAGUAUUCAACAUAGGCCAUAAUUUGUGCCUUCAAAAGAACAGUAAAAAGCGUAUUAGUCAUAUAAGAAACUAUUGAAUCUUCUCAAGCCGAUAUGAUAGAUAGAUCGGUGUUUGUCAAGUAAAGUGUUUGAUGAUCCUGAGAGGUUAAACUGAGUUUACUUUUGCAGAAUCAUAAUUUAGAUCGAACAGGAAAAAGAGAAAAGUGAAUCACCUUUUCUUCCGUUAUAUUAUGUUUAUUGUUAACAACUAACGUAUCAUACAAUACAGAAUACUUCUAAAUAACAGACUUUCUGCUUGGUUUAGGAUCAUAAAACAAAUUACAUAAUGGAGAACCUAUUACUUCUGUUGAGAACCUAUUGAGAUAAUAAUACCGCACAAUUAAUUAAUUGGCAUAAUGGUAGAAUAAUCUUCGAUACUAGAAGAUCAAUUUCUCAAGCAUCGGAGUUUUUAAUGUUUACACAGUGAAAUGAAAGAAAAAGUAUAGGAAUUUUACUAGAUAAACAAAGCUGUUUUUCUCAAAGAAACACCUGACUAACAAAUCCUAGCAAGAAAAGAAAAAACAAGUUCAUUUAUGUGAAUCCAAUAUCUUACUAUCUACCCAAAUAUUUUACACACUUGGAAUAGUAAAAUGUAUCUGGUGUAAAAGGAUUAAAAAAGGAAAUGCCAAAAAGCUAGAAAAAAAAUUGAACAAUGGGAAUUAAAUAUAUAGAUCUCCCUCCUUACCUGCCUCUGUAGCUCAUCUUGUGGUGGUGGCCAGAAGAGAGAUGAAAAUUGUAGCCCAUCAAUCCACUUCUCACAUGACGCAGACAUACUAAGCCCCUCUGAGAAUCCUCCCUAACAGCUAAAGGAGCAAGCCAAGCAGCAGCGUCUAUAUUACAAUUAACAAUCAAAGCACCUGUUUUCUUAAGACAAAAAUAAAAAAAUCACAGCACCCUACUAACACAGCACCCAAACAGCUCUUUGUAAUUUAUAGCACUUCUAUAACAUGAUUAGCCAAACACUUUAAAGCUUUUUUCAACAGCACAACAUCGCAUCUUACAGCACCUCUCCAAUAGCCCAACCAAUAGCUAGACCAAACAGGCUCUAUGUCCUAUUCUCUGUAGCACAUAUAUACCUGACACCAAUCCCAGCUCGUCAAAUUAACAAUUCUCAGCAAACCCAACUCUCUCCAAAUCCAAUGAAUUAUCUCAACAUCUUCUUCAUUAACCCCCCAUGGGGGGGGUUCAAAUCGCAUGCUGAGGAUAAUCUCAAUUAAUCCCACCCAUAGCAAUCUCCAAAUCUCUGCAUCAAAACACAGAACUGGGAGGAGAAAUAAUGGAAAAGGGGAACAACAACAGAAUUCUUCUCCUCUCCGAAUUACCAAAUUAUACUCAAGAGAGAUCGAGAAACAGAGAGCUCCAUUCUCUACUGAAAACUGCAAGGAAAUUCCAAAAAAAGCCAAAAACUACUGCGAAAUCCAAAUAAAUCAAAAUAACAAUCCAACGAGGUAUCGAGAAUUAGAACAAAUUAUAGAAAUAAGCAAGAGAAAUAUCUACAUCUAUAUCGGGAAACAGAGAUUCUCUAAGAAAAAAAUCCAAACAAAACGAAAAAGUGACGAAAAUUACUGCAAAGUCCAGCUAAAUUAGAAUGCUAUCCAAGGAGGUAUCACAAAUCACAAAUUAGAACAAAUUACCAAAAAUAAGAAGAAUGAUAUCACUACAUCGAUAUCGAGAAACAGAGAGCUCCAUUAUCGAGGAAAAAAAAUCCAAAAAUAUCCAAAAAAAAUCCAAAAUAGCCAGAAAAUCCAGCUAAAUCAGAGUAAACUAUCCAACGAGGCAUCAAAAAUCAGCAAAAAUUACAGAAAAAUAAGCAGAACGAUAUGAUUACCUCGAUCGAUCGUUCAAGGUGGAAAGUAGGGUUUUCAGAGCUCCGCGUCGUAGGAGGAUGGAGAAGCGAGGGGUAGAGCGAGAGAUAGAAGGGGAGGAGAGAGAGAGAGAGAAUAGAUUUUUUAGGAGCGAGAGGGUUUUAUUUUUGGGUGGAGAGCGAACGAGAUACUUCGCCGAUCCGGGGGGUCCUCGUUUGGAGGCUAUGCUUCGCCCUCCUGAUCACCCCCCUGCUGACGUGGCACUGAUAUUUUCGCGAUGGGGGUCUAUGGCCAUGCCAUGCCCUCAUCAUGCAUGCAUGAGUCAAUGGCCCCAUCCAUCCCUUGUCCAUGUAGAUGUCUCGACGUGGCAAAAUGACCGAAACGGACUCGGGCCGUUGGAUGGAGGGGAACGUUGGUGAUCGGACGGUGAGGAUGGUUUUGGGGUGGGCUGGGUGACGUGUUCCAUGUCGAUACGCAUCCGUUGGCAAGUGGGACAAGUGGACGGUCGGAAAGGAAGGUAGUGGAUCGACCGUGCAAAGUGGUGGGCCCGUGUGUUGUAGUAAAAUUUACAUGAUGCACCGGUUAUAUUAAUUAUGUAGCGCUCUCAAUCAAUUAAAUAAUUUUUUAAAAAUUUAUUUAUUUAUCAAUAAUUAUAAAAAAUAUUUUUAUUAUAUUUUUUAAAAAAUAAAAAAAUAUGAGUGACUUAUUAUUAAUGAUAUGACGUAAGUAUAACAUGCUAGAUUUUCUCGUGUUGUACACUCAUCCGAACACCAUUUGUGGAAUCGUAGUUGAUUAUAUUUUGCUUGAGUGGAACUUUCUAGAAUGCUGUCAAAAUGAACUGUUAAUUAAGAUAGAUUUGUGAGAGGAUUUUUUAGUCUUUCGAUUUUUUUCUUCUUUUUUCUCUUGGGCUCAGACAAGAUUUAUACAAGAGUGAUCCAAUUUUUUUUUUCUCUGUAGUUACACAGUAACUUUUUUCAUGUUGAAAUUUCAGUUUAUAAGAAUACUCAAAAUCUUCCUUGCAAAAGUUUAAACAUUUCACAAAUUUUUUUUUUUUAGUCCUCAAAAUUCGAAGCCGUUUAUGUAACCAUCACAAAGAGAGUAGAAGUUUCUCAAUGACCAUAUUAUCUUAAUGAUUGUUAUUUGUUCUAAGAAGUUAGAAGUUCAUCUUUAUUCAUAAGUAUUUUUAUUUUUUAAGUAGAGUUUAAUUUUUUAGCUCCGUUGUAUUUCUUGCCCUCCCACACUGUAAACUGUGAAGGGUCCAAAUGCAAUUUUAAAAAGGGUUAUAAAAAUUAAGGACAUGUUUGGUUCACCUAUUUUAGACUAUGGAAUUAGAAUGAAAUUCAUUAAUUCUAAUAGUUGCCGUUUGUUUUAUAAGAAUCGAAUUUCGAUUUCCAUUCCACUCCGGAAUGUGAAUGACCAAAUUCAUUUAUGAUCUAAUCCGGCUUUAAAUCCCGGAUUGACUCAUUCCAAAGUAAACUAUUCAAAAUCCUCUUUUAUCAACACCUACCUUCUCUUCCUUCAUUACUUUUCUCUCUUUUAAUCAAAACUCUUUUUAAAUUUUCAUUCCGAUUUUCAUUCCAAUAAUAAACCAAACAUUUUUGGAUGAUUCGUCAUUCCAUUUCUCAUUCCUAUUCCAAUCAUAAACAAAAAAAUGCCUUAAAAAUAAUUAUUAAUAAUAAUAAUAAUAAUAAAAGACCCUCCACUUACCCUCGCUUGUGGGCUCAAUUCCAUUCCCGGGUCGACACGUACCGAAUAAUUGUCUCGAACGGAUGCACAAUUUCGAUCCUAGUACACUCGGCCUAAUUACCAUCGAGAUAAUCAUACAUCCGACGGCUACGAAUCCUCCACGUCGCCAAAACGUGCGGCGUAAGAGCACACGUAGAAAAAGCCGGGACCACCAAGUAAAAGGAAUAUAAAAAAUUCAGAAACCGGGCAGCUGCCCUGGCCAACUCGGGCAGCCACGUGGUGCAGAUCCAGUGGCUCGGGCGGCGCGGGCAGGAGAAUGGAGGGUGCGCAUCAGGUGGGGACUGACACAGAGGCAACGUAGAGAUAAACGCAAAAUUUAACAGAGACGCCCCUCUCUUAUAGGCUAUUUAGAAAUCUCCCCCUUCAACUUUAUUAAUUUUUAUUAAUAUUUUUUUCUUUUUCUUUUCAGAGUUAAAUAUUUUAAUUAGUUUAUUAAUUAAGAUUUUACUAUAUUAAUUGAUAAUUUUAUUAAAUUUAAUAAUUUUUGUUAUUAUUCAGCAAACAAAAUUAUUGUUAUAUAAGAAACUUUCAAAGAGAUUAAAAGAUUUGAAUCUUUGUUAGUCUUUUUUUUAAAAAAAAAAGAGUUUAUGAGCUAAAAGAAUAAUUAAAUUUAAUAAAAAAUUCUAUUUUACAUAACAGAGCAACAAAAUUAGAAUAAGUUACAGUGUUCGAAGGUGUUAAUGAAAAAAACAAAACUAAAGUUGAGGACCAAUUUCAAAAUAGCCAACUUGAGGGGGUGCCGGGUACAAUUUCAAGAGGAAAUUAAGGUGGAGUGGGGAAAUUACGAAAAUGACACGCGGGACGCGGACGGGGUAAGCGGAGCCAAUGGAGGUUUAGCAAAGGAUAUUAUAUGUGCCCGUGAUAUUCGCCCCUCCAAUCUCGCGUACGUGGCGCAAUGUGGUGCGAGUAAUAUAUCUCGCACUAGCGGUCGAGAUAGGUCCAGAACCCGGCGUGGUGGGCCCCAGCGACCAAAGGGGGAUCAUGAUGGGUGGAUGGUGAAUGGGGUUAAUGGGAUGGGCAUCGCAUGUCAUGUAUGCUCGUUGGGACCACGAACCAUCCGACGAAUUGGACCGGUUUGUUUUCGUAAUUACGAAACUGCCCUCAAAGACCGUUUGGUGGAUCUGCGCGUUAGACAUGGAAACGGAUCGGGUACUAAUUAACCGUUUUCAUUUCUUGUGUAAUAAUAAGGGAAUGGAGGCAAAAUGCUAUUUACAAAUUGGGUUAGAUACAAAAAUAUAUGUAUAAAACUAAUAAUUCAUGCGGAGAGAACGUUUGGUGUAGCUUCGCAUUAACCGUAUAUAAAAAUACUAUACUACAUAGUGGUGCAAAAAGUUUUUCUUAUUUAGCUACCGAGAAUUCGAGACCUGCUUAAAUCUAUUUUUAUAAGCCCGUUAAAAAAUCAAAAUUGAUAACGAAAUGACUUACUUCUGUGAUUAGAUAUUAUAUCAAAGAAUAAAAGCAGUACUAAAGGGAUUUUUUAUCCUUGUUUUUGACACGACAACCUUAUUUGUAACAAAUUAAAUAUCAAUUAUUAUAGGUGUAACUUAACUUCUAUAUUUCAAACAAAAAGAUUAUUAAAAAAAUUAGGGCAUAACAUCUUAGCACCGUGCGGUUUUAUUUGUCACGUCAAUCAAUUCCAUAUUUUCAUUUAAAUAAGGGUAAACUUUAAAUACCACCUUUGUGGUUUCGCACUUUCUUACUUUUAUACCGUAUGGUUUAAAGUGUAUCAACUUAGUAUUCAAUGAUUUUAUUUUUCUCUUUUCGUCAGUACAUCUGUUAGCUUUUCGUUAAAUUAUAUAUAAAAAUUUUCAGAUUCCUUGUCUAUAGUUUAUCAAAUAUUCACUUUAGUACCCUUUAGUUUUAACUUUGUUACUGAUUUAACGAAAAAAAAUUAAUGAAGGGGAUAAAACAAAUGAAAAAUUAAAUCAUAGGAUACGAAAGUGAUACGCUUUAAAUCACAAAGUACUAAAGUAAAAAAGUGUCAAACCACAUAGGUGGUAUUUGAAAUUUUUCUUUUCAAUAAUGAUAAUAAUUAGAAGUCAAAGGCUUGAAAGUAAAUAUCACCGGCCACUAAACGGGAAAACGUAAGCUAGUGCGAUAAAGUCGGUGCUUGCUAUUUUAUUCGUCGGUUCGCAUUAUUAGUGUUUUAGCACAACCUAAAUUAAACACUCAAUGGUGGAUAUAAUUUUGUUUAAAGUUUAUUAUGCCUAAUUGGUGGUAAUUAUUACUAAUACUUUAAUUUUGGACUCAUUCUAGAAAAAUUAAUCCACGUUACAAAGUCAUAAGAGUGUUAAGGCUCUAUUUGGACUGAAAAUUUUAAACAAAAUAAAGUUUAAAUUGUAAAUUAAUUGUUAAAUACAGUUAUAGAACUUCAUAAAACAACAAAAUGAACGGUGAUGAUUAUAUUCGGUAGAACAUAUUACUAAUUUUGUUAUUACUAAUAUCACUCGCAAUGUUGAUAUUUUUGAUAAAAAAUGUUCUACGUCUUAUAUUUAAUUUGAAUUUAUUAUAUUGACGUAACUUUGGGGGCAUAUUUUGGUCGGUCCACCUGUUACAAUUCCGUUAACUUCACACGCUGUAGCCGUUGGAACGUAGUGGACUGAUGAGGCAAAAUAUCCCACCAAACAACUAACAAAAAUUAACUUUAAAAAUAAGUUAACACAACGCCAAGCCCAGUAACGCUUUCUUUUUAACAAGUUUGGGAUUUGAAUAGAUUAUAUUAAUUAGGUAGAAACAUAUAGAAUUUAUCUGAACUAUUAGGUAUUUUAAGUUGGUUGUCCAAUAUUUUACGAUUUUGAUUUUGCUAUUCGACUUUUUAAUUUAUUUGAUUUGAGUAUGUCAGCAGUAUUUUAACAUCAAAAUUUUAAUAUGUCGUUAUCUUUAUAGAUUUAAUUAGUAUCCUUUAAAAAAAUAUCACAGCUAUAAAUUAAUUAAAAUAAAUAAUUAGUUUGACGAUUGACUUAAAUUAAAUAAAUUGAAAGAUUGACAGUAAAAUAUAAAAUUCGAUAAUCUGGGUAGCAAUUCAAAGUGGUUCAUGGUUCAAAUAAGUUUUGUAUUUUUUUUUACCUACUAAUUAUCAACCAUGCAGCCACGAAUUUGAUCCAAAUUAUCAAAUUUGGAUCCUAAGAAUCUUUUUAAUUUACCCCAAAUUUCUAUAUUAAACUGAGCUAUCUGGGGGGAAAAAAAAACCUUAACCUCCCAAAAAAGAUUAGCAUCAACUACAAGAAACAAAUUGAAUUUUUUUUGCCUUUGGAGUUAAAAGAGGUCAUUUCGACUCUCAUUUUAGUUAGACGCUUCCGAACUUUUAUUUACUAAAUGCCUAAUUUUUCUUUUUGAAUAGAGAGAUUAAAGAAAAAUUGUCGCAAAAAAACCACCAAAUUAAGCCCUUGUCAUCGAAAAAUAGUCAACAAAACUUGGCAAAACAUUCAGAAAAAAAAGAAGCAUAAUUAAGAGUGAUAAAAGUUAAACCUUUUUGAGAUAAAUUAAUCAAUUUGAAAUCAAGGAGAAAAAUAUUUGAGUACAUGGAAUUGGUCAUGAAGCAUCUUUAUCCAUACUUUUGCGCUUUUUUUUGCACAUGGACCUCUGUAUAGAUAGGAACACAAAAAUGUGAGGCAAAAAUUAGGCGUGCCCUGUUAAAAUUGGAACCCAAACAGGUACUAUCUCUUGUAGUGUUAUGCAUCUUGCUCGAGCACGUUGGCACUAACUGGUUUAAUCUUAGCUUAGCAACCGAGGUUUAGCCUAAAAUUACCUUAACAUAAGCAUUAGGUACGUGGCCUAACUCAAUUAAUCCAAAUAGGAUAUUGCAAAACGCAUUUUGAGUUUUAGAGCUUGUUGGGAUCACUUAUGCAGUUCUUUAGAUUGUAUGGGAAGUGCUUGCGAAUUGCUUCAGAUUAGAAAAAUAAUGAACAUCACAAUUCAAAUAUUGAUGCUUGUUACGACGAGCGCAUAAAUAGAAAUGAAAAACGGAUGACCGCAAAGUAAACAAACCAUAUAACAGUAAAUAAAAUGGAACGUAAGGAUUUACAUAUGUUGAAAAUUUAGCUUUUGGUGAAAACAAAUUACAGACGAAAAAGGAGGGAACUUCACUAUAAAAAAUGGAGCAUAAUGUUGUGCAAGUGCAAAUCGAUGUAACACUUUUAGAGCAAAAGGAAUAAAGAAGUUUCUUAACGGAUAUCCUAUCGGUCCGAAUGCUCUGGUUCCCAUCACAGAUCUUCACUCUUCGCUUUUCAAAUUUUUUCGCACCGCGGAGCUUUUAGUGAAUCAAAGUCACAAAAUUGAAACUAAUAAUCAAAUUUCGAGGCAAAUCUAAUAAUACUUUUACGAGAAUGUACUUUUUCGCCCUUAGUCUUAUAAUGAAUAUUAUCUUAAAAGAAUGUUUUUCCUUCUCUUACAUUAAGACAUAACAGGGCAGAAAAAAAAAAAAGAAAAAGAAAAUAGUAGUAUACAUAGAGGGAAGAUAUUUUCUCUCUCAGGGAUUUCUCCUAAGACAUAUAGUUGGUCGUGAUCAAGACAACUUGCAAAAGUUAGGCACUCGGUACUUUUUGUUGUGAGAGAUACUUUUAUUUACGAAUGAACAUAAAAAAAUGGCAUGCUUUCUCUCUCGGGAUCACAUCUUUUCUCUUACCACAAAUGGCAUAUAAUUAUGGUGAACCUUUUCGAAGAAAAAAAAAAAGAAAAAGAGCACCAUAUACAGGUGAGUCUCAUGCUCUCCUACGACAAUCCAAUUUGGCGCAUUUAGAUCUUGUAUUUCAAUGCCGCGAAUAUUUAGAAAUGUCAUCGAUCAUAUGUUGAUUAUCUGAGUUUUUUAACAAAGAUAGCCCAAAAAUUAACCAGAGAUAAUUAAGGAUCCAAAUGAAAAGAGAAGUAUCAAGCAGUUGAUCAAAGAGGCACCAAAUUGGCUCUUCUACGUGAAUUAUUAUUAUAGACAAUCUAUUUGGAUUCAUUUGACCCGAUACCCAAAAAUUAUUACACCAUGUUCACAUGCAUGGUCACACACCAAUAAAAAAAAUUAUAACAUGUUGAAGCUUAACUCAUUAAAUAGAUAUUGGCUUAGGAUCUAAUCCCUAUAUGCCUUUUCUCCAAAAUAUAUAUUUAUAUUGGUUUUACGAAAUAGAAUCUAUUAAUUUUUUAAGUAUCAUGUUAUUCAAAACAACAAGAAGAGUCAACUCACAGAAAUGAAAAAUCAAUAGGGUAGAAUGACUAGCACCAAGAAAUAAAAAUAAAAGGAAAAAGAAAAAGGGAACAGAUUUUUUUUGACAUGGGCAUUUAGAUAUUUUCCUAUUAACGUAAUUGAUUUGGACUAUCUUGUAGUUGAUGGAUCACUCCUCACUUGUCUGUCUAUAUAUAUAGGUAUAUCCGUUAGUUGCAUGAGACAUGCGAGAGAGGAGGUAAUUAAAUAUGCAUCAUGGGUUUAAUAUCAAAUAAGAAACUGUAGAUAUAAAGCCAACAAUUUCUGCAACUUAUGCAUCUGUAUUUCUGAAUCUGCGGUAGAAAUAAAUGGGUUGAUGUAGGGAUUUGUUUGGCACGAUUUGAACUUUUGCAGUAAGUGGAAGUAGUCUCGCACGGGCGCGUGCGCUAGAUUUACUGAACGGACAAAAUUUUUUCUGUCUAUCCAAAACGUCACAAUCUGUACAAUUCAAAGCAUUCCAAAUAAAAAUAAAAUUCAUCCUAUAUGUUUUCACAUAUCUGUUGUUCUUAUCCAAUAGUAAUUAAUUCUUUAGUAACAUAUGAUUCAUACGGGCAUAUUUGCCACAUGUAACCUAUCAUUAUAUAUAUGAAUCAAUAAAUAAUACCAUAUUUUACUCUUUGACAUGGAAGUGGCCUGAUCAUUUCGGUGGCCUGAUCAUUUCUGCCAAUUUUCUUGGAUUUCCAAAUUUGCUUCCAAACUUUUCUUAUCUUAUACGAGAGAUCCAUUCGUUAUGCUAUUUGAAAAAACAUGUUUUAAAAGUUUAAUAAUUCUUUAUUUUAGUUAGAAACAUAAGUUUUAAAUUAGAGUUCGCUACUUUUAGAAUUAUAUUUUUAAGUCUGUUCUGACCUUUGUUCUAAUUUAUUGAUGCAUAUAUAUAAACUCGAGAAGAGUUCAUCAUGGUUAAAUCGUUGUAUUUGGAUUUACUAUAGUUGGACUAAUAAUAGCAAAUCGAAGCUACAAAUUAGGAUCAGUGAAAUUCAUCUUAAAUUUUGGAAAGCAAUUCACUAGGAAACCCACCCCCCCCCGCCCCCAAAAAAAGAGAGGAAAUUUACUCUCUUGAAUCUACAAUGAGCAAAUGUUCCAGCCCACGGGAUAGACUUUCGUUGGGCUAAGUUCUUGGGCCAGAUCUUUAAUAUAUUGAUUCUGACACGGCCCAUCAAGGCCAUAAUGCAGGGGACCACCUUCAUAAACAAAAGUUUAUUGAUUUUUCUUUUAUAUGGCGAUUAAAAAGUAUAAAAAGUUUCGGUUUAGUAGGAUAAAGUAUAAAAAUUUUCUUCUAUGUUGGAGGUAUUUUGUUUUUACUUAAAAAGCUGUUAGUGUUUGAUUGCUUUAUUUCUACACACUGUCCGAAUGACAGGGCAAAGCAGGGCCAUCAUUCCUCAAAUAAGAGACCACAAUAACAAAGCAAAAGCAGGUGCAUGUGAAAAGCAAAGCAAACUAAUCAACGCGACACUGAUAACAUUAAUUGAUGAGCAAUCGACCAUCCAUGGACCAUACAUAACCCUUUUGCACAUACUCAUAUGUUCUUCAAAGAAAGUGAUCAUCCAACCAUAUGUACCGGUCCAAACUUUCCUUUAACUCACAAAGGGUCCCAAUUACUAACAACAACAAAGAUCUUUUUUAUUCUCAAACUAUGGAACCCUAACAAAUAGUAACAUUACAAGUUACCAAGAUUAUGUAGAUGAUACAUAAAUAUAUAUCAAAUAUUGACCUACCAAAAGAAGCUAACUUGAGAUGCAGCUUGGGCCUGAUCAACGUCCUCGUGGGACGGGGAAUGCACGUGCCGCCCUUCGUACGUCGUGAUCACCAUUCGCGGGUCAUCCGCCGACCUCUCCACCCUCUUCUUCACCCGGCAGUUGUCCUGCGAGCACCGGUAAUAGCUCCUACGUGCAUAACGCACAAUAAACAAGUUUGUUCUCUCUCUCAAUCAUCAAAAGCUUUUCAAUUAUAGAUAAAGAUGACAAUAGUAAUCACAUGACACACAUAAUUAAUCUCGGGCCCGGUCGUCGCGCUUUUUAUCAUCAUGUAACAGCGAGAUUCGCGGCGUUUUAACUUAACAAAGGCCAUGAUCAAGUUCAUUAGUAGAAAUAUAUAUUUAUAUAUAUAUAUAUAUACACACUCAUGUUCAAAUAAUAACAGUGCAUAUAUGGGCCACAGAGGUGGUAGAAAGAAUGAUUGCAAUGCACAUAUAAUUCAGCUUCUUUUUCAUCUAUGGAUAGUGGGUGAGGCAGAGGAGGGGCUCAGUGGAAUCAUGAUGGAGUAGCAGUAGAGAGCUCAUCAGAUAGGACUCCUUGUCGGAUCAAUGUCCCUUGCAUAUAUGAUGCUUAGUACAUAGAUCUCGUGGAUAUAUAGUUAUUACCUUCAUGCACAUUAAUAUCUAACUCUAUUACUAUACAUGUUCAUGGACAAAUUAAGAGUAUGCAUGAACUUAAGCAUGUUAAUUGAUUAUCCGUAUUAUUUGUAAACAACAGUACAUGACAAUAUAUAUCCAAUUUGUUCUUCUACACAUUUCUAAACUAAGUUAUCAACCCAUAAAAACUGAACCUGCCAAUGUUAUUCAUUGGGAACAAACUAGCUUGUUUUGUUGAACUGCAAAACACUGAGCAGUUUCUUGAGAAAUACACUCAGGACCUAUUUGGCUCAGGGACAUUUUAUUUUGUUGACUUCAUAAUUAAUAAACUAAUGUCAAUAACUUGCAAUAUAUGUAUCUUGAGCAAGUUGUAUCACUGGGUAGUUAGUCCAGUAUUCAAACACGCCUAAAAGGGGGUAACAAAAUUAAAGAGUGCACAAAAAGGAUAGAUUUACUAGCUCACAUUAAUUAAGCUAUAGGUGAUUAAUGCAAAAUAGAGAAAUCUACUAGAAAGAAAAAUAAUUUCUCUUCUUUCAUUGAAGAUUUGCCCACCUACUAUGGAGGAACAAGAUGUGAACUUAUUUCCACUAUAUGGAGAAAAUUUACAAGAUCGAAGGCAAAAAUAAUUAAGAUAAAAAAGCAAAGGUUUGGAGAAGAAAAUCUACAUAGAAUUAUUCGUGAACUUCUCUCUCACUGAUCUUUCAAGUACUAGCCAUUUGGCUUACUCUUUGAUCUCGCCUCUUUAUUUUUGUUUUGUUUUUCGUUUUUAGCCUUACAUGCUGCAGUUACACAAUAACAAAUGUACUAAUAUCAACGGCAUUUUGCUUAAUUUCUUUCCGUAUUUAUCACUUUAUCUUGUAGGCAUUAGAAAAAGGUUUCAUAAAAUGCAUCCCCUUCGAAUAUUGCGACACUUUUUAAGUGUUGCUUUGAAAUUCACUUGAACGAUAUCCAACGGUAGCUUCACCUCUCAAUAUUUUUUUGCAUAGCCAUCUUACUGUUAUGAGAUUCAAAUGUAGAACCCUUUUCUGAGAGAGAAAGCACUACAUUGCUUCGUUUACUUUUAAAAUGAACUCAGAUAGAAUUGCGAAGCAACUAGACUUCUCCUAAAAGGUGACAGAACUCUUAAUCUGUGACUAUUAGGCAAGACUACCAUUUUCUCUCUUGCUAUAGCAUGUCUUCUCAGUCUUCUGUGUUCUUCAUUUUCCAGAAGGUGGAGGUGUUUCAUGGGAAUUAAGUUAAGUUUACCUACAUGCUUGCCCUUAAAAUUUAAAGUCUACAAAUGAAAAAAGAAAAUGCAAAAACUGUUCAUGAUAUCUCACAGACAGAAGAGAUUUUUUUUUUCCCCCCUUCUUAAAGCAUAUAAUUAGAGACUUCAUUAUUGCCUUCAUUGUUGCAAGAAAAAUAUGUAGUCCACCUCGGCAGUGGUUAAAUAUAGUUUUGCUUUGAAGAUCUCAUAAAUCCUUAGAUCUUUCUAUGUUCCUCAGUACUAUCCUUAAGCUUUAUUGGAAAAUGAGCUUACCUGUGGUAUAAUUUAAUUUAUAAGUAGACCUAGUGGAUACAAAGAGUGUAGUACUGACCAGUCAUAGCAUAACCCUAGAAACUAGAAAUUGUAAUGAUACAUACUAGUACCAAGCAUCCAACUUCUAUCACAACAAAGGAGAUCACUAUAGUUCCCAUCAUAAUAGGGACAAUAAGCAAACAAAAGGGAAAGGAAAGAAAAAAAGAAAUGAAAGAGAAUCUACAUAGAGAUCUUCUACUCUUUUCACCUUUCAACACAACAAAAGCAAGCUCAUAACCUAACCCUAGCUAGCCCAUAUAUAUGUCAUGCAGUAGAAAACUUCAUGCAAAUAUUAAUGCAUGAUGCUUGGUGAACAGUAUAUCAAGGGGGAGGAGGAAAAGGUCUCUAUGUAUGGAGUGCACUUUGAGUUUCUCACUUAUAGCAUAUAUAAGCUGGUGAAUUAUAUAUCUACAUGAAUAUAUACAUGACAUACCUUGGGUGUUGGGUGUUCUUCACAACUUUUUGGCCAUAUUUUCUCCACUUGUAACCAUCAUCUAACACAUCCACCUCGCUCAUGGUCUUGAAACAAAAUCUUGGGUCUCUCACCUUCCUCCUCUUCUUCACCUUCUUCAUCCUCACACCGCCGACCGAUAGAGCGUUGAUAGUAUUACUAGUGCUCUUGUAAUUAACACUGCUAUUAUUGGUGUUGUUGUUAUUGUUAUCUUUGUUGUUGUUGUUGUUGUUGUUGUUGUUAGCAUUCAUCUUGAUUUGGUGCUCCGCUCCAAUUAUUGUUCUCUUGCUGCUCAAAAGUGGGCCCUCUAGCUUCCUCCCAUGGCCUAAAUAGCACCAACCAAACACAAACCAUGAGAGAGAGGGAGAUCAACAAAAUGUUUCAUAUCAAAUAUCAAAACACUAUUCUUUAGCAUCUUAAGUUAAAAUAUAUAUAUAUAUAUAUAAAAGUUUAACCGUUUUAGUUUUGGUCCGGUUAUCCAUCCACAAAACUCAAUGUCCAUAUCUUGCAUGGAUCUCUCGAAAAAUCUCAUUUUUUCUGAAUAGAGUAGGAAAAAAAAAAGAAAGAAAAAGAAAAUCUCAAUUAAUGUGAGAGAGUAUUAAAUAUAGCAUAUUAAAAAGUCAUUUUGUAAGACUAAAUUUAAAUUUUUACAGGAAGAGGAAGCUACAGAAAAUUGUACAAGUUGAGAAAAAGAGCAAUUAAGUGGAAAUAAUAAAAGAAAAAACAUUUAAUUAUUUGUCCUAUGACUCAGUAGAAAUUACACAUGCAUGCACGAGACACUUUCAUGUAUAUAUGAACUUAAUUACCAUAGGUUAGUGCUUGCUCUCCGGGCUGAAGAAGCUGCAGCAGCAGCAGCUUGAUGAUCUGAUGAUGAGCAACCAUCUCUAGGUUUAGGGUUCAUGAACCUUUCUCCCGCAGAGAAAGCUGUGUUGGUGAGAGAGUGUUGAUGAGGCCCAUAUGGAGAAAACCUGAGAUGAAGAAGAGAUGAAUAUGGUAGUAAGUGGUGAUCAUCAUGAGGGCUUAUUUGAGAAGCAGCCACUAGGGUUUCUUGGCUCUCCACCAACCCAUGGUUUAGAACUACACUGGGAGGGGGUGGUGGAAACAUCUUUCCCUCUCUCCCUUUCUUUCUCUCUCUCUCUCUCUCUCUCUCUCUCUCUCUCUCUCUCUCUCUCUCUCUCCACUCUCCACUCUCUCACUCUCUCUUUCUUUCUUUGUUGGAUAUGAUAUAGGACAAAGAAUAUUGGUGUAAGGUCACUUGUUGAAAAGUUUUUGAUGACUCUGAUGUAGCUGUAGACUUGGAACUUUAAAGGUACCUAUGUUAGGAGCACCCCCNCUUUUUCUUUUUUUAUUUUAACCUUUUGCCUAUAAAAGGCUAGACCUGGUCCACCAAGUAAUUGACUCGUGAACCGAUUAACUCAAAAUUCAACAUAUUUGGUUUCUCCCCUUUAAUCACCUAAAUAAUUAAUCUCCAAACUUGCAUAAACAGUGAAAAAAUUAUAUUAAAUAAGUUUUAAAAUAAGAAAAUGCCAUAGACCUAAUUCAGUGUGGACCCUACUAAUCUAACCACAAUUCUUUUUCGGGUCGGGCCGGGUUACUCCUUCGCUUCGUCGGGCCGGGGCUUCAAAUUAAAGGCCCAUAAAUUUCGGACCAGGCCUCUGAUUCUUAAGACCUGAUCUAGUUCGAGGUUUUCUAAUUUGAUCCGAUCCGAGCUGAUUCACUAUGAUCAUUUAGAUGUAAUCUGAGAUUUUUUUUUAAAAAAAAAAGGUGUAAAAAACUUAUGGACGAGAUAUAUAGCCAACAUUUACCUGGAAUCAUGAUGACAAAAGGUUCCCAUACUAUUUAGCUAAGAAUGGAAUAGAAAACUUUACUAUUAUGUCCUAAGAAUGGCCAAGAGAGGAUCCAAUGUAGAUAUAUAUGUGAAUGUUGGCCCAGGUAAUAGGAUCAAUGCAUGGUUGCUAUCAUGAUUGCCAAUUAUGGACGGUUGAGACCACCCGGUCUGCUAUAUAUAUAUAUCUGAUCUUAGGAUCUAUAAAAAAAAAGGUACAAAGUUUGCAUCUUAGGCCUCGUUUUUUAUCAUUAUUAUUUUUUAAAGUUUUAAACAUUAAUUCUAUAUAAUUUGAUGUGUCAGAGAAUUUUUUUUAUUAUAAGUAUAGAAUUUCGAAAGCAAAAAAUUAUUUUUAAUUUUUAUUUUUUGUUGUCAAGUAAAGACCUUGAGUCCUUGAAUGAAAUGAUUGUAAGCAAUUAACCGUCCACUUCUACACAUUUUGAUAUUUAGUUUUUUUUUAAAAAAUAAGUGCGGAACCAAACAAAGCCUUAUUUAUUUUAGAAAAGGGAAGCAUGCUACAAGUUUUUUUUCAUUAUUUUUAUAAAUAAAUUUAGCUAAAAAUAUAAAGUAACUAGAUUCCUAAUUUAGGACCUCAUAUACCAAUAAACAAAUCUUUUGCCCUGUUUGCGCUAGGAUGGUUAUAAUAUCCGUGAUAAAUAUAUAGGUGCUUUAUCAUAACAGAAAAUACUACUUGUACACUCCUAUUUUGGGUGUACAUCUUUACACAAUUGGUCAUCGAAGAAUUCACAAAACUCAGGUGAUUUUUUUUUUUUUUUUUUUUUUGACAUAACUUGUGAAGUGAUCUCAUCCACCUAAAGGCUAUGGAGUAUAUCUUACAUCCUAGUGUAGAAGGAAUGAGCAGCAUUGCUCACCAAAAUAUAAUCUAUAGUUUAUGGUAACUAGGAUUAAAAUAUCUCAGCUUUUUGCAGUUUUACUUUUCGAGUCCAUUGAUACGCCCCACUUUACCAACACCACAAUCACUACCUUAGAUUCGGACCCCUCCCCCCUCUCUCUUACUUUUAACAGCCACUUUACAGCAACAAAGAUAACCCUACAAUCUAAAAGAAAUUAAUUAAAGGUAAAAGAAAAUGCUGGGUACAUCUUGGACUAAUUGCUUUUCUUUCAAAACUUAAUUUACUAGAAGAUGAUAAACUUAAAUAAAAAAUAACAAUAUAAAAUACUUGACGUCUUUAAAAGCUUAAAUUUGAGAUUUGUAAAGUCCUAAUUAAGUUAUUGCAAAUGUUAAUUGCAACCAAUGUUUGUGCAAUCAUAAGAGAGCAUUAUAUAUAGUACAGGCUCCUACUUAUGCUAGGGAACUAGUAAACUAGUUAGGUAAAUUAUAAUAUCUAUAAAAAACAUCCCACAUGAGAGCAUUAUGAUAGAAAAAGAUGCAUGCUGGAGAGUAUCGUACGAAUUUUGCAUGGACGAAACAAUUCAUACAUGACCGAAUGAUUUAAAAAGGAGAAUAAUAUAACUUUUAGUUAUUUUUCAUAAGUUCGUACUUUUGAGCGUAACGUUGGUCCGCUUUUUGUCUACUUAGUUUGAGUUCUAAGAUAAUUUCUCUAUUUCAGGAUAUAAUAGUUAUAUGUUUAGUUAACGAAGAUUAAUUUCGAGUUGUUUGCCUCUACAAGCAUUUGACGUGAACUUACAGAGUCUCAAAAGUAGCCUUCUAUAUAUUUCUCUUACAGUCAGAAAAAAAAAGUUUCGGCAUUCUAUUAAAAUGAUAAUUGAAAAGAUUUUAUAACAUUUUAAUAAAUUAUUAAUAGUCCCUUUCAAGCAACUCUUUUUACCAAAAAUUUAGGAUAUAUAAAACACAAAGUGAUCCACUGCUAUCCAUGAGAGAGAGAGAGAGAGAGAGAGAUCAAUUUCAACCACAAGUGAUCGGUGGUUAAAUCAUGGUCACAAAUUGAGAUUAAUCUCGCCUAAUAGAUGGAUGAUAGAACUAUAGAGAGCUGUGGAAAAUUCUGAGACCAAAAAGCUCAGAUUGUGUGUGUGUGUGUAUAUAUAUAUAGAGAGAGAGAGAGAGAGCUAGGCUCCUAUGCUUUCAAAAAUACGGAGGCUUCCGUACUUAUAAGUUGUUUUUAAUGAUGGGACAUCCGAUUUAGUAACCGAUUUCGUUAGAUAUAAUUUAUACUAUAAGAAUUAUGUAGAAACCAAAUUUUUUAAUUUUUUGAUUUCAUUUGCCCAGUGAACGAGUAUCCUCAAAAUGAACGGCUAAAAAUAAAAAUCUUAUAAAAAAUAGUAAUAAAAGACUCAAAUUUUAAAUCACAAGUAUUAAUCUUCCUAUUGAUAUUAAGUAGAAUUUUCUAUUAAAGUUUCAUAUAAUUUGGAUAAAAAAAUUAUGAAAUUUGGUUUCUAGAUAAUUCCAACAUGGUAGAUUAUACCCAACGGAGCCGAUCGUCGAAUCAGAUGUCCUAUCAUCGAAAACAACUUACAUAUACAGAGGCCUCUGUACUUUCGAAAGUGCAUGAGACAUACCUCUCUCUCUCUCUCUCUCUGUAUAUAUAUAUAUAUAUACAGAGAGAGAGAGAGUCCAUCUAUAGUGCUUGUAAAAGCACCAAAUACUUGAUGCUUGUAAAUUUUUUACCGUUAGAUCCACCUCUUUGAUCAUUUCUACCCAUUAUAUCAUACUAUUCAACCAACUACCCACUCAACCCUAGGGGUCCCACAUCAUCCUAACCGCACAUUCUUUAAUCUAAUAGCCAAAAAUUUACAAGCACCAAUAACUUGGCACUUUUAAAAACAUAGGAGCUCAAUUUUAUAUAUAUAUAUAUAUAUAUAUAUAUAUAUAUACACACACACUAUGUUAUCGAAAGUAUAGAGGAUUUUACUUUCGACUUUUUGACUUUUGGAUUAAGAAUUGUAUGAUUGAGAUGAUUGUUCUCCCCCCUAGGGUUGAGUAGUCCUUACAUGAUAAUAGUAUUAAUCCAAAAAUUAGAAAUGAUCAAAGGGGUUGAUCUAAGGGCCAACAAGUCGAAAGUAUAAAAUUUUCUAUAUUUUUGAUAGCAUAGUAGCUCUACUCUAUAUAAAGUUGAGCUGAAAUACUAUUAAUAGUAUUUGGUCAUUUUUGCUAUUAAGUUUUUAAUCAUUGAAUGAAAAAUUGUAGGAUGUAAGGCUAGGAUGAUAUAUAUAUAUAUAUAUAUAUAUAUAUAUAUAUAUAUAAUUGAGCUUCUAUGCUUUUAAAAGUACCAAGUUAUUGAUACUUGUAGAUUUUUAGGCAUUGGACUAAGGAAUAUGCGGUCAGCAUGAUGUGCGCCCGCUAGGGUUGAGUGGGUGGUUGGUUGAAUAGUAUAAUCUAACGGUUAAAAAUAAUCACCGACCAUCCCUAGAGCAAGUGGCAAAGGGUUUGGUGGUUGGUACUCGAGAUCCAAGUUCGAAUUCUAGUUGAUUCAUAUUUUCAGCUAAGUUUAUUUUUAAAUGAAAUAAACAAAGCGGAUAGCAUGCUAUAUAUCUAUCUCUAAAAAAAAGGGUUAAAAAUAAUCAAAGGCGUAGAUCUAACAUUUUUUAGUUAAUGUGAGUAAUAUUUUGCUAAUUCGCACGCUAUUAAUCUUAAUCUUGAACUAAAAAAUUAAUAUUUUUUAAUAUAUAAUAUUAGAAUAUUUAUUUGCUAGUAUAUAAUGAAUUGAGUUGAUUGAGUCAUUCAGAUGAGUACAUUGUAACGGAGCGGGGACAUGAAAUCGUGCAUCAACAUUCGCGCUCCCGAACAGUAGUAGUCCAUGCAUCUUUUGCACGGCCUACAAAACCCGAGCAAUGAUGGCGAAUAGGGCAUCCAAAUCUCUCUUUUUCUACUCUUUCUCUCUCUCUCUAUUCAUAGAGGAGUCUCUCUCUCUCCCUAUUCAUAGAGGAGAGGAUAUCAUGGCUCCUGAGGGGUAGGAUAGCGUUUUUGACUUUUUACCCCGCCCAAGGAAAAAGCUUUCCCAAAAGCCCUCCACCUUUUCAUAUUUAUCUCUGCAUUUAACUGUUCAACUUGUCACUGCGCGAGUGCGGCGUGAAAAGACACAUUCACACUCUCCACAGUAGCUAUAUUCUUUAUAUACAUAUAAAUAUAUUGCGAGGUACGUUGAGCAUACGAUUUGGCGACGGGUUAGUUGUUUUUUUUGAAGUUUUAUUACACCACAAAAUAAUGAUUAGCACGCCAAUGACCAGGAGCAUGUAUGUACAGAUUAUGUUUUCUUUUCCUUUCCCUGUCUUAACUUAGCAGCAAAGUAAUUUUCUUUCGGCUAGAGAAUGUGGGAGUGGUGGCUCGAAAAGAAAAUUUUCGUAUAAACUUUUCCCCGUACUGGUUGGUUACUACCUGUAAAAUAAAAAAAAAGAUUGCCGCAGAUUCCACCAAGUGAUACGUGUGUAUGGAUCGGCCAAUCAGUCACCAGAGAGAGAAGGGAAUCAAGCGCUUUGCUGCGAGUAAUCAUAAUCAUUAUUGCUAUUAGGUGGUAGCAAAAGACAUAACACGUGACUGACAUUGUAUUGUUGUUGUAGUGCUAAUGCAGUUGCAGAAUCCACCUCCUGUAGUGACGCAACGUUUACACGAGCAUUACAUCACUUCAAGGCACUAAUAGAGUUUUUUUGUUUGUUUUGUUUUUUUUUUUCGUCGAUAACCCUCCCUUAGAAACAGAUAAGAUGUGAGAUAGACACACACAAAUUAUUCAAAUAUAAGUACAAAUUAUAUACAUCCUACUGCUACGGAAACGAUGUGAGAUAGAUACACACAAAUUAUUCAAAUAUAAGUACAAGUUAUAUACAUCCUACUGCUGAUGAAUGGUAAAAGCAUCCCAUACACACCACAGACAUUAGCGGGGCGAAACACAUCAAGCUGCAAACCGCCCGUUUGGAGCCUGCGUUCUAGGAAGCAGGCACUUGGGCCUGCCACUGUAGUUCAUUGCACCACACAGUACAAAUGAUAGUAGGAACUUCUGUGGGCCAUAACAGGAGAAUACCAAGCCCGAAUCGCCCGGCAGGACCAAACAAGGCCCAAGUCGAACAUAAAACAUGAACUGGGCACAAACAAAGACGCGAAUGCCACAGACUACUUAAUUGCACUGCAAUGUACCGCGCUGUUUUCAACGUUCCGCCAUAACGCCGGAUAUGGAGCUUUGUUUACCUCACAAUGAAUGGAGAGGUUCAGUAAGGGCUCUACUGCAAAAGUCAAGCCAAACAGGUACUAAAUUUCUGAAGCAGUAAACACUGAGAAACUAGGUCCAAACUCAAAAACAGACACCCUGGUCUAGCAAUCUCUAAUUUGAAAUCUAAAGCCCUCAUUCCGUCCUAACAUCGUCAGCUUCAGCAUAUUACCAGAGACCACCGAGUGAUAGAGCGAAGGUAGAGGAAAAGCUUCAAUUUCUGGUUCCUACAGCUAGCUAAAUACAGAAAUGGAUGUGCACACAUUCAAACAUUCAAUAUAUAGAUAACUACGAUGGUGAAUGAAUGGUAAACAGAAAUUAACCAUGAAAGCACCAAACUAAAUAGUUGGUAUACCAAAUAGAACCUAGAUCAAGCAGGCCAACAGAUUGAAUUUUUAUUUGUCACCAAAUCAUUUCUAGACGAGUGAUGCAAACAUAAGUUACAGAUGGAAAAUAAACAGGCCAAUUUUAGCUCUUCAACAACCCGAAAAGAAGAUUGUGGUGUUGAAAAAAAAACAAGUGAACUAAUCGCUUGAACAGUUGACUCACACUGUCUGCAGAGGAAAAUUCUCUUAUUACUACAUAGGAGACCACACAUGAAGUAACAGUAUCAAAUAGAUAGGAAUCAUGAAAGGAUGAGUUAUGACACAUGAUUGUGCACAGCUCCAGGAGAGAGCAGCUGUAAAUCAAACAAACAACCUAAAACAUCGGCAAUUUUUUUUAAAAAAAUUACAUAGAAAAGAUAGAUUUUAUUGGAAAUCUGCAAAAGAAAAGCAUCGAAAAGCUCACUCGUCAGUAACCCCAGUAGUCAUUGCGGAUUUCGUCAUCAAACUUCUUCUUGAGCUCAGGGUGCUUCGCGAAAUACUCUUCGGCUGUCAUGGUGCUUAUCUUUUUCUGCACAAUACGACAAUACAUAUAAAAACCAACACCAUAAAAGAGAGCUGUAGAAGACAACUUAUGAGUAGAAAAAAGAGUGAAUGUUUUAACAUCAGAGCAGCUUCCUUCUUUCUCACCUUCAUCUCUUGAACUUCGGCAAUUUCCUUUUCCAACCUCUCUGACUCCUUGAGAGACUUCUGUUCUGCUUCUUUCAACUCCACCACCUGCAAUUUUUCCAUGAAAAAAAAGAAGAAAUAAAUAAAGGCAUUAAAACCAAUUAGGAUACAGACCUAUUAAUUACAGAAGGCAUCUCUUCCAUGAAAGAAUUAUCAUUUUACAGAAACAAGGUUAUGCAAACUUUCUCACAAGAGCAUCAAACUUGGGCUUGUAUUCAGGAGUCACUGUGUCAACGUAUUUGGGGAUCUCAAUGCCUGCAAUAAGAGUGGCUCUACCAUAGUCAGAUUACAAAAUAAAGGAAUACAUAUCUUCCAAGCAAAAAAUUCCAUGUGAUGCAAAAUAUUUGGCCAAGAUAUAAAUCACUGAAUCUUAGUUCCAUGCACAUUCACCGGCUUAUUAGAACAAGGUCAAAUAAAUAAGAAUCAAAGGAAUCAUUACUUCAGCAGAAUUUUCAUAUAAGAUGUCAGUAGUUCAUUCAUUGAUCAUAAAAGCAAGUGCACCUUUGAAGUCCCCUCCGAAGAAUCUUAUAUUUCAGUCUACCAAAUAUCUAACAAGACACUCUUUUAACUCGGGAGGCACUACAAUGAAACCUUUUAUCACUAAAUGUCCAACUGAUUAGAAGUCAUUGAUAAGAAGAAAACCAAUCACUCCGUUAAUUUCCUAGACUACUAACAUUUUACCUUAAAGAAAUGUGUUGAAAUUGAAGUUAAACAGUCUCCACUAGUGCAUUGGCUAACUAUCCAAUCAACUUUAGCCUCUUAAAGACAAUUGUAUAUCUACAUAAUCAGUUUCUAGACAAAAGGAGAAGGCUAAAGUACAACUCUAGCAAUUACAUGAAAAUAAAUCCCUAAAUUGAUAAAAUUACAGAAGUCUAUUUUCUCACAGAAAAGUUGAUCAAGAAAGAGGACAUACUCUCAUAAGCCUCUUUGUACACAUCAACCAAUUUCGAGCCAAUCCCUCUUCUGUAAAAUUCCCAGUCAAUAGGUUGAGGUUCCUACGUUAUAUAGACGAGAAAAGCACUAUCACUCAUUAGCCAAUGUCAGAAAUUUAUUUAUUAUGAGUAAUGACAGUCAUGAUGAAAAUAGAGAGACGAUAAAUAAUAGCAUAUAAACUUGCAUAGCAGUAUUACCAUGUACUCAUACGUUUCUCUAAGAAACAUCAAACCUUUAAUAAGAUAAGUCAAAAAAAGAACAUCACAUGCAUUUCGAUGCAAAGAAUUCUUAGUUUAGUCUAGAGCAGAACAAUUUCAGUCAAUUUUAGACAUAAUAUUUUGAAGAAGGAAAUAUAAAAAGUAUUCACAUAUUCAUCAAAUUUUAGAUAUAAUAUUUUGAAGAAUGAAAUAUAAAAAGUAUUCACAUAUUAAUCCACGUCUAAGACCCUACGAAGUUCACAGACACAUAUGAGCAAUAAAUGGAUUUGUGAUGUAAUUUAAAAAGGCUAACAGAAGAAGGAAAUAUAUCUUCAUAGAUAAAAAUUUGCCUCUAUUAACAUAUUUCUGUGCACUUCUAUUUCAAUCUAGUACCCAUUACAUAGAUUAUAAUCUCAAAGUCAGUUUAUUCCAAAAGUACAUACACAAAAGGUGAGGAAUAGUUUGCUUCACAUGAUUUAAUAUUUCCACCUGAAAUCAGAUUCGCAUGUUUUUCUUUGUUUGAUCAGGCUUCUCUUUUAAAUUAUCUGCUCCAAGAGACAGUUUAACCACAUAUGUUGAUGUUUCUUAUUUUGAACAUUUGCGUACUUAUUUUGUAAAAGAUGGUACGGAAAAAUAUUUGAUGACUGAAAAACAAUGACAAACAAUCUAACAGACUAUUGGGAAUUGCAACAUAUAAAUGCUUACAUAAGGAGUAUCAAACUGUUUCGUAUUUCAUAUUUACACAUCAAUGAUUUAGCACUGGUUUACAAAAUCACAUUUGGACAUAUUUUAAACUAAUAAGAAGCUCUUAGUUUUGCUUCAGAUUAGAGAGCUUUCCUAUACAUCUCAGUCACUAUCAAUUGUGAAGUUGCCAUGUAAACGUAAUUAUUAUCAUACAAACAUGCUCAUGCAUUGCACGAGUAUAAAACCAGUAUAGCCCCAAAAUAUAGGUGUUGCAACAAACAUCAGCUAUUAAACCUAUUCUGUUAGCAUACAUUUGAACAACCUAUUACUCUACUCUUUUCCCUCUAUUUUCAUUCAUUUUAUCAGAAAUAACUCCCACUAGCACGCUGAUCGAGUUGCUAUCAUGCGAUCUAAGCUAAAAGGACUUGAAUCAACAAAAAAAAUUAUACACAGACAUACGAUCGGAGAAAAUGAAACCCUAGAUCGAGGAUAGAAGAGAGGACCGAGCGAUCCAAUGAGAAGAAAACAGCAAGCUAAAAGGCAAUAGCAAAGAAACCCUAGAUCCGGGGAGGGAAUAGUACCUGGCUGAACUUGGUCUGGAGCUGUUGAUUCACAUCGUCGAAGGCGCGGCGGAGAUUGGCGAACUCCUUGCGCGCCUCGUCCGAGACCAGGAGCUUCGCCAUGCCGUCCCAGUCGAUCGCCUUCCCCGCCUUCGUCGCCACCUCCGCCACCUUCUUCGCCCCGUUCCCGCUCAUCCUCGCCGAUCUCUCUCUCUCUCUCUCUCUCUCUCUCUAGUUCGAUCCUAGGGUUUGUAACGAGAGGGAGACGAGGACGACGAAGAGAACAGAAAGAGAGCAAAAGCACGAAAUGGAGGAUGAGACCGUACCCUGCUUCCGUUUUUCCUCUGCGUGGGCUUAUUUGCUGACGCAUCACGCUUUAAGAUUCGUAAAGGGCUAAAGACUCUUUUCUCUUUACCAACGUGAUAUUUUCGAUCAAUAUAAAUAAACUGAGUUUCUUAUUAUCACAAUAUUGUGACUUGUGAGUAUAUAUAUUGAAAUUUGUAAAUAAAUGUAAUAAUCUUACUAUCAUCUGAAUAUUUUUUUUCAUGUUAAUUAGAUUUCAAACAUUAUUAAGUUUACUGUUAAAUUUUUGUGAAUAACCUUAUAAAAAAUGAGUGUAACAUCUUAUCAUAGUCUUCAUAUAAUAAUUACAUUACUAAUUAAAUUAUAAAUAAAAAAAUAUUUUAAAAAAUCUCAACUUAAUUAGAUGCAAAGUUCGUUGGCUGACAAUUACAUUUUAUUGCUAUUGCUAUUGUAAUUUUAAUGCAAUAAUUAAAUUUUUAAGUAAAUAUCAGUAGAUGUGUGCUAAUAAUUAAAUAAUUUCAUAGCUAACAGAUUUUAUAUGGUAAGGUUGUGAUUUUUAAGAUAAAAGGUAAUUAAAUUAAUGACUAAUUCAUUUUUGCGGUGCUCGGCCGAAGCCAAACGUGAGGUAGUUUUAAUUUUUCGCCUUUGAGUAGCCGUAAACAAAAAAGUGACUUUUUCGAAAAUAAGUAAUACUUUUUCGUGUGAAAAAUAGUUUUACGGCGAACGAAAAAUUAUUUUCUAUAUCAAUAACUAUUUUUGAUGUACUUUAAUGGCAAACGAAACAUACUCUUAGUAAAUUAUUGCUUUUUUAUUUUUCCCUUCCAAGCACAGUUUCUGUGCGCGCAAAUUAAAAUUUAAUUUUAAUGAUUUUAUAUUAUAUAAAAACUACCAGUUUAAUUGGGUAGAGAUUACUAUAGACUUUUUAUAUAGUUAUGAUUGAAAAAAAUUAUAUAUAUCCCCUAUGAGCCUUUGUAUUGGCACAAAUUUAAAAUCCUUCUCAUGCGUUUAGGUCACCUUUUUAUGCAAUCAAUAUGGGCAUACCAAUAAGAUUAACCUAGUUUGAAAAUUAGCUAAUUAUUAUUAACUUAAAACAGUGACACAAUCCAUUUCCUCUUCGUCGAUAAGAAGAAAUGCCACGUAUACGAGCUAGGUGAAGAAUAACAGCUGUAAACUAUGCAGAAACACUUAGACCACUUAAUACUACGGAAAUUCACUAUGUUUCAAAUCCCUAAAUUGGUCUUAAAUAUAAAUAUAUAAAUUACAAAAUAGGAAAGCAAAUACAACUAAGCACCAAAUUGCCCUAUUUCUCUCUCCCACAAAUUAACAAGUAGAACCAUUAAAUUUGACAUACAAAAACUCCCUGCAUCUUAACUUGAAGCAAAAGAAAAAAAAUAAAUCAGUGCUACUUCUAUUCCCACCAAAUAAUUCAGAAGAAAGAUUGGGCCAAAUCGUAAGUCUUCAAUCUGGAUCAUAGUACUUCAAUGAGAAGACUCAGAGAUUUGUAUUAUUCUUCCUUUGAAGAUUCAGAUAUGGAGCGCUUGGAGCGCCUUUGAGAAAGUAAGAGUUUUGUCCUCUCGAGGACACCAAAGAAUAUGGACCCACCGAUGCCGAUCCACAGAACUCUUGGUCCGACACCCUGUUUAGAAAUUAAUCAUGAGAAACAAAGAUUAAGAAAAAUAACGUUCUAAUUAGAAAAUUAAGUCCAUAACAAUGCAAUAUAUCAAGACAAAUUUGCAAUGCAUUUCCUCUGUUGUAAGCAACAAAAAGUGCUUCCUUUACUCCUAAGAAUUUAUAUAGAGAAGAGAAAUGGCUAAUGUUGGUAUACCUUCAAAAACGCAGCUGGGCCUUCUUCUCGAAGAAUAGUCUGGGCACAACUUAGAAGCCCAUUGUAUUGAUUUGCUUGACCCUGCAAUAGAGAGAUUUGAAGAAAUAAAUAAUCUUUGAAAAGGUUCAGUGAUUAGUAUAAUUUAGAAAGCGACAAACUCAACCUGAACCAUCAAUCUUGUUUUCAUCACAUCAAGCGGUGUGGUUAUAGCUCCAGUUAUUGCCCCUGAGAAAUUAAAAAGAUAGCUGUAGAUUUUUCUGAUACUUAAAAAUGAAAUUCCUUCGUAAAGCUGGAAAUUGAAAGCAAAGAUCUAAUGGAUAGUAGAAAAUAAGAUGGUCCAUAGAUAAUAAUUUCGCCAAAGUAUGGCCCAGUUCUUUCCUUUCUCCAGGGAGUGGCACCAGUUUCCAGGAUUAUAUCGUCUUUGCCAAAUUGACGAUCGUAACAAGGUAUAUAGGUUCCAAAUUCAAUUAGAAACUUCUUUAAGCAAUAAUAUUCUUUUAGACUGAAAUUUUUGUAGUAAUUUCAGCAGAUGAUUCGACAAGAAUGCCGAACUGUCAAAAAAGAUAUCCUACGCGUACAGAUAUAGAAGUACUCUGCGUAACAAAAAAAAAAAAAGAUAAUAGAGGCAACGAAGUACAGAGAAGCUUCUUUUUGUCACUGAAAUGGAAAUAAGACAACACGUUUAUUAGGGACCGAAAGCAGCACAACUGAUUUACCAGCUACUGCUCCAAUUACAGCAUUUUCUGGAUCAUUUAACUCUCGUUUUGCCUGCACGAAAAAGAUAAUUGAAACAAAUUUACUCAAGGUUGAAGAACACUAGUUACUAAAUCAAUAUUAUUUUCCUCAAGAAGCUGUCCCAAAACCAUUCAGUUCAGGAGUAAAUAAACUCAGAGAUCCACCAAUACUGCGUGAACAUGAUAUAGGUACUUAAUGUAAAUGAAUUUGAGUUAAAUUAAACGUACCGCAAUCUUGUAUCCAAUUCGAAGCUGCUCAUAUAAACAAAACUGGAUGGCAUCAAAUGGUAGAUCUCGCAACAGAAAGGAACUGUAGCCCUACAAGCCCAAGAAAUAACAAGGUAAAGCAUGUCACAGCAUUUCUAGUAUAGUUGAAAAGGCAUAAGAAGCUGAAAUAUAUAAUUUAUACCAUCAUAGUAGGAUUUAUGAAAUCUAAAAAUAGUAAAAAUUUAGGGGCAAUCAAAUGUACAUACAGCAUAAAGACCUUUGAAGCCUUCUUUUGCAAGAAUAAGACGAACGGCAUCUGGAGCUGAGCUAAAUUGUCCGGUCUGCAUCCUUUGUUUAACCACCUGAAAGAGGUGAAGUCUGUGAAUUUAAAGUACUUCGAGACACUUCGAUAUAUAUGCACGCUCAUCGAUGUACAUACCUCCGUAGGAACACGGAUAAGAGAAGCAGCAGCCCCGCCAAUGGCCCCUGCAGUCUAUAUUACUUCCAUAUAUUAGAAUGCAGCAAGAAUAAGAUAACAUGUAUACAAAACCCUUUUGAUAUCCAUGGAAUUUCACAAGAGAUAUGUAAUAUCCAAUGUAAUUAAGCAGCCAUAGAAGCAUUAACAAAUAAUCAACCCUUUCAAAGCAAGCUCAGGUAUACAAAUCAACAUGUUUUUCCUCGAAUAAACUUGGAUUUCAUGUUCGUACUCGCUAGACAAAAAUAAAUUUUCUAUCAUGAGAAACUAGUUCAAUGGCCAGCAUGAAUAGUCUGAGAGAUGAUAUCAGAAUUGUCUUCAAAUUAAUGUUUAUGACUAAAAAUCAUUAUUAUGCAAACGAAGUGCCUUACAAAAAAGACAAUCAAGUUCUUCUCCAUGUGAGCAGGCUGAACCUUAAGGUCACCCAACUAAAAGUUUCAAUAGUAACAGAAACAACACAAAAUACUUGAAAUCUGCUUUAAUUUACCAGAUGAGCGACUGCACUAAACUUUUCAGGAAAUAUUUCCAGUAGCUUUUGUUUCGUAGGCUCAUAUAUGCCCACGAAUACAGCAGAUGCCCUACAAACAAAGAGAUUCAGUAAACGAGCAAAGUAGAAAUAAUAAUAGCUAGAACAAAGAGCAAUAUUUGAACAUAAAAAAGAUGUAGAAUUACUGUUGACAGUAAGCACCUUCACAGGGACUAGAUUAUGAAAAAACUAUAUCUUAGAUCAACCUUGAUUGAUUAAGCACCACCAUAAAUUUUUCCUACUAAGAAUUGCUGUUGUCUUUAGGUUAUUGUAGAAUUUGAAAACAAUUUGUGUGGUGGACAAACACUAUUUUUGUGGUGGAUCUAACAUGACUUUGCCAUUAGAGCUCCUACACUGCAAAUGCUGCAGCAGCAGGAAAUAAACAACAGCUUAAAUCCAGCACAAAAAAAAAACUUUGUUCAAAAUAAAAAUGUCCAAAUAUGGAUUGUAAAUUAGUGAAAAAGCGUAACUUGGGCAUAAAUUACUCACGGUAACACUCCAGCUAUAUUGCCAGCCAAUCCGGAAUACAAGCCCUUCCAUUCAAUUUUGCUUCCACCACGAGCAGCCUACAGAACAAAGCAAAUUCCAGUAAAAUGUAUCUUACAUAUUAUUUCGAUUAAAUUGUAGUAAGAUAUAUCUUCCAUAUCAUCUACUAUCUCGAUAAACUUAACAGCAACAAUAAAAAGAUAACACCUAGCAUAAUCAUGGAUCUUGCACAGAAAAAAGGAAAACGCCGAAGGCAAGUAGAAAGCAUGAAGAGGACAUUUUACGCAAAUCUCAUGAAAAUAGUAGCAGCUAUAUAGUUUCCAUCCACAUUAGUAUGGCAACUUCCAUAGUGAAAAUGAUAAUUCAUUAGAUAUCUGCAAAGUUAACUAUUACAUGGGAAUCUGGACUAGCAUUUUGGCCUUGUUGAAGAUCUCGAGAUGUUAUAUACACACUAUGCCAUGUGUAAGUGGCAGAUGCACAUGCAUACGAACAGACAUUACACAUAUUAGUGUGUCCAUGUAUUUAUAGAUGAAGCACAUACAUAUAUAGCAAAAGGCAAGCUCCAAUUAGAAUUAUUCCUUCGAAACAGUUAAAAGCACUCCUUCAAAACAGCUACCCCAUCUAAUCAGAAGUCCAAAUUGGAGUUUUGAUGUAUGAAAAUAUUGGUGUUCUAAAUAGCAGCUGCUAUGGCUGCUACAGCAACUGCUUCGAAGGACCACCAUGGUUAUGAAGGAUCUCUAUGCUAAGUGGAAACACUAUUUGGAAUAUAAAUGUACAAAAAUUAAAAAUGUUAUACUUCUAUAUUUGAAACUAAGAUGUUAUUACAAAUGCAGUUAUAUAAACUCCGCUAUGGGGUCCUCCAUCAGCUACGCGCUUUGAUAUCCUUCAAACACUAUGUACCGGCUAUCCGCCAUUUAUAACCUUAAAGAUAUUCAAAAGGCAUUUUAUAUUCAAAAGGUUACUACCUACUUAAGCUUAAAAAGUUAAAAACAAGACACCAAACAUGACUAGUACAUGAAUAAUGAUUUUAUUUAUGAUUGACCUGCCUGCAGCCUUGUCUUUAUUGUAUCAAUCGGAUAUAGAACUGUUUCAACAACAACACCAGCAGUGCCUCCGGCGAUAACACCCUCUGGAAAAAUAAAAGAGAUAUAACUCACAAACAAAGUAAUUGUAUUUCUGAUACAUUUAGUGUAAAGCUAGUAUAUUUCACAAAUGUAUGCAUUCUAACUGUCACAAAAGCCAUGCAAUUUAUGAGCGAACCGAACAAAAAAAUUUUAGAAUAUAUUUAUUAAGAAGAUCGAGGAUAUGAUUAAGAAAUUUUCUAAUGCAAUUUAGCAAUGCUUCAACAGGGAAUGCAGCAAAUUAACAACUCAUAAUUGUUUCUUACAGAAAGAAAGCCCACGAAGUAGCAAACAAAUUUUCAUUUCCGAAAAACUUAACAAGGCUUCUACAACCAAAAACCAUCGAUUGUGAUGCCAUCUUGCAUAAUUAUCCUGCCUUAUAAAAGCUGGUCCAGGGGCUUGGAAAAUUUUAAUGUUUUAAACUUGGUUAUUUAAUUCAGGAACUCUAAAAACCAACAGAUAAUCCUAGAUACAUGAAUCUUACUCUGAAUGAGCCCACCAAACCGUAUGCCUUAUAAGCUGAUUCCGUUGUCUCAAUUAGAAAUACAACAUUAGGGAUUUCUAGUAAGCAUUUCAAUCAACAUAUUAUGGUCAAACAGCUAAUUAUCAAGUUUAGAUAAGGAGGAAUGUACCAAACAAAGUGCGGAGAAAAUCAAAAGGCUUUUCCUCUCCCAUGGUGACUGAUGCGAACAGCUUUUGCGGGACCACGACCGAGUCAUGCAAUUUACUCGUGCAUGCUAGAUAAAAAGCAACAAAAAGACUGAUCACUGGCCUGGAAACAAAACUAGGGGUAUGUCAACAACAGGAACCACUAUUUCCAAACUUAGCUACUCAAUUUGAAGCAGUGAGAAAUCAAAUAACUCCUUUUAUCUUUUCACACAAAAAAUGAUUUAUGAACCAGCGACGAGAAAUUAAGUCAGAAAUAUGGAUUUUCAGAUAAUGUAUAUGCAUAUAUGUAUACUUUUAAGUUUUAAGAAAAGAAAAAAAAAAAACCCUAAGCAUGGAUCCAUGCCAGAAAAAUUUACCUGGUGAAGUUGUAGGAGAUCUGCUUCCAUCGAGAGCCAAUGUUGGUCCCAUCAAAAUCUACUAAUCAAAUACCUUGAAUUAAGGUGAAUAAAAAUUGCGGAUACUCUAAAUCAGUAGAUUCAUUAAAAUUGCGGAUACGAAAAUAAAAAAGAAAAAUAUCUAUCGAUUGUCAUCUAAAACAUAUAACAAACUAAAACAAAGAUCAAAUAAUCGGCUUCUACGCAUUCCAAACAUAGGCAUGAAAAAGUAGUGGCCCCAAACGAAGAUCAAUUUGGAGGUUACAAGCAUUAGGGUUUAAAUGCCGCAUACCUGUUGCAGAAGAAGAAGAAGAGAAGUAGGGGGAGAGGAUCGAAGUAGAGAGAAGUGGUCGAGAGGGGCGAGGAAGAGAUAGAGCGAAAUGCAUUUUGGAAAGGGUUUUUGUUACACAACGGCGGCAAUUAACGGGCCGGAUCCUACGGCAACGAUUAAUUAUCGGAUACUCAACCCAAAUCCUCUAGUAAUAGAUGGGUCUGGCCCAACAUCGGGCCCAAUUCAUCAGGAUUUGACCCAGCUCUGAAACAGCCCAAAAUUUACUUUUGAAUUGAUGGGCGGAAUUAUUAACCCCGGGCCUACUAUCUUAAGGCCACACGGUUAAAAGGUAAAACCUCGACUAUAGGAAAUUUUGAAAUGGACCGCUAAGCUUUUACAUUUUUUAAUUUGGGAUUUUCCUUUUUUAUUUCUUAUUUGAGUUUUUCGACGUAGAAAAUAUAAGUUAUUAGCGAUAUAAAAAUUUAAAAGUUGAGAGGUAAAAUUUGAGAGGUCAAUUUUGAAAUGUAAUACGUAUAUAGUUGAGGAGGUUUUUAUACAUUUUUACCUGUUCAAACCGCAAGCAGAGAAGGGUAUUUCUGUCAAUCUAGUUUACAAAUCAACAGCAAACAUAAAACCGUUUAACUCCCGCCUUCCAUUUUAGGACCUCUCCAUCCGCACUCCAUGGCGCUCCCUUCUCCUCCUCCCCCACCAUAGAACCAAAAAGAUUAAAAAAUAUACAUAUAUUCAUAUAAAAUAAAAUAAAAAAUCUUUCACCUCCUCUCUCCUCUCCCCUCCGCCUCCCCCGCCAUGCCGCCUCCUGCGGCCGCCCUCACGUGGUUCUCCAUUGCCACGAUUGCCGUCGCCGCCGCCGCCGUCGCAUCAUCAACGGUGGAGGGCAUCGGAGUGAACUGGGGGACGCAGAUGUCGCACCCGAUGCUACCGACGACGGUGGUGCGGAUGCUGAAGGCGAACGGCAUCAGCCAGGUGAAGCUGUUCGACGCGGACGCGUGGACCGUGGGCGCGCUCGCGGGCACCGGCAUCGAGGUCAUGCUCGCCAUCCCCAACGACCAGCUCGCUCGGAUGAGCAGCAGCUACGACAACGCCAAGAAGUGGGUCAAGGAGAAUGUUACCAGAUAUGACCACGAUGGAGGGGUCAAUAUCAAGUAACGAACACUUUUUAAUUGUUUCAAUUUGCUCCCUCCAAAUUUUUCUACUAACACGCGAGUUUUGUACUAAACAUUACCACCGUCCAAAUAUGAACUUUAAAUACAAUAUUAGUUCUAAUUUUUUAUACUUCAUUUUAUAAAGAAUUAAAGUCUAAAAUUUAAUUGUUCAGGUAUGUGGCCGUGGGUAAUGAGCCCUUCCUGAAGAGCUACAAUGGCUCGUUUCUGAACACCACCUUUCCCGCCCUAAAGAACGUUCAAAAGGCCCUGGACGAGGCCGGGGUCGGAAACCGCAUCAAGACCACCGUCCCGCUCAAUGCCGAUGUCUACAGCUCCCCAGAUAACGACCCCGUGCCGUCCGCCGGCAACUUCCGCUCCGACAUCCGCGAGCUCAUGGUACAGAUUGUUCGCUUCCUCCAUGACCACAACGCCCCGUUCGUCGUCAACAUCUAUCCCUUCCUCAGCCUCUACCAAAACCGCGGCUUCCCCGUCGACUUUGCCUUUUUUGAUGGCGGCGGCCCCACCAUCGAUGACAAGGAGGCCCACUACACCAACGUGUUCGACGCCAACUACGACACUCUUGCCUGGUCGUUGAAGAAGGCCGGCGUGCCUAACAUGCCAAUCAUCGUCGGCGAGGUUGCCCGAAACAAUAUAUAUAUAUAUAUAUAUAUAUAUAGAGUUCGGCUAUAUACUCUUUUGAGUAGAAUCACCUUCGUACUCAUAAGUUAUUUUUGAUGAUAGAGCUUCCGAAUCAACGAUUCAUACCGUUAAAUAUUAUCUAGAAUAUUUAAAAUUUCUAGAAAUUAAAUUUUAUAAUUUUUCGAUAUCAUUUACGUUACGAUCAAAAGCUCACAAAAUUGACAAUUUUUAACGGCUGAUAUGAGAUAUUUGCUAGCUUAACGGUGUAAAAGAGUCGGAAUAGGUUGAAUUUUUGAUAGAAAACUUUAUUCACUACCUAAAUAAAGAUCAAUAACUCCAAUCUUAAAUUGAAGGACCCGAUCAUCCAUUUUUAAGAUGUCGUUCGAUUUUGAACGUUCAUUUUAUACUGGCUUGAUAGACUUUAUAAUGAUUUCAAAAAAUUAUGAAGUUUAUUUUUUAAAAGUUUGAAAUACUCUAGAUCAUGUUUAGCGUUGUAGAUCGUCGAUUCGAAAACCUCAACAUCGAAACAACUUAUGAGUACGAAGAGCUAUAUACUCAUAAGAGUAUAGUAGCCCUACUAUAUAUAUAUAUAUAUAAUAGAGCUUCUGAAUCGACGAUCCAUAUUGUUAAACAUUUUCUAGAGCAUUUAAAAUUUCUAGAAAUUAAAUUUCAUAAUUUUUCAACAUCAUUUAACUUACGAUCAAAAGCUCACAAAAUUAAUAAUUUUAAUGGCCGGUAUGAAAUACUUACUAGUUUAACGGUGCAAAAGAAUUCGAAUAGGUUGAAUUUUUGAUAGAAAAUUCUAUUCACUGUCUAGAUAAAGAUCAAUAACUCCGAUAUUAAAUUGAAGAAUCCAAUCAUUUAUUUUUAAGACGUCAUUCGAUUUUGACUGUUCAUUUUAUGUUCGCUUAAUGGAAAUUAUUAUGAUUUUAAAAAAUUACGAAAUUUAUUUUCUAGAAGUUUCAAAUACUUUAAAUCAUAUUUAAUCCAGUGGAUCGUCGAUUCGGAAGCUCCAUCAUCGAAAACAAAUUAUGAGCACAAAGGACCCAAUACUUAUAAGAGUAUAGUAGCCCUACUAUAUAUAUAUAUAUAGUCCGGCUACUAUACUCUUAUGAGUACGAUUUAAAUGCUCUACACCAUUAAACGUGCUCAUAAGUUGUUUCCGAUGAUAGAGUUUUCGAAUCGACGAUUCACAACGUAAACGUUAUGUAGAUCAUUUAAAAAGUUUUUAAUACUCUAUAUCAUAUUUAACGGAGUGGAUCGUCAAUUCAAUUAUUGAAAACAACUUAUGAGUAAUAAAGGGCUCUAUACUCACAAGAGUAUAGUAACCCUAACUUUUAUGUAUAUAUAUAUAUAUAUAUAUAUAUAUAUAUUAAAAGGCUUAAGCUGCUAUAUAAAAUAAUGUUAAUCUUUUUCUCGACAUUCACGUACAUUAAUACAUGGUUCCAUUUGUAAUUAAAUGAUGACCCAAUGGACGCAAAAAAAACUAUUGAUAAAGCUCUUUUUUUAUCUCUAAAAACCAAAGUUACUGAAGAACGGUAUUUUUAAAUUCAACAGGUAGGAUGGCCCACCGACGGUGAUAAAAAUGCUAAUGUAAUUUACGCAAAGAGAUUCUACGACGGCUUCUUUAGGAAAAUGGCGAAGAAAGAAGGGACGCCGCUCCGUCCUGGGAAGAUAGAUGUCUAUCUCUUCGGCUUGAUCGAUGAGGAUAUGAAGAGCGUUCUACCAGGAGACUUCGAGCGGCACUGGGGGCUCUUCACUUACGACGGAAAGCCAAAGUUCCCAAUGGACCUUUCUGGGCAGGUCUGAACGGUUAUACCGUACGUACUUCUCUAAAAUUUUAAGCUGAUAGAAGGAUAGAAUUCUAAUAUUCUAUAUUCAAUGUUAGGGACAUGAUAAGUAUUUGGUGGGCGCCACCGGCGUGGAGUACUUGCCGGCACAAUGGUGCGUGUUCAACCGGGAUGCCAAGGACCUGAGCAGCCUGGAUGGGGACAUGGAGUUCGCGUGCUCGAGCGGCGAUUGCACGGCGUUGGUGCCCGGAUCGUCGUGCAAUGGCUUGGACAAGUCCGGGAAAAUAUCGUAUGCAUUCAACAUGUACUUCCAGAUGCAGGACCAGGACGUGCGCGCGUGCGACUUCGGCGGGCUGGCGAAGAUCACUACCAAGAACGCGUCGCAAAACGGGUGCUUGUUCCCAGUGCAGAUCCUAAGUGCGGGGGUGAAGACGUCGGCAGCAGGCGCAGCCGCGGCGGCCGCGGCUAUUGGCAUGACUCUGCUGUUGCUUCUGUGAAGUAGAUUUACGUACUACUACUUCACAGUCGAAGUUGGAAAUUUAAGAGGAGGUCGAUCUCUUCAAGUUCCCUUGUUACUUCGGUUGUUUUACUUGCUUAAUUAUAUGUUAUUUCUCGUAUUACAAAGGAUCAGUGUAAAAUGCGUCUUGUUUCUUCAUUAGUUAAAUUCUGUACAUAAUUGCACUAACGUAGGUUUUGCUAUUUGAUUUUAUUAGAUAUAUAUGUCUCAAAUUCUGAUAUGUCUUGAAUUCUAGUAUUACAAUAUUUUCUAACUUUAUACUAUUUUGAUUAUUCUAUUAAAAUUUAGAUUAUGCCUAAUCUAAUUAAAAUCUUUCUAGUCUUAUUAAAUUUGUAUGAUUUAGAAUUUAGCCACUAUUAUAAAUAUACCAUUUAUUCUAUUAAUUUUGGUGCAAUAGAUGAAAUAAAGUAUGGUGUAUUUUUUGGAACCAAAAUUUUGUGAGAGAAACAUAUUUUGUAUAUCUCCACUGCAUAUUCGUUCGUGGAUAUAAAUCAGUUGCUGAACAUUUAAAGAUUAUGUAUUUUAUUUUUUCUUCUUUUUAUUUUGGAUUUUUAUUUGAUAUUUUCACGUCCGAUGAGCUAGAUUUUUUUUGCCUUUAUCAUAACAGUUUUGUGGUACUGAUUAAUCCUCAUCAACUGUUCUCAUUUUUUGUUGGCCUAAUAGCAAUUUAAUCUCAGAAAGAACGGCCGCUAGGUUGAUUAAAACAGUACACGCCUCAGUUAUCUAUGCUCAAUUUACAUAGACCCUUUAAACAAUGUGUCGAGCACGAGCCAAACCAACUCGAUCGAAUCACUUAAGUUAAGAGGUGAGAGUUAAUUUCGAAUCAUUCCAACUUGAUUCAACCCGUUUGCCAGAUCCCCCGGUAAUUAAAUUACUUCCUCUUAUGCGAUCGACUCAUCGUUAAGAUUGAUAAAUUAGAGCUUAAGGAAUAAAGAUAGAAAAAUAAAACAAAAACAAUGAACUAUUGGGUCAAGGUUCCUAGACUCGAAGCUGACCAAAACCCAUCAUCAGGUCAGUUGAUUUUGAUCCUCACUUGACCUGCGCAACCAAAGUUAAUUAACUCAAAUGGCUUCGCCUAUGUUCCUCGAGUUGUUUUCUAACGAAACAAUUUUUUACUGUAAAUUGAUUUCAUUAGGUCUGAUUAAUUAUAGUUAUAUAGUAAAUAAUAAAUUAAUGAUAAUAAGAAAUGUACCACUGUGAUAGUAUAAUAACACUAGCACCCAAAAUGGUUCACAUGACAUGGGCCUUCUCUCCUCCCGAGUAGCUGAUGAUGAUUCCAUAGCCGUGUUCCCCAUUUUCCCUUGAGAUGGGACGGAUUUUUUUUUUUUAAUAAAUUAUUAUGACGGUUGACGUGGCCCGCAUACACUAUCAAUGUUUACCUCUCCAUUAGUUUCCUUAAUAUAAUCAAAUUUCUCAACAAAAUAUACCCAUCCCAAUUAAUAAAUCCCAAUUAACAAAAUAUGUCCAUUAGUAGGGCUUCGUUUGGAAUUGCGAGAAGAUUGCGUUACGUUCGAUGAGAAAAUACGUUAAAAAAAUACCUAUUUAUUUUCGUACGUAAUAUUGUAUUCCGUAUAUCGCCAUGAGUCGGUUAUAAUAUAUUUUCUGCGGUCGCACCGGAGAAUAUAGAAGUAAAUUUCUAUAUGUUUUUUUUCUCAACUCUAUUUUACCCUAAUAGCGUUAAAUAGAUCUCAAUAUCAAACUAAGUCCAAAACUAUCCAACAUUCCACUGUAGUUUGAGGGGCAGUUGCGAAAUAAGUGGAGCGGGCUUUUUUCCCCUGCACCCCGUGUGUUUAUACAUCUCGUGCACGUUAAUAACUAAUAUUAAUAAUAUAUUAAAAACAAAGUUUAAAUUGAAUAGUUGACACGCAUUAACAAUACGAAAAGAGAUCCCAUUGAUUCGGAUGCAAUAGGGUAUCCCACAUGCUGAGGACUCUGUGGUCUGUGCGGUGCAUGGUGCACGUGGUGCAUGCAAUUAAUGAUUCGGGAGGAGGAUGAGACAAGGGGAGCCGUGCGUCCCACACAAAAGCCGCGACACCGCACCGUCCGUUCCGUCGACUCGGUUACCGCGGGGGUGCAGCUCCCGAGGAUGUUUUCGACCGUAGGUUUGUUAUGUUAUGAUCUCUCUCUUUCCCCCCUCUCUCUCUCUCUCUCUCUCUCUUAGACUACUCUCAAACNCCUCCUUCUUCCUCCCUCCUCUCUUUCUCUCUCCUCUCCCCUUCUUUCCCCCUCCUCCGAAGAGAAAGAUAGAGAGAAAGAGAUCGAGAGAGAGAGAGAGAGAGAGUGUGUGUGUGUGUGUGAGGGAAAGAGAACGACCAUUGUCUUCGUUGGUCGACCUCCUCUCACCACCACAACUCUCUCUCUCUCUCUAUUUGUGUGUGUGUGUGCGUGUGUGUGUUUCAGCCCUUUUCCCCUUUUUAUCUCCCAAAUCGCCUAAACAACACGUACAGUGGGGGGGGCUUCAAGAGAAAUUUAUAAUUUUGCAUGCAUGAAAUUAGUUAACCUCGAGCGUGCGUACGUUCGAUAUAUAGCCUUCGUCGAUUACUGUGGAAAUUAACUUGUAGGAGUCGGGGCGCGAUCGAGAGGAUAGGAAGAAGAUGAACGACCUGUUCUCGACGAGUUCGUUCAAGAAGUACACGGACCUGAAGCAGCAGGUCGUGCUGGACGCGAUGGAGGCGGGCACGGCGGGCGAGUCGGGCCGCGAGACCGUGAACCUGGACAAGUUCUUCGAGGAGGUCGAGAACGUCAAGGACGACCUCCGGGGGCUCGAGAAGCUGUACCGCCGGCUGCAGGAGGCCAACGAGGAGAGCAAGACGGCGCACACGGCCACGACGGUGAAGUCGCUGCGCGCCCGCAUGGACGCCGACAUCGAGCAGGUGCUCCGCCGCGCCAAAGCCGUCAAGGCCAAGCUCGAGGCGCUCGACAAGUCCAACGCCGCCCACCGCAAGCUCCCCGGCUGCGGCCCCGGCUCCUCCGCCGACCGCACCCGCACGUCCGUCGUCUGCGGCCUCGGAAAGAAGCUCAAGGACCUCAUGGACGACUUUCAAGGCCUGCGCACGCGCAUCGCCUCCGAGUAUAAGGAGACCGUCGGCCGGCGCUACUUCACCGUCACCGGGGAGAAACCCGAUGAGCGGACCAUCGAGACGCUGAUAUCGUCCGGGGAGAGCGAGACCUUCCUGCAGAAGGCCAUACAGGAGCAAGGGAGAGGACAGGUAGGUGCAUGAUCCACCGUCGAUGAUCAACCAAUUCACUUCACUAGCUAGCUUCAUACGCAUAAAAUUAAUAUCAUGUUAAAGAAUGAAUGUAAAAUAAUAAUAAUUAUUAUUAUUCUUCUUCAAAAAUCAAAAAUUCAAGUCCUCAGAAAAUUGUAUCUCUAAUUUAUAUAUUCAACAAUUCAUAUAAAUAAAUAAUUCAAUUUUCAAACCUCUUAUACAUGCCAUAUUUAUUUUGAUUUUCAAUCGUUAAUUCUUUCGUAAGAAAUAAUUAUAUAUAGCGUGUGAAAAAUGCCUGACUUAUUUCAUGAUAAUUAGAAGAUUCGAACUCAGUAUUAAUUUUCUGCUGCAUGAAAAUUUUGAUCGCUCUGAACAUGACUUAAGCCGUAGUGGUAAUUGUUGAGCGCAGGUGAUGGACACGAUAACGGAGAUCCAGGAGCGGCACGACGCGGUGAAGGAGAUCGAGAAGAGCCUGCUGGACUUGCACCAGGUGUUCCUGGACAUGGCGGCGCUGGUGGAGGCGCAGGGGCACCAGCUCAACGACAUCGAGAGCCACGUCGCGCACGCAAACUCGUUCGUCCGGAGGGGCGCCGUCGAGCUCGAAACCGCGCGCGAGCACCAGAAGAGCUCCCGCAAGUGGGCCUGCAUCGGCUUCGUCGCUGCUCUCAUCCUCGUUAUCAUUCUCCUCCUCCCCAUCCUCACCACCUUGUUGAGGUAGAUGCAUAUAUAUAUAUAUAUAUAUAUAUAUAUAAACAUGCAUAUAUAGUGUAAUGAGGGGAUCUUUUGGGGGGGAAUUUUUUUCCUUUUUUCUUGAUUUUUUUUUCUUUCAUAUUUUUGGGUGUUGGCUGUUCGUAUUAUUGAGGAAGAAUAUAAUUUAAUUAUUUGUGGGUGGACCUUGAUUGGUCUUUUUCGAUAAUCUUUGUAAUUUUGUUCAGAGCUUUUCUUUUUUCUUUUUAUUGGAAAAGAAACUAAAGUUAAUUUAAUUGUUCAUAUUUGGUCAACCGAAUUGCGUGCAUUGCUCGUCUAAUCACACAUUCUAAACGAACUGCUAUGUUUUUCUUUUUUUUUUUUCUUUUUUUUUUUUGAGAGAUAGAUAGUAUGUUACUUGCUUCGUUUAUUUUAUUUAUAAAUAAAUUUAGCUAGAAAUAUAAAUCAACUAUCUCAAAUACCAACCAUCAAAUCCUUUACCACUAGCGCUAGAGACGGUCGGUAACGAACUGCUAUAUUGCACUCUACAAAAACCACGUACAAUUAACACCCCGACUAAACACAUAUUUAGAACCGUUUGGCCCGGUGGUUAUAUGAUUUUUUUUAUUUGUUACGGUCCAAAUUAUAACCUCAAAAGGCAAGAGCAAAUAGGUUUUUGAAGUCGCUGCAACAAUUAAAUCAGCCUCCAUAUUGUUUCGGUUGACAAAUAAAUGAAAAAAAUUUAACAAAGUGACUCUACCUAUAAAAAAUUAAAGUUUAAAAAUGUAAUAUUUGUAGUAUUCAAUAAAUAUAUAUAUAAGACAAAAGUUUAUUACGGGGAGGAAUAAAAUUUACACUCCAAAAGAGUUUGCUGGCUAAUGGUUACUAAUAUUACUAAAUAACUGUGGAAUAUCUAAUUACUACAGCACCAGUGGUCUAGUGGUAGAAUAGUACCCUGCCACGGUACAGACCCGGGUUCGAUUCCCGGCUGGUGCAUUUCCUUUUUUUUUUUUUUUUUUUUUNUUUUUUUUUUUUUUUUUUUUUUGAUAGGUUCUUGCAGAAUUUGUGCCAAAUUAUUAUUAUUAUUAUUAUUUAGAGAAUUGAUUUGUUUAAUUUUUUAUAAAUAAAUUUAGUUAAAAAUAUGAAACCAAUUAUACUUCAAAUUUUAAAUCUCGAAUACCAAUUAGGAAGUUUUUUGACACUUGUAUUAAGAACAAACGAUAGUCUGUAUGAAAUUUUUUUAUAUAUAGUUUUACUGAUGAUGCAUAAGUUUCCAAUUACAAUUCUUACUUUUCAGGCAAGAAAAGGUUUUUCAACUUUAUAGAAGUCAUAUCAAAUAUCCAUGGAGUUUUACGACUCAAAGUCAAAGGCCACCUCCUUUUCCACUAGUCGUGGUUAUUUUACCUCAGUAAGAAAAUUAAUGAUCAACUACCAGUUGCUCGGGAUAUAAAUAUUCACUCAACAAAUAUGGCCUAAACUAAGGAUCUUAUUGGGGGUUGAAAGAGACCAUCACUACAGUGUGGUCUAUACUAUAUAUAUAUAUUUCAUAAAAUUCAAAAUGAAUGGUAGUUAUAAAAUAUUUAAAUCUAUAGAACCCAUAUAUACCUCCUAAUUUUAGUGGGCCCUUCCUAUUGCUAGCAUGUUCUCUUUGUCACAAUUAAAUCUUCUGUGAUGCCACUUUGCCAUUUCCUCUUUCCAGAGUUAGAAGCUUGUAAUCCAAGUUCUCUGCUCCAAUUUCUACGUAUAAUUGACAAGAGAAUGAACCUUAAUUAGUUAAUUAUAAUUCUCCUAAAUUAUGGCAACAGAACAACAAACAUACUUCCUAUAAUGCUAAUGAACUCGAUAAUUUCCUUAAACAGGGAAAAUUAUGGUAUUGAAACAGGCAUACGGGUCCCUAUCAAACGCUCAAUUUAGGUUCCUUGGCCUUGUAGUACUUAACAUAAAUUUCUUUAAUUUUAUAGUCAUUUGGUCAUAGUUCUUUUUUUUUUUUUUUUUUUUGAGGAAAAGGUAGCAUGCUACCCGCUUCAUUCAUUGAAAAGAUGAAUUAGGCUACAGAAGUGAGGCAGCUAGGCCUCGAAACGAGAUGGAUGGAAAAAAAAAAAAAAAACUUUAUUGAUUAGCCGCUAAAAGAAAAUCCCAUGAAUUAUAUAGUUGUUUAACCUUACUGACAAUUUUGAGAGGGUCCGGCUGGGUCGUUCUGAAGAUUAAAUUAUUUCUGCUCUCCCAGAUGAAGAUUAAAUCAUUUGGUCACAGUUCUAAUGUAAAAAUAUUAAGGUUUAUCAUUUUCAUAAUCUAUCCUAAAGUAUUUGAAAAAGAAGCUUCUCUUAAAACCUGUAAACAUGCAUAGAGUGGUUCCCUGUAUAUGAGAAUUGAGACCAGAAAACAUUUGCAUUGGAGUGCCGAAAAUGUACUAUAGAAGCAUGAAAAUAUAUUAUAAGAUAUAUCGAUGCAGAAAAUAAUUGUGUAACUGAUAUAUAUAAAUGUGAAAGUUUAUGUAAACAAGUUGAUCAAUAGCAGUUGUUUUUUAACUGGUCAUCUAAUUGUUCUUGUUUUUUUCUUAAAGAAAAAUUUCCCACUUUUUUCAAAGUAAUUGAAUAAUCAGAGUACUAUAUAUAGAUGCAGAUGCCUCCUUUUCCUUGCUAAAACUUAGUAUAUAAACUCUCGAAACGAAGAAACAAAGUGUUGAUAUAUAUGUAUACGGUUAAGAUUGAAUCACAUAAAUAUAUACAACAACAACAACUACUAAGUUGACGAUACUUAAUUACUGCUAUAAGAAUUAAACAGCACCCAUGAGUUAGCUCGGAGGUCAAAGAAACUUAAUAUAAGUUACUAAUUUUGAAUCUACUCCUUUUUUUGGGUCUUAACUAUCUUUGUGAUCACCGAUCACUUACACAGGUACGUAGUUGAUUUAUUUAUAUAUCUAGAUUACAUUAUAAAAAGUACAUCACUAGAAAUAAUAUAGUUAAUGCUAAUUAAUACACACUUAAGAGAAAAAAAACAAAAGAAAAUACUCAUGUACAAUUACUGAUGAAAUACUAAACUUGUAUAUAUAUGAUGUGCACAAUUUAAUUACUAGUGCUUUUAGUUUUCUAGAGUUAAAGCCGAUUUCAAUUAAGUACCAUAAAAGGAUAUAAUUAGAAAAUUAAGCAAAACAACUAAUUUUCUGUCGCAUGCUAAGCUAACUCGUUUACUCUAUAUAGGCUGUAAUUAAUAACUUCCGAGGUCACUACAACAAAAAUGGUCUAUAGCGACACUUUUAAAUAUAGGUACAUGUCAAAAAAGUGCUGUUAGCUAAAAUUACCGACACUUUUAAAAAGUAUUGCUAUAUGUGGGGUCGCUAGGUAUAUAGUGACAGUUAAAGAGUGUUGCUAUAACCUAAAAGAGUGCUGCUAAUUUACAAACACUUAUUUAAGCAUUUAACAACCGCCGAAACUCUAUCUCAUUGGCUGCGGUGGCGGAGGAGGACGACAGUAAAGACUUUUCGUCUAGAAUUUCAGUGAAUUGAGUAAAGAGAGAAAAAAAGAUGGUAAUUGAUUUUUCUUUUUUUUCUUUUCUGUUUGUAAUCGGGCUAAAUGCACUAGGUAUGGUGGGUUGAGUAGAGUAAUCUUUUAUUUUUUAUUGGAUUGGACUUUAUAUUUAGGCAUUAGUAGAUGUGUUUUUAAGUUUUAGCAUAAAUGGGACACUUACUCAAAAAUGUCCCAAACAUGUGUCCCUAUAACCUAAUUCUGUUGUAGUGGGUAAGCAUACCACAUUAGGUUAUUGGCUUUAAAAUGUUUUAGGAAUAUUUCUUAUUUUGAAUAUGGAGCCCAAUCAAGAGGGUUCUAAAUUUGGCCAAAUGUAUCCAAACCAUACUUAAAAAUCAGGUGUGGCUAGGGCUUAUAAAUAACCAUUCUAUGUUAAUCCAACACACUCGAGAGUGUGUGAAUACACACACAUGCAUCAUGCAUGAACCGCCAUUAACAAUGGCAAUGGACUACUAUUUGCAAUGGCUUGUGACUCCGCUAACCCUAGCCAAAAGAUACCCAGAAAUCCUACUAUCCAUACCAUGUUUCCUCUUCCUCCACCAUCUCAACCGCCGCCGCAGAAUGCCGGUGAACUGGCCUGUGCUCGGGGUGCUCCCGUCGGUGCUUGCGAACUACGACCGCCUCCUAGAGUGGAGCACCGACGUCCUCCGGCUCGCGGGGAGGGCUUUCGUCUUCAAAGGCCCGUGGGCUUCCAAGGUCGACGUCCUCCUCACCUGCGAUCCCGACGACGUGCGCUACGUGUUCACCGCCAACUUUGCCAACUACCCGAAAGGCCGGGAGUUCGCCGCCAUCUUCGACGUGCUCGGCGACGGCAUCUUCAAUGCCGACCGCGACUCCUGGGCCUUUCAACGUAAGAAGGCCCAUGCUCUAAUGGCCGAGCCCAAAUUCCGGGCCUUUGUGGCUCAGUCCACAAAGGAGAAGCUGGAAAAAGGGCUUGUUCCAUUACUCAGCCAUUUAGCUGAAGGAAACUUGGUGUUCGAUCUACAAGACGUGUUUCUUAGGCUCACGUUUGAUACCACGGCGAUGUUCGUGUUUGGAUUUGACCCGGGGUGCCUCUCCGUUGACUUUCCAACGGUCCCCUUCGCCAAGGCCAUGGACGACGUCGAGGAGGUGCUGUUCUCGCGCCACGUCACCCCUCAUGCAUGGUGGAAGCUACAGAGGAGGCUCAACGUGGGCCACUACCGAAAAAUGGCCACAGCAACGAAGGUGAUAGACGAAUCCAUAGCUCAAUACAUCGCCAUGCGAAGAGAAGCUAAGAAUAGCAGCAGUGGUGGUGGUGGUGGUCAACGCGGCUACGACCUCUUGGGUUCGUACUUGGACUCGGAGGAGGAGGUGGGGAGGGAGAUGGCGCACGCGCGGGGGCACGUGUUCGAGAGGUUUGUGAGGGACACGGCGCUCAACUUCAUGGUGGCGGGGCGCGACACGACCAGCUCGGCGCUGACGUGGUUCUUCUGGCUGGUGGCCCACCACCCCGACGUCGAGAGCCGGAUCGUCGCCGAGCUGACCCGCCACGCACCGGCGAACCACCCCGCGCAGCUGCACAAACUCGUCUACACGCACGCCGCGCUGUGCGAGUCCCUGCGCCUCUUCCCGCCCGUCCCCUUCGAGCACAAGUCGGCGGCGAAACCCGACACUCUACCGAGCGGCGUCCACGUUCACCGGCAGCAGAGAAUUAUGUUUUCGCUGUACGCGAUGGCGCGGAUGGAGGGGAUAUGGGGCGCCGACUGCAUGGAUUUCAAGCCGGAGCGGUGGCUCGUGGCGGGCGGGGAGAAGAUCCGGCACGUGCCGUCGUACGUAUUCUUGGCGUUUAACACCGGCCCGCGGACGUGUCUCGGGAAGGACCUGGCUUUUACGCAGAUGAAGGCGGUCGUAGCGGCGGUGAUCGGAAAUUUCCGCGUAGAGGUGGCGCGGGGACACGUGGCUCGGCCCAAACUGUCCAUUAUUUUACACAUGAAGGGUGGCCUGAAGGUGAGCGUCAGGAAGCGAGAGAAGCUCUAGAUAUAUAAGUGAGUAAUUAAUUUGGUAAUUGUGGUGUGCAUGCAUGCAUUUGGGUGUGUGAUAAUAUACGCAAAAAAGGACUUAAAUAUAUAAGAUGUGUAAUUAACUUUGGAAACUUAGAAGAACAUAUUUGUGUGGGUACGUGCAUGGUUAAGUCAAUAUAGUAUAUAUUAUAUACAUGCAUCAUGUAAAUAAAUUGGUUUUAGAUUAAUUAGUACAAAAGAGCGGCCACAAUUUAAUUAAGAACACAGAAUUAAGCCGAGGGAGGUUACUUACACUAAUUAAAUUUCUGUGAGAAGUCUCGUAGACAAUAAAUUAGAUAUAGUUAAAUUGUAAAUAAAUUAUCUAACCUACUAAAUUGGAUUCUUAUUUCCAUUUUAACAUGCUUACCCACAGGUCAUAAAUGUACCUACCACACAAUUAGAUUUGAGCAAAUCUAGCGUGACCCACCCAAUGUAUGAUUCACUAGGUCGGGCCAGUUCUGAAAAUUGGAGGCCCGAUGAAAUUCAUAUCGAUCCGAUUAAAUUUUUAGAUUUUCUUGAUUGAUCCUCGUCAAAUUUGUUUUUUUUUUUUUAAAAUGUAAGUAGCUCAACAAUUUUCUGGCUGGGCCAGGUUCGAGCUGAGUAGAUUUACUUCGGUCUGAACAGAGGCUCGACCUGCAGACCGGUUUUAGGUAUUUAUAUUUUACCUAAUUUAGAAGCCGAUGAUUGUAAAAAUAAAAUUUAUGGAGUGGUGAAUUUUGCACACACUCUGAAAAUUAAAAUAUCAUUUUGAUACAAGUCCAAAUUACGACCCAGUAUAGCAUUAUGUAUUCAACAGUUCAAGCCCGUGUAGUUUUGUUUCAAUUCGAUCCGAUCCGAUCCAGAGUUUUGAACCCAAUCUCAGAGCACCGGACUCGGGCCAUGUUCCCGAGGUGAUGUCAUUGUCUUGUGUGGGUACGGUCAAAAAGAUGAGCCCCAACGCGCCCUUAAUAAAAGCCCCACGCCCGGUUCGACCCACUCGCAUGGUGAACCGUGCCCGGUCCAAUUUUUUAUCCACUAAAAAAAUCUCGCUCACCUGGCCCGGUUCACUAUUUCACAAUUUUACUACUUUAUCUUUUGCCCCCUUCCCAAAACCCCACCACCCUUGUUCUCUCGAAACCCUAACUCCCUCCCAAUAUUUCCACUAAUUUAAUCUUUUCUCAUCUUUUUUUAAAUUUUUUUUAAAAAAUUUUCUCGAUGAAGUGCUGAGUAAAUGAGAGAGGAUUAAAAAAAAAAAAAAUUUGAAGGACUUAUUGGGAAAAAAAUUGAGGAGGAGGACCAUUUAAGCAUCCCAAUGCAUGGGGGGUGGGUACGUACGUGCUCUCUCUUAUUAAUUAAUCUCUCCAUGCACUUUUACUUUAACACAGUCCCCUAAGAUUUUUUGUCUCACGUGCAUCGAUCACUCCCAUUGUCAUCAAAACAUGCCCUUCCCAAGAAGAGGAGGGCUUGGAAUGGCCCUGCAGCCACUUGUUCUUACAUUAGUAUGAUUUUUAAAACAGCUUUUAUCUUUUCAUAAAUUGUCGUUAGAUAUUUUAUUAACGUAUUUAGCUGGUUCUGCUGAAGCUUCUACAAAAAUAUUGUUGGAAUUUAACUUUUUAAAAAAAUAUACAUUAUUUUCUUUUAAAAUGUUUUCAAUAUGUAAAAGAAAAUUGUUUCAAAAGCAGAAGUUCAAAGGGCGUAGAAGUGAGCAGAAUCACUAAUUAAUUAACUCUUUAGCCUAGUACAAUUAGGGCAUUAAUUUCUUGGGCCUAAUUAGACUUUGAGGUGGAGGCCAUCAGAGAGAAGGGGACAAAGGGAGCACCCUCAAGGCUCAAGCUCAUGUCACGUGAGUAAGGCAGAUUUUAUUUAGCACUAAUUUGAAUAAUUAAAAUCCCUCCAUUUUAACAGCAAAAUUUAAGAUAAAGGUAUCAAUAUAUACACAUGCAUGUAUAUCACUCCUCCAUGCCCUAUUAAGGUGAAGCUCAAACAUACCCCACCACCUCUCUCUCUAUUCCCUUUGAUCUUCCUCAUCACAACGUAAAGUGAUUAAUCCUAAUAAUACUGUUAGUAGUUUCUUCAUCUUUCACGGCAUUCACACUCCAUUUAUGUUCUAAGCAUAAUGCUAAGAAACACAUUCACCACCAUUUCUCUUCUCACUCUAGGACCUUUCAUCACCACCACCACCACCACCACCACCACUGCUUUAGUAUAUAUAAACAUGCAUGCUCAGAGCUUAGCCCAUUAAUUAGUUUCCACCAUCUCUCCUCUCACGAUUUGUGCAAAAAACUCCCUGAAUCCUAAUCCUAGCUUGUUGGUAUCUAACACCCCCACCUCCUCCAAAGUUGACAACUUUGUAAUCACCAUUUUCAUGAUUCUCCCCCUCUUGCGCGCGCAUGCAUGCAUGCAUGCAUGCUCCCAACUAUCUCGAGUGAAGCAGUGGUGGAAUUAAGCAACAUUAUCAAUUCCCAGUGUUUGCAUGCAUGAUAGAUGCUGCAGUAUUAACUGGAAACUUCAACCUCCUCCACCAAAACCCCAAAAGAUGAAACCCAAAACCACCCCUUUCCUUUUCUACUACUACUACUACUACUACUACUACUUCUUCUUCUUCUUCUUCUUUACAUUAAUCCUCACCACCCCCACCAUUUCCCUCUCCCUCGAAGGCGAAGCCCUCCUCUCCCUCCUCCCCACCGCUCCCUCCCCUCUCCUCCCCUCGUGGAACCCCAGGGACCCAACCCCGUGCUCAUGGCGCGGCGUCACGUGCUCCCCCGGUGGACUCGUCACCUCCCUCUCCCUCCCCGGCACCUUCCUCAACCUCUCCUCCCUCCCCACCGGGCUCCUCCCCCACCUCUCCUCGCUCCAGGUCCUCAACCUCUCCUCCGCCAACAUCUCCGGGCCCAUCCUCUCCUCCCUCUCCUCCCUCUCCUCCCUCCGCGUCCUCGACCUCUCCUCCAACUCCCUCUCCGGCCCCAUCCCCGGCUCCCUCUCCGAGCUCACCUCGCUCCGGAUCCUCUGUCUCCAAGACAACAUCUUGAACGGUUCCAUCCCUCCCCAGCUGGGCUCCCUCCUCUCCCUCCGACAAUUCCGGGUCGGGGGCAACCGCGACCUCUCCGGCCCCAUCCCCGCCCANCGCGUCCUCGACCUCUCCUCCAACUCCCUCUCCGGCCCCAUCCCCGGCUCCCUCUCCGAGCUCACCUCGCUCCGGAUCCUCUGUCUCCAAGACAACAUCUUGAACGGUUCCAUCCCUCCCCAGCUGGGCUCCCUCCUCUCCCUCCGACAAUUCCGGGUCGGGGGCAACCGCGACCUCUCCGGCCCCAUCCCCGCCCAGCUCGGCGCCCUCGCCAACCUCACCGUCUUCGGCGCCGCCGCCACCGCCCUCUCCGGCCCCAUCCCUCCCCAACUCGGCAACCUGGUGAGCCUACAAACCCUAGCUCUGUACGACACCAACAUCUCCGGCCCCGUCCCGCCCGAAUUGGGCUCCUGCUCGGAGCUGCAGAAUCUGUACCUCCACAUGAACCGGAUCGCCGGCCCCAUCCCCCGCCAACUGGGCCGGCUCCGGAAGCUCACGAGUCUGCUCCUUUGGGGCAACUCGAUCUCCGGCCCGAUCCCUUCCGAUCUCUCGAAUUGCUCGUCUUUGGCGAUCCUCGAUCUCUCUGCUAAUAGGAUAUCAGGGGAGAUCCCCGCCGAGCUCGGAAAGUUUGAAUUUUUAGAACAGCUCCAUCUUUCUGAUAAUCUGCUAUCCGGUCCGAUUCCGAAGGAGUUGGGCAAUUGCAGCAGCCUUAUUGCUCUGCAAUUGGAUAAGAACUCGCUCUCCGGUUCGAUUCCGUCGCAACUUGGGGGCUUGCAGUCCCUUCAGAUUUUCUUUUUGUGGGGCAAUUUGCUGUCGGGAUCGAUUCCUAGUUCUCUGGGCAAUUGCGGUGAGCUCUGCUCUCUUGAUUUAUCCAAGAAUAAGCUCAGCGGGCCGAUUCCUGAAGAGUUAUUCGGCUUGAAUAAGCUCAGCAAGCUGCUUCUUUUGGGGAAUUCUUUGAGCGGGGAGCUUCCCGUAAGCGUAGGAAAUUGCCCGUCUUUAGUGAGACUAAGGCUCGGAGAGAAUCGGCUCUCCGGUCAGAUUCCGAAAGAGAUAGGUAAGCUUCAAAACCUCGUCUUUUUGGACCUUUAUUCGAACCGUUUUUCCGGAAAAUUGCCCGAAGAAAUUGCCGACAUUGCGGUUUUGGAGCUUUUGGAUGUGCAUGAUAACGAGCUCACAGGAGAAAUUCCCCCUCGAUUGGGAGAGCUUAAGAACUUAGAACAGCUUGAUCUUAGCCAGAACCGUUUUACCGGAGAAAUCCCUUCAAGUUUCAGCAAUUUUAGCUACUUGAAUAAGCUCAUCUUAAACAACAAUUUGCUUGCUGGUUCAUUGCCCAGAUCUAUUAAGAACUUGCAGAGAUUGGCCUUGCUUGAUUUAAGUUCAAACAGCCUAUCCGGUCCGAUACCUAGAGAGAUUGGCUCGUUGACGAGCUUAAGUAUAAGCUUAAAUUUGAGCUCAAAUAAGUUUUUCGGAGAAUUACCUGAGGAAUUUUCUAGUCUAACGCAAUUACAGUCAUUAGAUAUUUCGAGCAAUUCACUAUCUGGAGGGAUUGAGGUAUUGAGCAUGCUCACAAGUUUGACAUUUCUUAACAUCUCAUAUAACAACUUCUCCGGUCCGAUUCCUCUCACUCCGUUCUUUCGAACAAUUUCCCCCAGUUCGUACAUUCAUAAUCCAAUUCUCUGUGAAUCCUUCAAUGGGUACACCUGUUCUUCAAACCUUGUGCGCAAAACCGCUUUCAAGUCAUUGAAAGUUGCGACACUCAUUGGCGCAACUUUGGGCUUCGUCGUGUUACUGUUCGUUUCAAUCUGGAUUUUAAUUACUAGAAGCACAAAGCUAGUGGGGGCGAAACCAAUAAAUUCAUCGUGCGAUGGCAAAGAUGAUUUCUCUUAUCCUUGGACCUUCAUUCCUUUCCAGAAACUAAACUUUACCAUUAAUAACAUACUGGAGUGCUUAAGAGAGGAGAAUGUGAUUGGAAAAGGAUACUCUGGGAUAGUCUACAAAGCCGACAUGCCCAAUGGGGAAAUUAUUGCAGUGAAAAAGCUCUGGAAAUUGAACAAGGAAGAUGAGUUGCUAGAUUUAUUCGCUGCAGAGAUUCAGAUCCUCGGUCGGAUCAGGCACCGGAACAUUGUGAAACUUGUUGGGUACUGUUCGAAUAAGUCGAUUAAGCUUCUCCUCUAUAACUAUGUCCCCAACGGAAAUUUGCAGCAGCUUUUGAAGGAAAAUAGGAACUUGGAUUGGGAAACGAGGUACAAAAUUGCUGUCGGAUCCGCACAAGGUUUAGCUUAUCUCCACCAUGAUUGUGUUCCUCCUAUUCUUCACAGAGAUGUUAAGUGCAAUAAUAUACUGUUGGAUGAUAAAUAUGAAGCUUAUUUAGCUGAUUUUGGGCUGGCAAAGCUGAUGAACUCGCCGAAUUUUCAUCACACCAUGUCUAGAAUAGCUGGUUCCUAUGGGUACAUAGCACCAGGUAAGUGAAUUCUCCUGAGACCAUAUGAGGUUCCUUUUUUUUAAAAAAAAUUAAUGUAUACAUUUUUUUUAAGUAACUUAUAAAUACAUUAGUUACCUAGUAGUGUGGAGUAAGUUUUUUUAAAGCUUUGCUGAUAAUAUGUUGUUCAUGCUCUAAAUUAGAUAAUUUUUUAUGGAUGUAAUAUAUACCUUGUUUUAGUUGGUAUUUUUUGUCAUCUAGUUUCUAAACAGAAGAGCUAAUUAUCACUUCUGCUGAUGAGAUAAUUCUCCCAAUUCAGCGAAACAAUUGCAUUCUUUUCCAUAUAUUGGAAGCAUUCUUUCUGCUGAUUAGAUGCAUCUUUGAACUUCUAUUCACAUUGUAAUUCUUCCCAAUUCAAUACAUUGCAUGACCGCUCGACUGCAUUCUGCGAAAUUUGAUUUUUAAAACGGGUCGUGUGUUCUUCUUCAGAAUAUGCAUACGCCAUCAAUAUAACAGCGAAGAGCGACGUGUACAGCUACGGAGUGGUCCUCCUCGAGAUUCUGACCGGGCGGAGUGCUGUUGAGCCCAUGGUGGGCGACGGCCUCCACAUAGUUGAGUGGGUGAGGAAGAAGAUGGCCGGAUGCGACCCUGCGACUGACGUCCUGGAUUCAAAGCUGAGGAGCAUGCCUGAUCAGACAGUGCAGGAGUUGCUGCAGACACUGGGGAUCGCCAUGUUCUGCGUCAACUCAUCGCCGUCCGAUCGGCCCACCAUGAAGGAGGUGGUGGCAUUGCUGAUGGAGGUGAAGUGCCUGCCAACCGAAGAAUCGGGGAAGAGUUCACAGCGUCCUCUCAUCGAUGAGGCCACAAAUGAUGGUUAAUGUAGUUAUGUUCCUUUUUCUUUGCAUCUCUCUCCGUAAUUAUUCAUCUUUAGAAGGUUUUAUUUGUGGUUUUAGAGAGAGAAGGUUGCAUAAGGCGAGGUUUAUGAGAGAGAACCACUUUGAUGUUGUGAGGGAACGUUGUCCAGUUUCAUCACGUUGCAGUUAAUUAGGGCCCUCAAUGGAAAUUUUCAAGACCUCGUUUUGCUAAUACUUCAAAUCAAGGUCAAACAUAUCGCAAAAUAUAGUUGACGAUUCAGUUUUUCUAAUGUGGCAGUUUAUAAAGUUUCUUUAAAAAAUGGUGUAAACAGCCAAAGGUAAAUGGUAAAAUGGUGCACUAGCGCUUUAACGGAAAAUUGUGUCAACUAUAGUAGAUCAUUUGAAACAGCAGAUCCUUCAUUUUUGUUCAUAGUUUGGAGAAUGUGUUGUCUUAAAAAAUUUCAGAAUAAACAGGGUAUUUAUUGAUCUUUUUGUUUUUGGUCUUCAAUUAACCACCAAUAGUUAUAAGAAAUAUAUUACUACAAAGAGUUCUCUUAUUCAUUAUCCCUGCCACAGGAUUAAGUUGAAAUGGUUCAGUUAGGGCCUCAGGAAACAAGUNCAUCUUUAGAAGGUUUUAUUUGUGGUUUUAGAGAGAGAAGGUUGCAUAAGGCGAGGUUUAUGAGAGAGAACCACUUUGAUGUUGUGAGGGAACGUUGUACAGUUUCAUUCAUCGCGCUGCAGUUAAUUAGGGCCCUAAUAGAAAUUUUCAAGACCUCGUUUUGCUAAUACUUCAAAUUAAGGUCAAGUAUACUGCAAAAUAUAGUUGACGAUUCAGUUUUUCUAAUGUGGCAGUUUAUGAAGUUUCUUUCAAAAAUGGCUGUAACAGUAAACGGUCAAAGGUACAUGGUCGAAUGGUGCACUAACGCUUUAACGGAAAAUGUGUGUCAACUUUGGUAGAUCAUUCGAAACAGCAGAUUCUUCAUUUUUGUUCAUAGUUUGGAGAAUGUGUUGUCUUAAAAAAUUUCAGAAUAAACAGGGUAUUUAUUGAUCUUUUUGUUUUUGGUCUUCAAUUAACCACCAAUAGUUAUAAGAAAAUAUAUUACUACAAAGAGUUCUCUUAUUCAUUAUCCCUGCCACAGGAUUAAGUUGAAAUGGUUCAGUUAGGGCCUCAGGAAACAAGUAAACAACUCCAAAAGGCUUCACAUAGCUUUCACCAAACCUACUCCACAAACCUUACAUUUUACCUACUUGUAUAUAAGCAUACAAUGUCAAUAGAAAGAGCGCAAAGAACAAAAGACUAGGGUAAUAGUUAGUUCUUCACCACCUUCAAAAAAGAUGCCGCGCCAACUUCUGCUAAUCCAAAGCAUGACCAAGGGAACAACCACUAUAUCCAGCUUCGGAGGCGCAGCCGCAGCAGCAGCGGCUUUUAUGUUGCUAUGUGCCUUCAUAUCAAUGGCAUGUGCUUCGCAUGCCAGGCGGUGGCGCCGCCUCAUCUCCGUGAGUCGUCGGUACUCUGAGCCGGCUAUAAGCAUUCAUCAAGUCCAACCAGGAAUGGAUGGUGAAGCAUGCCUCUGGCAGAAGAACAUACUGAUGGGAGAGAAGUGCCAGCUCCCGGAUUUUUCUGGAGUCAUUGUGUACGAUACUGCAGGAAAUCUCAUCGCCCCAGGCGGCCCUCGGUUGCUGAACUCUCUCCAGUGGUAGAAGAAGCUUUUCUUGAAAGAGUAUUAUGCUUCUUUACCUUCUGCGAACGUGACCCAAAAAAAAGAAAGAAGGAAAAACGAGGAGUUUUUCGUUGAGCAGCAUUAGUAAGAUCGUUGAGGGACAGUGAUGUUUAUCUUCUGUUAAGAGAAGAAUCCUAGUUUUUUCCUUUCUUUUUCUUUUACUUAUUAUAAAUCCCAAUGUUUAUCUUAUGUUAAGAGAAGAAUCCUAGUUUUUUUACUUUUACUUUCACCAAAAAGAGGAAUAGAAUUAAAUAAACAGCAUUCAGCAAGGCACCUAGCAACAAGAACUUACCAAGACCUCUAAAGCCAAACUACGAAUAUUAGCUAUUUUACUAAUCAACAAAUUAUCAAAUGUCACUUCACAGGCACCAAAAAAUAAACCACAAGAACGCUUACCAGUUACCGUGUUGUAUCUCGGUUGUAACAUUUAUCACUCCAGCACGGGCGUAGGUUGACAAACAACAAAGCAGGUGAUAAUUCUUUUUUCUGGCAGUAAGAAAGAGAGAACAACGUUCACAGAGAAAAAAAUUAGAGAUCAAUCUUAUAAGUCACGGAAAUUGUACUCUUGACUUACUGGUGAGAACUGACAAAACAACAAACAGCUAUUAUCUUGUUAAGAGAAAAAUUUGCUCCUACAGAUACUCUCAAAAAUAAAAAAUGAUUUAGAAAACGUCAGCAUUUACAACAAGUAUGCUCCUUAUAUCUUUAAACCAAAGGGGCAUCAUGAGGGCCGUAAAGAUUUCGCAGAAGAACUGCGUCCCCUGAACCCAACAACACUGAGUUUAGUGCUGUUUUUCUUCACCGCAUCCAUCUUUCUCUUUUCCAACCUCUUAUCAGACUUUAAACCUUUUACGGCACUAGCAGAAGAUUUCUUUGGCUUUGAAUUCGUUACUGACUUUUUUCCUGUGUUUGUUGCUGAUAAUUUCUGCAAUAUUGUAACUUUCUUUCCAGCUUUUGAUGAUUUCUUCGGUGAGAUUACACUGGCUCUACCUUUUUGAUUAGAAACUUUGACAAUCUUUGAUUUCUUUCCUUUCUGAGCCACCUGCCCUGGACUGGUAACCUCUUUCCUGAUAGUGUUCACAUUAAGUGCUUCCAAACUUUCGUUUUUCUUCAUUGCUUCUUCGAUUCGAGUAGCUAAAGGAAGAUCUUUCUUCGCAACAAGACUCGUAACUUUGCCUACAUAGAGAGAUUUCAAAAUAAAAAAUCAUCUAAAAGAUAAAUAUUUAGCUGAAAGAAAAUUCCUGCAAAAAUGUUCAUCUACAGGCCAUUGGCAAAAAAAAAAUAACAUUAAUUUUUUUUUUUUUAAAUCCUAAGGACAUGUAGAAACGCAUCUCUGAAUACCUUUGGCACCCAUUCGAGCAGUCCUCCCAGUCCGAUGAAGGUAGUCAAUCUAGAAAGAGAUAGAGAGGAAUGGAAAAUAUUAGGAACUUAGAGAAGUGGAAAGAAGUUUGCAGCUUCAAAACAAGCAAGGAAAAGGAAACACCUACAGAGUUCAAUGGAAAGUCAAACAUGAUCACAUGGUCAACAUCCAAGUCUAGCCCUCUAGCAGCCAAAUCUGUGCACACCAAAGUCGGGCAAUCCCCAUCUUCACUCUUAAACUUAUUCAGGUUCUCAACUCUGGCAUUAAUUAAAAAGUCCACAGAAGACCAGGGUAAGAUAAAUUUGCACAUGGGAAAAAGCAUUUCUUAUUUAUAAUGUUCACUGUCUAAAUACAGUUGCUUUACUUAAUUGGAAAUUUCCGUAGCUUGAAGUUGAACUGACGUGUAAAAGCAAUGGAUAACAUGAGACCCUCUCAAAAGUGUUGCAGAACAAACAAUAUUUUGGAAUCAAAACGUGCUUACUCCGUCCAAAUAUAGAGAAUCAUAAAUAGCACAAAGUAAGUUAUUAGAACUUGGUGGUGAAUUACCAAAAAGAAAUUGAACUCAUAGCACUAAAAGCAAUUAUCAUAACUGGGCAGCACACAAAAUAUUCAACACACCUUUCCUCUGCCGGCACCUCCCCAUGGUAGUUCACAGUGGAUAUUUGACUUUCAGUUAGAAAAUGAUCGACAGCACGGCUUGAGUUCAGAGUAUUGCAGAACACCAUCACUCGGUUUCCCCUUGCCAAACUUGGCUCAAGAACCUGCAAGAACUCAUGAUUUACGAUGAAUUGCACUUUCUUCUCUUUCAUAUAACAUCUAGAGGUUUGCCAUAUUUAGAUACACAAUCAGAAGUAACUUAGAACACUUCAAUUGCGUUUCACCUCUUUGAAUCUUUCAUGGCUAUUGUGAUUAAUGGCGCAAUCACUAGAGAAGAAAGUCAAAGAUUCUUCCCUUAGAUGGGGGAUUGGUUCCAUGACAAGCACUCUUUGUUUGCCAAAUCUUUGCACAGGAAUCAUACCAAAAAAAUGGACAGCUAAUUGUCACAUCCGACACCCAAUACUCACUCUUUUACUAGCAUUCACACAUGCAGUGACACACUCUGAAAGAUAAUAAACUGCAAGUUUUGAUAUUCAAUGCAACUCUAGAUUAAAGGAUUAACAGUCCAAUUUAGAGCUGACAUCAGUAGUUGAGUUUGAACUGAAAAUAUAGAUGGAAGGAGAAAAGGUAGUGAUAGAAAUCACAUCAGAAUUUAUAAAAUUGAAUCAGAAACAGCGAGGAUUCACAAAGCAUUUUCAACAGCGAAUAGUCUGCAGAAAACUGACCUGUAACAGAGCCUCCAGCUUGUUUUCAGCACCAGAAAGUUUGAUGAAGUCAUGCCGUGCAGAUGCAACUUUCUUGUGCAGAGUGGAUGUUCGCAAGUGGAUGAUUCCUUGAAAUUCCUCAUCGAUCAAUUUUUGCACUGCCUAUAAAAAACUAUAUAAGUCAAGAAGCUCACAUAACCCUAAUGAAUGGAUAUAUCACACUGACAGAAAAAGGUAUUAAUAUUUUUGUCUAAACGAUAAUAGCAACAGCUCUUUGAUUCAUCAAAAAUGUUUAUCGAUUAGCAUCAAACCUUAGUCAUGGUUGCAGCAACCAAAACGAUUUGAAACCCUUCAUCACCGGGUUUCGCUGCGCGGUUCUUUAACGGUCCAAGAAACUUCCGGAUAUCUGGACCAAAACCUCGAUCAAACAUUGUGUCUGCCUCAUCCAGAACCUGUCAUAAUAAAGAUCAGAAGAAAGUUUAAAAUGAUUACGACCAAACUCCUAAGUCACAAUGCAUUAAGUAUAAAAGAGCUGUUAUGAGGAUCUUAAAACAGAACUAACCAAGUAUUUAAUAUCCCCAUAGACCAUAUUGCCUUCUUCAAUAUGCUGAAGAACCCUCCCUGGGGUUCCAACAACCAUAUCUACAGUGGCAUUCAGCGAAUCUUCUUGAGGUCUUAAACGGCCACCUCCACUUAUCAUGGUAGAUCGGAAUCGUGCAUGAUGGCUUAUUGAUUUUGCAACGCGGAAAACCUACAAGGUCAUGGAACACAAAAUUGUUUGAAAUAAAUAUUCAAGUUUGAGGUUUUCAAACCAUGGGACAAGAAUGGCACCCAACCUGCUCAGAAAGCUCUCUUGUAGGACAGAGCACAACAGUUCUCGGCCGCCUCGGUUUCCUGAGCACACCCAAUAAUGCUUCAUCACGGCGCAUUAACUGCAAACAUAGCAUCUUAACUAGUUAACCAGUAUUAUAAUCUAAAGACACUUAUAUCAUACAGAUAAUUAGCCAAGCACUCAUUCCGCCGGCUGAACAGCUACUCAACAUGGAAUGCAAAAGUCAGAAAUCUAGAACUUCUAGCUAGUACAGGAAGGCAACAAUGAGCAUAUUGCCCACAAAAGCAUUAAGUUCCAAUGCGGAGCCUUUUCUUCUAGAUUCAAAAGGAAACUGUUGAUGCAAUCGAAAAUAUUAUAGUGCUUCCUCAAACCGCUCCACUCAAUCAGUAAUUACGUAGAAGCUCCCGCCUAGGCAAGACAGGCCCUAAACGUACUGCUCCUACUGCUUACCAUUAGUUUAUCAAGCACAAACACUCCGGUUCCAUAACAACAUCUCAGUUUCUAUAUUGAAUAAUUCAGCAAUUCGCCGCAAUCUAUAUAUAUAUAGAGCCGCCGAUAGAUGAAACAGAUUCAAAUUGAUAAAUAGCACAAGGACUCGAGCAGAUAGAGAGAUAGGAGGACCUGAACAAGAGGAAGCAUAUAGGCUAGGGUUUUGCCGGAUCCCGUAUGAGAGCCGAGGACCACACUCUUCCCCUCGAGCACCGCGGGGACUCCAAUACACUGGAUCUCCGUGGGAACUGAGAUCCCCAUCUCCUUGAGAGCCUCCAUCACCUCCUCGCCGAGCCCCAGCUCCUCGAAGCUCGACGCCAUGGCGGCGCUCCGCUUCCCCUUCUCCUCCUCCUCCUUACUCCUCCUCACCUUCUUCUCCGAAGCAACUUCGACCGCGACGGAGGGCCGGAUCUUCGCCGCGUCCUUGAGGUGCCGGAGGCGGAGGCGCUCGAGGAGCACGGCUUGCCGGGAUGCCGCCGCCGCCGCCGCCGCGGCUGAGGCAUCUGCCUCGGCAGUGGCGGCGGAGACCCAGAGGGUUCGCUUAGACCCUAGGAAAACCCUUGGGGAGGGUUUGAAGAGGGUGGAGGAGGAGGAGAAGAAGAGGGAGCGGGAGAAGAGGGAGGAGGAGGUGGAGGAGAGAGAGAAGGAGAGGGAGAGGGAGAGGAGGGCUUUCCCGGUCCCGCCACCGCCGCCACCCGCCAUGGCAAAAGCUUGUUCUUAGAGUGGUACAUAGAGAAGAGAUGGCUCGUGCUGUGGAUAUUUCCUCACGGGUAAAAUUCAUAACUAGUCCCUCUACUAUCCCGUUUUUUCUCUCAUAAAUGUAUGAAGAUCCCUCAACGAUACACCGUUUUGAAAUAGGCCCCUCAGCUUUUCUUUUUUAAUUAAUUUUUUAUUUAGUGCAUUAUUAACUAUAUAUUAAUUUAUCAUUAUCAUAUAAAUAAUAACAUAAUAUCAUUCAAUUAACUAAAUUAAAAUAUAAAAGUUAGUUAUAANACACAGAGGGUUCGCUUAGACCCUAGGAAAACCCUUGGGGAGGGUUUGAAGAGGGUGGAGGAGCAGGAGGAGAAGGAGAAGGAGCGGGAGAAGAGGGAGGAGGAGGUGGAGGAGAGGGAGAAGGAGAGGGAGAGGGAGAGGAGGGCUUUCCCGGUCCCCCCGCCGCCGCCUCCCGCCAUGGCAAAAGCUUGUUGUUUGAGUGGUAGUGUGGUACGGCGAGAAGAGCUAGCUCGUGCUGUGGAUAUUUCCUCACGGGUAAAAUUCAUAACUAGUCCCUCUACUAUUCCCUUUUUUCUCUCAUAAAUGUAUGAAGAUCCCUCAACGAUACAGCGUUUUGAAGUAGGCCCCUCAGCUUUUCUUUUUUAAUUAAUUUUUUAUUUACUGCAUUAUUAACUAUAUAUUAAUUUAUCAUUAUCAUAUAAAUAAUAACAUAAUAUCAUUCAAUUAACUAAAUUAAAAUAUAAAAGUUAGUUAUAAUAAUUUAAAUAAAUAAAUAAAAAUAAUAUUAAUUUAAAAUUUGGAAACAAAAGUGUCACGGAUUUGAAAACUAAACAUGCAAUUUAACCUUAUCCUAUGCAGUGAUAGCACGCCGUUUACCGACCACGCUCACUUUUCCCCAUAAACGCACCCACCCGAACCCACGAAACGAAGCCCUAUAUACGUCGCCUACCCCAUCUCUCUCUCCCUCUCUCUCUCUCUCUCUCUCUCUCUCUUCCCCCAACUUCCUCCUCCUCCUCCUCCUCCCUCCCCCUUCUCGAUCUCUCUCGCCCUCUCUCGAUAAUUCUCGACCAUUCCCUCUCCCUUCGAUCCUUCUCACCAUUAUCCUCCUCCUCGUCUUACUCGUAGGGGGACUCGUAUCCCCUCCAUCCGAGGCUAGGAGACUCCUCUCCUCUCUCUUGUCGAGGACGAAUCGAAGGUAAAGUCAUCAGUUUUAAGCUUGUGCUGUCCCCAAAUCUGUCAAUUGUCAAUUGUCCCCAUCCGAGGCUAGGAGACUCCUCUCCUCUCUAUUGAUUUGGCGUUGGAAUGGAUCUAGAUGUCGGGAACCCUAAUUUUCUAGGUUUGGUUGUAGACUUCCUUAAAUUGGGGUUUACGUGUGAUAUUUUUGGGGGAAAUUGAAGGGUUAAGAGUUGGUUAAUGCUUUGAACCCUUUUAUUAUGAUUGAUUCUAGUAAUUUAGAAGUCCAAUUUGCUUAUUGACUGCAGAAGCUACGGUAUCUGCGUUUCUGUUGCUGAAGUUAACCAUUUUAGGAUAUGUUCUACUAGGUUGAUGAUAUUGUUACUAGGUCCUAAAUAUGCUUUCUUGUUAAUUCAUUACCCCUGCUUGCGUAACCCUAGAACUGUUUUUGCUGGUGGUCAUCUCGGACGACUGGUUGGAAAUAAAGUGAGGAAUCAUAACUUAGAUCCUGUGGCCUUCCAAAUAAGAUACUGUACAAAGCUUUGUACUUGGGAUAAACCGUAUUUUGUUGUAUCUAAUUUCACUUCUGAGAGGUAAAUAAUCCUGGAAUGUCGUCUGAAAAAACAUACUAAUUGGUCAUGAGCUGUACAUGCCCUUCUUAAUAACAUGCCCUUCUAAAUAUCUCUUGCCAUGUCUUGUAUACUUGCGGUGUGGUGGCUUUUUACACAUUUGUAGAUAGCAGAUUUAGCAUAUUAUGGAACUAACUGCUCUCUAGGAAGCUUAUCUUCCUGGUAUGUGAAAAUUGGGCGCGACUUUUACUUUUGAGUUUGAGAGGCUAAACAAAUUGUUUAUGAUCAACUUUUCGGUUUAUUGAUGUUUACUUGGAUUGGAGAUCUAGGUCUAACUCCUGGAAAGCACGCUGACUAUUUAUGCACUGAGAAACAGAUAUUCUUGACCACAUUUUUUUUGUUUUGCAUUUUGAUGUUGUAAAUUUUCAGGCAACAAGGAUGUCAACUCCUGCAAGGAAGAGGCUGAUGAGGGAUUUUAAGCGGUUGCAGCAGGACCCUCCUGCAGGUAUCAGUGGUGCUCCUCAGGACAAUAACAUCAUGCUGUGGAAUGCUGUUAUUUUUGGGUAUGAUUUCUUGAGGCCAUUAGACUUUGUGUUACUAUUUUAUUUGUGUUGCUUUACACUUUGCUAAUACUUUGAUUCUUGAACUGCAGACCUGAUGAUACACCUUGGGAUGGAGGUGAGGCACUUCUAGUACCUAAGUAUAGGAUCUGAAAUAAUGUUGAUCAGUAAAGUUUAACAUGUCCCUUAUUUUUUGUUGUUAUGAAUUAAUUUCCUUUUUUCGAAAAGUCAAUCUCCUGUUGUUUGAUUUCUUACUUUGGUUUCUUCAGAAAUUAAUAUAUUUUUACUGUAACUUUUUUACUUCUGUAGGAAUCGGUCGCUGGGAAGAAUUAUAUGAAAUAUAAGAGAAUAUUGAGGGCCUUUAUCCUGGGAAUUGGUUGAGAACAUGGCUAAUAUAGUUAUAUAGAGGAAACUUACAAUAUAAUUUAAUUCACAAGAGAACAUUAGGAGGAUUUAGAAGACUUCUACAUUGCAUUUGUCUAGUGAUAGACUAGGAUAGUACUGACCUUGUCCAACCCUCCUUAAAAGGCCAUAAUUGGUAUAUAAUGAUCCAAGUUAUCAUACGUGGAAAGGAGUUCUCUCUUUUUUCAAAAAAAAAAAAAAAUUCAGCCUACCUUUUUGUGUAGCUUUUGUCAAUAUAUAUGUCUUCUCCAACUUGUUCACAAUGGUUUGGAGUUUUAUAUGCUUAUCUGUUUCUUAUUAAUAUUGUUAAUGUAAAAGUUCCACUUAUACAUGGAAAUAUCUUGAGUUUGCUAGGUACGUUCAAAUUGACACUUCAGUUUACAGAGGAUUAUCCAAAUAAGCCACCAACUGUGCGUUUUGUUUCUCGAAUGUUCCAUCCUAACAGUAAGUUCAGCUAGUGUCUCCUGUGUGUAAAUACCUUGUUUAAAUCUAUAUGAUACAAGCUGAGGGGUUGCCAAAUCUGAAUUUUAGACUUUGUUUUCAUUUAUAGGAAAAUAGAGUUUUAUUUCCUGCAUCACUAUAGAUCUUGGUUAUUUUGGGCUGUUGAUUAGAACUUUAACUGUUAUAUAUUUUGAAGUUAGCAAGGAACCUGGUUUAUCAAUUAUGCUCGAAUCUGCACCUCCAAUUUUAGUUAGUUUUUUUUUCUCCCAUUCAUAGACUUAUGGCCUCAUUGUUAGCAUAUGACCUUGAAUUCAAUUUACAAUUUGUUGGAUGAAAAGAAGGGCAUCCCAUCGCACAAGCCUCCUGCACUAUAGGUUCCAUUGAGGCCUAGAGGUACUUACCUCAUCCUUCUUACUAUGAAGCUGUUUUCAGGAUUCCGGCUAGCUUGUGCUUAGCCUUAAACAUAAAAAUAGUAGCGCCAUCUAACUUUCCUGUUGUUCUUGAGGAAGCAAUGUAGCUUACCUUUUUUUUAAUCAGGUUAUGUACCAACCAUAAUUUCAUUCAAGUUUAUUUAGAUGCAUAUAAUGAAUUUGUUCAAGUUUAUCUAGAUGCAUAUUGACCUAAUCAGUUUAUCACAUUAAGUUAUGAAACAAUUAUGUGGGGAGAGCCUUAGACUGUUCGACAUGUUCACCGCUAGAAAGGAUGGUUUUUUGUUACCUAACAUUAUAUGCAUUUCUCAUUUUUAUCACAUGUUUCAGCAAUGUAAUAUAUCCUUUAUCUUAUGAUAUUUUCUCUAUAAAUAGUUUAUGCAGAUGGAAGCAUAUGUUUAGAUAUCCUACAGAAUCAGUGGAGCCCAAUAUAUGAUGUAGCUGCAAUCCUUACAUCUAUCCAGGUGGAAUAAGUCUCUACUUUUUUGUUCUUUUUACUGGAAAGUAAUUUUCUCUUAUUUCGUUGAAAAGGGCUGAUUAGGUUGUUGAAGCCUCCAUGUUUCUCUCGUUAUUGUAAGAUUUCAUUUAGGGUAAAUUUCAAUUUGCCCCCAUGAGGUUUGCGCAUUUUCACUUUAUCACUUUGUGGGUUAAGAAGCCUUAACUAUUUUGUGGUUUUAUUUUUGUUUCACCUAAAGAUCUACCAUCAAAAUUGGGUUAAAGUGGUACUUUUUACAAACCACGGAGUGGUAUAGUAUAACACUUUACCAUUCUAUACUCUACAUUUAACUGCACUGUGGUAUAGUAUAACACUUUAACAUUUUAUACUCUACAUUUGACUGCACUGUGGUUUUUAAAAGGUAUCACUUUACUACCUUAUUUGAUUACUACCCUAUUUGGCAGGAGAUCCUUAGGUGAAAUAAAAACAAAAAGAAAAAACCACAUGAUAGCUAAGUGAGCAAAUUUUUAAACCACAGAGAGGCAAAGUGAAAAUGCCCUCAUAGGGACAUAUUGAAGUUUACCCUUUCAUUUAUUGAGGAACCAAAUUAAAAAUGUUCCCUUUCUUCAAUGUUGUGCAAAAGUGAACCUUUCAAAGAAGUGGGUAAUGCUCUGUAUUGUUUUCUAGAAGAUAUCCUUUAAACUGCUGCAGACAGGUAAACAAUCUAUGUGCUGCUGAAUUAGGUUGCCCAGUUUUAAAAACUGAAGUACUAUUCUGUUGAGACACUGUAAUGUUGACUCAUCAGUGGCCACUUGAAUGAUUCUGCUGGGUUUGCUUAGCAGGACUCGAGAAAAGUGAAUGUCAGCUGAAAUGGCAUUUAAAGCUUUGACAUUUAGAUAUCUACAUGUUGAUACGUAAAUUUGUACAUUUGAUGGAUUACUAUAUUUCAGUGAGGUAGACAUAUUAAUUCAUUAACAUCCAAAAAUGCAGUCAUUGCUUUGUGAUCCAAAUCCCAAUUCCCCUGCAAACUCAGAAGCGGCCCGGAUGUUUAGCGAGAACAAGCGAGAGUACAAUAGGAAAGUGCGGGAGGUCGUGGAGCAGAGCUGGACUGCAGACUGAUGCACAAUGCAUCCGACAAUUCCAACAUUAGCUCAGUUGGGUACUCUUUGUACUUGAAAAACCGAUGAACUUUAUGUGACUGUAUCUCUACUACAUGUCUUAACCUGCGUAUAUGCAUGUAUGUCAAACAUGAACAGAAGUUGUUUGCUAUUUCUUGCUUUAAUAGAUUGUUUGUCUAUUGUUUUCCUCGGAGCUUUUUCAAACUUCUGGUUGUUGCCUUGUUUUUUUUUCUUCUUUUUCUUUUUUUUGUUUGUGCUUCCAUUGGUCCUCUUUCUUAAUAUUCUCUGAAAUGUUGAGCUGUUUCGGUAAAGAAAUCAUGAAUAGCAGCAUCUAGCGCCAGAUCUGUGUCGCUCUCUCUGUGUCGCUCUCUUGUGCGUACGAACUCUUUAGUUGUUGUAAUUUAGUCGAAGCCUUUGUGCUCAAGGUAGUUCAUUUCUCUAUUUUCUUCAUGACCCGGGGAAACCUCUUUUUUUUUCUCCUAAUACGGAAACCUGAUUCCUUUAUUUGAAGACAAUCUUUCAACAAAUUCAUUUCUCUAUUUUCUUCCAAACGCGAGGAAACCUCUCUGUUCUCCCUCUCAUCACCUAAUACUGAAACCUGAUUCCUUUAUUUGAAGGGGAUCAUUCAACAAAUACCCUCAUUGCACAUUCUUUAGAUUCCUUCCAGUGUAAGUUCUUUUAUGAAAAGAAUUUGACUCACAUCUUAUGUAGACUGCAAAUGUAUAUUUACAAAAAUUAUUGCUAUAUUAUCAUUGUUUCUGAGUUUGCUUAAACAUACAGUACAAAAACAACAUUGAAGCAAGAGAGAGAAGCCAUCUUGAGAAAUCUUAAUACUGAAUGCUUAAGCUCUCACUGCUAGCCCAUCCAUCUUGCACUUGCACAGAAUACUGCAAAUUCCAGAGCACAUCAUCGAUCGAUGGUCGCUCUUUUGGAUCUUUUGAUACACAGUUUAGAGUUAUCUCUACUGCUGUUCUGAGCGAGUCGAAAGCAAAAGUGCCUUUAAUCGCAGGAUCAGCCAUUGAUUUCAGCUUCUCGGGGACGUCCGAUAAACUUUUCCGAAGCUGCAGAACACAAAAGGCAAUUUUAGUAAUACUUUUCACUUAUAAAGUACCUGACUAUUUUGCUUCUAAUUAGAAUUUCUACAAAUAAUUGUAAGAGCCAAAAGUGAAAUGCAAGACCAUGAUCUAAUAUAGAACAAUAAAUUACCUGAGCUAUUUCGGCAUCCAACUUGCUUUGGGAUCCAGCGAAUUUGCCAGUGAUAACUUCUAGAAGAAUUAUACCCAGCUGAUAAAUAUCUUCCUUUUCACCUUGUUCCAAUCUGCGAAUACUGUGAGAACAGAGAACAACAAAAAAAAAAACAAAAGAGUUAGAACUAUAUCAGAAUUAGCAUAACCUCUGUUAGAUUUCUCAUCUAAUACUCUACUCCUUUUUUUUUCCUUUUUUUCUCCCUCUGAUUUGUACACCUUGGAACAGUUUGAAGAACUCAUGGCUAACUUUUUCAUUACCCAGCCCCUCAAAUGGUCUCUAGCUUUUGCAGCCGAGAAGCUCUUUAAAGCUUUAACACCAUAAUGCAUCUUUUGUUAGCCAAUGCUCUCCUCGGAGUAGAGAAAACUCUCGCUAACAUAUCUUUUUAGGAAGUAAACUCUCUACAUUGAAUAACAUAAAAAGAAUAUAUUACCUCCCAAAUUCGUUCUCUUCCAUAAAAUUGAAAGGGCUUUCAGAACCUCCCUGAUAGAAAAGCAAAGAAGAAAAUUUAGAAAAAAAAGGUCACGAGAAAUUAUUAUAAAGAAUAGUAAUGAAAAUUUCACCAACCUUGUUAUGUUUAUUAUUUGGCAGAGCCGGAAGAUUAUAGUCACUGAUCUUUGCUGUGAGAGUUUGAUCCAACAAAACAUUCUCUAUGCUUAUAUCAUUCCUCAUAAUACCAGGGACAGACACAGUAUGCAGGAACUUAAUACCCCUCGCGACACCGAUAACUGCCGUCAUCCUCUGUGGCCAUUUCAGCAUCUCGCGCUUCCUCCAUUCUGUCGAAUGUAAAAGAACAUUGCUAUAAAAUCAGUUUUGUUUAAUUUUAUGGCCAUAGAAAUAGAGGCUUCUGGCUUUAUUACCUGUCAGAUGGCUCCUCAAAGUUCCAUUGGCGAUAUACUCAGAAACAAGAAAAAUAUUGCUGGUUGUGUUGGUAUUAUCCUGUUCAGUGACUAUGCAAUGACCAAUGAUGCUAACCAAAUUGCGGUGGCGAAGCUUCGAGACAAUGUCCAUGUAUUGAAUAAGGCUCGGACUUGAAUACUUUUGCUUUAACUUCAUACAUUUUACAAUCACCAUUGAGCCAUCUUGGAGCCAACCUUUGUAUUGCUGCGAGAAAAAGGUAACUUGUAUAAAAAUUGAGAACCUUAAAAGACUUGGGAAUAAAAACUAAAAAUAACAAAGUGGCGCAUAAGCUUUUUCAUCUUUUAUCUUAAUUUAAAGUUACCGUAUAGAUAAAGGAAAUACUUUGAUUGCGUACCUGUCCUUUGGCAUUGUCUUUGAUCAAAUUUGAUGGAUCAAAACCAUUUGUUGCUUCUUCGAGUUCUUCCAUGGUGAAAGUACGGUAAGGCAUUACUUCGAGUGCGCCGAUCCUCACUGCUUGAGAAAUAUGCCCUGCCAACAAAGCUCAAAUUAAGCCAAAUCUAUAGAAUUAACUCAUAAAAGCAGAUAAAAGUUCAAAUUUUCUUUCGCAUAACCUUUUCUUUGCCUACUAGAAUGUAAUAGUUAGUUGCACAGUAGCACUUCUAUAGCAUUGUUAUGUUCCUAUGUUUCACUAUAUAAAUGCUGCAAUGGUACUACAGCAUAAAGGAACAACUGUGCUUACUCUUCUCGGCAGGGGUUUUUGAAGAGACUUGACCCAAAGGUUUCCUCGCAAUCGGCUUUGCAAAUAAGCUGGAUUCGGGGUGAUGAGCACUUAUGUUUCUCAGAACCAGCACUAUCAACAAACCCAACAGAGCUACACCACCGAUUAUCCCCCCGACAAUACCAAGUAUAAGACUCAAAUUGCUCUUCGAUCCACUCCUCUCACUUGGCGGCGGCAAGAUCGCAGCCAACGCCCCCUGAUUGCAGUAGCCACUGGAAUGCUGAUACCGCAGAUCAGAAGAACUCAAACAGUUCCACGAAUCAAUCACGACCCGGCUCGAAGAGUUGGAAUUUAUACAAGAAGGAAGAGCCCCACUUAAAAGAUUAUACGACAGAUCGACAAACGAGAUUGAAUUGGAGCAAGCUAGAUUAGCCGGGAGUUGUCCUGUUAAUCUAUUUUGGGAUAAGUCUAAGUACUUAAUCGAUCGAAGCGAGAACAAAGCAGGCGGAAUCCAUCCCAUUAACUGAUUCAAAGACAAAUCCAGCACUUGAAGAUGGUCUAAAGAACCAAUAUUAUCAGGGAUUUUGCUGCGAAAGGAGUUGUUUUUGAGUACCAAUCUGACCAAAUUCUUGCCUAAGGAAGGGAAAUCGGGGCCGAAGCCAUUCGCGGACAAGUCCAAUUCGGUGAGAUUGAUUAAGGGCUUGAGAUCAGGGACGGUCAUAUUGAAGGAAUUAUUGGCCAAGACGAGAUUUUGAAGGGAGGUCAUUUUAGAGAUUUCCUGCGGGAUGGCACCGUAAAGGUAAUUGGAGCUAAGAUUGAGCACCUGAAGCGAAUUGAACCGGUCGAUUUUGGAGGGGAAGGCGCCCCAAAUUCCCAAGGAGACGAGGGAGAGGGUGGUGAGAGAAGGGAGGCGCGCGAGGGUGGUGAAGAGGGCGUCGGCGGAGAACGCCGGCGACAUGGGGGCCCGGCGAUCGCCGGAGAUGGAGAGGGCCGUGACGCGGUCGCCGGAGCAGGAGAUGGAGAGGGAGGGGGACGGGGCGAGGUUGCAGAAGCCAUAGUUGGUUUGGCUGGCGAAGGGGGAGAGCGCGGAGGGGUACUCGAGGAUGCGUUGGAGACGGAUUAGGGUUUUCGCUUGGGACGGUGAGAGGGGUUGCGCGGAGGAGGAGGAGAAGGAGAAGAGGAGGAGGAGGAGGAGAAGGAGGAGGAGGGGAAAGGUGAGGCUUUUGAGGCGUGAAUGUGAUAAAAAUCGCAUCUUUGAGGGGUUUUGAGGUGGGAAAUCAAUGGUGGUGAGAGCGAUCAAGGAUAGGAGAAUGUGAAUGUUGUAUGGGAGUUGGGUGUGUGAGCUUCUUCUUCUUCCGAAGCUCUUUCGAGUGGCGUAUUAGAAACUGCUCUCUCUGUUUCAGCAAUGGACUCUGUUUUUGUUUUGGAGAAGCUGUGUGCUCGUGUUUGUGAGCAGAGAGAGAGAGAGAGAGAGAGAGAGAGAGAGAGAAAAGUUGAUUACUUAGUAGAGAGAGAAACAGAGGAGGAAGAGGAAGAAUAGAGAGAGAGAGAGAGAGAGUGGGCGGCAAAAAGAAGUUGGAAUGCGAGGAAAAGAAGUGGAGAAGAGGAAGCUUUACAGCGCACCGCACGUGUUGGCGUCACGUGCGCUCGGGGGCGAAACUCGCCGUGCUCGUCGGGCACUAAAUGACCAAAAUAGCCCUGAGCAAUCGUCCUAUUUACUCUGUGGUGUGGUUAAAUUAUUCGCGAAUUUUUAAAAAUUUAAAUAAAACGGCCCACACGCUAUUCAUACAUAAUUGGCAUAUGUCAAAUUAUUCGAUCAAAAAAAUAUGUAAGAUUAUCAGAUAAAAUCUCUUUCUCUAUUAUUCAUAAAUUAUUAUCGAAUUAUUCACAAAUUAUUUACGAAUUUUUAAAAAAUUUUAUGAACUUUCAAAAUAUGUGAACCAUAAAAAAUAUACGAAGAUGAAUAAGACAAUGAACUUGAUAUUAUUUUUAUUUACUUAAUCCGAUUUAUUUUAUAGCUUUUUAUUUUUAUAUUUUUAAAAAUUUAUAACUAUUUAUGAUAGUAGUAUAAAUCUAGAAAAAAUUAAUUUAAUAAUUAAAUUUUUUAUCUGAACAUAUAAUUUUUAUAUAAAUCACGUAUCCAAAUAACUAACAAAUCUAUUUUUUAAAAUCAUAUUUUUUUAAUAAAUUUAGAAAUUUAAAUAUAAAUUUUAUUUAUAUUUAUUAGUAUCGAAUUUUUGCCGAGUUUGAAUUAACUAACAAUGGUCUGAACAUGGAAAAAGAGGGUGGACUCACAUAGAGGAGUAGAUUGUGGAUGGUGUCCUCAUAACCCACCGACGUUUUCUCAUGCCGCGGCAAAUACGGUACCUCCGUGCGAUUAUAUCUAUUGUAUUUACCGAUCAUCCCUAGAGUAAGUGGCAAAGGGUUUGGUAGUUGGUAUCAGAGAUCCAAAUUCGAAUCCUAGCUAGUUGAUUCACAUUUCCAGCUAAGCUUAUUUCUUAAUGAAAUAAAACGAAGCAGGUAGCGGACUACCUAUCUCUCUCUCAAAAAAAAAAAACUAUUGUAUUUAAAUAUUUUUAUAUUUUAUUUAGAAGUUUAAGCAUUUGUCAUUAGUUUUUACAUAUGUACAAUUCAUAAUAAUAAGCAUAUAAUUUCGGUGUCAUAAUACAGAUCACAAUCAUGAAUCCGAUCAAUUCCAAUCACGACGACAACUUCUCCAGAUUAUAAAAUGGACUAGAGAGUGAAGUAAAAUCUACCACUCUACACCAUGAUCUCGUUUUCUAAUAAAUUAUUCAAAAAGUUUUGAGAAGUCAAAGUCAAAGAUUAAAUGCAUAAUGGCCCUACAUUUCAUUAAGCACACUUUUUUCUAUUUUUUUUUUCUUUUUCCAACAAAAGAGAAUCAGUUAGAUACUCUUUACUCUUCAGUAGAAUCAGUAUUGGACUUAGAAGCCAAGUUACGCGUCAACGCAUCGAAUUCAUAAAUCGUAAGCUAGAUGGUGCCAAAUAGCCAACCUCCUUUUUCAACUAUGCACAAUAUUAGUCAAAACAAAAUAAAUAAUAACUCGNUAUUUUUUUUUUCUUUUUCCAACAAAAGAGAAUCAGUUAGAUACUCUUUACUCUUCAGUAGAAUCAGUAUUGGACUUAGAAGCCAAGUUACGCGUCAACGCAUCGAAUUCAUAAAUCGUAAGCUAGAUGGUGCCAAAUAGCCAACCUCCUUUUUCAACUAUGCACAAUAUUAGUCAAAACAAAAUAAAUAAUAACUCGUUACGAGCCCAUUAAUUUGCGUGGACUCAUUGGGGUUCGUUUGUAUCCGUUACGGUUCAAUUAAUUGGCGUCGACCUAACUUUCUUAACUUUAAAAAGAAAAAUAAAAAAAAAAGAUGGAGUUUUUGUAAUUUAACCAACCUAAACAACUUGAUAAAAAGGAGUCAAUGUGGUUUAAUCUCUACUUUUCAAUCCAACGCCUCAACUAAAAAGCCAACAACUAGAUCAAAAUUUGUACGAAAUAUCUAUCAAUUAUGUAAGCAAUACAUCUUAAAAUAAAAGUACUCUUUAUGAUUUGAGUUGUUAACAAAAAAAUAAACAAAUAAAAGAAGUUUUUUCCAUCAAAGUUCCUCAAGUAGCUUUAGUUGAAGUUAGAAUAGAAGCUCAAAAUUGAAAGCUUAUCGUAUAUUUUGUUCAGAUUCUUAAUUUUGAGAUCUUCGGGAAAAAAAGAAAAGAAAAGAAAAGAAGGUUUUUUUCAUGAUUCGAGCCAAAUGCCGAAGUUAAAAGCAGGUCGCACCGCCACUCUUCAAGCCUAAAAUCAACCUAACAAUUGAGCACAAAAAAUGGUCAAGAGCCAAAUUAUGAUGAUAGUAUGUGAGAGGGCCCUUUGAAAAGGCCCUUUGUUUUUUAUUAAAAAUUUGGCACCACCAAUUAAUGGUAUAUAUUGGUGCUUUGAGAAUAGCUAUAAUAUUAGAUUAAUGGAUAAGCAUGUGAAAAUUUUUGGGGUGUCCACCCACAUGUGUUGGCCUAGCUAGUAGGAACACUCCUAAGUAAAAGCUUAAUUAUCAAGAGAAAUCUUAGUUGAAGAACUACAUCACUCUCCAAGCAAUUUCCUUCUCUUGAGGUUAGAUUAAAUGAAGGUAAUAGAUGGUCACAUGGGUAUCAUGGAAACUUGUGUAGAAGCAUCAUAUAAACAAUUUGAUCAAGUUGUCAUGAAUCACUUAUAUGAUUGUAUAAUAAUUAGAUUAACUUAGAUUAAUUUAGAUUAAUUAGAUGGAUCGGAUUAGAUUUGAAUGAAAAUUACGCCUAAUCCCUUGUAGUUCUAGUGUUUUGACACAUCUAACCGAGUUAUAUAAUUUUUGGUGAAUUCCUAUAUAUAUUCCUCUUGCCUCAAGUUUAAUUCUAACCAUAAUGCUGUGAUUAAAUUAAGUUUGGUCCGUAUCCAGCAUCUAAAGUUAGAAAAUAAGCAAGUUGGUAAAGUUUGGGCCCUUUCUAUAUGUUCCUUCUCAUAGAGUUUGUAGCACAUGCUUAGAUCCCACAUCUACAUAUUUAUUGAAUAAAUAUGCAAUCUAAUCUAUUGGUAUUAUUAUAAAGCUAAGAAACCACUAAGAAGAAGAUUUUGAGUUAUGACCUCUGGAACUCAUAAUGGGUCCCCAAACUUAAAACACUAAACUCUAAAAUUAAUUUAGAAUACACUCUUUGAAAGAAGUGAUUGUUAUCCAGAAGAUCGAACCGACAGAAAUUAGGUUUAGAAAUAUAUUUAACAUCUUCACUUAUGCAUAAUUUGAAUUCGAAAGAUAUUUGAAAUUAAGAUGCAAGAUAAGAAAUGAAAAUUUAACCAAUUAAAAUAUAAUCCAAGAAGAAUCAACUUCACAUCUUUAUAACCAUGUUACUCGAAAAAUUGAUCUGAUAAGAACGGAUCCAAAAAAUAUAUGUAACAGUGACAUUGGUCCAUUGUUUGAUCAUGUUUGUGGUGGGUGAGGAAAUUGUGGUACAUGAACAGGGCAAAGUGGAGUGGGGUGUCGGUGUAGUGUGCACUAACAAUCUCAUCAUCCCCUUUAGGUGUCAAUGAAUCAUAUAGAACCCCCCAAUGGCAUAAAUGUUAUGAUGCACAUUAUGCCACUAUAGUUGGUGAGAUGAUAGGGCUUAGAUUCUCCCUUCUCUGGCUAAUUAUUUAUUGUUCAUGAUAUUGAAAGGGGGGAUCCAUGAUGGAUAUCAAUGUGGGAAUUGCAAUGAAAGGGACAUUGAGACAUAUCAGUGUGAAGUGUGAACUCCAAUUUAUACAUUGCAGUGCUAUAUAUCACUUUAUUUUCUCUCUCCACUUCAUUGCUACCUUAAAUAUAGCAUUUUUUUCAACUGUUCAUGCAAUUGUUCUAAAUUGCUUUUAUCGACUAUAUAAAUUAGAGAAUCUCUAAAAUUUACAAUGAUUCUGGUAUAUAUAAGUUGCUCUGAAUGCUUACAUUCACAUGAUCAAAUUGUUAGUUUUGUUAACUAGUAACGAUGAUUAAUAUGUAGCAAAAUCAUUAAUUUCAAUAAAAUGUCAAUUUAGUUUUUGAAAAUAAUUUAAACUAAAUAAAUGAAUAUCCUAAUGAGGUGUCAAUGAGAAGAUAUAAAAGUGGAAGGUCUAUUCCAAAAUGUUCGAAUAGUUGAUGGGUGUCUCCAUACAUUUCCACCUACCCUUCACUGACCCUCCACUUUUUUUUUUUUUGAGAGAUAGGUUGUUACCCGCUUCGUUUAUUUUAUUUAGAAAUAAAUUUAGCUGGAAAUAUGAAUCAACUAGGAUUCGAACUUGGGUCUCGAAUACCAACCACUAAGCUCUUUGUCACUUACUCUAGGGACGGUCGGUCUGACCCUCUACUUUUGUUCUUACUUUUUUGUAGUGUGUUAUUUAACCUGUGUAGCACUCACAUUCUCUGUGUCUCUUCCUAGCCCAUAACUCUCAGUAUUUUUGCAUUGAGUUACUUUUCUCAACUCUUGGUACAUUAAUGUAGCGUUCCACAUGACGUUUUUUUUCCUUUUUUUUUUUCUUUUUUUUUAAAUAUGUGAGCUUUAAUGAGAAACCUAUGAUGAAAUGCAAGAGGACAAAAGUACUAGCAAUAGUUGGCAUAAGAUACCAACAAUAUUGUAGCUUAUGUACAUCAAUUUUGUCUCUAGUUUCCUUCUUUUUAAUAUCAAGUCAAUACACAAGUAAAUAUAACACAGAGGUGUACGCGAAGACAAAAUAAUAACAAUAAUAAUUGUUGGCACUGAACAAGAUAAAAUUCUGUAUAGUAAAAAAUGCACCAAUAGUGAGCUAAUGGGCCGUACCUCCUAUUACCUAAAUGGGCCAUGUUUAGGCGAGGCCUGUUACGGGGUCUAAGAAGCGUGUUAGUCCCACCCCCACAUCGAGACUUAAAAUAUAAAGAAAAUACUCUAUACUGGCAAGGUCUGGUUUUUGUGGUACGACCUUACUUGAACAGGAUCUGUUCUUUUUUCUAUAUGAUUACAAUGAAUUGUAUUUGCAAUCAUAAGGGAUAGGACUUAAACGAGUCAUUACAGGCCCUAUUCAAUAGUUAAUUCUCAAGAUAAAACUACGACUACACAUCAAGUAGAAAAGGUUUUCAUUAGUCAUCUCCGCACAGUAUUAUAUGAACAACGGAAGUUUUUCAAUGUAUUAUAGAACUGAAAUCAAGCCCUCUUCAAUUACAGAUAUCUAUGCAAAACCAAUAGCGGUUGAUUAAAACAAGCAGAGCACAAACAUCCACAACACAUGCAAUGAGCAAUAACUUCGCGAAAGACAACAUAUUACCCUCUCAAUGUCUCAUAGUGUGAAAACUCUAACAGAAGCUCCCACACCAUGUCAACAACUAAAUUUUAAAGCAAACGCACUUUCUACUUCACAUCCAACAAUAAAAUUCUGAAUCUGAAAUAGCCUGAGUUGUCUUAGUUUAUUCAGUAACUCCAGCAACCUCCAUUAAUUCAGUAUCCUACAACCAAAACCAUUUCCAUCACUAAUAAUAUAAAACAGGAAUCAAGAGGAUAUUGCACAAAUAGAAUUUUGAACAAUCAUAAAUUACCAUGUUUUCUUUGCCUUCAUGUAAUAUCUCCUUUGGCAGUUCAUCAACUGUAAAUAGAAACCAAAGACAAAAAGGAACCGUCAUUACUAAUUGAGAAACACACACACACACACACACAUAUAUAUAUAUAAAGCAAAAAAGGUGAAACAAAAUUUUGACAUACCGGGUUCAGCAAUAGGUUUAUUUGGCAAACAGUUGUUGUUUUCAUUUCCACAAUCCUGCUGGCCCUUUUGCUUCGGAUUUUUGUUCUCCAUUUGGUUGUUAUUUGAAUCUUUUACAAGGAUUGCUCUUGCCGUAUUCUUAUUGUAAGAUCCCCUGAUCCUAGAAGUAGGUUUCCCCUUGUGAGCACUGUCUCCCUUGUUAGAGUCUACGAUAGAUGGAGAGUUGGAAUUCAAUGACAUGGGUCUUAGGCUCCCUGUUCUGGUCGUUGCAGAGUUUUGGUUGUUCUUUUCUGGCUUUCCUUCUUUAGGGAGCUUCGAACAAGUUUCAGAAACCUUUAACUGCUCAAAAUCUUCUAGUAUAUUGUAAAUUUGGAGUAGAUCUUUCACAGAACUCUCUAAUUCAUUUCCAAGAUCAUGUCUGGUUACAUAUGCUUUGAGCUCUUCCCUCAUUCGAUCCAAAGGCUGUGGAGUUUAUAUUCAUGAAAAGAAGAUUUACAGUAAGCAUCUGUAUGAACAAUAGUCAAGUGAAUUGUUUUCACAUAAGUGGAUAAGUUUCCUUCACAUGAACAUUGGUUAAUCUCAUGGACCGUCAAAGAGGAAUUCACUACAUUACUUCAGUGAAACGUGCAGAUAGUCCAUAUACUUACGCAGUUCACAACUUCAUCUUUAACCUCUUUACUUAAACAAUCUAAUCCUUCAACUUUUCUUCAUUUUACAAAUGCAUCCAUGGCAACUAAAGUAGAUGAUGCCCUUUUAUUUCACGUGUAAUGCAUGUUGCCCUUUCUCAUAGAACAACUAUUUUAGUUCAUUUCAUGUAAAAUGACUUCUCACUCUCCAAUCAUCUGGAACGGGUUAAAUGGUUGCUCUAAGUGGUCACCUCAGCUUAGAGUAUGUGAUGUAAUGGACACUGAACAGUAAACAGGGUAAAACAUGCAAUUGGAAUAUGUAGGAAAAUUCAAGGGCUGAAUCGUGUAAGUGAAAAGCUGGGGUACCAAAUCAGAUUGCUAUGAAAGCACGUGGACUAUCCCUACAUUUUACGUUAUGCUAUUUCAUAAAUAGCAUAUGGCAACCAUAUAUACAAGAAGAAUAUCAAGAUUAAUGAAAAGAAAAAAGAGUCAACGAGAAGAAAGUUACAUAAUAUCAAAAUAUAAGAAGACACACACACACACACACACAAAAAAAACAUAAGUACUAAAAUAGUUAAUGCACACCUCACAUCCUGAUUCCAGUGCAAGUUUAAAGAAACCCAGGGAAACCGAGUGCUUUGAAGAUGCUUCUGCCAGUUUAAUCUGAGUGAGCCAGUACGAGACUGAAGAUAAUGUGCUGAACUUACGCCUACUUGCAGACCUUGACACAUCAGAAGCUGGAGUGUCGCUUUUCUCUUGACCGUCGGAUCUAACAUUUCGAGUCUGUGAUGUUGGAGUCACACUCCCAAUUGGUGCCGGACGUGGACCAGUAGCAGUUUUGGUUGGUAUAGAAAGCCUUCGUGGAGGUUUAGCAGACUUGUCCUUUCCAGAGAGAUCUAGAACACUAACACUCUGGCUAACAACUGAAUAAGGUUUGGUCCUGGACAACAAGUUAUCAAUGAAUGUAAUGUCGGAUGCAUAAAUGACAAGAAAGCUAAAGUAUCUUCUCAAAGAAGAGAGUGAGAGACAGAAAACAAGAAAGGUAUACUAUAGCAGCAGAGCAGCAGUUUCAUCUUUGAACCCGGGGAGAAUAUGUGGCCUGAUAAAUUUUAAGCAUCAAAGCAUCUAAAGAAACAAUAACUAAUCUAUUCAAUCAGAUGUUAGGGAGUAAAUGGCAUGGCUGGGACUUCUGCAGAAUUGCUAAGUGAGUUGAGCUAUUUUAACCACAAAUAGCCUUGUUGUUUUACUCCCACCUCCCUCCCCAUCCCCACCACCCACACCCCAACCCACCAGAAUUGCUUCUAUUUGAGCUUGCUUUAUAGCACUUUGUAUCCAUUUUGAUCUGAUAUCUGAUGUCUAUAUUUAGAACAGCAAUCAGGAUGAUUUGCACUCUGACCAUAACAAAGAUUUCAAAAAUUUCUAGGGCAAUUAACAAAUGUUACAUAUCUGUCAUUUUUAGUCAAUCAAUUGCUUUUUUCCAGAUAUAAAACAUGACAAAGGUUUUUUAUUUGGUAAAUUCGUCUAAAAAUUCAUUGAAGCAGACAAAACUUCAUCAUAAUCAGAUAAUAAUUGAUAUGCAAAUAGCAUUAAAUCACACACUUCCCUAACUAUUGUUUAGCAAAAUACUAUGUAACCUAUCACAAAGGUAUCAUAAUCAUAAUAGAAACGCUUACACCAUUAAACUAAUGAAUAGAACAACGAUAUUAAAAAUCCAAGGAAGCAUUGGAUCUGGAAGAGUAAGAAGAAGACCUCUUUGACGCAGAAGGAUUCAAAGCCUCCGGCGUCCCCAAUUUCCCCUCCUUCGCCCUACUCGACGAACGCAGUGGGUACCUUAACUUGGAUGCUCCCAUGGAUGGAUCUAAUAUUACAAAUCAAUCAUCAAAAAUUAGGAAAAAAAAAAAAAGCUCAAAUCAUAGUAAUGAACAGGUCACCAGUUGAGGAAACUAGGAGAGAGAGAUUACCGCGAGAAGCGGAUUGAUCUGUUGCCGAUUCCAUCUCGUUCUCCUCUUUCUCUCCGAUCUCUCGCUCUCUGAGGAAACGAAAUGGAUUAGGGUUUGAGAAAUGAAGGGGGAAGCGGUUGUAGUGUUUUGGUUUGGAUCGUGUUCGAGAGGGCGCGAUUUAAAAGGGCAGGGGAAAGGGGAGGAGAGAGCGGAAUGCGGGCCCCACCUAGCCGUUUUCGAAUUGGGAUUUGAGCGGGAAAUAUGUUCGAAAAUUAAAAUAAACAAUGUAAUAAACGGAUGCCACCUCAUCCGAACGUUUCAGACUACGGGUCGGAUACAAGUUUUCAAUGGGCCCACAUAAGCCCAUAGGAUUUGGGUCCAAGCAAAUGAGUAGGGCCUGUUAACUAUAACAGGCUCUAAUCAACCAGCCCAAUAUUGGGCUCCAGCGGGAGAAUAGCUACAAAUUUAUUGAUUUAUUGAUUUAUUUAUUGAUUUAUUGAUAUGGCUCCACAAACUUUAAAAUAGUACUAGUACCAACCGGUAGAUAUUGAUAAAGUUAGAAUUCGAAAUAAUAUUCUACAAUAUUACAAAAAAGAGAAUGGAUUAGAGACAUACUCUUUUCAACAUUAUUUAAUUGAUACAGUACAGUAAUACGAACUUUAUAGUCAGUAAAUACUAUUGUAUAACAAUGAUGCGUAAUCUACAAAGCAAACAGAAAAUAAAAUAUAAAAGAAAAAUUAAUAUUUUUACUUCAUGUGUAAAUUCGUUCCAUAUUCGAACCACGACAGCAUUCAUGGAUAGAAGAAACGAUGAAACAACAACCUAUCGGCCAACGGACAACAUUCAUAUCGAUGACGGUUCAUCUUCAGUCAAAAAAAAAGGGGAGAAAAAAUGGGAAAAAAAAGCCAAUUUGAAAAAAAAAUUAAUUAAAAAAUCGGCGGGAAAUAUUACUUUCAUAUAUUAUUAAUAAAAUGAUAUAGCUUAUUUAUUAUGAAUAAAGUAAAUUAUAUAUUAUAAUUAAUAUAAGAGUUUUUUUUUCACUAUAAUAACACAUUUUACGCUUAAUAAUUGAAUAAAAAAAUGUGAAAGAGAAAAUAAAUAUACAUGCACGUAGGUAGAAGAUGGCAGGCGUUGGAGGUACGGAGAGCUCAAGACCUUAAUCAAAGGGAUAAAAUGAGAGCACGUUAGAACAUAACCUAGAAAACUAAAAAAAGAAUGGUAACAUGAAAAAGAAAGAAAGAAAGAAAAAUAGAAAAAUAUAUAUUUAAAAAAAAACUAAAAUGAAGAGAUUGAUAUGACGAUCUAUCUUCUCGGUGGGAUCCACACCCUCGAAUUAAAGAGAUGACGGUUAAUUUUUUCGGUAGGGCCCACGCACCCAAAUUAAAGAAAUAACUGUCCAUUUUUCAAAAAAAAUAUGGAGGAAAAAAAAAAUUAGUCACUUUUUAAAAAAUAAGUAUGGACCCACACCUCGAAAUUAAGAAGGUUAGACCAUAAGACCAUGAUUUUUUUUUUUUAGCUAGAAAUGUGAAUCAACUAGAAUUCAAACUUGGGUCUCGGAUACCAACCACUAAACCUUUUGCCAUUUGCUCUAGAGACAGUCGGUGUAAGACCAUAAAAGCUAAUGAGCUUUUAUAGAGAGACGCUCACACUACUCAAUCUCCAAAACUUUUCAAAGGAUUGUUAUUCAAGCCUAUGUUAGUAAAUUCGCGAAUUAUUAAAAAUUCAAAUUAAACUGUUCGUUUACGAAUUUUUUCCAAAGAUAGAGAAUUAUUCGCGAAUUUUUAGGCCAGCCGAAUAAUUCGCGAAUUAUUUAUGAAUUAUUGAAAAUAUGAAUAAAAAAUAUAUAAUUUUUAUAUUUAAAUAUAAAUUAUCUUAUAUUUUAUAUAUUAUAUAUUAUAUUUUAUACCGAAUCUGUUUUUUAAGUAGAAUUUUUCAACGAAUUUAAAAAUUAGAAAACGAAUUUUAUGCGUAUUAUACCUGUACCGAAUUUUUGCCGAAUCCGAAUUAACUAACUAUGAUUCAAACUAAAAUGUUGUGAUAUUAGGGGACAAACGUAAUCUGCACAUAAUCUUAGAUGAGUAGAUUCAUAAGUGAUUUCUUUUAAAAAAAAUGUUUAAAGACAUAGAUAUGGAAAUAUUAGAGCAAUUGUACAUAUUGCUUGUUUCGCAGUAAUACAUCAAAAUCAAGGAGGAUCAAGUUUGGUUAUAAAAAUGACAAAUUGUCAAAUUGGUUAUUUAAGUUGUUUUGGUAACAAGAUGAGAGAGACUUCGUGGAAAAUAAAUUCUUUUUUUGGAAAAAAGGACAAGUAAAUCUCUUGUCCAUAUCACACAUCACACAUUUUAAACAAAGAUCUCUCGUCUCGAUAAUAACGCCCUAGAACUAGUAGUAGAAACCGAUGUUGUGAUUUCUCACCAUUUGAUCGAGAGUGUGGAAAUGAUCUCACCACUCAUCGCUAACAUUUCACAAAUGCAUUUUGCGAUUAACAAAAUAUAUUUUUAUAAUUUCCAGAGCAUCAAAUUACACCCUGUAGCUGCGCACUCUGCAACUGAACGUGAAAAAUUGAUUGUACACCUUGUAUUCCUCCUUUAUCUAAUGCGAUAUCUAAAGAAUAUAUUUGCAUGUUGAAAACUAUAAAUUCUUAAAUUUAUUCAUGUAGACAUCAAAUAAUCCUCAAAAGUAACAACAAUGCUCAAAAUAUAUAAUUCACCAUUUUGUAACCCUUUUUAAAAUAUAUAUAUUUUUUGAGAGAUAUGUAACAUACUGCUCAUUUUGUUUAUUUUAUUUAAAAAUAAAUUUAAUUAAAAAUGUGAAUUAAUUAGGAUUCAAUUUAGGAUCUCGAAUACUAAACACUAAGCACCUUUUGAAAUAUUAAACUAUAAUUUUACACCUUUGUAACGUAAAUUUAGGUAGCGUUUGGUUCAGGUAUAAGCAAUAACUAAUUGUUACAGGAAUAGGUACAAGUAUGGGAAUAAAAAAAAUAGCGUUUGAAUAAAAAUUAAAUUGUUUAUGGGAAUAAGAAAAAUAACGUUUGGAUAGAUAAUAUAGAAUAAGAAAAAUAGUGAAUGAUUUUAUAUAGAAAAUGGAGGUGUUGGUGGGGAUAGUUAUAUCAAUUUAUUUCAGGUACCUGAGAAUUAAUAUUCUCCGAUAAAAAAUUUGACGUUUGGCUAUAGAGAACCGGUGCACGGUGCACCUAGUGCGCGCAAUAUAUUUAAUGAGAACUCACCACGCAGAUACGCGCCCAAUCCCUCCAAUUCACGCGCCCGUUAUUCCGACAGGUGGAGUGAGGCUCCCGCCACCUCUUCGCUGCACAAACCAGAAACGCCUCACGGCUCGCACCGCACCAACGGAAACGGUUGCAACGAGGGCAUUUCUGUCAUUUCCCACUACCCCUUCCAUUUAUAGUCCCCUCCUCCCUCUGCAAACUCCCUCCCUCUCUUUAGUAACCCACCACAGCUUCCCCUCGAAGCACCAUAUAAACCCCCAUUUCUCUCCCUCUCCUUCUCUCUCUUCUUCUUCCUCUUCUUNUUUUUUUAUUAGGAAAAAAAAAAAAACUAAGAUGUUGUAAUAAGGGGUCGCUGUAAAUGAAGUCGCAUUAUAGAACAAGUCGCGGCUACACUAUUCUCAUUUGGUUCUUUGUUUGUCCGAGACUCACUGUGGAGAACGUUAGAAUUUAUCGACGGUUGUAUUUGGUACUUCUAAUAGUAAAUAUAGCUUUUGCGGUUAUACUUCACCGUAAGUGAUACGGCUUAAGGGCAAAUGAAGGGCAAAUCACUUCGGGCAAGUCAAUUUUAUUGUUCUUCCUACUUUUGUUAAAACAAACAAUGUAAUUUUUGACUUGCACCGGAACUUAAGUUUUAUGCCAUCCGCUUACGUUGAAAGAAAUGCCUCCUAACUCUUAAGGAGGGGGAAAAUAACUAGUACUUGCAUAGAAUUUUUCAGAAAAUUAUAUAAGGCCUUUUGAUAAAUGUAGAGCGCAUUGGUAUAUGUAAUGCUCUCUUACUCUUUCUCCUUUGCACGUAUACGAUGCAUUAUGCACUUGCAUUAUAUAAGAGUUGCAUUCAUUACUAGAACUCCAUUGUGACCACUAGAUUUCUCUUUCUUAGAGGAGUAUGUAGCAUCUUUCUAAUUAAUAUAUGGUGACGUAGUGACUUACGCACUCUCUCCAAUCAAGGCAAGCAAUUGAGAUGAAGUUCUUUUUGGUUGAACCUGCAUAUGCAAAUAUCUUGCCAGUUAAGAAAAUUAACUACCAAUCACUCCUUAAACCAAUUAAUCAGUUUUCAUGUAACUUUCCACAUUCAGUUCCCUUUUUCUUCCUCAUUUGCUUCUUCCAUAUUUUUGAAUUACUCCAAUGUCUUACCAUUAAAUGCUAAGGCUUUCCAUUUCCUUAUUAAAUGCCCUUACAGUUGUUCCAUCUCGAAAUAUGCUCGAUGACAAAAUCUAGCUAGCUUUAUAUUUGACACAAACUAAGCGUACAUUGAUAUACAUAUCAAUAAUAGCUUAUAAACCAGCUCGAUCUCCAUUGUCUUUAUCCCCAAUUGGAGGAAUAUCUGGAAACCAUGGUUGUUUCUUUGGUCAUAUGCCUAUAGUGCAGACGGCCAAUCUUCAAUUGUAAACAUGAAGUUAACUUUAAUUGAAUGCAAACUUUGGGACGUUAAUGAGGAAGGAGAAAGCACAUAUGUCUGAUUGGUUUUGCAAUUUUGAGAAGAAAAUAAAUACGCAUUAUGGCUAAUAAAUCAUAAAUAGAAUAAAUAGACUGAAAACACAUUGCUUUUUUAUCAGUAUGACUUCGAACAUUGCUAUAUUGCAACCGGAAACAGAGUUUGAAAAUUAUAUGUAUAUAUACACAAACACGUACUAAUAGUGCCCUUCAUUUUCAACUGCAGAAACGUAAUUGCAGGACAAAUUGCUGCAUUGUCCUUUUUCCAGUUCUCCUCUGCUUGAUAAUAUCUGUCCUCCAGCAUUUUGUUAACGAUCAAUUAAAGGAUGUCAAUAAGGAACUGUCAAAACCUAGGAUAUAUAUUCCUCCAAAGUAUCCCCCGUUAUUGCAAGUUCCAAAACCGCAAUUUCGUGCAACGCAAUCCGAUUUUAUACCAUUUACAGACCUUCCAGAUGAAUCAUGCAAGCAGGCAAAUUCAUGCCCUGCUACCAUACUUGUAACCGGCAGCAACCAAACUUUUGCAGAGAGUAUGUUACUCCUCAGCUACUAUGAUGAUAUCGCAUAUCUUUUCAAUGCGAGAGUCAUUCACCUACUUUAUUUCUCCGCAGGUUUAACGGGCAACAUGUUCAUGAAUGUUGCCUCCUUGAAUUUCCCAAACAACCUCUCUACUCUAGGAGAUCUCGUUAUGGUGAGUUUUGUUCCUGGUUCUUUUAAUAUUUCUCUGCCUAGUUCUCCAUAACUUUGAAGAUUUAUCAAACAUUUCCAAUUUUAAACAUUUCAGGCGACAGACUCACCACCUUCAGAUGCUCCACCUAUUGGUGAACGUCUAUAUAUGCUUCAAUCUAAGUGCAAGCCAAACUUCUCUUUUUCUGUUCCCUUUCGGGUAGGAAAUGUUACUUUCGAGCAAGGUAACUUCUUUCUUUUCUCUGUAAAAUACACCACUGCUUGAAAUGGUUGUUUAAUACUAGUGGGAGGAUUUAAGUGCUUGAACUACUUACGAAAUCAUUGACACCCUUGAUUUUUUUUGUGGGUAAAUCAAUUGCAUCACAUCAAAUCUAGCAAAAUGAGUGGCAUUGCCCAUGUAGCUAUUAUCUGAAGCUUACAUGAUAGCCAUCUUGAAAACAUCCUACGAAUGGGAGGUAACAUGAAUGAUGUGAGUGAGACACCUAUGAAAAGUCAAGGUGUCAAUUACCUGUUUGAAAGGUUGAGGCGAAAGGUGAGUUUUCAAAAGCGUACAAAGGCUAGGAUUGAAGAUUUAACAUUUUUACCAGUGAAUGAAUUUUUUGGACUUAUCUGAAUAAUCUUAAUCGUUUCCUAUGAAAUUAGUGUAAAGCAUGAAUAUUCUCCAUAUUAUGGAGCAUAGUUUUUCUCAUGUACUCAACAAGGUUCCAUGUAAGGUUUAUCAAACAAAAGUAGCAACUUCUAAAGAGCAACUAUUUCCCAACUGGUUAUGUUUUUCCUAGUUUACGUUCAAAGAUGCUCCAUUGUUCUCAGAAAAAAACUAUUUCAAAUUAUACGUCAUUUUGAGUUCAAACUUUAGACCAAAGGAAACUUGGGAAAUCAACCAGGGAUAAGAAGUUUCCAUUUUUCAUUAAACCUUUCUAAUCUGCAUAGGCGAAAAUACUCACAGGGAAAUUGAUGUCGCAGUUGCGUCAUACUUUUACCUACCUUUAUUUACCUUUCAACUAAUUUGGCUUAAUCCCAGAACAGAAUUAAAAUGUCUGCAAGGACUGUUGCUCUGGCGUAGCAGUUCAUCACUGGUUAAUGAUGAACUAUAUAAGGGUUACUACCAAGGAAACAAAGAAACAAAGACAAAUGAAAUUGCUGCAGGUAGCUAGUGCUUAACUUUUCCUUAUUCUACCCUAAUGAUCUUCCUUGCAGAUAGAUUGCUAUUAUUUCUACUUCAUUUGUUUGCAGCAUAUGACUUCUUACAAUCUAGCAACAGAAGCUACUCUGUGAACAUAUGGUACAACUCAACGCGUCUGCAUAGAGCUGAGGAUCCUGUUUCACUGCGUGUUCCACGCUCUGUAAACAUGGUAUGCGCAUGGUUUGAUAUGUUUCAUUUAGCUAGCUCACUUAUCAGUGAGAUUUCUGAUAUUGCCACUAUUUUAUUCUAUUAUUUAGGAGUUUUCAUAUCACUUAAUUUAAAGGGAAAAUUUCAAAUACCACCCCUGCGGUUUCGCACUUUUUCAUUUUAGUAUCCCGUGGUUUAAAGUGUAUCAAUUUAGUAUCCUGUGGUUUCGCACUUUCUCACUUUAGUACCCUAUGGUUUCAUUUUUCUCUUUUUGUCGGCUCCUUUGUUAAUAUUUCGUUAAAUUAUAUACAAAAAAACUUCAGAUACCCUACCUAGGUUUAUCGAAUAUUUACUUUAGUACCCUUUAGUUUUAAUUUUGUCACUGAUGUUUUUUCCUCCGUUAAUAUUUCGUUAAAUUAUAUACAAAAAACUUCAGAUACCCUACCUAGGUUUAUCGAAUAUUCACUUUAGUACCAUUUAAUUUUAACUUUGUCACUCAUUUAACGAAAAAAAUAGUGAAAUGGAUAAUAAAAAGAGAAAAGUGAAACCACAAGGUACUAACUUGAUACACUUUAAUCCACAGGGUACUAAAGUGAGAAAGUGCGAAACCACAAAGGCUAAUUUGAUACACUUUAAAUCACAGGGUACUAAAGUGAGAAAGUGUGAAACUACGGGGGGGUAUUUGAAGUUUACCCUAAUUUUAAACAUGUGCAUGUGAAGUUCUCUCUUUCUACCUCUGUCUCUCUCUCUGAGUACUUGUAAAACGAUUUUCACUUAGUUUGAGUUGUUUGACACAAUAAAACUUGCUCCAGAAUGGAGCUUGAAGUUAAAAUUAUACAUUAUAAUUUGGAUUUUGAGGUGUGUUUCGAAUUGUUAUUAUUUUCACUGAUAAAGAUUUACAGGUCAUGAUAACGAGAAACUUGUUUAUUAUCAUGAAACUUGUUUCUAUAAUCACAGGCCUCUAAUGCAUACCUCAAGCUUCUAAAAGGUUUUGGGGUGAAGAUGCAGUUUGAUUUUGUCAGAGGUAUGCCAAAACCAGAGAGUCUAAUAAUAAGGCUGGAUUUAGCUUCUCUUCUUGGCGAGCUAUUCUUUGUAUGGACCUUGGAGCUGCUUUUCCCGGUAUGAUAUAGCAUAGUUCAUGCCAACCAUAUAUUAUCUAAUGCAGCCUAAUUCUGUUGCAUAAAUUGAUAAUAUAUGUACAUAUUGAGGUUAAUUUCUGCAAUGCCAAUGUAACUGUUUGUUGAAACUUGAAACUGUCAUUUGAUUCUUGGUAUUCUUUUUGUGAAAUCUAUUUUGCUUCCUCAGCUUCUAAUCAAAAGGGUUAUCUGAUUCAGGUUAUAUUGAACAAUCUGGUUUACGAGAAGCAAAGAAAACUAAGAGUUAUGAUAAAAAUGCAUGGACUUGGUGAUGGGCCAUAUUUAGUUAUAACAUACACCUACUUUCUUCUUUUAUCAUCACUUUAUGUUCUAUGCCUUGUGGUAUUCGGCUCUAUAACAGGUAAGGUGAUUUUUAAGAAAUCAAAAUAUGUUGGAAAUCAACCUUCAAAGCAGGGAUACAUUGGGAAUCAAGUCUCUUAUACUCAGUACUUUCCCCUUCCUUUCAGGUGUAUCGCUCUUUGCCUUGAAUAGUUAUAGCGUACAGUUUGUAUUCUAUUUCUUCUACAUAAACUUGCAGAUUGCAUUCGCUUUUCUUGUGGCAGCAAACUUUUCUUGUGUAAAAGCUGCAACAGGUAAGAUUUUACAUUACUAUAGCUAAUCCCUUUUACAGAGGUGAUAGUACUUAAAAUGAUACAUUGUGCAUAUUUUGUAUGUUGCAGUAAUAGGAUACAUCUAUGUGUUUGCCUCCGGACUUCUAGGACUUUACUUUUUCAAAGACGUCAUCACUGAUGCUUCUACCUCAAGUAAGACGACAAUUUUAUAUUUUGAAUACAUCUUUUUAGUCAUUUUAAAUUCCAAAAUUGCCCACAUAUCCCUGUAAAGUUCUAUAUUUGUGGAUUUGUUCCUUCAAAAUUUCUAAUGUCAAAAUAUUCCUUUGAAUUUUCAAAAUCUGCAAAAGUAUCCCCCUUCUUCAAUGGAUUGUUUGAAAUUGAUUUAUUAUAUGAAAGAUGACAAUUCUACCCUAAAAAAUUUCUUCUAAAUACAUCUCCUUAUUUUUUAUUUCUAGUGUCUCUAAUUCGUCUUUCAUGUCGUUUUACGUGAAUCCUGUGGAUCGUAAGUGUUAACAUACUAUCCCAAAAAUACGUAUUGAUAGAAGGACUCAGCCACCGCACUUAAGGGCUUAAUCACAGCGCUCAUGGGCUUCGAUCUAACUCAACCAUCUGGACAUUAGCUCUCUUGUUAGGUCUCUUGCCGUUAACUCUAUUGUGGGUGAUGGUUCCACUUAGCUUAUUGGGCUCAACCCAACUUAACUAAUUAGUCUCUUGGGCCUAUUGUCACGGGGCAGGAAAUUGAAUCUAUUGUAGACAACAAUUUUUGUCGGAUCAUUGGCACUAACCAUUUAUUUCAAAAACGUACAAACAUUGCGACUGUUAGAAAUAUACAAACCAAGUUAUUUAAAACGUACAAACAUAGUGACAACGGGUGUCAAUUGUGGCUAGGCCCAACUCAAACUCCGCCACUUUGAUUGUAGCUCAACCUAAUUUGGCCCCCCGACAUAGGGUAGGAUGUUGGCUGUGACACUCUUAGAAUUUGGAAUAGUCCUCUAUAUAUAUAAGUUAUAUAAUAUGGAUAAACCUCUUAACCCUAGAGUAGUUCUAGGAUCGGCGACCUUCUUGGGAAGUAGGGUGUCACACUAUCCCCUCUAAGCCAAUAAUCCCUCUCCCUCAAAGCAGCACAUACACAAAUUUGCCGCAUGCGGAAAUUGAACCCGUGACCUCUAGCUCUAAUACCAUUUGUCGGAUCAUAGACGCUAACCAUUAUUCUCAAAAGUUUGAGGUACUAGAAAUAUGUAGCCAAUUUAUAUAAGAUCUCCUGCCAUUUCGAAUGUGACUCGGCCUAACUUGGCCUCCCACCUCAAGAUAGGAUGUUGGCCCCUUUAAGCCAACAAAUGUACUUUUCAAAAAUCUUAACCAAACAUACUUUUCGAGGGCAUAUUGUUUUUAAUGGUGAAAAAUUAGCAAUCAGCAGAUGGUAAUUCAAGUAGUAAGGACAAGUUUGAAAUAUUUUGAUUUUUUUUUCCCUUUGACGUAGUAACAAGUUGAUAUCUUGUGGGUGACGUGUGGGUUGCAUAAUUACAUCAAUUUUCAAUUGCGCUCUCAUAGUGUUUUAAACCUCAAAGUUUGCCCUUUUCUUCGGAAGUUAUAUUUGAGUUUAGAAAAUAGUAUAUCCUUGGAAUUUUUUCUUUUAAAAUAUAAACCCUAAUCACUUGUGGUGAUGCUCUCUUGUUGUAGCCGGUCGCCACAUAAAAGGUUCGUAAGGGGGCUUAAUAUUGUGAUCUUUGGAGGGGAUUUAUUUUGCAGUACAAAUUUUGUAGCUACAAAUUCACAAUUUACUAAAUUUGCAGGGGCAUGUAUACAAUACGGCAUUUAACACUUUCUAUUAAGCCAAGAGAAGAUAUUUCGAUGGCCAGUGUAAUCUUUGAACUUGAUUCAUUAUUCACUUUCGUUUAAUUUUGUUGUCUAAGGAAUCUGGGUUAUGCUAAUGGAAAUGUUCCCGGCAUUUUCCUUGUAUCGAGGAUUAUAUGAGCUCUUAAACUAUGCAUCUAGGGGAAAUAGUUUCUUCACUUCAGCUUCAGGGCUUUCAGGCAUGCAGUGGAAAGACUUAAAUGACAGGGAAAAUGGAAUGGAAGAUGUCUUAUUUUUAAUGCUUUUGGAAUGGCUUCUGCUUCUUCUGGCAGUAUAUUAUUUGAAUCGCGCCACCUCUGUGGGAGAUGAACGGAGAAAUGGCACCCUGUCUUUCUUUUCAUGUUUCUCGAAAAAACAUUUCGAAGAUUCAUCCAAACCGAUUUUUCAGACACAAGAACUUAAAACUUCUGUAGAAAUGCAGAGGUCUGAUGUUUCCCAAGAAGUAAGCUUUCUCUUGCUGUGUAACUUUGUCAUUUGAUCUACUUUCUCGUAUCCUUGUGCAAAUUAGGCCUUACAUUUGUACGGGAGUAUGCUGACCAUUAUGCCCUCUGAUCUGGUCAAUUUUUUUUUUUCAGAUGAUACGUAAAACCAUGACCCAUUUUCUUUUUUUUUUUAAUGUGAAAAACCAAUUUUCAGAAUGGGCACGUUCUAGCCUUAAUUCUUUUUUUUUGAGAAAAGGUAGCAUGCUACCGCUUAAUUCAAUUCUCCAACAAUCCUUGUACAACAUACCCAAUCAAAUUUGAACAGUGUUUCUGUCAUCCAUUAUUUAUUUAUUUAUUUUUUCCUUUUGCCCCCUUCAGAGAGAGGUGGUUGAACAACUUCUAAGAGAACCUAGUACUAGUUAUUCAAUCAUAUGCGAUGACCUCAAGAAGGUGUACCCAGGAAAGGAUGGAAACCCAGAUAAAUUUGCUGUUCGAGGAUUAUCUCUUGCCCUGUCCCGAGGGGAAUGCUUUGGCAUGCUUGGACCUAAUGGCGCUGGAAAAACUUCUCUGAUCAAUAUGGUUAGUCAUCUGAAUUGGCAGUCUCAAUAGUUUUUGGUCAAAUUCAUUUGAAAUGUAGUAUAUUCUUUCAUUAUAAGCAAGUGCGUCAUUGGAGCAUUUAAGCCAAUGUUUUGCCCAUUUUUUUGCCUUUUCUUCCAUUUAAAUAUCUAAUAUUUUUCUUUAAUUGGAGUUCCAUUUACAGUAAAAACUUCAUUUCCUUAGAAUCAUGUGGUUGAUAUCCUAUUAUGUCUUUUCUUUUCUUAAUGUGGAUUGAAAUCUUAUUAUACUGUGUGAUAUUUAAUUUCUACUUCCUCUCAUGAUAUGAAGGGUCCCUAAUCUGUUUACAGCUGAUUGGAUUCAUACGACCAACCUCUGGCACAGCAUACAUUGAAGGAAUGGAUAUACGAGUAGAUAUGAACAAAAUUUACACAAGCAUUGGUGUUUGUCCGCAGCACGAGUAAGCGCUCUUCCUUAGCAUCGCAUAAAUGCAUGAUUGAGUUUACCCUUUAAAUUAUUAAUUCAUUUUAUGUUACUCAUACCAUUAAGGUUUUUCUUUUUUCCCUUUUUUGAAAUAUUAUUGUACAGUUUGCUGUGGGAGACACUGACGGGCAGAGAGCAUCUAUUGUUUUAUGGUCGACUUAAAAGCCUAAAAGGUGCAGCACUGGCUGAGGUAUUGUGUAUACCAAAUGAAUUAAAAUAUUGUUGUAAAACUUGAUUAGUAUGAGAAAUAUACCCUGAAAUUACAUAUUGGAUAGCCACAAAUACUGCAAUAGUGCUUUCCUUGCUGUUAUGAAAAAUCCUCAUAUAGCUCAGCAUCUGCCAGAUUAAUUGAAUAGAAUUUUAUUGGAGCUAGUAUUUGAACCUACAUUCCAAAAGUUCUCUUUCUUCCUUGGCUUCAGCUGUCAUGAAUGUUUGUUAUAAAAAGAUAAGUUCCAUGUGGCUCAUUGUAACGAGGUACAGGGUGUUAUGCCAGAAUAGUACUAUUAAAGAUCAAAGGAGGGAACAAGGGGAAGGUACACAAGGGCGGAAAAGAACAAAAUAAAAUAAAAUAAAAUAAAAUAAAAGGACAGAGUAGAGGCUAUUAGUUUGGCGUCCGCUAUGAUUUCGCCACCACAUCAUUGUGCCCAUUCUCUAAAUUCUCGAAGAUUCUUCUUUUACAUUCCUUCCAGAUAUUGUAGCAGCAGCUGCAGAGCAAGCAGUCAGAGAGUUUCCUUCAUCUCGCUUCCAUCGAGCAUCUAAUCUCUUUCCGUGAGUCAAGGCAGCUGCCAGUUACAAUUAAGCAGGAGUGAUUAUUAAGCCCAAGGAGCUUGAUACUCUCCUUCAAACCUCCACAGAGAAAAUACAGCAUCUGAAUGGAUGCUUAAUGAGUCUUCUUCAUAGUUGCAGAGUUUACAAACUGAAGGGGUCGUCCAAACUAAACUCUCUUCAUUAAGUAUUCACCUCUUCGUAGGCUAUUGUGACAAAGAAUCUAAAGAAAGACUCUGGUUGAUGGGUUAGUACUUGUUUUUGAAAUAUGCUUGUACAGUGGCUGCUUAAUACCACCGAAGAUUGAGAAAUCAUAUACGGAUUUGACAAAGAAUUCACCAUUGGGACUCCCACCUCCAACAAAGCUUAUCUGUAGCUUAUUGAGUAGUUACCUUGUAUUGUGAUUAAAUGUUGCUUCGUUUGAGUUGAUUGCAUUAAACAAGUCAGCAAAAUAAUCAAUUAAGACCUGUUUUCAAUUACGAAGUAAAUAUUAUACCUUAAUGACAUGAAUUCACUGUUUUCUGACAAUUCUUUUAUCUAUAUUUAUUUGUUUAUUUAUUCAUUUACUUUUCUUGCAGGCUGUUGAAGAAUCUCUGAAGAGUGUGAAUCUAUUCUACCACGGCAUCGCUGAUAAGCAAGCUGGCAAAUACAGUGGUGGCAUGAAGCGGCGUCUAAGUGUCGCCAUUUCAUUGAUUGGUGACCCACAAGUAUGCAGUGUCAUGUUCCUAUUUUCAGGAAAAAAUGAAUCAUACCAGUCAAUCAAGUACCACAAAAAAUUAAUGUAAUUUUUUUUUUCAGGUUGUUUAUAUGGAUGAGCCUAGCACCGGAUUAGACCCAGCAUCAAAAAAAGAUUUGUGGAAAGCAGUGAAGCAAGCAAAGCAAGACCGAGCAAUUAUUCUUACUAGUACAUUUUCUUUUUAAUCUUUGCCAAUAGGUUUACGAUUUACAUUCAGGUGUAGUUUGUUUGCGCUUAGGGAGAAAUGUUAAACUGAAAAUCAGAGGUUACACCACUAGUGAGAAUUUCCUCUUUUUUUUUCAGCGCAUUCAAUGGAAGAGGCAGAAGAACUAUGCGACCGAGUGGGAAUUUUCGUCGACGGUAGUUUGCAAUGCAUUGGAAACACAAAGGAGGUAAACUUAUGUUGGUAAUUAGUCAAAAAGCUAUAGUAGAGUAACAAUCGGAGCUCAUUACUUACAAGGGAGAUCUGUUGGCAGCUUAAGGCAAGGUACGGAGGGUCUUACGUACUGACAAUAACGACAACAUCGGUCCAGGAGGAAGAGAUUGAGAAUCUCAUUCGGAGUCUUUCGCCAAACGUAAACACGGUAUAUCGAAUAGCGGGGACGCAAAAGUUCGAAUUGCCGAAGCAGGAGGUGAGGAUCUCCGACGUGUUCGGGACGAUGGAAUACGCGAAGAGGAGGUUCAGCGUGCUUGCAUGGGGUUUGGCCGAUACUACCUUGGAGGACGUCUUCAUCAAAGUCGCCAAAGAUGCGGAUGCGUUCACUACUCCAUCUUAAGAAAAGGUAGCAUGCUACUCCAUCUUGAAGCGUUCACUACUCCAUAUCGAAAGUUAUAGUGGCUGUAAUUCCUAAUAAUCUAAUGGCGAGGUGAUGAAGUAGUAUAUUUUUGUACAAAAUCUGUAAAUAAUAUAUAUAUUCGUACCAAAUUGUCAAAGUAAUGACGGGGUUAUUGGAGGGUGUAUCAAUUUCCAAUAUUAGUUGUUUAAACAAUCAAUUAAUGAAGAAGUAGCAUCUUCCUAGAGAUUUCCUCGCUCUUGGACUUGCCAAUGCUCUAUCUCCAGGUGUUGCAAUUUGUUAAGUAACUAAUAGGAUGGCGCCUUUUUUUAAAAAAAAUAGUUCUGGGGACUAAUAAGAUGUACACACUUAGAUCAGUACUCCUAACUUAUAAAGAUAAAUGUGAUAAUUUGUCCACCUCAAUUGUCGUCCUCGUCUCUUUCUCCAAAAAUGUCGUAAUCCGAUUUCCAUUAUUGUCCUCCACUGUCGUUUUCGUGUGUGCUUCCAAUGAUUCUAUUAAAGUGUGUUUGGUUUGAUGUAAAAAUAGAUGGAAAAGAAAUUUUUCGAGAAAAAAUCCACUUGUUUGUUUUACCGUAAAACAUUUUUUCGGAAAAAAUAGUUAUGUAUUUGAGGAAAAUUUUCCUCUUUUAUUUUCUGUGAGUUAACGGUCGAAAGCGAAAACGCGGAUCUGCGGAGCCCACAAAAAUCACGGGGGUUGCUUUCAUGGGGUCCACGAGGCCACUUCCUCGUGGACCGCAUGAGAGCGGACAUUCCUCUCAUUUUAUAUAUAUAUAUAUAUAUACAUAUAUGUAUGGAGUGAGGCUACUAUGCUAUCGGAAGCACGGAGCCUUCCGUGCUUCCACUUCGUUUUCGAUGUUGCGACUUUCGAAUCGUCGAUCGGUUCCGUUAAACUUGAUCUAGAGUAUUUGGAGUACCUAAAAAAUAAAUUUUAUUAUUUUUCGAUAUCCUUUGCCUAGUGAUCGAAUGAGCUCAAAAUCAACAAAUUUCAAUGGCCGUAGUGAGCCGUUUGCAAGUUUAACGGUGUAGAAAUAUCCAAAUCACGUGAAAUUUUGAUAGAAAAUUCUUUAUACUAUAUAAAACAAGAUUAAUAUCUUUGAUUUAAAAUUUUAAUGUCAUAUUAUUAUAUUUUGUAAGAUUUUUAUUUUCAGCCGUUGAUUUUGAGCCCCUUUGUUCACUAGGCAAAUAAUAUCGAAAAUCGCAUAAUUUUUUCUAUGUACCCAAUACUUUAGUCAGCAGUUUACGGAGGCCGAUCGACGAGUUCGAGUGCACUCCGAAAGAGCGGGUGGAAGCCAGAAGGUCCGUGCUUCGAGGCUUAGUGCUAUGUAUAUGUUUGUAUAUAUAAGAAUUGGUCUUAUACUUUUAUAAGUAUUAAGUUUGAUGUUGGGAAGUUUUAUGCUUGGAUUAAGAGAUUGCGUUGGCAUGAUGUGUGGGCCCCUAGAUUGGUGGGUGUUGGUUGAUUAGUUAAUCUAUAUGGUUAGAUAAUUAUCGUGGAGUAAAUCUAUGUCGUGAAUUCAAGACACGUGAUUGUGCUUUUCAAGACUAGCGUAGCUUUGGAAUAUAUUUAUAUAUAUAGAGUUAGGUGGCGUUAUAUUAUCGGUAGCACGGAGUCUCGUGAUACGAAAUUGUUUUCAAUGAUGCGGCUUCCAUCGGUAACGAUGGUUCGUUGACUUGAUUACAUAUGAAGUAUUUGAACUAAUUCAUAUUUUCGGCAGAGUGUUCUUAAAAUAAGUUGAAUUAAAAUUAUAAAAUUAUGAUAGAGUAUUGAUUUAAGGAUUAGAGAUUGAGAUUUUAUUUUAAAUAGUGAAAACAAUUUCAUAAUUUAUAAAUUUGGUUGUUUUAGAACCGUAAAUGUCACAAUUCAUAUCCUCCAUAAAUUACAAGUUUGAGAUCUUGUGAUCACUGCGAUGAUAGGCAAAAUUAUGAAAUUUAGUUUCUAAAUACUUUCAAUAGUGUAGAUCAAGUCUAACGGAGUCGAUUGUCGAUUUAGAAUCCGCAUUAUUGAAAACAACUUGGUAGCACGGAGGCCUCCAUGUUACCGAUAGUAUACCAGCCUAGCUCAUAUAUAUAUAUAUAUAAUUUUAUUUAUAAAUAUAUGUUUAUUUCUUAUAUAUAGUAUUUUAUUUUUAUAUAGAGAUAUUAUUAUAUAAUAAUUUAUUUAUAAUUUUAUUAAUAUUUUUAAAUAUAUAACUUUUAUAUAUUAUGUACUAUGUUUAUUAUAAUUUUAAAUAUAUUUAAUUUAUAUACAGAAAUUAUAAUAAUAAUUAUAUAAUAUAUUAAUUAUUAUAUAUUAAUAAUAUAUAUAAUAAAAAAUACAUUAAAUAAUUUUUUAUUAUUAUUUUUUUUUCAAUCAAACAAUCGUCAUGAAAAAUUACUUUUUUUUUCUAUAAAUUAAACACCAAAUAAUGUAAAACUUUCUUUCAAUCAAAAUUUUUUUUCUAUUUUAUGUAGAACCAAACAAUCCCUAAACUCAAACAUUUAUUAAGAAAACAGAUGGAUAAGCUUCCAAGUUUUUAAUGAUUACGUAAUAUCCAUAACUAUAAUAAUGCUACUUGGUAAAAAUUAAGGCUACACAUUUGACUUGAACCAUACGAUCGUUUACAUUUUUUUUUAUUUUGGCUUUUUAACUUUUUGGAUGUACCAUACUACCGUGUAAUAAUUGUUCAGAGGGCUUUUUUUUUUUUUGUAUUUAGCCGUCUGGCAAAUUUUUAUUUUAAAAUUAGUCCUGUUAAAAUUUAAUUUACAAAAAUGACCCUUAAGCCUGCUACGCAGGCGCUAUGUUAGCGGCACGCGGGCAAGGCGGGGGCCCGUGUGUUAAGUUGAACACGGUGAAUGAUUCACCGUGUUCAAACACGGUGAAUAAUUUACCGCGUUUAGUACGUAUUUUUAUUGAAAGGAGGAAUAGGGAGUAGGGAUGUUAAUAGGUAUGGAUAUUCGAAAUAUUAUCCAAAUCCAAACCCGAAUAAAUUAUAUAUAUAUAUAUAUACAUAAUUUAUUUUUUUUAUUUAUACAAUAUAUAAAAUAUUUAAUAAUUUUUAUUUCUUAGAUUUUCAUCCAACGGUAUAGAUUUUUAAAAUUCGCUGGGUUCAGGUUCGGAUUUCGAGUUUUUGGUCAGAUAUGGAUAUGGAUAUGAAUUUUUAAAAUCCGUCGGGUUCGGAUCCGGGUUUGAAUUUUAAUUUGAUUUUCGGAUUUGGGUUCGGAUUUUUGAAAAAGAGAAAAAAAAAAUACAAAUUUUCUAUUUCUCUUUUCAAUAUACAAAAAAUACAUACCAAACACAGUGAAUCUUUCACCGUAUUUAGAUACGGUGAAUGGUUCACAGUGUUUAACUUAACUACCGCUCUCAGUCCCGCCCGCGUGGUGCUGACGUGCUACCUGCGUGGCAGAUUUAGGAUCAUUUUUACAAAUUAAAUUUUGAUAAAAAUAUUUUUAAAAUAAGAAUUUGCCGGGGGAUAAAUGCAAAAAAAAAGCCUCACGAGUAAGCUCGUAGCUUAAGCUUCUCCCUAGAGAGCAACACCCCCACAGUCAAAGUCAACGCACAUGGCGGGAAGAGAAUAUUCAUCGUUAUCUCCAACUUCCCUUUUUCUUUAAAAAGAGAAAAAGAAAAUUCUUCCUUCUAUUCCCCUCCUCUUACAUCCUAACGGAUGCUUUUCGCCUGCUCCAAGUCUUCGAUGUAACGAAACCAACAAAGGAAAAGGCCAAAAAAGAAAAAAAAAAGAAAAAAAAAAGAAGCCGUUAAUGGAUUCCUCCGCUUUGGUGCCUCCGAGUUUCCUCGCUCAAACCAAUGCUCUCAUGCGGAAAAACCUCAUUUUCCAGGUGAUUUAUUCGAGCUCUUCAUUUUUUUUCUUUUGUUUUUUUUUUAGGGUUCUGAUCUGGGUCUUAAUCUAUGAUAUAUGCUUUUCUUUUUUAAAAAAUUAUUAUUAAACGGUUACGACCAAUUGAGUGAGAUCUUAGAAUUAGGUUGGGAGACUUCAAGUUCAGCGGAUUAAAUAUUGAAAUAACAUGAACAACAACGUCUCCUGGAUCUGCAGAAACGGAAUCGGAAAUCAACUCUCCGGCUAGUGGUGUUUCCAAUCUACCUCUGUGUUCUACUAGCUGUACUGCAAACAACCAUCAACAAACAAUUGAACAAGCCCAAGUACAGAUGCGGCUGCAAAUGUGUCGAUGCGAACGGCGACGGCUCUUGCCAAAAUGUGUGCGGAAUUCAGUACUCUACGCCGGAUCAAGCCGACAGUUGUGCGAUACCGAGUCCCCCGGAGUGGCCCGCCCUGCUGCAAGUGCCUCGACCCGAAUAUCGCGCUGCUCGGGCUGCUUCCGGUGAUCCUAGGGACUUGCCGAAUGAGUCGUGCAGAGAGGCACGGUCUUGUCCGGCUAGCAUACUCUUCACGGGGAAAAAUGAAUCGCUGUCGGGCAGUAUGUUGAUUUCUACUACGGUUUAUGUAUUAACAACUGUAAAUAUGCGUGAAUUUUUCGGUCUAAUGUCGUGACACUGGACUUCUAAUAUGGCAGGUUUGGCGUCGAACUUGUUCGCAAGCUCGCCACUUUCAAAUCUCUCUGAUUAUCUGAGCACUCUAUCGGAUUUAAUCGCAGUAAGUUGAAUUAAGUUGAUAUGUGCUUUUCCUGAAUUAUCUUUAUAAUUGUCAGAGUUGUUAACUGGGACUGACCCUUCCUUUCGACUCCAAAUUGCUCAGGGCACAGAUACACCGACCAGAUAUACAGAGUUUGUUGAACCUGCGUUUUUCUCAGGUAGACCCGUAUACUUUGUUCAACCACAGUGUCGACAAAAUAUUUCGCUUACGGUCCCUGUUAGCGCUUCUUCAGUCACACUUAUGCAAGGUAUCAAAUUUCUCAUUCGUCAGGAAAAAGGCCAUUAAUUUUCCUUUGUAUUCAGGCAGGAAAUGAUAAUUUAUCUCUCUAUAUAAAUAUAAAAGAUGGAGUUGAUAAAUACAAAAAUAUUACUUCUGUGGUUUUUUUGUCGCAAGUUCUCUAAUGAGGUCGGUUGCAUCGUAUAUUUUGCCCUAAAACAUGUUUUAUCGAUGUUUGGAUCAGAGCUAAAAUGUGUUCAAGGAUUGCCUUUGUGGCGAAACAGUUCCUUCGAGAUAAAUGAUGAGUUGUUCAAGGGUUACCGACAAGGGAACACAGAAAGAAUGAUUAAUGAAUUUACAGCAGGUUUGUUUAGCUGGUCCUAUAAUCAAAAUAAUUCUCUCACUCUUGCUUUUCAUUUUUUUGUUUUUUAUGCAUGAAGGACUAAUCCUGUUAUUUUUCUUCGUGUUGCAGCUUAUGAUUUCCUAAACUCCAAUUUGACGAAUUUUAAUGUGAUUGUUUGGUAUAAUUCAACCUACAAAAAUGCCACUGUUGGUAGCCCGCCUGCACUUUUGCGUGUUUCGCGCUCGUUGAAUAUUGUGGGUGUCAAUGGCCUGCUUAAUUUCUAGUUCUCUUUCCUUUUCUACUCGUUUUCUCUUUGGUUUAAAUUAUUCUUGAUAUUAAGGAACAAGAGUAUCUUGAAUACUCUGGCACCAAUGUUCAGAUUGUGCUAUGCUUUGAUUUCAUUUGAAUUCGACGGAUUUAUUGCAUGUAUUUCUUUCUUUUUUCCCCUCUCAUUGGUUGCUAAUUUUUCUAACAAAUUAUUAGUUAAAAUAGGCCUACUUUACAAACCGAUGCGAGCAAUUAUGAAGUCCUGAACACUACAAAGAUACUUUGUGAUUUCUCAGAAGAAUUCUGUAACAUUGUUAUGUACCCUUUAUACACUCACUUAGACGUACUCUUAAUACAAUUGAAUAUUUAAUGGUCAUCUUGUUUUAUGAAACCGGAUGAGAAAUUGUCUACAUCUUUAUAUAAACUUUUCCACUUGAAGGGAAAAUAAUCCGAGAGGUUUGCCCAACUAAGCAUUUGACAAAUGCAGUUAAUCUUAUAACAUGAAGGUCAAUGAGGCUUUGGAGGACAUAAAUAUUUCUAUUUUUUUCAGUGAAGUAGGAAUCGUUUUCACUUUGCUUUGUGAUUUCUGGUGUAGUUUUUAUAAUUUUAAAGUAGUGUAAAGGCUAUCUUUCACCUCUAAUGAACUUCUUGUUUGCAAGCUUAUGUAGGUCUCAAAUGCCUUCCUUGAGUUCUUACGAGGGAAAGGAGUGAAGAUACAACUUGAGUUCACUGAAGAAAUGCCUAAACCUGCAACUCGCUUAACAUUCGAUUUUUCAUCUCUUGCUGGUCCUCUCUUCUUUCUGUGGGUUAUAGAGCUACUGUUUCCAGUAAGAUCCUUAUCCUGAAUUUUUUGGUCCUCAUGUUUCUAUAAUACAUGAUUUCGACAUAAAAUUGGUUAUUACAUAAGGCAAAUAUGUCAAAUGAGGUUUCCUGUGGUUGCUAAUUAUUUUAAUGUACGAUAAGGAAACAUGAAUGCUAUUUCUUAAGGAAAUUGAACGUCUUAUAUAAUUCCAACUAUUAUUUACAUCAGUUAACCAUGAAUAGAUACCAUCAACUGUAAACUUUUUUUUUUUUUUUUUAAAUGUGGUCAUGAAUUAUAAACUCUAUGUAAAUCCUUCAACUAUUUACACCUCUAGUACCAUCAGUUGUUUAUUUUUCAUUUGGAGUAUGUAUUGCUUACUUUUUCUGAUGCAGGUCAUGUUGACGUAUCUAGUCUACGAGAAGCAACACAAACUAAGAAUAAUGAUGAAAAUGCACGGGCUAAGGGAUGGCCCUUAUUGGGUUAUAUACUACUUGUAUUUCCUUCUCCUCUCCUCCAUAUAUAUGUUACUUUUUGUGAUUUUUGGAUCUCUAAUAGGUAAGAGAAUUUCUUACAAAUGGCUUGUAAAAUUGCUGUUCCAAAUCAGGCAUUCAUAUAAUUUUUUUUUAAAUUUUUUUUUUCCUUUUUUUGGGUGCAGGGCUAAAGUUCUUCAGCCUGAAUGACUACAGCAUACAGUUUGUAUUCUUUUUCAGCUUCAUUAACUUACAAAUUGUACUCGCUUUUCUAGCGGCAACAUUCUUUUCCAAUGUGAAGACUGCUCAAGGUCCAACAAUUUUCUGAAUUUCUUAUCUACAAAAGAUUUAUGAUCUUAUUUGUGACUUGAGUUACAUAGUAUUUCCUCUGUUAAUCUUCUUGAUUGUAGUAAUUGGCUACCUAUACAUAUUUGGUUCUGGGUUGAUGGCAGCGUAUCUUCUUCGGUCUUUCAUUGAGGAUUCAUCCUUCCCAAGUAAGUUGAAUCAGUCUAUUCAGGUUGAUUAUUUUAAGCCCCAUGCUUAUAUGUUUUUAAGGGCUUUCACGUACGUGUCUCUACAAAGUUAUCCAUUUAUAUGUAUAUAUACACUUAUAAAACCUUAAUUUUCAUAUACCCCUCAUAAGUGCAUGUAAAAAAUUAUUUGAUAUCCUUCUCCUGUUCUGAUUGUUAUGUUACCUCUUUGCUUCUUUUGCUGUUUUAGGACAUUGGAUUACUGUUCUAGAGAUCAUACCGGCGUUCUCUUUGUUUCGAGGGCUAUAUGAGUUUAGCCAAUAUUCUUUCAAUGCAAGUCAAGUGGGUACGUCCGGUAUGCAUUGGAGAGAUUUGAAUAACAGUGUGAACGGAAUGAAAGAUGCCCUUAUUAUCAUCAUCGUGGAAUGGCUGAUUCUGCUCCCUGUUGCAUAUUAUUUGGAUUAUGCUCUCUUACAAGGCAGCAGAAUGAGUCAUCUAUGUUUUUUUAGAUCCUUUUUGAGGAAGACUCCAAAUUUACGUAGGAGGCCAAGUCUUCAUGAACAGGAUUCAAAUAGAUUUUUUCUUGACAUGGAAAAGGAAGAUGUACACAAGGAAGUAAGUUAUUGAUGUUGCAACCCUUGAGCUGUUUUACGUAAUUGAAUCAAUGUUGCGUGCCUGAGAAUUUUAUGGGAUUUUUGAAAAGAUAAUCCACUUCUUUUCUUGGACUUGUAACUUCGGUCCACUUUUCUUUCUUUUUUUUCGUCUUUUUUUUUUUAAUCUUGGGAAAUUCAAGCUAAAUUCUUUCUUAUUAGCUGCAAUGCCUUUCACGCCACUUGUUGACAAAUCUUUGCACUUCAGCUUCUAUCUGGACUUUUAUAGUCCUUUCAUAGUCCAUGCAAGUAUAUAUUUAGUCAAAAUUGCAAUGAUAUAUAAAAUGGCCAUGUUAUACUAUCUAAUAAUCUUUUGGUCUUUUAUAUGGCUUCCUUAUGCUAAACUCACAGUGAUAAGUGCUUAUUUCCUUCCAAAUUACGCACUAUUAUCUCUUAUGAUUUUUUGUGAUACUGUUUCAGAGGGAGAUGGUUGAACAACUUCUAGUAGAACCUAAUACAGGGUAUUCCAUCAUCUGUAAUGACCUUAAGAAGGUGUAUCCGGGAAAGGACGGAAACCCUAAUAAGUUUGCAGUUCGAGGUUUAUCACUUGCUUUACCCAAUGGGGAGUGCUUCGGUCUGCUUGGCCCUAAUGGUGCUGGAAAAACCUCUUUUAUUAACAUGGUUUGUUCUUAUAUAUUCAACUUUUUAUACAAAAAAAUCGCACAGGUUUUUUUUGCUUAUUUCAACCAUAUUCGAUUUGCUACUCGAUGUAGUGCUUUGCGAAUUGUUACUCCCAGCUAUUCGGAGGCUCUGAUGUAGUGUUUUUGUUUGUUUUUUUUUUCACCCCCUCUUGAGGCCGUUGUUGCCUCACUCAUGUAGCCUAGUUCAUCAUUUCAAUGAAUGAAGUGGGUAGCGUGCUACCUUUCUCUCUCUCUAAAAAAAAAAGAACUUAUAACCUAUUUGCUCAUCUAUCUAGAUGUAUUCCACUGCUUCUAUUUGCUGCUUCUAUUUGCUGUCUUAAACAGCUGUACACUUCUUGCAGAUGAUUGGGCUUACAACACCAACGUCAGGAAAUGCAUUAGUCCGCGGAUGCAACAUACUGAAUGACAUGGACAAUAUAUACAACAACAUGGGUGUUUGCCCACAGAAUGAGUAUUGUUUCCUUUCCCAUUCCAUUUUCAAAGUUCAAUAGCGAACGAAAGAUAUCAUCUAAUUUUUUAUUUGCUCCUUAAUCAAAUGCAGCAUGCUAUGGGAAAUGCUGACAGGUAGAGAACACCUUAUAUUUUAUGGCCGAUUAAAGAAUCUCAAAGGUUCCACUUUAACACUUGUAAGUCUGUCAAAAAAUAAAAAUAAUUCUAAUCUCCUAUAGUGAUAUUCCCUAAUUUUCUUCACUUUUUGUGAAAUAAAAAAAUAACAUUGCCAUAAAUUGGUAAUGAUGUUUUUGUUCUCAUUUGAUGUCAAUUUUUCAGGCUGUUGAAGAAUCAUUAAGAAGUGUAAAUCUAUUACAUGGCGGUGCUGCUGAUAAGCAAGUUAAGAAAUACAGUGGCGGCAUGAAAAGGAGACUUAGUGUUGCCAUAUCUCUAAUUGGAAAUCCUAAAGUAUACUAUUCUACAAGAUCAUUAUUCAAUCCCUUUCCACUAUUUGGUGUUCAGUUGCACUGUAUUAACUGUGAAUUGUUGCAACAGGUUGUGUACAUGGAUGAGCCAAGUACAGGGUUAGAUCCUGCUUCAAGAAACAGCUUGUGGAAUGUUGUGAAGCAUGCAAAGCAAGACAAAGCAAUUAUUCUUACUAGUAACACUCUAAACUCAAUCGCCGAUGCAUUCACUAAGUUCGGUGUUUGUGCAGCCGCUGCAAUGCUCCUGUCACCACUUUCUUUGGCUUUUGGACCGUAAAGCUCUUUUGAGUAGGAAGCUGUGAACAAAUUAAUAGCUCACUUGUCCUAAUUGUCUAUAUUGCAGCUCAUUCGAUGGAAGAGGCUGAGGCUCUAUGCGAUAGGUUGGCGAUUAUGGUAGACGGAAAGCUUCAGUGCAUAGGAAGCCCGAGAGAGGUAUAACGAUAUAUGUUUGAUAUUUCACAUUCUAUUAUAGAAGCUUCUAAACUAUACUAGUGAGUUUUUAAUCUCUGUUUUGGAAAUGUUAGUGGUGAUAUAUUUUCACUUUCUUUGACAAAGACCAAAUGAGUUUUUCUGAAAAGGAAAAAAAUAUGCUUGAAAGUUUCAUUAUAUGUUCUUUGAAAAGCACAUUCAUUUAACUUUUCAGAGGUAUGCCCAAAAUUUUUCAAACUUUUUGAGAGGCAAGUUGAAUCCGUUAUCUAAAGUUAAAUCAUCAUCGAAUGUUGUGUAGUUGUAUCUGACAAGCUUUAUCUUAUUUCUGUACUUGUUUGUGUCUGAAAUGGAAUGUAUAGUCAUAAAUGUGAGAACACUGAAAGAUUAUUUAUCAGGUUCUUUAUCAGUAGCAAUUAGCAUUUCCUUGCAUCAAAAAAUAUGAACAUGAAAAAGCUGAAGCCAUUAAAUUUUUUUUUGGUUUCCUUUUUGGCAGUUGAAAGCGAGAUUUGGAGGAAUUUAUCUGCUGACAAUGACGACGUCUCCAGAAACGGAGCGAGAGGUAGAGAAUUUAGUCCAUGGACUCUCUCCCAGUGCGAACAAAAUAUAUCAUCUGUCGGGGACCCUAAAGUUUGAACUGCCUAAACAAGAAGUCAGAAUCGCCGAUGUUUUCUCGUCCGUGGAGAAUUUCAAGAGAAGAGUUGCUGUGCAAGCUUGGGGUUUGUCCGAUGCGACAAUGGAAGAUGUUUUCAUUAAAGUCGCUAAAGGAGCAGGCUCAUUUGAUGAAUUUCCAUAAUUGCUACAAUUUUCUUCUCUCGCUCAUUAUCCAUCUGAGCUUCUGCAUUAGAGCAACAUUAUGUAUCAAAUAGUAAAGAAUCUACAUGAUAUAAUGAUGUUUGUGUUAAUCCAAGCACACAUGAUUUUCUUGUUUUCUAGCAUUGAACAUUUCAAUGUAUCAAAAAUUUAAAGAGCUGUAACUAUUCACUUGUAUUUUACUAUGGAAUAUAAUUCAAUUUCUUGUUUUACCGUGAAUAAGUCAAGACAUGUAGCUCUCGUACAAAUCAUAUAUUUUAUGUACGGAAAUAAACAGAAUAUUCACAUGGACCGUCUAUGUUGGACGCCCACAUGGUAUUCCUUUGUUGAGGAUCAGAGGAGGUGACGAUCCAAUCUGUAGCUGUUCCUUUUUUUUUUUCUUCUCGCGAGGCCCUGGUUGUCUCAUCCUUGUAGCCUAAUUCACUUACUCCAUGAAUGAAGUGGAUAGCGUGCUACCUUUUCCUCCAAAAAAAAUAAAUAAAUAAAAUAAUAAUAAUAAUAAUAAUGACUCAGUUGGAUUCAUAUCACCAGCCCAACCAGAAUCCCUUUCCAUCCAAUAUUGGGCCUAAUUGGGCCGUAAAUAAAGAGCCCCGUAAGAGUUCAAGUCCCACACGAGAAAGAGAGACACGAAAAUGACUCGUAAUAAAAGUGCUUUCUCUAAUUCGCGCGGGCCCCACUCCGAGGAGAAAAAGUUGGAGGCGACUGUAGCGGAUGAAAAUGUGCUUGCGUGGCAGAUUCAAAUUACUGUGCGAGUCCGACACGUAAACGGACAUCGUAGACUCUUUGCAUAAUGAACUCGCAACACGUGGCUCCGACGACGUAAACGGCGCGGGAGCGGGCGAGGACGACAAUAAAGAAAACGACGCGCCUAAGACAAGGUGGCACGUGUCCAAGUCCAAUUCAAAAUCCUGUGUCACGACUCCCGAGUCAAAGUUCACUUCACAAACCCGCCACGUCACAGAAUAAAUGGGUGGCGACUGAUGCGGACGAUUUACCCCACUCGUUUAUCCCACUGCGUACAAAUAUUUUAAAUGUUUUUUUAUAUACUUUUUUUUAUAUUUAAUUUUGUUAUCAUGGUUGAUGAAAAUGGAGGAUUAAAUCCUUUUGCAGCGGCAAAAGAAAUUCCACAGAAAAUGUAUAAUAUAUAUGUUAACUAAUACUUUUAUCAUUUGGCAACAUUGAAAGAGUAAUACUUCUUAAAGAUGCUUUUCGAUUUUCUCAAAGUUACAAAGCAACAAACGCUGGAGCAUUUUCCAAAGCUUGGCCAAAAUUGACUACCACAUUCAAACGCACGACUCUCACAUCUAAUCUCAUCCCAAACAGUAAUACAAAAGCAUUGGUGUAAUAAGUAUCACAUCAAAGGACAAGAACAUGGUUAGCACCAUCAGGUUCCUACUGUAAUCACAUGAUUCCAUGGCUAGCCCCUUGUUUUUUUCUUUUUUCCUUUUUUUUAAAAAUUUUUAACCCAACUAAACUGUCCUGUUCUCACAUUUGUACAAAAGUUGAUGCUAGAACAAACUCUUAAACUUUCUCUUUUAUCAUUUUCUUAUAAAUCCUUUUAUUGAAAAGUAUAAAAUUUACACGUAUCUAUAACAAAUAUACAGAUAGCAUAUUCCAAAUUUAUAAGGUGAUUCAACAAAGUAGAUUGUUUCCUCACACGAUAAUUUCACACUGAACAAAAAGGGGACUCAUACAUUAAGCCACUAAAUGGCUUAUUCUUAAAAAAGCCAAUAAACUGGAUGGAUUAUUAAUACAUCUUCUUAAACAUUAAUUAAGAGUACCCAACUAAGGCCAGAACAAGAAAUCCUGGUCCACAAAUGGGAUUUCAUAUUUGCAAGAGUAUCCUUGGAGAUUGGAAGAAUCUACUGUAGGAUCUGAUAGAACUGAGUUUCCUUUCUCCAUGCAAUGAGAGCUCUCAGUGUGUUGAGGGCUCUCACAACUAUUAAACACCACACUGUUGCUAGAGAUGAGAUCUUCUGGUUUGCUUACCAUUAGAUUUUGGUCAUCUGAUCCCCCUCCUUCCGACGAAACCAAAAUUUUCUUUGGUUUUUGGGAAAUUUUGUUGGUUUUUUCGAAUUCAAACGACUGCGUGGAUAAACUGAACAUGUUUUCGACGCCGAGCUUUUUCGCGAGUGAAAGUACCUGCAGAGAAAGAAGAUCUAAGUGAUGAUUGCGCAAUUUCCACAAAUUGUUCGAUUAUUAUUUUGACAAAAUUGUGUAAACCUGUUUUAAUUGCUUGGCCCAUUUUGGUUGUGUAGAAUAAGACAAAAGAGCGAUAUUGAAUAAUAAGAUCAUGACAGGCGAAAGGUGAAUUCCGUGGGAUACAACAGCAUUUUUGAAAUCUAAUCCCAUUCAAUAUCAACAUCUGCGGGGUAAGAUUCAAAAUUCUCAAAUUAUUUGAUUCGAUUAGAUCUGGUUGCGCCAGCCAUUCGCCGCGACUCCGACAGAUUUGAGUUGUGAACAUUACUAUCUCAUCUUAUUCUUUCCGAUAGCGUGUAGAAACUAAUAACAGCUGCACGAAUGUUCUCUAGAGAACAUUAUUAUCGCAACUUCUUCAUCUAAGUUUCAAAGCAUUCAUAUAAGAUGGUGUGUUUCUCGGGGAGAGGGGGAAAAAAGAAAUUGUAAAGAUGCGAGAUAGAUAUACCUCAGCUUGAAGAUCCUCUUUCUCCUUGCAUAAACCCUCAUAAUUAACCUUGAGGGAAUCAUAGCUACAUUUUAGUGCAUCGUAGUCCUUCUCCAGCUGCUUUAUCUUCCACCGAGCACGACGGUUCUGAAACCAAAUCGCGACCUGUUUGGGUUCGAGCCCGAGCUCCUUCGCGAGCUCGAUCUUCCGUUCCGGCUCGAGCCUGUUUUCGACUUCGAAGCUCCUCUCCAGAAACUCAAUUUGGUCAUCACUGAGCCUCCUCUUCUUCAACGGAAGAUGAGUGAACUCGUCCGAGUCCUCAUCGGAAAAUCUUUUUCUUUGAGGGGUUUCGUCGAAAUUUAUCAUAGCUCUUGAUCCUGCAAAAUCAAUCUCUUGUAAAACUCAAAAGCUCUAAAUCCACAUCCCUGUUUUCGCUUUCUUUUUUCUUUUUUUUUUUUUAAGAACAAAAAAUUUCAAUUUGGUUCCACUCCUAAUUAAAAAUCUUAAAGUGACAAAUCAAAAACCAACCAUUUAAAAAUUCCUUCAUAAUAAUUGUGGUUUCAUCUGAGAAGCAGAGAAUGAUGCCCAAAAAUCACACCUUUUUUUUUUUUUUGGGCUGCAGAGUAGUACUUAAACGUUUAAUAAAUUACCCUCGAAAUUUCAUCUCAACAACUCAGAUUACAAAAAAAAAAAAAAAAAAAACAAACAAAACAAAAACAAAAACAAUUUAGAGUGAAGUGGUAAACCAUAAAUGGGAAAAAAAGGAACAAAGCGUAAAACCCAAAACAGGGGAGAGAAACAAGGAGGUGAGAGAGGGGUAUUAGGUAGUAUUACCGUAAAAUCCCACCGGAGAGAACAAGGCCUCGAAACCCUCGGCGGAGACUCCUUCGUGCGGGAGCAAAGUCGCCGUAUUUGAACCCUUGUAUAUCAUCAUCUCCUUCGCCAUCAUCUCCCCCUGCUUCCGCCUUCGAUUACAAGCGAAAAAAAAGACCUUUUUUUUUUGUUUCCCUUUCGUCUAAGCAGGGUUUUUGCAGGGUGCGACGGGCACCAUCUCGGCUUCCCAAAAGAGCGCUUUUUUUUUUUUGGUAAAAAGAAAAGCUCCUUUUUUUUCCGGCUUCUACUGGAGCUUGUGGCGGAAGAAGCUGGUGGUCACCGCGAACGCGCCGUGGGAAGCGGCGCGGGGCCUUUCGCAAAGCGGAGGUGAGCCCAUCACUCACUCUGUUUCGCUCGUCUUCCUCAGCAGAAGAGGAAGGAGGAGGAGGACGAAGAGGAGGAGGAGGAGGAGGAGAGUAGAAGCAAACGCUUCUUUGGUUUUGAGUACUGAGAUGGGUUGUGGGGUGUUUUACAAAUUACCCAGUGAGUUUGAAGGGAAUUUUGGUUUUUUAGUUUGGGAGACUACCGAGGGGAGAAGAGAAAUUGGAGUGUGAGACUGUGUUAUGAGGCGUGUAUGAUAGACAAGGGACUCUCUCAAAGGCAGAGCUGUAAUAUAUAUAUAUAUAUAUAUAUAUAUAUAUAUAAAAUUGAGUUAAAAUACUUUUAGAAGCAUUAAUUUCUUGGUGCUUCUAAAUUUUUAGCUCUUUGAUCUAUUCCUUAAUUAUUAAUACCCCUUAGAUCAAAUACUAUUCCAUCUAUCACUAUCUACCACUAUCAUCUCAACCCUACAUCUCUCUAUUAAAAGGUUAAAAACUCGAAUAUAUAUAUAUAUAACUAGGCUAUUAUGCUAUUAAUAGCACCAAGUCAUUGAUGCUAUCAAGUUUUUGGCCAUUGGAUUAAGAGAUGUGCAGUUAGGAUAAUUUGGGCCCCCUAGGGUUAAUGGAUGGUUGGUUGAAUAGUAUGAUCUAACAGAUGAAAAUAAUCAAAAUGGUAGAUCUAACGGCGAAAAACUUAGUAGCACCAAGUGCUUCGUGCUAUUAAUUGUAUAGUUAUAUAUAUAUAGUUGGACUAGAAUAAUAUUGAUAGCAAAAAGCCUUUAACAACUAAAAUAAAAACUUAGAUGCUAUUAAUUGUAUGGUGAAUCAAAAUUAAACUUUAAAUUUAAAGUAAAAUCUGAAUUAAAUUUUGAUACUUUUAGUUUAAACAACAUAUUUAUAUUUUAAAUUUACUAGAAUUGAAAAAUAUAUAAAAUAGUUCAAUGUAUAUGUAAAAAAUAAUAUAAAAUAUUCUAGGUAUUUUCUAAUAAAAUAUAAUAUAUGAAUUUAUAAAAUAUAUAAUUUAUAUUGUAAAUUUUUAAAUNGGCUCCGUUAGACUUGAUCUAUACUAUUAAAAAUAUUUGAAAACUAAAUUUCAUAAUUUUUCGACAUCAUUUGGCUAGUGAUCAAAAGGUCUCAAAAUUGAUAAUUUUAAUGGUAGAUGUGAUGCAUUUGUAAGUUUAACGGUGUAAAACAAUCCAAAUCAGAUGAAAAUUUUAUGAAAAAUUAUUUUUACUAUUUAGAGUAAGUUCAGUACCUCUGAUCUUAAAUUCAAGUCUUCUAUCAUCGUUUUUUAUGAGAUUUUUAUUUUCAGCCGUUCAUUUUUAGACUACUCGUUUGAUAGGUAAAUGAUACCGAAAAAUUAUGAAAUUUAAUUUCCAAAUACUUUCAAUAGUGUAGAUCAAGUCUAACGGAGCCGAUCGUCGAUUUGGAAUCGGCAUCAUUGAAAACAACUUGAUAGCACGGAGGCCUCGGUGCUACCGAUAGUAUACCAGCCUAGCUCUAUAUAUAUAAAUAUAUAGAGUUGGACUGGGCUACUAUUAGUAGCAAAAUUCCAUUGUUGCUACCAGUUUUUUAGCCUUUGGAUAAACUCUUUUCAUUAUUUCUAACUAUUGGAUUAAAUACUAUAACCCAGUGGAGACCACUCAUCCAAAGGUGAAAAACUUGAUAGCAAAAAGAGCGUUUUACUAUUAAUAGUAUUUCAGCCUAAAUUUAGGCUGAAAUAUUAUUAGGCUGAAAUACUAUUAAUAGUAAAACGCUCUUUUUGCUAUCAAGCUUUUCACCCUUGGAUGAAAAAUUGUAGGGUCGGGAUGAUAUUAGUCGGUUAGAGUUGAGUGGUUCUCCUAGGGUUGAGUGGUCCCCACUGGGUUAUAGUAUUUAAUCUAAUGGUUAGAAAUAAUGAAAAGAGUUGAUCCAAAGGCUAAAAAACUGGUAGCAACAAUAGAAUUUUGCUACUAAUAGUAGCCCAGUCCAACUCUAUAUAUAUAUGUGUAUAUAAUCACACUGUUUCUACAGCAAGUGUGUGAAAUGACAAAAUAGCCCUUUUACUUUGCCAUUUUGUUCGUUUAGGGGCUGUUUGGUUUGACGUAAAACUGUGGAAAAAAAAAUUUUAAGUAAAAAAAAAAUUUUCGGAGGAAAAUAAAUUUUACGCUCUUAGCGUUUGGUUUGUAGGAAAAAAAAAAAAGCUUUCCGUUACGGUUGUUUGGUUGAAAGAAAAAGAAAGAAAAAAUAAAUGGGAAAUGAUUAUAUGUAUUUUGUCAUAUUAUAUAUAUAUAUUAUUAAUAUAAAAUAAUUAUUAUAUAUAUUAUUAAUAUAAAAUAAUUAUCAUACUACAUAUAUAAUUAUUAUAAUUUAUAUUUAUUAAUAAAAUAUAUGUAAAAUAUAUUAUACAGUAAAUAUGUAAUGUAAUAUAUAAUUAUAUAUAUAUUUAAAUACUAUAAAAUAAAUUAUUAUAUAUUUAUAAAUAAUAUUAUAAAUAAAAUAUUAUAUAUUAGCAAAUUUAUAAUAAAAAUAAAAUAUUAUACAUAUAUAU
RNAcentral lists this long non-coding RNA (180642 nucleotides) under Ananas comosus (pineapple). RNAcentral describes it as "long non-coding RNA (ACOM_LNC008046)". The stretch from base 114647 to 114717 matches the Rfam family "tRNA". Lineage: Eukaryota; Viridiplantae; Streptophyta; Magnoliopsida; Poales; Bromeliaceae. The record is from RNAcentral.